UGUGGUGGUGACGAUAUCACUAGCGGUGGUGGCGGCGACUUGUGAUGAUGAUGGUGGGAUGUCUCAAACAAACGACGUGGUGAUGAUGAUGGCACUGGUGGUCGUGGUGGUGCUGGAGACGAGUGGUGAUGAUGGUGCGACGUCUCAAACAAAUUGUGUGAUGGUGACAAUGGCAUAGGUGGUAGUGGUGGUGGCGAACUGUGGUGAUGAUGAUGGUGUGACGUCUCAAACAAACGGCGUGGUGGUGACAAUAGCACUGGCGGUGGUGGUGGUGACUUGUGGUGAUGCCAGUGCGACGUCUCAAACAAACUUCUCGAUGGCAGUGACAUUACUGGUGGUGGUGGAGGUGGCUUGUGGUGUUGAUGGUGCGACAUCUCGAACAAGUAGCGUGGUGGUGAUGACAGCACUGAUGGCAGUGGUGGUGACCAGUGGUGAUUAUGGUGUAAUGUCUCUGUGAAACUGUGAGUUGGUGUUGGCGGCAUUGGCGGUGGCUGAGGCGGCCCAUGGUGGUGGUGAUGGUGCGAUAUUUCAGACAUACUCCGUAGCGGUGAUGAUUCCACUACCGGCGGCGGUGGUGAACUGUGGUGAUGAUGCCAUGCCUCAAGCUGGUCUUGGCCUAGACAUGAAUGCAACGCAAUACAAAAUAAUCAAAACAUGUUGAUCGGUACUCUGUCAGUUCCCAAUUAUAUAUAGCUGCAUCAAGUUUACAGAAAAAAUACUCGAACAUCUAAAAGCUUCAUAUUACAUUUAUUAAAUUCUUGAGGACAUAUGUUAUUAGAGUCAUUUAACAUAUAACACAAAGCCAAAGCAAGCCAUUCUUUGAAGCAAUGGAGUAAUAUAUAACAGUGUAAAGUAUAAGUAAUCAUAUAUCUAUCUAUGUUUACCUUGGCUUGAUGGAGUGGCCGAAUCAUUGAUCAUAAGUAUCACUAAAAUAGCACUUAUUAGGUAUACAGUCCUCAUUGUAUAGCACUUGGUGACUAAUGCCAGAGGACAAUACUACUCUUUUUUUUACUCCUUAUUUCCCCAUUUCACCUUGUUUAGGGAUCAAGAGUGUAGGUGUUUAUAUAGGAGUACCCCAAAACCUUGAGUAAGAUUUAUUAUCAAAAUUUAUUUAAUUAUAUCUAUAUCUAUAUCUAUAUCUAUAUCUAUAUCUAUAUCUAUAUCUAUAUCUAUAUCUAUAUCUAUAUCUAUAUCUAUAUCUAUAUCUAUAUCUAUAUCUAUAUCUAUAUCUAUAUCUAUAUCUAUAUCUAUAUCUAUAUCUAUCUAUCUUUGCGUACCUAACUAUCUAUCUGUCUAUAUCUAUGCUCUAUCUCUAUCGAUUUGCACCUACCUACCUAUUUAUUUAUCAUGUAUCUGGAUGGCACUAGCCUUCAAUACGCCGAUGUCUAUCUUAUGUAAUUACUUAUAGUAAGGCCCUCAAGAGUAAUUUUGUAGUGAAUAACCAAUAGCACAAGCAUAAAACCAUAAGUUUUGUACCUUGUUCGUCCACUGCCAUAAAUAUACUACUUUGUUCACCUACCACCAUAUAUAGGACCAAAUGUGACGUCUCUCGAACGUGUGAACUGUGGCUCUCAUAAUAGUAAAACAAAAUUAGGGCAACCCCAGAACAUGUUAUGAUCCUGCCAGAGAAGUAGAAAUUCAACUAUUUUCUACAACAAUCACAUACCAAUUUAGCAUUAAUAGAUCAUCUGACUAUUUAGCGGUAAGUUGGGAAUUUGUCACCAAACGAUGAUGGAAGCAAAAUGCCAACUUCCAUUUACAGAAAACUUGAUAAUAUACUGGUUCCCAAUGAACAUGGAAUACUCUAGUUUCCAAUAUAUGCACUGUCAUUGUCAAUUGCUCAUACAUGAUUUUUUUCAUUUACUAAUCACUAGUAGAUGGAUGGGUUGUAAUCCCGGUUCGGAAACCGGCCCCCUUAGUCCCGGUUUUCCCAACCGGGAUUGGGAAUUCGGGACUAAAGGUCUAGGAUUUUAGUCCCGGGUCAUGCAACUGGGAUUAAAACCCAUCUUGGGAACUCAAAAAUAAUAUAAUCCUACAGACCUCCCUCUUGCGUGUGUGAGAUUCAAACCCAAGACCUCUUAUCUCGCGCAUAUCUUCCUUACCAACUCAACUGCACACCACAUGUGACAAUGUGUUGGAUGCUCUCCCUUUCAAUUCAUUUGUGGGGGACCUUUAAUCCCGGGCCGGAGACUUUUAAUCCGGGUUGGUGGCUUUAACCAGGAUUAAAAGGUCACCCUUUAGUCCCAGUUGGUGUUUACCAACCGGGACUAAAAGUUAGAGGACCGUUACUCUGGGUUGGUAACAACCACUGGGAUUAAUGGUCCCUGCUGUAAAAGUCUGCUGCACUAUCUGUUGGGUAGGAGAUUAUAGUCCCGAUCGGUGGUUCCAACCGGAAUUAAAUCUCUAUUAGUCCUGGGUUCAGUUUAUAGCGGGACUAAAAGUUAGGAUCAAAAGUCUAUUCUCUAGUAGUGAAUAUAGCAUAAUGAGUCCAUGACAAUAUAAAAAAACUGAGUUAAAACUGCAUAUCCAUGUGCCCUGUUACUCCCACAUUUACCAAAUAGACUCGAUCGAAAUGGCACUUUAAUAUUCAUCCAGAUCUUGGUCAUGCUGCCUGAGGAGCAAUAUAUGCUCGGUGCGCUAUGUCCUGUUAGCUUCUAUUUUUAACUGCAAUGGUUAUAUGAACAUACGUCCCUACUAAAAGCUGGUGGAAAAAAAAUACUCUGUCCACUCUGUGAAAGUAUAGGGAACGAGUUACCCAUCCUGGGUGUCUCGGCUGGGUGUUAAAUAGCUGGGAACAGCCCCCAAGCAUGGCGUAUACAACAGAUGAAGAUACAUGAUCCACUUGCUAUACAAGUCUCUUGGAAUACAAGACAUGCUAGUCUAUCUUUAUCUAAACCAACAACUUGCACGCCUACAACCGAAGGCACCUAAAUACAUGGAGAGUUAACCUAAACUAGAUACAUAGUUUAACACCCUCCCUCAAUCUCAGCCAUCUACAAGGUUGAGAUUGCUUUUGAACAUCUUCAAUUUCUGGACCGGCAAAGCUUUGGUGAAACCAUGAGCAACUUGAUCAUUUGUAGAGAUGAAGCGUAUAUCCAGCAACUUCUGCGCUACUCUUUCUCUAACAAAAUGAAAGUCAAUUUCUAUAUGUUUUGUUCUUGCAUGGAAGAUUGGAUUAGCAGAAAGAUACUUUGCACCAAGGUUAUCACACCAAAGUCUAGCUGCCUUUGGAUGAGGGACUUGCAACUCAGUCAAUAGCUUCUGUAUCCACAUCAUUUCAGAUGUAGCGUUGGCCAAUGCCUUAUACUCGGCUUCAGUACUUGAACGUGAUACUGUGGCCUGCUUCCUGGCUGUCCAUGACACCAGAUUAUCACCAAGGAAUACCGCAAAGCCACCAGUUGAUCUUCUACCAUCAACACAACCCACCCAAUCAGCAUCCGAGAAGGCACUCACAAUCAUUGUUCGUGAUUUGCGAAUUCUGAGUCCAAGAUUAAUCGUCCCACAUAUAUACCUCAAUAUCCUUUUAACCAUACUAAAAUGGACAGUGGUAGGAUCAUGCAAAAACUGACAAACCUUGUUCACUGAGAAUGAAAUAUCAGGCCUUGUCAAUGUAAGAUAUUGGAGUGCAGCAACAAUACUUCUGUACCGUGUACUGUCUUUAGCUCCUAGUUUUGUUCCAUCCUUUAUACUCAGCUUUUGUGUGCUUGGAAGUGGGGUAUCAACCGGUUUGCACUUACUCAUUCCUGAAUGAGCGAGUAUAUCUUUAGCAUACCUUGUUUGUGACAGAGUCAAUCCAUCCUUAUCCCUCUUCACUUCCAUGCCCAAGAAAUAAUGAAGAUCCCCGAGAUCCUUCAAAGCAAAAUCUUUCUGUAAGUCACAAAGCAAUGUCUUUGUGACUUCAUUAGAGGAACUCGCCACAGUGAUGUCGUCUACAUAUACUAGGAUGAAUACAGUAUACCCUCCCUUGUUCAAAUAGAACAAAGAAGUAUCUGCCUUUGAGGGAACAAAGCCUAGAGAAAUCAAAUUUCCACGUAGCCGGGCAUACCAAGCACGCGGUGCCUGUUUCAAGCCAUAGAUAGCUUUGUCCAGUUUACAUACAUAGGCAGGAUGAGAUCUAUCAGCAUAGCCAGGAGGUUGAUCCAUAUAAACCUCUUCAUCAAGAAGACCAUGCAAAAUAUGAGAAACCUCUUUGCAUUCUUUAUCCUGUGUUGUUCAAAUUUUGCCAGCAACAAAACAUUUUGGUGGAUCAGGUUAGAAACAAUCAUCAGAACAUCUCUUUUACUAGGUGCUUGGUAGACGAUCUGCUUUAUGAGUGGCAAAAAAUCUUGAGUGAUAUGAGAAAAGUUAAUUUUACUCCUGAUCAUGAUUCAGUUGUUUGGAAAGUUGGAAUUGCUGGAAUUUUCAGUGUGAAAUCUGUUUAUAAUGCUAUGACAUCUGAUGAAUCUGGUCCUUCUCAUAGUAAAAUUUGGAAAAGCAAAAUACCUGCUAAAAUCAAUAUUUUCCUCUGGCUCCUUCUUAAUAAUGCGAUUUUAACGAAGGACAACUUAAUUAAAAGAAAAUGGAUUGGUGAACCAACAUGUUACUUUUGUGAUCAGGAUGAAAGUGUUUCUCAUCUCUUUUUCCAUUGUAGUACAGCUAAGGCUGUUUGGGCCAUUGUUGCUCAUUGCAUUGGUGCUAAUAAUAUCCCUAAUACUCUUAACCAAUGCUGGACAUGGUGUGAGUGUUGGUUACCUUCUGGCAAACAGUUUCAUACUUUGGGCAUAGCUGCCAUUUGCUGGGCAAUCUGGAAAACUAGAAACAAAUGUUGUUUUGAAGGAAGAAAAAUAAAAAAUCCUGCUGAGAUUAUUUGUUAUGCAUGUGCCCUCAUGACAUAUUGGGCAGGUCUGUUCCCGGAGAUGGACAAGGAGGAGCUUCAAGCUGGAGUGACUACAAUGUUGCAGAUCGCCACCAAGCUGUUACUCAAGUCAAAGAAGGGAGAUGGCACUCUAUUCCUGAAAGAGAGUCCGGAUGACAGUUCUCAGGACUGAGGUGUUUCGGGGUUUGAAAGAUGGCUUUGUGUGUGCUACCUUUUUUGGAGAAUGUAUGGUGUUGCUGUUGGUUUGGCUACCUUUUAGACUUGUGGUUUCUGGGCAAACUUUCUUAGGUUAAAACAGAAGUUGUGAGAGGCCCCGCUCUAUUCUUUCUUAGCUUUCUCGCUUUUCUGCAACAGUCUUGAAUGAACCGAUGUAUUUCCGUUGCACGUUAAUGGAAAUGGGGGUUGCCUCCGGUUCGAAAAAAAAAGAAGACCAUGCAAAAAUGCAUUUUGUACAUCCAAUUGCCUCAAAGUCCAUCCCUGAGUGACUGCAAUGGACAAGAUGAGUCUGAUUGUUGCCGCCUUAACUACCGGACUGAACGUAUUCUCAUAAUCAAUUCCAUAUCGUUGCUUAAAACCCUUUGCAACCAAACGGGCUUUGUAGCGUUCAACCGUGCCAUCUGACUUUCUAUUCACCUUGUAUACCCAUUUGCAGCCGAUCACAUUUUUACCCUGAGGCCGGGGAACAAGUCUCCAAGUCUUGUUUCUUAGUAGCGCCUGGUGCUCAGAAUCCAUCGCAGCUGCCCAUUUUGGAUCACUCAUUGCCUCUGCAAUUGACACUGGUUCCUCUGGACUGAUGACAACCUGAUUGCACCACUUGACUGUGCCAUCGGUGUAGACCUUUGGCUUGGAGAUCCCAUGCUACGACCUUGUGACAGGACGUGGCACAACAGGAAACUCACCAGCCAGUGCCGCACCGGAUUGCUGACCAGACACAACUGAUCCAGCGUGAUCCUCCUCAGAAGAAACAGUGCCGAUGCACGGAUCUGAGUGUGGCCCAGUAGACCCGUGAGCCUGAUGUUUCGGGAGAGGUCGGCGCAGAAGAUCCCGCAACAGCCGCCGUAUCCAACCCGGCACCCAUACCCUGCGUCGCAGGGGUCGAGAUUGAUCCCCCGAUAGCCGCCGACUCCCCGCCAAAUGGAUCCACCUGGGAUCGCACGCCGGUCGCUGUGCUCCCAAUCAGGGAACACAUGCGAUAUAAGCCUCCGUUGUCACCUUGAUCGCCACUGUGUGCUCCCAUGCCAGCAUCAUUUUCUUCCAGAUUUUCUCCUGCAUUCAGCACAUCUCCAAACAAACCUUGUGAAGCAUUAGUAGGUACAGAAGAGUGCACAUUUGGGUCAAGUAAAUUGUCACUCCCAUAGGUUGGGUUUAAGAGUAUAUUGGGUAGGAGUCGAAGCUCAGCUCUGAGCUGUGCACCGGCAUUAGGAUGCAUGGAAGCGAAAGGAAAUACUUGCUCAUCAAAGACUAUGUCCCGAGAGACAUAAACACGGCCUUCAGCAGGAUCUAGACACUUAAAGCCUUUGUGUAAAGUACUAUACCCAAGAAAAACACAAGGUUUAGAUCUAAACUCUAGUUUCCUUGAGUUGUAGGGACGGAGAUUAGGCCAGCAGGCACACCCGAAUGUUCUGAGAGAAGAGUAGUUAGGGUGUUUACCAAAAAGUCGAAGGAAAGGUGUAUCAUUGUUUAUGACUUUAGAUGGUAGACGAUUAAUUAGGUAAACAGCAGUAGAAAAGGCUUUAUCCUAGAACUUUAACGGCAUAGAAGAAUGAGACAGAAGUGUGAGACCCAUUUCGACAAUAUGCCUGUGUUUUCUCUCUACGGAUCCUUUUUGCUGGUGUGUGUGUGUGUGUGUGUGGACACGACACAUGAUGAUUUAUCCCGAUACGCUUAAAGAAGGAGUUGAGAGCUUUGGUACUCUCCACCCCAAUCAGUUUAGAAUUUUGCAUUCAAAUUGUCUCUCAACAAGAGAUUGAAAAUCAUGAAAGCAUUGAAAAACUUCGGACUUAUGGCGCAACAUGUAAAUCCAAACAAAUUUGCUGUGUUCAUCAAUAAAGCUGACAUAAAACUUGUGUCGUCCAACAGAUGCGGGUGCAGGACCCAGACAUGAGAGAAAAUUAAAUCUAGAGGCCUAGAUGAAACACUACUAGACCUGACAUAAGGCAAUUGAUGAGCUUUGCCUUGCUGACACGCAUUACAUACGUGAUCUUUAUUUUGACUUUUGACAAAAGAAAGCUUGUGGCGACUCAGGAUUUGCCUAACUACAGGAGUAGAGACAUGACCGAGCCUAUUAUGCCACAAUGAGAUUGAUGGACGAGCAGUGCUGAGUGCUCUCUUAUUCGGGGACAACUUAUUCGAAGAUGAUGAUCGCAGAGGAUAUAGGCCACCCUCACACUUGCCUCUGAGGAGAGUUCUCCUCGUCUCCUCCUCCUUGAUAUCGAAGUAGCUAGGAUGAAAUUCAAGAAAAACACCAUUAUCACGAGUAAGAUGAUGAACAGAUGCAAGAUUUUUAUUAGCUUUAGGAACGUGAAGAAUGUUUUUCAGAUGAAUAUUUGUGGAAGGGGAGUGCAAAAUACUAUCAACCAGUAUGUGUGAUCUCCAUACCUGAACCAUUUGCGGCAUGAACUUGAUCUCCUCCAUGGUACUUAUCCCGUACCGUCAGUCUCUCCAGAUCCCUCGUGAUAUGAUCAGUCGCACCAGUGUCCAUGUACCAGUUUGAGUCGACACCUUAGGAGUUCGUAGUUGCAGUCGAUGCUGACUUUUGUGGUGGUCCAUUGAAGUUUGCAUUGAAGCGCUUGAAGCACUUCACGACGGUGUGUCCCUCCUUCUGGCACAGCUGACAGAAAACACCAGCAAGGAAGGUAGAUCCUUGUGGACGAGCACCACCGCAUCCAUUCUUGAAGCCACGGAUGAAUCCACCACGCCCUCUGUCUCCACCAUGGCCUCCUCCACGAGGCUGGCUGUUGCGGCCUCCCUUGGCCACCAUGUUCGCAGCAGAUUGCUGCACACCGCCAUUGCGCAUCUCCAUCCUGGACUCAAAACUGGUCAACUGAGUAUAAAGCUCACCAAGUGAGAUUGGUUCAACGCGUGACGCCACCGCCGACACCACCGAGUCAUACUCCUCGCCAAGUCAAGUGAGGAUGUAGGAGAUCAACUCCUCAUCUUCUAGCUUCUUCCCGGCCGACGCCAUCAGGUCAGCCAGGGUCUUGAUUUUCUGGUAGUACUCCGCAAUCGACGAAGUGCCCUUUGUCGCCGUGGCGAGCACCAUCCGAGUGCUAAUGAUGCGCGCACGAGACUGCGACGCAGACAUAGACUCGACUUGCCAGAUAUCAACUCGCUGGAUUACAAAUAUGUAUCAAGCUAUAUAUCUAGAAGUGUACGAACACAUGAUCUUUCGCCCUGGAUUAUUGCAUACUGGUCAGUAAAGAUUUCUAUAUCACCAUUAGUUUAAUUGCAUCUCUGUUGUGUACCCCUUGUACAAGCAACUUAUGGGCUCAUGUCUUACAUAAUUUUUUAUACUGUGUGUUGGUUCAAAUGCCAAUGAGUAUUGUCCUGGUCUAAUUUAAAGUACAAGUGAUUUGCAAGAAAUAUGUUGUAAUGAAAUACUCCUAACACUCAAUUUUGUCCAGAGAUGCAACUUUCUCUCCUCACCACAUCUCAUUUCUUCUGUCAUGUUAAAUGACUGUUAUUGCCUGUUGUUAGUAUUUACAAAAUUCUUGUAGUACUAAUUAAUCAUUACAUUUUAAUAAAGCAGAGAUGACUUCUGUUCUAGUGUGCUACAGCUGUAGGUCCUUGCGAAUGGUUUUUCUGAAUGCAAGACAUUUGACAAUUUUACUGCAAUUUUUUUCUGAGUGCUGAUUGACAGUUUGUAGCACAGUAGCAGUUCUGUGGAACCUGGGGCUGCAUGUCAGCAUCACCAACAGCAGGUAGGCAAGCAAGUAGGUCGUCAUCAACAUUCAGUAAAGCUGCAGUUCUCAUCUAGUCCUCAUAUUUGUGAAAUGUGCCUUUUGCUGGUUCAAUGUAUUUGCUAGCAUGGCUGGUUAGAGAGGCAGAAAUGAAAUAAAAGCAGAGGAAAGUUAUAUUACAGAGAAAAUGAGCCCAUCGUUAUUUGUGUUUUCCAGGAACUGCAGUUUACAGAAAGAAGGAAGAGACAUUGCAUAGGAAGGUCCAAGAUGCAGACUACAGAAUCAAAAGGUAUGUACUGCCUCUAGGAACUGCAGGUUAUUUUGUGUUGUCCAGGAACUGUAAUUUUCUCCGUUCAGUAAAUCUUCAUCAUUGAUAGCUGUUGUUGCUGCUAUCUGUUCUCUCCUUCAGCAGUCAGGUUACUCAGUUUCAAAAACUUGGUGUUCAAUAUGCAGUUCAGUGUAUUGCUCAUGAGAGCAGACUUUUAGAGUUUCAGUUUAGUAAAUAAUCUGAAUUUCACUGAAUAUCAAAAAGAAGCUUCCUAUGUAGGGUAUUCUUCCUAAUGCAGCACUUGUUGCAAGCUAUCUGAAUUCUGCUCAAGUCUAUCAAGUGCCAUUAACAUGCUUCCAAAUCCUGUCAGAACAAAGUAGAACUACAACCAGGGAAGUGGCAAAUGCAUUUAUUUGUUGGAACCUAUCUUUUGUUAUUUCUGAUGCCUGGGGGUGAUGGUCCAAGCUGACGACACAGUCUGACACGCAGAUUGUCAUAACAAAGCAGCCGGACAACGCCCAGGCUUCUUCGGCUCCAAAACUCCUCGACGGUCCACAACGCACCGCUGCAAAGGCCCUCCUAGACUCUGGCACGUGUAGACCGACCAUCUCAUUAUAUAAGGGAUGUGAUCGGACCUAGGAGCGAGAGAGAGAUCAAUCACCCGACUCUGUUCCAUUCGCCUUUGCUCAGCAUCCGAAGUAAGGCAACCCACCGAGUGGCGCCAGAGGCUCCUCCUCCGCCAUCCUAUCAUCUCCUUCCUCGCUGACGAUGGGGAGACUCCACCGGCGGUGAGGCAAACCAUAGGAUUAGCACCAAGCUAACCCCUACCAAACCUCUUCUUUCUUUUACACUUUGUUAACCCCUCCAGAUUUUGGGUGCUGUUGCACAUAAGAAUCAUCAAAUGCUGGACAUAGGGACCGAAACCAGGAUAAACUGUUGCGUCUUCUCUAUGUGAUUCUUGUGUUCCUGAGUCCACCAGAGCCACCAGAGAUCCAUACUCUGACACCAAUUUGAACAGCAUGCUUGCCGUGGUUUUGACCCCACGAUAGGCGGCGCUAUGGGAGAAUAGAGAGAGAGGUGGUUUGGAAGCCCGAUAACCCUAUAUUCCAUUUUGGGCAUACUUUCUAAAAUGGGCCUCUUAGGAGGUCUGCCUCUAGAAAAAGGACACCUUUUCAAAGGCAGGCAUCGUUAUUCAAUAUUAGGAAGCAACCAUUUUUCAAAGGGUUUCCUAAAAUGAAUAGAAGUCUACAGUCCAUUUCUAGAGACGCCAUCAAAUUUUACCCAUCUCUAUAAAUAAAUAUGCUGGCCUCCAACUUGUUUUUUGUAGUUGUCGUAUGGGACGAGGACAGUUAUUAGGAGCGAGCAUAGGUUGCUUAGUGGCACACAGAAGGGCUAGCAUGGUCACAGACGAUUGAGAGCGCAGCGAUGACUGUGGGUGUCUUUGAUGAGUGAUAGUUGUAUGCGCAUGGCCGAUCGGUAAGCAUGGUGCAGCAUUGCUGCUGCCAUUGCAGACAAGCAUGGUCACAGCUGCUUCCUAACAUCAGCGAGAGGACAGCGGGGGCCUAUGGAUAGAGGGAGUCUAUGUGGCCUCAACAUGCAACAAGCGGUGCGUCAUGGCAAGCACAGAGGACACCUCUCAAAAAACACGCAACAAGCAGUUUUUUCUCUGGCUUUUGCAGCCAAAAUCAUCAUUUGUCCAUUGAGAAAUCAUUUUUGUAUUGUCUCUUCUGUUAAUCUCUUGCUGCAAUGGCAUCCUCAUUGAUGGCAAGAAGCCACUUGUGUCAGUAGUGCCCUUAGUUCAUUGUUACAUGCAUCCAUUGUUUUUCCUAGUACAAAGUAACUUUGUCGGGUGUCUGUUGCAUCCUUGGCCACUUUGCAGCACUAUUCCCUAUUCAGUUUUAGAAAUUGAUGAGUUAACUCGUUGUCUAGCGAUGUUUGUGUGCAGUGGGAACGAAUUAAAUAUAGCAUCAUGUGCAUCUAGGCAAUAAAUGACCAUGUUUAUCGUGUUUCUAUCCAACAGAUGCUUGCGUUGCAUUGCUUAACGUGGUCAGUAGCAUUCCCAUUUAGCGGAACUGGACAUGCAGUGGACAGAGGAGUGCCCCGAGACGCACGUCACCGACUGGGUUGGGGUGGGGAGCAAAAGGGAUUGGAGUGGUUGGAGGGUGAUAGGACAGGGAGCUCAGAGAAGUGGAGGUGGCGGUGCUCUAAAGGGAGAAGAGGACUACGGAGAGGAGGGGAGAGAGAACUAUUCAGAGAUGAGAGAGGACCGGCAUGGUGUGAAAAUGGAGGGUGGUGAUGUGGGAGCCCGAAACCCUAUGUUUGUUAUAGACAAGUGAUUCUAGUAAUGUGAUUUUUGGGCAUUGGACCUAUUUUCUAAAACGAACGUGUUAAGAGGUCUAUAUCUAGAAUGGACAACUUUUUCAAGGACGGGCCUUUGUCAAUUAAAUUUUGGAAGGGGUGCUUUUUUGGAGGGCCAUUGAAAAUGAAUAGACCGUCUCUUCAGUCCAGAUCGAGUCCAUUUCUGGAGAUGCCAUCAAAUUUUGCCCACCUCCAUAAUUAAAACUGCUAGUCUCCAAAAAUCUUUUUAUUAGUCGACAACAACAGUUAUGUGAGCAAGCAUAGGUGAGCAGAAUGGCACACGGAACGGCUAGCAUGGCCAUAGGCGAUUCGGAGCCAAGCAAUUGCCAAGGGUGACUUUGAGUGGCAGCUCUACAUGCAUGUCAUCUGAGGCAGAGCUUCGACAAGGUGCAGCAUUCUGCUGUCACAAGCUAAUAAUAUAGCAGUAGCUCGGUAAUACCAGCGAGAGGAUGGCAGGCCUACGGAUGGAAACGAGACUAUAUGGCCCCAACACGAAACAAGCAGGGUUUUAUUUGCUUUGGGCCGUGUUUAGUUCCUGAAGAGAAAAAUUUUACGACAAUGUAGCACUUUCGUUUGUUUGUGGUAAUUAUUGUUCAACCAUGGACUAACUAGGCUCAAAAGAUUCGUCUUAUAAAUUUCGACCAAAUUGUGUAAUUAGUUUUUAUUUUUGUCUAUAUUUAAUACUCUAUGCAUGCGUCUAAAGAUUCGAUAUGACAGGGAAUCUUGAAAAAAUUUUAGGUUUUAAGGUGAAAGUAAAAACAAGGCCAAUGGCAUCCUCAAUAAUGCCAAGAAACCACUUGUUCUAGGAAUGCCCUUAGUUCCUUGGUAGAGCAUCUCUAGGAGUUUAGUAUAAUUUACUUGAUAAACUAAUAAAUAUAGCAAGUUAAUAAAAGAAACAGCUACUUUAAAUUUUAUUCUCCUCCAACACUAACCAAUAAUAUGUUUCUAAAAUUUAAAAAUUUAUAGUAGGUUUUACAUCUAUUUGUUUUUUGUUUAGUAGAGCCGAUCAUGUCUAGGAGUGCCCUCAGUCCAUUGUUUUUGCUGGUACAAAGUAACUUUUGGUGUUGCGUGUUGCAUGCCAGCCAAGAAGCACCAUUCACUGUUCAGUUUUACAAAUGGAUGAGUACGCUCGUUGUUAGCUAUUGCGCCCAUAUAUACCCGUGAUGUUUGUGUGCAGUAGGAACGAAUUAAUACAGAAUUAACUGCAUCUAGGCAACAAAAAAUAACCAUCUUUAUUAUUUUGCCAUCAAACUGAUCUUGCGGUUAUAUACAUUGCUUAAUGUGGGCAGCAGCAUUCCCAUUUAGCCUCCUGUCCCUGGAUGUAGUAGCUGUCUUUGGUUUUGAAGCCGUUUUCCUUGCACAUCUGCUCACAGCCAGUCGGAGAUAGUUUGUUAUUGUUAGGGUAGCACGUCACUGACUUUGGCUCUGCAUGCAACAAACUCUGUGGUGGUUGUCGAGGUGGAUGCGGCGGCCCUGGCAUUGGCGGCAUUGGAGGGAGUGGAGGCAUUGGCGGCAUUGGAGGCAUUGGUGGCAUAGGAGGCAUUGGCGGCAUAGGAGGCAUUGGUGGCAUUGGAGGCAUUGGUGGCGUUGGCAUUGGCGGCGGCAUAGGCGGCCAAGGGGGAUGAUGACCGCGUACGACCUGGGGCUGCUCUACCUGCAACAAACUGUGUGGAGGUGGUCUGUGUGGGGUUGGUUGAGGUGGAUGAUGCGCCCAUGGCUUAAAAUGACCGCUUACCACCUGGGGCUGCUCAUGGCCUACACAUGCAUGAACACAGUUCAAAAUAAUCAAAACCCAUUGAUUUGUGCCGCCUCCACUUUCCUCUGACUUUGUUUUAUGUCAAUCUCUGUCAACAUCUAGAACAUCAAAUAGUUUUAAUAAUUUUUCAAUGAAUAUGUUUUAAUACUGUAUUUAUUGAACUUGAACAUGCUAAUAUUUUUUUAAAAGAACUUUAUCAAUGUUAGAGUAGUUUGACCUAGCACAAAACUAAACUAUUAUUAGAAAAAAACAAGGAGUAAUAUGUAACAAUUCGAUGUAUAAGUAUUAAUCUCUCUCUCUAUAUAUAUGUAUAUAUAUAUAUACCUUCACAUGAUGGAGAGGUUGAACACAUGAUCACAAGUAUCAGGGAAAAUAAACAUGUCAGGUAUACAUUUCUCACUGUAUUGCAUUUGAUGACCGCCAUACUAUGAGAGGACAGUACUACUAUUUCCCUUUUCUUCUCACUCUAUUUUCCUGACUCACUUUCUUUAGUGAUGAUGAGAGGUGCACUCCUUAAGCGUAUAUGUUUUUCUUCUUUUGUUGUGCAGUUGUUUAUAUAGAAGUAUGGAUCUAUUUGAAAAUUUGUUUUAUUCAUUUAUAAAUUAUUUUUAUAAUACCAAUAUCUACAUCUACCUACCUAGCUAUCUACGCGUCUGUUUAUAUAUUUAUUCUAUCAAUCUCUAUCUAUCUAUCUACACAUGUCUACUUUUUUAUUUGUAUCUAUUUGUCUAUCCCUACCUACCUACGCACCUUCCUACCUAGCUAUCUCUAUCUAUCUUUUUGUCUCUAUCUGUGUCUACCAUCACAAUUAUCAAUUUCAUUUUAUUUGUAUGUUUAUCUAUCUAUCUAGAGACAAGGAACAAUCUAUCUAUAGCCGAUGCACUCUUAGCACUUGUGCUUGAGCCACAUCAUUAAAAAUUCUAUGCAACAAACCAUCAUGUAAACAUAGACCACUACAAGAUUUAUGAUACACAACACUCAGAGUCUAUCACAGUAUCCCUAAAUUCUAUCAUAAAAGGCCAUCUUUGGUGGAAUUGCAAAGUAGCAUGUAUCAAGCGUUAUAUGUCAACUUCAAGCUAUCCAUGACAAAUUAUGACCAUCAUGGAAUCCCUAGAUGUCCACUUAGCCCAAGCUAGGCCCUAUGGUCUAUGACAUGUAGGAUGCCAUGUUGGAUGUUUGUCAAUGACAUAUUUGAGUUGCCAUUUAAGCGCCAUGUGUUCCUCAGCACGGAUGUUGUCGUGUUGUCAACGUGAAUGCAGUCCAAAUAUACUUCAUUCCAAUUAUGUCUUCCUAGAACUUUCGGCCAUUUUUUAGGCAAAACUGAACCUACAGCACAUGCAGCCUGGUAAUGUGGAUUGCUCAAUUUAGCCUGUUAUUAGAUUUGAGCUCAACUCAAAAUUACUGAUAGAUUCAAAAAAAUAUUUCCAUUGUACCUUUUCAUCCAAGUUCUAUCAUAUCAUCAUUUCAUCAACACAAGUUCUGAUCAUCAGCACAUAAUAUUUAGGGGAUACACACUCAACACCGCUGAUUGUGACUAGAUCUUUAGGAAACACAAACAUGAGUUAGAAAGAAGCUCACACCUCAUACAACAUAAUUAAAACUUGUCCAAAAGCACAUCACAGUACCCAGCAGCUACCAUGGCACUUUGGCCACUCUAGCAUCAAUGUUUGCCACACAACAAAAGAAGCUCAAUAACUCAGUAGCAGCACCACCAGAAAUGGCACUUUGCCCAAACAUCAAAGUUUACCACACAACCAAAGGGGCUCAAUAGCUCAGUGCAACAGCAGAAAUGAUGCAACAAAAAGGCAACAAUGCUGCCAUGAGACCCAGCGCAUCUUACCUAGUAUGCUAAGUGUCGCAGGGUCAAAACUGCGGUAAGCAUUGUUUGUUGGAUGUCACUGAGUUUGGGUCUGUGGUGUCUCGGUUGGACUCAAGAACACAAAAAAUACAUAAAGGACACAAACUUUAAUCCUAGUUCAGGCUCUCGGGGCCCUACAACCAGUAGUUUGAUGAUCCUUAUCCAAGAGCACCCAAAUCUAGGGGUUACAACAGAAGUAGUUUGAUGACCGUUGUAUCCAAGAGCACCCAAAUCUAGGGGUUACAACAGAGUGUAAGAGAGAUUUGGCAAGGGAUCGCUCGAUGAUUAUCCUGGGCUCAUCGGGGGUGAGGUUCCUUCCUUGCCAUAGAGGAACUAGAAAAUGGAACCAGAGGAUCUCUUGGUACUCCCCUCAGGGUGGCCUUGCUCUUGAUGCAAAGCUCGAGAUUGUCUUAAGGACUCUGGUUUGCUUUUGUUCGGCUUGGAUCAUCCUCUAUCUCUCUCUCUGUAGGAUCUGACCUUCUCUUAUAUAUUGAGGUAGGUCAGGUACAUGGCGGUUUUGAGGAGCUUAGUCUAUGGUCUACAUGCGUCGGAGUCCAUGAGCGCUCAUCUAUGGUCUAGAUAGACCUCGACGUUGUUGUGGACUUAGAGAUGCCCCGGGCCUCAUCCAACUGCUAUGCUUUGACACUCUAACCAUUAGGUUUAGUUGAGUUGAACUAGCCUCCACUAGUUGCACCUUCUAGAGGCUUCCUUGGUGGCGAAGGCGCCUGGCCAUAGGGUUUCACGAGCAGGCCCAUAAGCCUAUAAGCCCCUAGAGCCAACGGAGGGAGUUUUCCCUUUGUGUUAGGUGAUAGGUUGGUGCCCGUUGUGUGGUCUCAAGGAGCCCCUAAUCCCUGAGUGCUUGAGAUGCAUGGUUCUACCCCAACACUUGACUCAGAUUAGUUGGGAUUGAGGAUCAAUAUCAGACUACCAUAGAUCAAGAGCUCGAUGCUUGAGUGGGCACCUAAGUCUAGAGAAGAGGCCUAGGGCAUGCUCAGGUUUUGCUCAAUCCUUUGGUAGAUGGCGUGCAUGUGUGGACCCGAUGGAUGUAGCCCCCAAGCGAUCAUAUAGGGUUUGGUCAAGGGGUCCUUUGAUUAGAAACCUCUUACCCUAAUACUUCACAUACCCCUAUGUUUGAGUCUUGUUAGGAGCCCUAGAGCCCAUCAUGACCUUGCUGGUGUAGUCCACGAUGGUGACAAGGGGUCCUUCAGAGAUUUGACUAGCCAUGAUGAGGUUGGCUUCCACUAGCAAGAGUUGGGUCCCCCUUGAGGGGUUUCCAUGCAUGAUCACAGUUGGUAUAAAUUAAAUGCAAAUAAGAAAAUAUAGAUAUCUACAAACACAUAGAUAUUAUACUAUGUAGCACUUCAUCGAGAAUAACCCAGUUUUAAUAUUGAACCUAGAUGAACAAUAGGUGAGAAUACUAAGUUUCUAACAUAACCCAGGUCACAGAAUAGGGGAGGUAUACAAGAGACUACUAAGCCCUGUCUAGUUCCAAUCUCGAUAAACCUUGCCUUCUAUUGUUAUAUUGUAGGAGAUAUCUUAUAAGGAACAAAAUCAAAGUUUCUUCCCAACACGCGAUCAAGUACUUGCCAAUCCUAUCAAUGGGAGUUGUCAAUCCUAUCAAUGGUAGGUGGACUACAAAGGAUUUAAUGAAGCUAUAAGAGUCACCUUCACGAGCUACCACUGAUAUGAAAAAUAGGGGACAUUCACAAGUAACCCUAGUCUAAGCACCAUGCUUACACUAAGAAUACUACUUCAAUCAAAGAGCUAUCAACACCAAAGCACUCAAAGAGAGUUGUAAACUUGAAGAACAAUAUGAACAAACUACUUACUUGAAUCAAAAGUACUUGAACUCGUAGAGUACAAGCCAUAGAGGUAGCAUCGAUAGGCCAAAACUCCUCCAAAACUCUUCUCUCUCACUCUAUCUCUCUAUCUCUACUACAAGACUAGAUCCUAUAGAGGACUAAUCUUCUCUCGAUUGCUGGCCUAGAUCCUAGUGGAAAUAUGAAUUAGGGUUUCUGGGUCUUUAGCUCUAAAGAUUUAACUUGGCUCCCGAGGAGGUGCAGGCAUGUAUAUAUAGCCCUAGGGGUUGAAUGUGAAUCCUCAGAUCAAACCUACUUUAAGGGAUGGUAUAGAUGCAAUCCUAGGAGGCGGUGGACGAACAUUCUACAAGAUGACCAACAUCAGGGCCCAUAGGAGGUCGAGCUACCUAGGGUGGGGCCAGUCAGCCCCACCUAGCAGGGACUAAGGGUCCCCCUCUGUGGGGUACGUCCUGGAAUCUUCUAGAGUCUUCUUACGCAUGUGCCAUGAAAUUAUCCUAUGAUAUCUUUUGAUAGUUAAGUCCUUCUUGCCGGUUUUCUGAUUAAAUCCUGUUGAAAACAAAAAUGCACCAAACCGCAUGAAAAUUGUCAGUUUAAACCUCCUAUUGUAUGAUAUUGAUCCAUUUGAAUUAUUUAUGCAAGGAAGAUUGAUGAUUCUUGAUGUAUGUUAACUACCAUCAACAAUCAUUGCGCUCAACUAUUAGGACCAAGCACUGGUGGUGUGCCAUGCUACAUAAGUCUAGGGCCUAAGUGAGGUCCCAUGCGGGCUUUUCUGGUAGCCACUAGACUUUGGCCUUAGGGUGCCCUCCUUUCUGACUUUGGCCUAUCAUGGAUUUAGCUUAGGGACAUCUGAUCGCUUGGUGUGCCACACCCUUUUGGGGCUUGGUAAUAGGCCUCAGUGGCUUGGGCCAACUUUAGCAACGUUGGUCGGGGUGGGGAGCAUGCACUCAGCAUUGAUGGGUCCUUCAUUGGGCAUGCUGUUUAGUGGCCCCUGCCCCAACUCUAGGAAAAUGUUUGGGGUGUGCCAACAGGCCCAUCGGUUGAGAGCCCAAGAUUUCUAUCUGAAGUGUUGGCAUAGCCCCCCUCCACCACAAGUUUGGGGUUUUUUGUGGUCUAAAGGAGGACGAUGGGAAGAUGAAAUGACAAUGAUGGUGGUUCUAAGACGACAAUGUCUACCAUUGUAUCCUUUUGUCUAGCAAUAACAAAGUGGCCCUUGAUAGACUAUAUGUUGAACCACAUAAUCGAUUUAGUAUCCUUAAUGGGACCAAGUGAUUGGAUUGCUUAAUCUAGCCCAAUCAUCACAUGUAGUGACAAGUAUCCUAAAACUAUGAUACACAUGUGUCUAGAAAAAGGCCAUGGUACCUGAGAAAGCUUCUAAUUGAUCCUGUCAACAUGCCAAGAACCUGAAAAGCGAUCGAUCAAUUUAGACUAAUAUGUUGUUUGAUAAUUGACUUUAGGUUGAUGGUGAGCCCUAGCUGGGACUCUUGAGCUAGAUACUCGAUGUUGAGUAUCCAAGCGCCAAUCGUUCAUUAGGUCCAUAAAUUGACCAGUAGUAGGCAUCGCUACAUGUUUCACAAAAUUCCUAUUGCUCAACUGAUGGUGCCUCUAAGGAUACCAUCCGACCCAUAUUGAUAUGAGGUAUAGCCUAAAUCGAUAAAGAUCUUAAGGCCCAUUUGUAAGAUAAUUGUAUUGAUGAGCCCUAACCCUACUCUAGAAGGUACUCGAUGCACCUGACAAAAAGGUAUCCUCGAUGUGUGUUACUUGGACAAAGUUAUACUCGAUGGAUGGCAGUUUGACUAUGCCACUCUGUGACUGAUCUGCAACCCAGGUGAUGGUAUUGACUAACUGUGCUUUUACUUGAGCUACUAUAGAGGAAAGUACUUGAUCUACUCAAAGAAAAUACUUGACUAAUUGAAGGAAACAUUAGAGCCAUUCAGAUAAAGGUCCACCAAGUAGAAGUUCAAUUAUUUGAGAUAAAUUAUUAUGCUCGAUGUACAAUAACAAAGACUUUGGAUGGGUCACAAGGUGUACAAGAACAAAGACCUUCCAUGUAUAGGGAUGCCUAACAAUCGGUUUCAUUCCAAACAUGUGUUCCACCUACACCUAUGGCGGUCAAGGCUUGAGGGGCUGGUCAAUCCUGGGAAUAUGGGGUAGAAUUUUCCUAUAUGCAAGCACACCUAGAUCACCACUAGGUCAUUGACAAGGGGCGCUUCCGGUUCUGUGCGUGCUUCAAACAAUUUUGUCUUCUCCAUAUUACCAUAUCUCUAGAGUCAAUAAUUUUCUAUGAGGAACUACUGAACUCAAUCACUUGCUGCCGUUACUCAACAGUUUUCUGUUGAGGUCUAUCCCGUAGAGGUAGUCAAAUUGGACCAUGACCGGCAAGAAAGAACAAUGGGUCAUGCACGACAUGCAUGGUUGUCACACCCCAAUUUUUUUUGAUUUUGGGUUGUGCAUAGAAAACACUAAUUAAAAUAAAUUUUUUUGAUAUUUGGAUAAAACUUCUAAUGUGAGUUUAAAAUAGCAUCAAUUAGUUAUAGGAAAUAUAUCAUUCUUUAAAAUUUUCUAAAUUAAUUUGAUGGGCUUUUGUUGAUGUGCUGUGAUGCUUGCUUGCUGCUUGGCUUUGUGUUUGGCUAAAAUUUAGACUGCGUUAGUAAGUCGUUGUUUUUUUAUCCGACAUGUCUCUGUCCUUUUCUAGAAUCAAGUUUCCUCUUUCUUGAUCUUAACCUUUUUAUUUAGAGUUUUUCAUAUCCCUUUAUUCUUCUCUAAAUCAAUCUUUUGGGUAUAUCUUCCAUCAAUCAAUCUAUUAAAAUUUCUUGGGAGUUUUCCAGCUUUUUCUGAAAUUCUUUUCCACUUUUCUAUGAGCAUAAUCUAAUUUUUAGAUUCUCCAAAUUAUCUUAUCAUGAGCUCCAAAUACUUUAUUUAGACUCCUCAUAUUCUAAAGUGUCUCUAAAAAUUUUUCCCAAACUUUUGGAGCCUUCGAAGUAUUUUUCAGACCCUAAAUAUCAAUUCUGGACUUGCUGGGCACACAUAUAGUUAGCCUGGUUUUGUUCUUUAAAACCGGGUGUGACAAUGGUGGAUGCUCGAUAUAUCUAUUCAACACAUGAACUUUAAGGAGGAAGAGUAUUUUUCAGACCCUAAAUAUCAAUUCUGGACUUCCUGGGCACACAUAUAGUUAGCCCUGGUUUUGUUCUUUAAAACCAGAUGUGACAAUGGUGGAUGCUCGAUAUAUCUAUUCAACACAUGAACUUUAAGGAGGAAGAUGGAUUUGUGUGUUCAGCGAAGAACUCCAGCUCGUUUGAUUUUAUAGGUGAACCAUGAAGAUCAACUAGGUGCACGACAUGUUGAUCCACACAUCCUGCCAUCUUAGCAGAACUAAUGGUGAUGAACCCAUGGCUCCUCAAGUCAAUUUUUCAGCUUCAACUGAUUUAUCACCACGAUGAUUUACCUCGUAAGAAUAUGAAACAUCUUUUUUUUUAUAAAAGUUUGGCGCAUUUUCAUCUGAUGUGCGGCAGAACCUGAAGAAGGAAUCGGAUUUACUUUGCACCACUAUUAUAUCUACUAAACUACUUUUUUAUGGAAUCAAUCUACUCAAGAAGCAUGAAAGGAAACUAAAUAUAAUUCAGUUUGGUUCCAUGCCUGCCAUGGAGAUAAUGUGAAGAUGCAUCACGUGCUUUUACAUAGGGGCCACAUUAUUUAAUUAUUUUCUAUUACAAGAGUAACAGUCAUGUCAGGUUAGCUAGUUAAUAAUUAUUGAUUUUGGUUGAGGCCUUGUUUAGUUCCAAAAAAUUUUGCAAAAUUUUUCAGAUUCCUCGUCACAUCAAAAUCUUGCAGCACAUACAUGAAGCAUUAAAAAUAUAGGUAAAAAGUUAACUAAUUACACAGUUUGUAUGUAAUUUGCGAGACAAAUCUUUUGAGCCUACUUAGCUUAUGAUUGGACAAUAUUUGUCAAAUACAAACGAAAGUGCUACUGUUCACAUUUUACAAAUUUUUUUGCAAGAUGUUGGUCUAGUUUAGGUGGGUCCAGUCAUCCAGUGCCUGCAUGCGUGUAAAGGGCCUAACUGAUCGUGUAGGAGAUUAGAUUAGAUUUUAUUUGGAGAGUGUUUCGUCUAGGGUUCUCCCUAAGAACAGGAGUGGGUGUCUCCUCACAUCUACCCGACCAAUUCGUCCUGAUUGAGAAUUGAGUGCGAUCAAGUUUCGUCUUGGGCACGGAUUUCAGUGCAAUCCCCAUCUUCUAAUCGUGGCUCAUCGUGACUGCUGGUGGAAGAACAUUGCUAGAGUUUGGAUUAUAAUUAUUUGUAAGCCAAGCUCUUAUUUGUCUUAGUUCAACACAUGUUGAAUUAUCUACUGCUCUUUGGUCUUGACUACGGUUAACACUGGGACAAUUCUCGGGCAUCGUAGGCAUGUCCAAACCAGAUGGACCCAUUCAUCACCCCCGCCCACGAGCCGAAUGCCUUCAUCAAUAAGGAAGCCUUAAGAAGGCUCACCUAGUGGAGGCUGGUCCAUAGAGACAGCCCCUGGCGAUCAGAUGCGAAGACUCCAUGACAAGAUGAGGUCCAUCCACGCCGUAGCAUUACAUCCCUAGACCCUGGUGCACCAAGGCUAUGGAUUGUAGCUUACAAGCCACCUUGUACCUGUCCUUCGUCGGAAUAAAAGAGCAAAAUAUGCUCCCAUCGAUGUAGGAUUCGUUUGCAAACAGGCUCAGCGAGUGAGAGCUCGGCUGAGAGCUCAGCAACCGAGAGUGUUCCACCACCGGCAACCCAGUGAGAGUAAGGAGCAUUUCUCUUACUUGCCACGAAACUCGACCUCACCGUCCAUGAGCCAUAGGAUAACACCAAGCGAUCUCCUGCCAAACUCUAUAUGUCUCUUUAGUUGUAACCCCCCGAUUUGGAUGCUCUAGAAUACAGAGAACAACCCACACCUCGUCGUAGGGGCUCGAUAGCCCAAAGCAACAUACGUCAUUGUAUUCUUGUUCGUGUUUCCGAGUACCCAAGCUAUUGGAUGCCCACACUCAGUGACACCCACAAACGACGACCAGUACGAGAAAUGUGUGGUUUUUUCACGUAUUUAGUAUGACAAUAGGUCAUAAUAUGCCAUUCUAUUUUAGGCACUUCAACUUCGUGACAAUAAAUGUUGUAUGUCAUAAAAAUCAUCUUGCAACUAGUCCAACUCCAUGCAGCUAUGAUAUUUUGUACGUCACAGUGGCAUUUUUAUGUCGCAAAGGCUAAUUUACAAAUGCAUCAACCUAUAAUAGUGUAACAUUUCUGUACUUCUGUGUAAUACACUACUACAGAAUGAGGCAUUGGUCGAUGCCCAAAAUGGCCAAAAACCUCGGCCUUUUUGCGGCCCGGGGUUAAAGACCCCUUUAACACCGGUUCGUAACACGAACCGGUGCUAAAGGGUCCUGCCCAACGGCUACUGACAAGUGCUGUCGGGGCAGAGACCCUUUAGCACCGGUUCGUGUUACCAACCGGUGCUAAAGGGUCCCCUUUAGCACCGGCCAGCGCCACGGGCCGAGGCAAAGCCUUUAGCACCGGUUUUGUCCCUGAACCGGUUCUAAAGAUCCGAUUUAUAGGCUUAUAGGCCGGAUCACUCCUCCUCUCUGCCCAUUUGAAACCGAGAGCACCAUUCACCAUUGUUGUUCUUGGAGCUUCUUCUUCCUCAUUUGUUCUUCAUCUCCGACGCCCAUUGUUGAUCUUCUUCGUCUCUGUCAUCGUUUCUUCGUGUUUGGAGGUGACUAACUUUUGUCUUUCUUGUCUUUUUCAUGUUGUUUUUGGCUUGUGAUGUUCCCAUUAUUUUUAGCUCAAAUCCACGUUGUUAUUUUGAAUCAUUCACAUGAAUUAGUAUCCAUAUAUAUAUAUAUCAUAUUUCAUGGUUGACCUAGUAUUAAUGUAGUUUGCAAGAAUGAAUUAUAGUAUCUUUUUAUGAUCUUAGAAAGUAGGAUAGUUCAAAUUAAUUGGUUUGUUAAUAUCACUUGAUUUAUUUUUAUUACUACAUAAUGUCCAUUGUAUAAUUUAGAAGAUUUGUUGAAGUAACUAGACAAAUAAAGGAUAUUAUUAGGUUCUUCUUUAAUCAUACAUGUUUACUAGUAAAUGUGGAAUUUAUAAUUGUUUAAAAAUUGAGUAUGGAUAGUAGAUGGCAACCGUGACCGGGUCUUCGGUCUCUCAACGGGUUCAAAAGCGAUACCGUCCGGAACUCCCUCUCAUUACUUGUGGCAAGUGUGGGCAGAAGAUUUUGAUGGAGUACAAAGUGUCGAAAGAGAGAGUAAACAAGGGUCGUAUAUUCUACAAGUGUCCGGAUCGUAAUGUGAGUUAUUUCCAGACAUUUGCUUAUAUAUGUGCAUAUUUUUUUUAAAUGAUAUUAAUUAAAUUUUUUAUUCUCUCUUUUAAUUUCAGUGGGACGGUACCGGCGGAUGUACAGGUUGGUACUGGAAGGAAGAAUACAUUGAACACAUUAAGAAAUCUUUUGCACAGAUGGUUGAGGCUGAAGGUGGUGAGGCAGUGAGCCGACGAAAGGAGUUCAAUGAUGUUGAUCAAGCGAAUGAUCUAUCUAUUAUAGUUGGGAUCGGACGCGAACUAAUUAUGUUGCUUAAGUGCAUUUUAGUUUUGGUUUUUUUAGUUCUAGUUGCGAUUGUAUUUGUUGUAGCCAAGCUUUCCUAAAUUAAUCAACUAUGUAUCUUAGACAUGUUGUGCAAUAAGAUGAGAAACUAUAUGUGUGCAUGGUUUUCAUAAUAUAUAUGUUAUAUUUAAUGCAGAUAGUAACACGUAAUUGGAUGUAUAAUGCCGAUCGGCGCUCCGAAGAGUUCAUUAAUGGUGUGCACUAUUUCUUAAGUGUGGCCGAGACAAAUAAGAGGGACGGUUUCAUGUGCUGUCCAUGUGCCGUGUGCAAGAAUUUGACGGAAUAUUCUAACUUAAGAACUCUUCAUUCACACUUAUUAAAGUCUGGUUUCGUACCAAACUAUAUUUGUUGGACCAAACAUGGAGAAAGCAGGAUUAUAAUGGAUGAAGGUGAAGAAGAAGAAGAAGAAGAAGAAUUGGACCAUGCCAAUAUUAUUGCUCAGUACGGUGGCUUCAAUGAUGUUGCAAUGGGGGGAGAUAAUGAAGAAGAGGUAGCGGCAGAAGAUGAUCGGGGCGAUGAUGCUUUUGGUGAUGCCAUCCGUGAUGCACAAAGAGAAUGUGAAAGUGAUAAAGAGAAAGCCAAGUUCGAGCGCAUGCUAGAGGACCACAGGAAAUCGCUAUAUCCCACCGCUGAAGAGGGGCAAAAAAAGCUGGGUACGACACUAGAAUUGCUGCAAUGGAAGGCAAAGAAUGGUACAUCUGACAAGGCAUUUGGGCAGUUAUUGAAGAUUAUAAAAAAGAUGCUUCCGAAAGGCAACGAAUUGCCCACCACUACGUAUGAAGCAAAACAGGUUGUCUGCCCUUUGGGAUUAGAAAUCCAGAAGAUACACGCAUGUCCUAAUGACUGCAUCCUCUACCGUGGGGAGGAAUACGAGAAUUUGGAUGCAUAUCCAGUAUGUAAGGCAUCACGGUAUAAGAUUAGACGAGAUGAUCCUAGCGAUGUUGAGGGUGAAGAAUGUCAUAGAAAGAAAAUUCCUGCCAAGGUUAUGUGGUAUGCUCCUAUAAUACCACGAUUAAAACGUCUGUUCAGAAAUAAGGACAAUGCAAAGUUGUUGCGGUGGCAUAAAGAAGACCGUAAGAUAGACAAUAUGCUGAGACACCCUGCCGAUGGAUCCCAGUGGAGAGCGAUAGACAGAGAAUUCCCAGAUUUUGCAGAUGAUGCUAGAAACUUGCGGUUCGCCUUAAGUACAGAUGGUAUGAAUCCUUUCGGUGAGCAGAGCAGUAGUCACAGCACUUGGCCAGUUACUCUAUGUAUCUACAACCUUCCUCCAUGGCUAUGCAUGAAGCGGAAGUUUAUUAUGAUGCCGGUGCUUAUCCAAGGACCGAAGCAACCUGGCAAUGACAUAGAUGUCUACCUAAGGCCAUUAGUUGAGGAACUUCAACUUUUAUGGAGCAAACCAGGAGUUCGCGUGUGGGAUGAGUACAAACAAGAGCACUUUGACCUGCGAGCAUUGCUGUUUGUAACAAUCAAUGAUUGGCCAGCUCUGAGUAAUCUUUUAGGCCAGUCAAACAAGGGAUAUAAUGCAUGCACACAUUGUUAUGAAGACCUUGACUGUGUAUUUUUGAAAAAAUGUCGAAAGGUCGUGUACCUUGGCCACCGUCGGUUUCUUCCUGUGAACCACCCCGUACGAAAGAAAGGCAAGAAUUUUAAAGGCAAGGCAGACCACCGGACCAAACCUCUCAAUCGAACCGAGGAUGAUGUACUCGAAAUGGUCAAGGAUAUAAAAGUGGUAUUUGGAAAGGGACGAGGCAGCGAACCUAUUCCCAAGGAUGCUAAGGGAUACGUACCCAUGUGGAUGAAGAAAUCAAUAUUUUGGGAGCUACCUUACUGGAAUGUCCUAGAGGUCCGCAACGCGAUCGACGUGAUGCACCUGACAAAGAAUCUUUGUGUGAACUUGCUCGGAUUCAUGGGUGUCUACGGGAAGUCUAAGGAUUCACUUGAAGCACGACAAGACUUGCAGCGCAUGAAAGAACGAGACAACCUGCAUCCAGAAAAGACAGAUGAUGGACGUCAUUACUUAAGCCCUGCUAGCUACACUCUGAGCAAAGAAGAGAAGGAAAGCAUGUUUGAAUGUCUUAGCAGCAUGAAGGUCCCAUCUGGAUUCUCCUCCAAUAUCAAGGGAAUAAUUAAUGUGCGAGAGAAGAAAUUCCUGAACUUGAAGUCCCAUGACUGUCACGUUCUAAUGACGCAAUUGCUGCCGGUCGUUUUAAGAGGAAUUUUACCUCCACACGUACGUCUAGCCACCGUAAAUCUAUGUGCAUUCCUCAAUGCAAUUUCUCAGAAGGCAAUCAAUCCAAAGCAACUAGCUACUCUGCAGAAUGAUGUCGUUCAAUGUCUCAUCAGCUUUGAGUUGGUGUUCCCUCCAUCCUUCUUCGAUAUCAUGACACACCUCCUAGUUCAUCUCGUCAAAGAGAUUCGUAUUUUCGGUCCUGUGUUCCUACACAACAUGUUCCCCUUCGAGAGAUUCAUGGGUGUCCAAAAGAAAUAUGUCCAUAGUCGUUCCCGGCCAGAAGGAAGCAUUGCCAAGGGCUACGGAACAGAGGAGGUCAUAGAGUUCUGUGUUGACUUUAUUCCAGACCUUGACCCAAUUGGCAUUCCUGAAUCUCGACACGAGGGCAGACUCAGCGAAAAGGGAACACUUGGGAAGAAAACAUACAUUGGUACGAGAGACGAUUACUUCAAUAAAGCACACUACACAGUUCUCCAGAACUCCUCAUUAGUGGAACUAUAUGUUGAGGUACACAAAGAUUUCCUACGGUCCCAGUGGCCCGGGAAGAAUGAAGCUUGGAUAAUGCGUCAGCACAUGGAAACUUUUGGCGAUUGGUUGCGCAAAAAAUGUCAAGGUGAUGAAAACAUUGAUGAGCAGCUUUAUUUGUUGGCCAGGCAACCAUCAUGGCAUGUCCUCACGUACAAAGGGUACGAGAUAAAUUGUAACACAUUUUACACAGUUGGCCAAGAUAAAAGGAGCACCAACCAAAAUAGUGGUGUACGCGUGGAUGCCACAGAUCCAAAUGGGAACAGACAAACAUAUUAUGGACGCAGAGAAGACAUAUGGGAACUAGUCUAUGCAGCUAAUUUUAAAGUUCCUUUGUUUCGGUGUCAAUGGGUGAAGAUGACCGGAGGUGGGGUAACAGUCGACAAGGAGUAUGGGAUGACAACCGUGGACCUUAACAAUAGUGGGUUCAAAGACGAACCAUUCGUCCUUGCUGUAGACGUGAGUCAGGUGUUCUAUGUCAAAGAUAUGUCUACGAAAUCAAAGAGAGGAAAAAAUAAUGACCACUCAAUCAUCAAUGAGCCAAAGCGCCACAUUGUCCUUUCUGGGAAAAGAAACAUUGUCGGAAUUGAGGACAAGUCAGACUUGUCAGGCGAUUACGAAAGGGAUGAUCGAAUUCCGCCCUUCAUAGUCAACAAAGACCCAAGCAUUCUGUUAAACAAUGAGGAUACUCCAUGGUUACGGCAGGACCAUAUUUUUUUUUAUUAUACUUCUAACUUCUUUAAUUACAUGUAUAUAAUCCUUACACACUUAGGAUUUGUAUGUAUAUAUGCAGGCACCAAAUGAGAGAGCUCAGAAUGAGAAAUGACAAUAGUAUUGGGUUCGUUGACCCUUAUAUUAUUUUCAAGGCUCCGCGGGCAGUGUGGACAGCAGCUCAUGAGACAGAAAUCUGCACCAAUCUUAUGAGGUUCUUUGUGAACCAAAAAGAAAAACAAAAAAUACUCUUCCCCUUCAACUUUGAGUGAGUUAUAUAGUUAUUAAGUGCAUGCAUAUUUUAUUUUACAUUAUAGGACUUACUAUAUAUAUAUGUGUAAACAGUUUUCACUGGAUACUCAUAGUCAUUGAAAUUCCCAAGAACCGGUUGAUAAUCUUUCACUCCAUGAGAAAACCACAAGAAAAUUAUCAACAAAUGGUAAACAUUAUUCAAAGGUACGUAAUGUCGAUCUCCGCUAGAAGAAUAUCAUAAUAUGACUCUGUAAUUAUUAGUUCACGAUCCACAAUGGCUGUGUGUAGGGUUUGGGAAAGAUUCAUUGACCGUGAACAUCUCAGUGGAUGUAAAGCGCCGCUUAACAUAAUACAUCCACAAGUAAGUUCUACUAGCUAGCAAACUUUCGCUAACUUUUAGCCUUCUUAUUGUCGUGGUCGUGAAUAUUUUUUAUAUAUAUAUCGUAUAGUGGUGUUUAAGACAAGAAGGGGGGAACAAUCUAUGUGCAUAUUACGUGUGCAAAUUCAUGAUGGCACAAGUCAAUCAAACACCCACAGAGACGCUCAGAGUACGUUACAUGUCUCUUUUCAUUAUCUCUGAAUUAUAUUGAAUAACUUAGAUAACUAAUACCUUUUUUAUGUUGAGGGAAAAGGUCCUACAACAAGACCGAAUCAAAGCUAUCCAAGAGACGAUAGCAGGAUUUCUCCGCGAUCAAGUGAUCAAUCCAAACGGCGAGUUUCACUUCAACGGCAACGAAACUCUUAUUCCAAACAACGAUGAUCAUUUGUAUCGUUUGUAGACAUCAUUGGGAGAAAAAACUCUAUGUAUAUAUGUGUUACGAAUUUUGUACAUAUAAAACUAUAUAUAUAAAGCUUUUUACUUAUCUAUUUAAUUUUUGAUGUGGCCUAUUCAUUUUAUUAUAGGCAAAGCUUAAUUAUUAAGCUAAGCCUAUAAUUUUCAUUUAUAUAUGCUUAAUAUGCGUGUAAUAUAAGUAUAUUAUUGUAUCAGAAAAACAUGUAUUGAAAAACCUAUUAUUAUAUAUUAUAUACAAACAAUAAACAGAACCGAAGAAGUGAAAAAAAAAAAGAAAUCCUUUAACACCGGUUGGUAAUACCAACUGGUGUUAAAGGGUCCUACAACGUGGCAGUCCUGGCAGGACCCUUUAACACCGGUAGCCCCGGUUCCCCGAACCGGGACUAAAGGGUGGGCCUUUAGUCCCGGAAGGGCAGCACCGGCUCAGGAACCGAGGCAACAGACCCUUCCCGACCGGUGCUAAUGCCCGAACGUGUGGCAGUGAUAGUAAAAUUCCAACUUUUUAAAAACUCUUGUUUGAAUGUGUGUUGCCUGUAAAUAUUAGGUCAAACUCAAGUCAAAUGUGUUCCCUUUCUGCCCCAAAUUCAAAAUCCGAGCUUCAAAAACUUUUUACAACGAACCACUUGCCGUGACGUUGGCCAGGACAAGUCAACAACAUAGCAAGGGGAGUUUUGAAAUAAUAUAUUUUCUAGAUAAAUUAAAACCACACUCGAAUUCAACAUGCAACCCAGACUCAUCAUUCAUUAUUUUCCUAAAACAAAACCCCCCCACAACUCUCACCCAUCUCCUUCAAAUCGAGCUUACAAUGAAACAAGCACCAUGUCUAGUUAAGCUUUCACGAGUGUUUGGUUCUUUUGUCGUGCUUGGAGCCCUCUCCCAAAAAAAAAUAAUAAUAAAAUCCCUUGACCAAUAUAGGAAAACCUUUUCCUUAGCCUGAUUCCAUCAUGGCCCAAGUCGCUCCCUCCUAGACCUGCCCUGGCCUUCCAUUGCCACCAGACCCAGCCGGCCUGCUUCCCCGGUGCAGCCCAACCCGGCGCCUCUCCUUCCUCACCAUCCGGCCCAAGCCGCGCCACGGCCCAGCAGCUAACCAGGCCCGCCUCCAUCACCAGCCCAGCUCCUCUCCGCCUCACGAGCGCGGCACGUGCACGGAGCAACCCGUGCAUGCUUUUGCUCCUGCACGGUUUCUCGCCUCUGGGACCCGCGCGUCAGCCUCAUGUGGAGAAAAAGACAAGCCGUGGAUGUCGUUUCAUUCCGUCGGGGCGCCGUCUUCUCCUUUUUCCGUCGGGGUUAAUUUUAUUCUUCUACCUUUUUAGCGAACUUUGCUUCGAGGUCUAUAAAUUAAAAAAAUAUACAGGUGAGAGGUUUUCAUCUCAUUUCUCCGAAGGAAGUUGGUGACAAAAGAUUAGAUAAUAAAUAUCUCUGAACAAUCAUACUUGUUUUGUAUUGAUUAUAAUUAAUUCACUGGUGGAUCGGUUCUCUUUGGAUUCUACGUAUGCAAGUUCGAGAGAGAACAGAUGAUACAUCAGUAACCCUUCUAUAGUAAUAUAUAGUACAUCAAUUGUAAUAAAUAUAUGAUGUUUAUAAUCUUUCUUUCUAGAAAUAUGAUGUAAAAAAAGCGAAGCACAUGACCCGCGGUGCUUUAUACAACAAAGUGAAGGACCUGUGCAUAUUCAUCUUGAAAGAAGUCAUUCUAUAAAAAGGGAAAUAUCACGAUGCUACUAACGUUUUAGCAGAGCCAAACUAUAGAGUGCUAACAGAUAUUAGUAGGCUAAACCUUAUCAAGAUGAUUAUUAGAGCAGAGGUGGAAACUUUGAUGUAUAUAUGUUAACUUUAAGUUUGCGAGCACAAACUUUGAUGUGCAUAAAUAUGAUAUAAUUAAAUUGUAUGUUGCUAUAGUUGACAUGAUCCAAUAGACUUUACUAGUUUUAAUAUCAAUAUAUAUAUAUAAUAGGGUUUGGUGGAAAAUUUUAAAAAAAAUGCGGGAAAAUUUGAAAAAAUUAUUUAGUGGAAAUCGAUGUCCUCUAACAAUUAGCUUAAGAGAAGUGCCUAAAAUCUAUUUCCACUGGCGAUUGUCUUAGCAAACCCCUAGCACCAGUGGAAAUAGAUUUUUCAUAAGCGGUUCUCAGUUAACCGCGAGUGGAAAGAUCCAUUUCCACUGGGCCGCUAGCUCUUGCGGUUUAAGAAAUACGUGUAGAAAUGACUUACGAACCGCUUGUACAAAGCUUCAUUAUACUAGAACCCACCACAAAUAAUUUCUACGAUGCUACUGCACACCAGACAAACAUGUCUAGGCUGUCUCCAACAGGAGACUCAUUUGGGAACCCAAACCUAAAAUGGGUCUCCAACACAAUACCUAUAGUACCCAUACAGAAGACCUAUUUUGGGUAUCAGGAGAGGCAUAACCUAAAUUUGAGUAUCCUCUCUCCUCGAGACCCAUUUGCAGAUAGUGUUGUCUUUUAGGUCUUGUUGUUGGAGAAGACUAAAAAUAGGUAUGGAACCUUUUACCUGUAGUACUACCCAAAAGAACAAAUGGAUCUUGUAUUUUGGGUAAUAAUUGUUGGAGAUAGUAAAUAGGACGGAUCCCCACUAAUGGAUUCUCCUAGCUUCUCAGCCGACCACGUCACGAACCACCACAAAUGAUUUCCACGAUGCAGCUGCACACCAGAUGAAUUAUAAAUGCAUGCAGUUACUAAAAUAAUUAUCUAGUGGUAAUCAAUUUUCACUAGCAGUUGCCUUAAGAGAAUCGCUUAUGAAAAUCUAUUUUCACUAACGGUUAAUUAUCUUACCAAACCGCCAGUGGAAAUCGAUUUCCACAGACGGUUCUCAGUUAAUUGCUAGUGGAAAGAUCUAUUUCCACUGGCCACUAGCGCUGGUGGUUUAGAGAAAUACAUGUAGAAAUGACUUACGAACAGCCUGUACAGAGCUUUAUUGUACUAGAGCCCACCAUAAACUGUUUCCACAAUGUAGCCUAAUUAAUUUGUCAUUAGCAACAUAUUAUCGUAACACCAUAUUAUCAAAUCAUAGAUUAAUUAGACUUAAAAAUUUUAUCUUGCAAAUUAUUCGUAAUAUGUGUAAUUAAUUAUUUUUUAGUCUAUAUAUUUAAUGUGUCUAAAUAUCCGAUAUGAUAAAAAAACGAAUGGUUCAGUACUGCGUCUUUGGUUCCUCCGCCACCAGCCCACGACAAAUGUAGAAACUGAACCAUCCCUGCCUUCAUUUUAAAUGUGUACUGCUAUGUGCUAUCGUCGUCUUGGCAGCACGUCCACCAGGAGAACCACUUCUUCCUCUUCGCAGAUCGCAAUGGUGGUCACUGUGGCAGCAGCCCUGGCGUGGCAGAGAAGGAUGAGACGCUCACGGAGGCCCCUCGCGUCUGGUCAUGUUCGCGGAGUCAGCGGCUUAAGGCAACUUGCUGCCAGCGAUCGAUGCUCGCGGUUUGUGGAGCUUGCAGAGGCCCCUCGCUGCCGGCGGCGCUCCUGUGCUCUUCUCCAAUAGGUCUGCGUCAUCCUUCUUAACUCAGUUUCGACCUCGGUUUCUUCCAUCCAACUCUCUCUCAUACCUAUGAAAGCUUUUCUAACUCUCAGAUUCACAAGAGCGCUGUGCUGAAUCCAUGGCUGGGGCAGCCUACUAGGACAGAUCAUCCAUGGUGGACACAAUAGAUCCAUGGCGGGGUGAGCUAGACUACGACGCGCAUGUGGAUGAGGCAGUGAAGACAAAUGUAUCCAUGUUCUGUAAAAAAAGUUUCUGUGUACUGUACAAUAAAUCUAUACUCCCUCACUCUCUUUUUAAUUGUCAGUUACGCUUUCAAAAAACAACUACCGACAAUUAUAUAUUAAAAAAUAUUAAUAUUUAUAAUACAUAAUUAGUAUCAUUAGAAAGAUUUUGAAUCUAGUUUUUUAACAAAUUUAUUUGAAGAUACAAAUGUUACAUGUAUUUAUACAAAUCGAGUCAAACUUGUGGCACGCACACCAACGACGACAAUUAAAAAGAGACAGAGAGAGUAUGUACGGCCUUAUUUCCAAAAAAAUUUUGGAAAACGACACUUUAACACUUUUGUUUUUAUUUGACAAACAUUGUCCAAUCACGGAGUAACUAGUCUUAAAAGAUUCGUCACACGAUAGGCAAACUGUACAACUAGUUUUUAUUUUUAUCUAUAUUUAAUGCUCCAUGCAUGUGCCGCAAGAUUCGAUGUGACGAAGAAUUUUGAAAAGUUUUUGGUUUUUUGGGUGAACUAAACAAGGCCUAACUUAUGGAUGUCAAGUCAAUGAUGGUGUUUUCUUUUUCUCCUGCUUACAAGAAUCCAGUACAAGAAUUUAUUCUAUUUUUUUAGUUUAGCGCAUUUCGUUUUUCUCCUGCUUCCUAGAAUCCUAUAUUUUUGUAUUUUCAAUAGCAGUAUCUAGUUUUAGUUGUCUGUUUGCGAUCUAUUACAAAUCAAAGUAUUAUUAAUUAAUACUCAUAAUUAUUUUCAUAUGUCUAAAGUAACUAGAUAGAUGUUCAGUCAUAUUAUUCCUCAUAAGGCUGUCUUCAUAUCCUGGUUUAAGAAGUGUUUACUAUCUACCAUUUUAUAACUUUCAUAUUUCCUUCUGAACUUUGUAUAUGUAUGUAAUACCCGAUUUUAAGGACAAAACCAGAUAUACACUAUAUAUGAGUUUUGGAAAUCAAUUCUCAUAUAUAGCUACAAAUAAGGGGUAAUAUCAAAAGACAAUGCAUAAAUAUAUAACGUACUUAGUAUAAAAGAGAUAACCUUUGAUAACAAACAGCGGAUAGACAACUCCAAACUUCGGGUAUUAACUUCUCUCUACAGGAUCCAACUGACUGGUUGAUCACAAGCCUAAACUUCUCCUGAGGUUUGGGGGAAAUAGCAAGAGUGAGUCCAUGUCGAACUCCACAAGUAUAGCAACUAGAUUGUAUAGCUCCCACAAUCUCAUGAUCAAUGUGACAUAAAUAAUGUAAAGCAUUAAAUAAUAAAUAAUGAGCAUAUUAACACACAAGAAUCAUCAUCGUCGCAGCAAGAAUCCUCAAGGCCGCUCCUGACCGUGAGCUCGGCUAGUAUACUAGUUUUUAACCCUCUGCAGAGGUUGCACAUCUUUACCCAUGAGUCAUGAUUUACCCUUUCGCCCGAGGUGAUCAGCCUCUUAACCCACUUCCAAGGAAGGUCGGCAGGGAUCACUAUGAAGCCUUUCAAAAGUUCGUCUAACAUGUUAGGGCCGCAAGGUUUCCUUUGCGAGCAGAUAUAGAUACCCCCCUUCCGAAUGGCACAAUGACGCGCAGCCUAUACACAUAGGGACAGGGGCUCGCACUAUACCCGUGUCGGUUCAGCCCCUCCGCCCUUUCGGGUAACCUCUAACAAGCUAGAAAAGUUCUUCAUACUGAGCUAAAGCCAGAGCCAUUAUAGCCCUCAUGGUUGCACUGUUGUCCCGGUUAUCACUUACAGAUAAAUCAUCAAGUGGCUAAAAAGUCAUUUUUAUCAUUUAUUACUUAACAUUAAUCUAGUCACACGAUCAUGGUCACAGAAUAUAAAAUCCAAAUGCUAUACUUGCCUUAAUCCAAUUGCUCUUGUUGUUCUUGCUAGUUGUCCAAAUGCUGAUCUUGAUCACUGAAGCACUCUUAUUCACCACGAAUUGUUCACCAUCUAUUCUCGAUCAUCGAUCAUCAACACACAAACAAUCGAAACCAAACAUACAUGAAGCAAACAAAGCUACAAUUAGAACAGACACCAAACAAUAGCAAAAUAGUAAGAAACGUUUAUAAAAUGGUUUUACGCGUCACUACGAUCACAAAAACGUGAGAAGCACUCUAAUUGGAGCUACGACGAAAGAGAAAUGACUAUUUUAAAAUUUACAUGCUUCGUUGAUUUCAAUAGUUAUAUAAAAUAUCUAUAAGAUACUUUAGAGAAAUACCUAGAUUAAAUUAAAUUAAAUUAAAUUAAAUUAUAUUUGAAUUAGAAAAUCAAGUUAAAACUAAUAAUAUUUUAUUUAUAAAUGUGGUUGUAUAAAUUAAGCAAAUUAAUCUCUAAUUUUAUAAAAAGAAGUAACGUGUGGAAAUCUAUUGGAAUUGUGUAUGAUCAUGUUCAAGCUAAGUAAUUAAGGUUGAGAAACAUGAUUAUGUUAGUAACUAAUUAUAUUAAUGAUUACCAAAGUUCGACACCUAUAUGGCUUUUAGUUAUAAAACUAUAGUUGUAUGCAUAUUAAUCAAAUUAAUAUUUAAUUAUAAGUAUUCGGCAUGGGAACCUUUGCUUCUAGAUAGAAGAUUACAUUACUAAGCUUACAAACUUAUCAUCCUUGGCACUUGCUAACGUGUAUUAUUGGCAUUCAUGCACGUACGGUGCUAUUCGCUUGAAGGUUUGCAUCUGUUGUAGGAGGAAAAUAAAAGACGAAAAGCAAAGCAGGCGGCUUGCCAGAAACAGCAGGUCAGCUGCAGCUAUGGCCAACUGUCACACAAACACGGUCAGCGGUUCUAUCCACGGCAGAAGGCAUCGUAGGGAGGGAGGAGUAGGCAGCCUAUGACGUAUUGGAGAGAGCUGGCUGCUGGAGGUUGGGUCGUCUAACAACAAGAUCAGUGAUAACGCCGAGCUAGAACUAAGAAACGGAAUUACGAAGACAGAAAGUUCCUCACCGGGCAGGGAUAGAAGGGGUGGAUCGCUGGUGACGGCGAGAGAAAAAAAAAACAACGACGUCGGGUCUUCACGUGGAGAAAAGUAGAUUAGGCUUUCUGUAGCCACGGAAGCGCCGGUUGAUUCCGAGAAGACGAACAAUGGCAACUCGUACCGCACGGCCAUCAACGCCAUAUAUGAAGACUUCUUAUACGAGGACUUCUCCAGGGUAGUUUUGGUAUGCUUAACUCAAGGAAUUGGUACGUAUAUAUAGGGAGAAAAACUCCUCACCUCCAUGUCACUAGCGAUAUGGUACUAAUCAAUGUUACACACUUCAUCUUUAUUAGUAGGCCUAGUUAAUUAUUAAAGCCCUCUAGUAAAUAAAUAUAUGGGCCUAUGAGAUCAUGGGUUGAGCGUUGGGGUAAAAUGAAAGAUUUAUUAAUUUCGAAAUUAAUUAUUUUUGUAAAUAAAAUAUUUCUAGAAAUGUCUAGAAUUAUUAUUUAAGUCAUGAAAAAUAUUUCGAAAGCUCUGAAAAUUCGAAGAAAAUUCUCAGAGACACUAUGAAACAUGAGACACUCAAAUAAAGUAUUUGAAACUCAUGAUAAGAUUAUUUGGAGCAUCUCAAAAUUAGAUUAUGCUCACAGUCAAAUGGGAACAAGUUCCAGAAAAGUGCUGAAAUAAUUCCUGGUAAGUUUUUAGAGAUUGAUUGAUGGACGAGGAACUAAAAGAAGUGCUUUGAGUGAUAAAGAAAAUAUUUUAGGAAGGUCCUAAUAAAAAUUUGAGCUUAGAAACAAGGAAUUUGGUUGUAGAUAAAAGAUAAAUAUGUGCCGAAUAAGGAAGAUCGAUCUACUAAACGUAUUUUAAAUAUUUUUCUUACUAUCAACACAUAAAGGAGCAACAAGCAUCACAUCAAAACAUAUGCACCAGCAUGUAUGCAUAAUAAUAUUGCUAAGCCUUAUGAUAAUUUUUAAUUUAAUGAAAAAUAUUAUUUUUCCUAUAUUUUCAUGAGCACAAAAAUACAAAUUAAAUAAUUUUAUCUAUAUUUCAAAAGGAGUAAAUUUUAGGGUGUUACAAAUCUACCCCCCUUAAGAUGAAUCUCGUCCUCGAGAUUCGGAAGACGGUUAUCAAAGAGACGUAGAUUUUGAAUCUUGUUCACUUUCUUGAGUAAUUAUAUCUUCAUAGCAUUGAUUCCACUCUCUUACUCCAAGUAGCCUCUCAAGUAUUCCUAAAAUAUUGACGAGACACCUAGUGUAGCAGGUACGAUCCUUCUUUAAACUUAUUUCUCCUAUCCUUUUUAGACGCUACACAUCAUAUAGUCUUUUAAAUUAGCUGUACCGAGUCUCUUGAUCCAAGGUUAGUUUCAUCACUAAGUUCCAAUUAUCGGUACCUUUAUUACAGUUAAGUUGCUUCACUCUCACACUAUACAUACAACUCUGUAGACUUUGGUGUCAUCUGAUCCUCAUACACAACUCUUAAUCCAUGAGUAUCAGUAAUGACAUAAACCUCCAUUGGUAUUAGCACACUCCAAAUAGAAUGAUAUCUUGAAACAAACCAACAUACCAAGCACUUGAUGUCCUUGUAGAUGUUCGAGUUAUUAACCACUUCUUCUCCUUGUAGUUCUUUAAUUGGGCUACCCCCUUAAAAAAAAGUCAACUAAGGGACCAAGAAAGGUAGCUUCCAUACUUUCCAGACAGGUUAACUAACAUUGAGAACCUCUGACAUUCCAAAGAACUUAUGUGCAAUAGAGCAAACAGGUAUCCUGAAAUUUUCUCGCGAUAUGAAAAACACCAGCGUAGUAAAAUGGACAUAACUCUUAUUCUGUGAAUCCAAUAGAGUUGUGGUUUAUACCGUUAGAAAACUUAUGAAAUUCCCAGCAACUUUCCUGUAGAAGACCUCCUUAGGUUCUGUCUUUAAGCUCAGGUAAAAAACAACCAAACUUAAUAUCCAUCCUGAAAAUGUCUCAGCAAAGGUGCAGCAGCUUCCAGAAGUUAUAUCCCGAGCUACUUAACUCAUCUGGAGAUGAUCCUUACAUAUUUGAAAAGCUUAGAAAAUCCUCUACAACUUUCGUAUACAACUUUUUCCUAGAUUCUGAUGUUAAGGUAUCUGAAAAUAGGGAAUACCAGAUCUGUCUAGAUUUUGAAACGGAACAGAAACAUCCAGGUGUAAAUAUCAUAUCUCAGGUUCUACUUAUCCAAAUAAGUUCCAGCUUAUACCGUUGGAAAGCUUAGCAAAUUCUCUACAACUUUUCUAUAGAACACUUUUCCAAAUUCUAUAGUUAUAUAUGUCUAAACAGUAAGCAACCGAAACUGGUCCAGAUUCUUGACAGCAUAUUUGUAUCAUCUUGUGAUUUUUGUAACUUCUAAACCAUAAUAGCUAUGAGGGUGCUUCUUGCGGUCAGGGAAAGAUCUUGAAGUCUAGUUGUUACCAGAAAAAGUUGAUAGACUUUGCACGAUCAAAACUUGAGAUACUCCAGAAUCAUCGUAGACUGCUCCAGAAAUCAGCAGGGGAUAGAAACAAGAUAUAACCAAACCCAACUACUUAUUUCAUUAAUCCUUACGCCUUAGGCCUAUAAACUAAUGAAAUUGUGAAGAAAUCCCACAAGAUCAUUGCACUCAUUACAAAGAUCCAAAUCAAGCAUAAGCAUAAUGACAAACCAACAAGGCAUUAAAGUUUCAUACUUCAAACAUUGACUCAACUUGCGAUACUAUCGUUCUCUUCCUGUUAAGGGUAAAGAUCCUAAAACUUAUAUUUCAAAGACGCAAGAAGGUGGUAAGAAAAGGUUCUAAAAGCAUACCAAAUCAAGGAGUGAAGGUGAGAACAAGUACUUUUAAAACAAGCAACAAGGUAGAGACAAAUAGCAAGGAUAGAGAUAUAGUAUGGAUGAAAAUACCAAGGUUUAUAGAGCAAGGAUUUUAUGACAAUUCCAAAACUUUAAGACGACCAAUUUCUAACUAGGCUUGCGUCCUACAGUCAGCAUUGCUUUGAUACCACUUUGUAAUACCCGAUUUUAAGGACAAAACCAGAUAUACACUAUAUAUGAGUUUUGGAAAUCAAUUCUCAUAUAUAGCUACAAAUAAGGGGUAAUAUCAAAAGACAAUGCAUAAAUGUAUAACGUACUUAGUAUAAAAGAGAUAACCUUUGAUAACAAACAGCGGAUAGACAACUCCAAACUUCGGGUAUUAACUUCUCUCUACAGGAUCCAACUGACUGGUUGAUCACAAGCCUAAACUUCUCCUGAGGUUUGGGGGAAAUAGCAAGAGUGAGUCCAUGUCGAACUCCACAAGUAUAGCAACUAGAUUGUAUAGCUCCCACAAUCUCAUGAUCAAUGUGACAUAAAUAAUGUAAAGCAUUAAAUAAUAAAUAAUGAGCAUAUUAACACACAAGAAUCAUCAUCGUCGCAGCAAGAAUCCCCAAGGCCGCUCCUGACCGUGAGCUCGGCUAGUAUACUAGUUUUUAACCCUCUGCAGAGGUUGCACAUCUUUACCCAUGAGUCAUGAUUUACCCUUUCGCCCGAGGUGAUCAGCCUCUUAACCCACUUCCAAGGAAGGUCGGCAGGGAUCACUAUGAAGCCUUUCAAAAGUUCGUCUAACAUGUUAGGGCCGCAAGGUUUCCUUUGCGAGCAGAUAUAGAUACCCCCCUUCCGAAUGGCACAAUGACGCGCAGCCUAUACACAUAGGGACAGGGGCUCGCACUAUACCCGUGUCGGUUCAGCCCCUCCGCCCUUUCGGGUAACCUCUAACAAGCUAGAAAAGUUCUUCAUACUGAGCUAAAGCCAGAGCCAUUAUAGCCCUCAUGGUUGCACUGUUGUCCCGGUUAUCACUUACAGAUAAAUCAUCAAGUGGCUAAAAAGUCAUUUUUAUCAUUUAUUACUUAACAUUAAUCUAGUCACACGAUCAUGGUCACAGAAUAUAAAAUCCAAAUGCUAUACUUGCCUUAAUCCAAUUGCUCUUGUUGUUCUUGCUAGUUGUCCAAAUGCUGAUCUUGAUCACUGAAGCACUCUUAUUCACCACGAAUUGUUCACCAUCUAUUCUCGAUCAUCGAUCAUCAACACACAAACAAUCGAAACCAAACAUACAUGAAGCAAACAAAGCUACAAUUAGAACAGACACCAAACAAUAGCAAAAUAGUAAGAAACGUUUAUAAAAUGGUUUUACGCGUCACUACGAUCACAAAAACGUGAGAAGCACUCUAAUUGGAGCUACGACGAAAGAGAAAUGACUAUUUUAAAAUUUACAUGCUUCGUUGAUUUCAAUAGUUAUAUAAAAUAUCUAUAAGAUACUUUAGAGAAAUACCUAGAUUAAAUUAAAUUAAAUUAAAUUAAAUUAUAUUUGAAUUAGAAAAUCAAGUUAAAACUAAUAAUAUUUUAUUUAUAAAUGUGGUUGUAUAAAUUAAGCAAAUUAAUCUCUAAUUUUAUAAAAAGAAGUAACGUGUGGAAAUCUAUUGGAAUUGUGUAUGAUCAUGUUCAAGCUAAGUAAUUAAGGUUGAGAAACAUGAUUAUGUUAGUAACUAAUUAUAUUAAUGAUUACCAAAGUUCGACACCUAUAUGGCUUUUAGUUAUAAAACUAUAGUUGUAUGCAUAUUAAUCAAAUUAAUAUUUAAUUAUAAGUAUUCGGCAUGGGAACCUUUGCUUCUAGAUAGAAGAUUACAUUACUAAGCUUACAAACUUAUCAUCCUUGGCACUUGCUAACGUGUAUUAUUGGCAUUCAUGCACGUACGGUGCUAUUCGCUUGAAGGUUUGCAUCUGUUGUAGGAGGAAAAUAAAAGACGAAAAGCAAAGCAGGCGGCUUGCCAGAAACAGCAGGUCAGCUGCAGCUAUGGCCAACUGUCACACAAACACGGUCAGCGGUUCUAUCCACGGCAGAAGGCAUCGUAGGGAGGGAGGAGUAGGCAGCCUAUGACGUAUUGGAGAGAGCUGGCUGCUGGAGGUUGGGUCGUCUAACAACAAGAUCAGUGAUAACGCCGAGCUAGAACUAAGAAACGGAAUUACGAAGACAGAAAGUUCCUCACCGGGCAGGGAUAGAAGGGGUGGAUCGCUGGUGACGGCGAGAGAAAAAAAAAACAACGACGUCGGGUCUUCACGUGGAGAAAAGUAGAUUAGGCUUUCUGUAGCCACGGAAGCGCCGGUUGAUUCCGAGAAGACGAACAAUGGCAACUCGUACCGCACGGCCAUCAACGCCAUAUAUGAAGACUUCUUAUACGAGGACUUCUCCAGGGUAGUUUUGGUAUGCUUAACUCAAGGAAUUGGUACGUAUAUAUAGGGAGAAAAACUCCUCACCUCCAUGUCACUAGCGAUAUGGUACUAAUCAAUGUUACACACUUCAUCUUUAUUAGUAGGCCUAGUUAAUUAUUAAAGCCCUCUAGUAAAUAAAUAUAUGGGCCUAUGAGAUCAUGGGUUGAGCGUUGGGGUAAAAUGAAAGAUUUAUUAAUUUCGAAAUUAAUUAUUUUUGUAAAUAAAAUAUUUCUAGAAAUGUCUAGAAUUAUUAUUUAAGUCAUGAAAAAUAUUUCGAAAGCUCUGAAAAUUCGAAGAAAAUUCUCAGAGACACUAUGAAACAUGAGACACUCAAAUAAAGUAUUUGAAACUCAUGAUAAGAUUAUUUGGAGCAUCUCAAAAUUAGAUUAUGCUCACAGUCAAAUGGGAACAAGUUCCAGAAAAGUGCUGAAAUAAUUCCUGGUAAGUUUUUAGAGAUUGAUUGAUGGACGAGGAACUAAAAGAAGUGCUUUGAGUGAUAAAGAAAAUAUUUUAGGAAGGUCCUAAUAAAAAUUUGAGCUUAGAAACAAGGAAUUUGGUUGUAGAUAAAAGAUAAAUAUGUGCCGAAUAAGGAAGAUCGAUCUACUAAACGUAUUUUAAAUAUUUUUCUUACUAUCAACACAUAAAGGAGCAACAAGCAUCACAUCAAAACAUAUGCACCAGCAUGUAUGCAUAAUAAUAUUGCUAAGCCUUAUGAUAAUUUUUAAUUUAAUGAAAAAUAUUAUUUUUCCUAUAUUUUCAUGAGCACAAAAAUACAAAUUAAAUAAUUUUAUCUAUAUUUCAAAAGGAGUAAAUUUUAGGGUGUUACAAUGUAUCAUGAAAUGCGUUAUGUUUCAUCAAAUGUUCAAAUAUAGAUACGACCAUGCAUAGCCAUGGUUUUAAUUAAUAUAAGAAUUGUUUACUAUUUGCAAUUUUAUAAGUUCCAUAUAUUUCCUUCUGGCCUUUGUAUAUGUAUCAUUAUCAAUGCACUAUUGUUUCAUCAAAUGUUCAGAUAGAUAUACGACGAUACAAAACUCUGUAGCAACGCACUAGGUAUUAUCUAGUUGUUUUUAAUUUACUACUACUGUGGAAUCUUGAAAGCAACUUCUUGUAGUUGCGUGUUGCAUGCCGGCCAGUUUCCAGCACCAUUGCCAGUUCAGUUUUGGAAAUUGGCCAGUCCACAGUCUUAUAUAUACCUAUGGGGACGCUAUUGGUUACUGUAUGUUUUCUUUUUCUGGCUUGUCACUUUUUCCUGAUAAGAAAAAACCUUGACUCUUAACCAGACUACUAACUCGACUACCUGGGGAUCAAAAGGAAACAACCCUCAACCUUCCAAGCAACAACAGAGUUUUAGAAAGGACAAAACAUUGCCGAGAUCAGAUUGAUCAUCUAGUCACGACGCUUUCUUGCUAGUCACUCGGUACACACAUUAUGUUUGUGUAGAGUAAUACAGUAUACUGGAACAAAAUACAUAAGCAUGUAACCAACAAAAAGAAUCAUCUUAUUGAGUUCGAAUCAAACAGUUGCUUGGGUUACACUGCUUAAUUUUUGCAGCAGCAUUCCCAUUUAGCAUCCGGUCUCUCGAUACAGUAGCUUUUCUUGCGUUUAAAGCCGUUUGCCUCGCACAUGUUCUCGCAGUCAUAAGUCAGACAGAAUCUGUUAUUGUAAGGGUAGCACGUAUCGGGCUUUCCCUUUGCCAUUGGAGACGACAACUCAGACAAACUACAUGGUUGAGAUGACAGUGCCGGCGGUGGCGGUUCCGGUGACCAAUGGUGAUGAUGGUGUGACAUCUCAGACAAACGGCGUGGUGGUGACAACGGCACAGAUGGUGGAGGUGGUAACCCGUGGUGAUGAUGGUGGUGCGUUGUCUCAAACAAGCCGCGUGGUGGUGAUGAUGGCGCUGGUGGUGUUGGUGGCGACUUGUGGUGAUGAUGGUGCGACAUCUCAGACAAACUGCGUGUUGGUGACAACGACACUGCCGGCGGUGGUGGUGACUUAUGGUGAUGCUGGUGUGGCACCUCAAGCAAACUGCGUGGUGGGGAUAAUGGCACUGGCGGAGGCGGAGGUGACGCGUGAUGAUGAUGGUGGGACUUCUCUGACAAACUGCGUGGUGGUGAUGUACGUGGUGGUGGCGGUGUCAUAGGCCUGUGGGGAUGAUGAGGCGGCCUUCGUGGGCCUGGUCUUGGCCUACACAUGCAAACAAACAUUAUAGAAUAGUCAAAACAAGUUGAUUUGUAUUCCCUCUAGUUCAAAUUUGUUUCCUCAAAUUAGUCUAUUUUUUUUACAAAAAAUGUACCAACAUCUAAUAUAUCAAAUCGGUUUUCAAAAUUUCAAUGGACAUGUGUUGAUAGUGUUAAUGUUUUUUUGCCAAAAAUAUGGUCAAAAUUAUAGUAAUUUGACUUAGCUCAAAGCCAAAGCAAGCUAUUAUUAUUUUGAACUGAGGGAGUAAUAUCUAACAUUGCGAAGUAAAAGUAAUGAUCUCUAUCUACAUAGACAUAUACCUUGGCAUGAUGGAGAGGUUGAACAAAUGAUCAGAAGUAUCAAGAGAAAAGUACUUGUCAGGUGUGCAUUCCUCGUUGUCUUGCAUUUUGUGAAUGCCAUGAGAUGAGAGGACUAUAUUACUCUCUCCUUUCUCCCUAUAUGUUUUUCUUGUUUUGCUUUCUUCAGUGACGAGGAGAGGUGCACUUUGCAUCUGUAUUUGUCUUUCUAUGUCACUUUGCAAGUGCUUAUAUAGAAAACACAAAACCUUAACAAGCAAUCAUUGUGAAAAUAUAUCUAUUUCUACAUUAAUGCUUCCAUCUAUCUAUGUGUAUGUCUCUUUGUCUAUCUAUCUAUCUAUCUAUCUAUCUAUCUAUCUAUCUAUCUAUCUAUCUAUCUUCUGCAUUCAUAAUAUGACCUGAGCCAAAUUUGAGUGUCAACAUAUCUAUCUAUCUAUCUAUCUAUCUAUCUAUCUAUCUAUCUAUCUAUCUAUCUAUCUAUCUAUCUAUCUAUCUAUCUAUCGUCUAUCUAUCUAUCUAUAUGUUUGUAUACCUAAUUAAAUGGUAAUCUAUCUAUCUAUCUAUCUAUCUAUCUAUCUAUCUAUCUAUCUAUCUAUCUAUCUAUCUAUCUAUUGUAUAAUCGGUCGUGGUCGUGGCCAUGCCUAAUUGUAUUGCCUCCCCACAGCCUGACACGGCCUUGAAGACACCCGGCAACCCAAGGGAAGAGAGCGACGGGAGAAAGGGAACAUGUUCUCUGGCCGGUGUAGAUUUUUACCGUAAAAAUAAUAUGCCAAGAAACAUUUGGAUAUUGUAUGACACACUUUUAAUAUUGCAAGCAAACAUGACUUGUACAUAAUAAGAGACACCAUCGGAAUGGUUUCAGCACGAACGUAUGAUGUUUAUCGUUAACUUGUUAUAGUUAUAUUAUGGCUCUAUUUGACACAGCUUAACUUCACUAGUAAAGCUGUUUUUUUAAAAAAUAGCUUGAUAAGCACCUUUCUAAAUGAAGCUAAGCUAUUUUAGAAAAAGUGUUUGGUAAAAUAGCUUCACCAACUACUUCUUGUAUAGAUGGGAGAAAAAAAUGAGGAAGAAAGCUGCAAUAAGCUACUUUUUUCAGCUUUAUUUCAUUUAUGUUUUUGUGAGAGGAUAAGAAAAACAGCUUCAUUCAUAAAGCUGUUUUAGAAACAAGUAUUUAGAAAAAAAAAACAGCUCACAACAGUUCAUGAAGUGUUGUAAUCUGUACCCUAUAUCCCAUCAGGCUCUUCGGUGGAGCUUCUCAAGCUUUCAGCUUCGCCUCUUAAUACACUGUUCAUAUAAGUAUUCGUAGAGUUUUUUUGUUUCUCUCACGUUCUCAGCAAGCCAGUGAAACCACUAUCUUUUUUGCUAGACCGACUUUGGCUAGCUUCUCUAGAUACUAUAACACUAAGCCAAAGCUAGAUGAAGCUCCACCAAAGAGGCCCUAAAACAAUCCGAUGGCUUUACAAGACCCAAACAUAAGUGCCACUGUAAAAGUAUCAGCACACACCAACUCCAGCUAGUAAACUUUCCAAUAACUUGUUUCCCAAUUUAUUACACAAAACAUGAGAUUUUAUCUUGCAGGUUGAACAUAUUUUGGACACCCUCACAUGUGCACACAACGAUAGCAAUAGUUGCUUCCUUCUCACGAAAGACAACAACAAUUGCUGCCAUUUGAGAUUUGACAAAACCAAAUAACUGUAUCUGACUGAAUGAUCAACUCAUCGUACUGCUUCCAGAUAGCAAUAUUAAUUAUGUCGGAACCAGCUAAUGAGCUAGGGCCCAGCUGCUGUAGCAGUAGUCUUGGCGAGGCUCCAGCAGUGCAGGACGCUGCCAGCGACGUCAAAGAAGGCGAGGUGGGCCUCCGUCUUGCUCAGCCGCAUCGACAUAAACCCUUGCCCAUCAUAGAGGAACUCCACUUUGUCCGGGGUGGUCUUGAACUUGCCAGCCCAUGCCCUCGACCCACCGCCGCUCGUCAGAAGCUGAAGAGGACUGCAAAUAUUUUCGUUGUUUUAGAACAUAACAACAACAACGAAGCAAAAGUUGCUGUGGACAUGGAAAAGAACAGACUCUGGUUCUGGUUUUCUUUUGUUAUUACUGGUUCCAAUGGCAAAUGGCCAAGUUCAGGGUGUUCAGUGAACAAGAAAGCUUUGCAUGACAUGUGAAUUAAUUCUGAACUUAAUUUGAUAUUUAAUAUAUUGUCUAAGUCAUCUUUUUCCCGUGGAACUGAUGAUUAGAUGGAUGAGAUGAUUAUAUGCGUGCAUGUGAAACUUCAAUGCUAGUUAUCAUUGCUGGCUCUCUGAUAGAGAACCGGCACCUAUAGUCAACUAUCAGUCCUGACUAAUAAAAGCCGGUUUAGAAACUGACACUGACAGAUACCGUUUUUGGGGACCGGCACAGAUGAACCUUUCACGUAGUAUACUGGGGAAACUCUGUUUACUCUUCUCGCCCACUUAGGCUAGCUUGAGUUUAGAAGCAUUACAUACCCGUUUCAUUACUCAAUGGACAGUGAUCUAGCUACUGAGAGAUGAUGGGUACCUGUCUCUGCUGCUGACGCGCUGCAGACAGUGGUCAUGGCCAUUCACGUACAUGUCAACACCGUGUGUCUGCAAGCGUUGUAGUAGUGGCAUGGGGAAACAAGAAUAUGAUGCAGUUUCACAGUUCAUGUUAAUGGCUAAGCACUACUAUAAGUAGUCAAGAUUAUAAUAUAAUAAAGCUGAGAAGAUAACGCCAUUGUGAAAAUACCUGGAGGACCGGGAGAAGUAUCUCCUUGAGUUCAGUGUUGUUGCCAUGGCCGCAGGCGCUGCUGAUAGGGUGGUGACCGACGACGAUCUUCCACGCAGCCUUGGAUGUGGUCAGUCCAUACUUCAAGUCCUGACAACAGACGUCAUUAUAUAUUAGUUGGAUCAAGAAAUCAGAACAUUCUGCUUAUAAUACCACCAUAAUCACAAGUAGACGAUCGACAUGAGUUAUCAUCUGAUCCAUGUAAUUGACAUAUAGUUCACUUGGUAUAUACAUUGAGGAGAUUUGCGAUGUAGGUGUCGCGAGGAGCGACACCUCUCCAGUCGAACUUGGAGUUGUUCCAGUAGUGGAGGAUGAACGGCGUCGUGUCAAUGAGGAAGAAAUCCGCAAUUCCUUUGUUGAAAAUAAAAGUACACCCACAAAUGAAAAUUUUGCUUUAGAAUAAGUGAGAGUAGAAUAUCUGUAUUUCUUUGCUAUUGUAGAUACGUGUGUAUUUCGUGGUCAUUCAUUUGCUGACCUGAGUUGACAAUGAAGGACUUUGCGAUGACGGUGUAUCGGCUAUCCACCUUGCGAAUGGCAGGGUCGAGCUGCGCGAGCGCAUUUCCCGUGUAGUCAUGGUUGCCAAGGACUGAAACCAUUUCAUGGAAAAUUGAUUAGUGUCACUUAUUAUUCAGCUCCUUAAUUGGCAUCCAUUUGUGUGUGAGUCGGAUGUAUAUAAUACUGUUGCAUUACCGAGGUACCAAGGCUUCUGAAGGCUCUUGGCAGUGUAGAUGUUGGAGAAAGACUCCUUGAAGAGUGGGUCGCUCGUGUUGGCAAUGCCGUCGUCGUAGAUGUUGUCGCCAGUGGAGAUAACGAAGUCGAUGUCCAGCUUCUCCCCCGCCACUCCCAUCUACGUACAGCAAGAACAAAAAAGGAGUAGUUUAAAGCAUCCACCUACUUAAUUGGGAUGAUUAUUGUAGCACUGUUGUGUUACUUGUAAGUUUGAAACAAUAAUUGGGGUUUUGCAUGCUCCUGUCUUAUAUAUAGGGCCGACAUAACUGCUUCAACCGAAGAACAGUAUGAUCCUAUUCCUAGCUACCGUACAAACUGUCGAUAAUGAGGAGAUAUUGUAUGCAAUGUUUGCACACUUUCGGCUACUUAUGACCGACGUGCAUGCAUGCAAUUAAGCACCUCAAAAGAAAUGUCUUUGUCUAGUAGGUUCAGCGUUUAAUUACGCAAGAACGAUGAUAUGAUAUACAGGAAUGGUCUCCAUGUGAUGAUUAUGCAGUCUAGGACGUUGUAACCGACGAGAUGCAACAACCAAUAUUCUUUCAAUGUUUUAAAUGUGUUUUGGACAAGUUCUGAAGCAUUGGAUCUUUCACCAUAUCCAAUAUUUUGGGGUUCGUCGUUGGAUUCGGCAUAAGGACAGUAUUUUGCCUCUGGCAUUCAAGGGAAGUCAUUUGGAAAUAUGACCAUGGAAGAAUCUGGAUAGGACAUUAUGUAUUUUUUUCUAUUUUAGAUUUUUUUCAUGUGUAAUGUGGGGAUGUAUUGUACCAAGAUUUAAUAUAAAUCCCCCUUCCCUUCACAAAAAAUAGAAAUUAAGUUUGCAUUAUUGAACCUAUGACACGAACCCUAGUAAGCUAGCUGGCUGCCCAUGUGUACAAUUAUUAUUCUAACUAAUCAUUCGGACAAUUAUCAAUCUAUACUGCAUUUAUCCGGCUACCAAAAUCAAAUACAGCUUACUGUAGACAACACGUUAGUUGCGUAAGGUGAUGUGUAACUAAUUCAAUUGCGCGCGGGUGCUAGCUCUAACAACUUUUCCGUAAUUCAUACGAAGAUACACAUAUAUAGCAAAUGAAUGUGUAGCAAGUAGAAAAAAAUCUAAAUAGAUGUCAAAUUAACAUUGUGUAUUAAUAGAGAAAUUAUUUGUAAAUAUGAAUCUCAAGCUGCAACCACUUUUUGUUUAUAGCAUAGACAUUUAAUAUCUGUGAGAGGGAGAGUAUUGUUAUUUCUUAUGUCGUCACUGAAGGUAAUUUGUGAGAGGGGGAGUAUUGUUAUUUCUUAUGUCUCUGAAGAUAAUUAAUUGAUUUUUGUUAAGUGUCUACGAGAGCCAGCAUAAAAUAGUAUAGAAGGGCUUCAUGCGUAUAGUGACAAAAAGACGAGGGGUUUGAGUCCCAUGCAAACCCAUGGGUGUCUCACCAGAAAAAAUGGCAUGACUUGCAGCGGUAGGAUCCUCUAGGUAGUGUUUCAUUUUCUCUCAUCCACGACGAUCACUACUGGAAACGUGUAUUGCCCUGUCGGUGCAAAAACCGACAUGACAAAUUUUCAUGUUUGUACAAAAACCGCACAGAAAUAUUUGUCACUCACAGGGCAAUUCAUGUUUCCAGUAGAUCCCAAUAUCUUUUAGAAGUAUAUGUAGUCAGCUCAAAUAAAUGUGCGAGUUGGCCGGGCAAAUUUCACUUUUCAGUCCAAAACCGACUUGACAUCAGAUCAUGGGCCAACCAUUAACAAUCAUGACGAAAGGAUCAUAGGAGAUACGUCUAAAUUGUAAGUCACACUCACUACAGCACCUUUACCGAAUGCCUAUUGGUUUAGCGAGUGCUAAAAAUCGGGCACUCACCAAAGGACUUCUUUGCCGAGUGCCUGGCCACGUGGCAUUCGUCAAAGAAAUGCACUUGGUAAAAUCGUAUUUGCCGAGUGCCUGACACUUGGCAAAGAAAAGCACUCGACAAACCGGCCUCUUUGCCGAGUGCCAAACACUCGACAAAGAACGACACUCGGCAAAGAAGGCCCGAGCCUAACGGUAUCUAUGGCCGUCACCUUUGUCGAGUGCCCGCCGCCUGGCACUCGGCAAAAAACCAAUCUUUGCCCAGUGCUAGGGCUAGCACUCAGCCAAGAUUUUUUUUUAUUUUGGCCACCAAAAUUUUUUGCAGCUUUCACAUAUCACCAUGGUCAACAUGUUCAAAUUUGUCACUUUUUCAUAACUUUUUGUUAUAUUUUUUUGACUUUAUUUUGUUUUCUUGAUUUUUCCCAUAAGAGGCAAGUUUGAACUGUGGAUACAUCGAAUAACGGAUUUCAAUGAUUCAAAAAAUAUUAUUCUUGUUCUUGAAUGUUUGUUUAGGCCAAAUCCAAAAACUGACAUGAAGUUUCGAUCAACGCGCUCUUGGCCUCCAAAUUACUUGUGGGCGGUUUUUUUAAUUUUACAAAAUGCAAACGAAUUCUGAAAAUCAUGAAACUUAGCGAGAUGUCGUUACAUCUAAUGCAUAUGCCAUGGAAAAAAUUUGAAAAAGUUUUGAGCACGUUAUUACGUACGAUGCUCACAAACCAGUACAUCUCCAUAUGUGAUACUUUGCCGAGUGCUGCUUGCACUCGGCAAAGCCAGUGUAUCUAGUAGUGACUAGCUUUCUAGAUAAAUAACUUUUUUUAUGUAACUAGAUAUAACAUAUAUAAUAUCUAGGUGCAUAACAAAUUAAAAGCGAUGCACCAAUAAGAACAACUGAAAGAACUUACAAUUUAGAACUUGAGAGAGAGUAUAUAAAAGCAGAUCCUAUAUAUAGGUUUCAUAGAAGCUGAAUCGAUCAUUGGCAUUUUUGUCGUGUGUUCCAAUAAUGAGUGCAGUGCAGGUAGAGUCGUUAGUGGUACGUGGUGCACACGUACGUACCCGAGCAACAAAUUAACUGAAGCAGGUUUCUAUGCAAGACCAUGUCUUACCACGCAUCAGUGGACCACGACGACGACAUGCAUUGCAUGCAUGCAUGAGAGAGAGUUCCAUUAACGGUUUUGUAACUACUGUACCUGCUGGGCAACCAAGGUCUGGUUGAACUGUCCACGGCGGCCCCAGUCGCCGACGGCGAGGAUGGCGAGUGACCCGUCAGCCUUGGUGGGCGCGUGCUCCACCCGUGGCAGCGCGGCGUCCGCCGGCGACGCCAGAAGCAACGCCGACGCCGCCGCGCCGGCAACGACGACGAGGAAACUCAGUCGGAGCUGAUGAUCAGCAUGAGCUGGAGCCAUGGCUACUAGAGGAAUGCAGCAGAGAGAGAAGCACUGCAUGCAAGAGCCGUGGUAGUACGAGUGUAUGUAUGUGCCUGUCGUCUCCCGGCCCAAUCGUGACGAGCUAGCUCUCAUGCAUUUAUAGGCACGUUUGUUGGCGCGAGACCUAUAAUAUAAUUGGAGCAGCUGGUCCGUUGCAUUGCAUGGUGUGUGUGCGAGCGUGGUCGCUGUUGUGUACUGCUCACGGCAUUGAAUCACGGUUGGUGAGGAGCAACCGAUCCACGUACGGAAAACCAUGCAUGGCUUUGAUUUUCUUUGAAUUGCAAUUAACGUUGCUAGUUCGGGUGAAGCCUUUGCUACAAUCAAUCAUUGGUGAGAUUAUCACUGUGGAGGUUUUUCCAGAGAGAGUGCAGUACGGAAAGUAACCAUCGCAGCUAGUUGAAGGAAAAAGCGUGAUGGCGCCAGAACAACGUGAUUCUUUUCGUGCAAUUUAACGUACAUCUAGUGAUGAUCGAGGGCACGCAUUAUUGUAUUCUAUCAACCCUAUUAAUUCACCAACAUAAACAUUACUACACCUACACGAUAUAACCUCUCCCACUGAGAUGGUUCACCUUCACUCACCUUAAAAAUUGUACCUAGAAAAAUAACAUCAUACAAAUCAACGAUCCAGAUUGCUUCUCAGCCUUCUCUCUCCUUAGGAAAGCCAAGAUCAACGAUUCCAGAAUCGGUAAUGCUCUAAUUAAGACGUCCGGAACGGACGGACACCUCAUUAGCUCUCGCCCGCACCUGCCUGUUCCUUGCGGCCCCUUCCCGCACCCGCUUGUUCCUUCUGCCACCUUCAUGCGCCGCGGCAUCUUCACACCCGCGUGCCACGAUGCUCCUCUAUUGUGCUGCACCUCCGCCCUCCCCCCCUCCUCCGGCUCCAGUGUGGAGGUGGCCCCGGCGUGAGCGUGAGCUGUGAUGCACACGGUCAACCCCAGCGACCCUUUCCUCUUCUCCGAGCGGUCACCCCUGGCCUCAACAUUACGCGGGGAUGGGCGCAACUCCGACGUGGCCGCAGAUCCGGUGGCUCCUUCACCCACAUCGGCGUCCUACUCCAACCACCUCGGGCGGUUCCUUCACCCACCCCGGUGGCGCCCCUUCCCUCACACCGGCAUCCUCCCCCACCGGUAGCCUCCAAUACCCACAGAUUUGAUGGCCAUGGCACUACCCGCGCUAGGGAUUUCUCUCCCACCUUAUGCUGCAAUUGUAUGUUUUAGUUGUUUCAGAAGGUUCAUAGGUAUUGCAGUUGAAUUAUAUGGAUGUUGUAAAAGUAGAUCGGGGGAUGUGGUAUGUUGCAAUUGUUUUCUGAGACAUGUCGCAAUAGUAUGUUUGAGUGUUCCAAAUGUCCAAGCGUUUUUUAUAUGGAUAUUGUAUAUGUUCCACAUAUCUGUUGCAACAUUAUGUUCCAAAAUAUUUUUUCUGUUCCAGUUUUCUGUUGCAGCAAGUGUUUUCAAGUUGAAAGUGUCCUUUUUUUUAGAUGUUGCAUAUGUGUUUCACAUAUGUUGCAACUACAUGUUCUAGAUGUUUCAUCCGUUUAAGAUGUUUGUUGCACUCAGGUUUCAUAUUGCACAAGUUUCAAGUUGUUUUGAGAGUUAGGGGCCAUCGAGGAUUAGGGAGCGGCGAGCCGGUGGACGUGGCACGUGGCAUGCUUAGAGGCCAUCGUCAGGGGACACGACGGGGUAGGGGUGCUCCUGCAGGGAUGGGGAAUGGGAUGAGGUGCGGGGGCAUGGGGGGCAACGUGCGAGCGUGUUGAGCGUGCAAGUGGUGUCUCGAUGGAAGCUAAGCUCAUGUGCAUGUGUGUGGGGAGCGGAGGGGUUACCGGUGAGCGCACAGGCAAGGUAGCAGCACGAGCGUCCGGACGCUAGCGCUCGGAACGGACGUCCGGGCGCUAGCACUUUUAUUCCAAAAUACAUGAAUCCCGGUACAUAAAUGUACUGUUGGAUUUAUUUUAGGCUAGGCUUAAUUUAGAUUUAAUAAAUCAAUAAACUCUAUGGUAUGUAAUUGUGGAUAAUAUGAGUUGUAUCGGAUUGGAAUUCCAAGAGUCCUUGACGCUGCUGCCGCUGACCAGAGCCUGGCGUGGGCGUGGCGAGGCGAGGUGGGCCAGGCAGGUAGGCAUGCGGUGUGGUGGUGUGAUGUGUUAAUUUUUAGCACUCACUAAUUAUAGGAUUUUCAACUCCUGCUUGUCUCUUCAAUUGCCAUCCCUUUCUCUCCUCCCUCUCCUGCCGCAAGGCUAUAAAGAGGACAUGAGCCUCUGGUCUUGGACACACAACACACAACUUAGAACACAAUCCUACUGUAAAGAAGGAAUCCUCAUCUCGUAACUCCACGCGCACGAAGGAGCGAGAGGGCAGGUGCCUCCGAAAGCCCUUGCCGUUCAAAACCUUGCACGAGGGAUCAACAAUUAGGUUUUUGGGGAGCGUCUACGCGACUGCCCAAUUCACCGCUGCUGUUCGUCUUCCUCAAGCUGGUUCGGGCGGAUUUCUCCUUCCGAGUGGAAAGAUCGUCUUCAUCCUCUACAUCAUGGAAGUUGGUCAAGGAUCGGGAUCAUCGUAGCGCAUGGGAGGGUAUGAUCCAUUCAUCUUCAUGUUGUGUUUUGUCUUCCUGUCCGUACAUGUUGCAGUAGUGUAUUCAUGUUGUUGCGUAUACUAUCCUCGAUAUGUUUCGUAUGUUCUACCAUGUCUUUUCCGUUUCUAUCUUAUAUAUGUUUUUGCUGUAAGAUCUAUGUCAUGUCUGCUUGUUUCGUUGGUUAAGUCGAGACGUUUCAUAUGCUAUUCUUUUUGUGUUUCAGUAGUGGUUCAGUCACGUCUUAUGAUAUACUGUUUUUCAAAUGUUUUAGUAGUUCUGUUUCGUCGUUUCACAUGCAAUCUUUUGUUUAUUGCUGUCUUGAGAUAUAUGUCUUGCCUUGUUAUUAUGUUUCAUAUAUUGUGUUUUUAUAUUUUUAAUAAUCUCAUGUUCUACAUGUUCAUAGAUCACAUAUGUUCCAUAUUGCUAUGAACAUGUUUAAAAUCAUGAUUUCUAUGAUUAAUUAUAUUAUAUAUGUCAUCAUCAUAAUGUUGAUUUAUGGAAUUAUAAAAUGAUAUAGAAAUUGUCUAAUUAUCUAACAUGUACAUGAAUCACGACCCACCUUGACACCCGCCGGCUCUUGGAGUGCCUCUAGGCGCGCGUUCACGCCGCCACUAGCACCGCCGGUCGCGCUCACGUGUGGCCAGCCCGAUCGGAGGAUGCCGUGGGCGCGUUCGACAACGGUGGCGUCGCGUGCAGGGUGGCCGCCAUAUACAGGAGCUCCUUCUCCUUUGCGUCCGUGCCUUGCCUCGAUUUGUUCCUCCUUCCUCUUCUCUGGUCCAUCUUGUUUUUUCCUCCUCCUAGAAACUGUCAAAGGAGAGAUUUGUUUUCCUGCUAGGCCUGGAAAAACAAGUGACGAACGUCUACUGUGGCUUCAUUGCCUGCGAUGAUGCCGUGCAGCGCAAAUUUGCCGCUGCCGCCACCGCCAUUAUCCUCGUCGUCGACACCAUCGUGCUGGUGAAGAUUAAUAACCUUUCAGUUUUCAACAUGAUCAAAGCACCGUCUACCAACAAAGCACGGAUGUUCUAUCUUUUUGUCAAGGAGCAGCACAGGAGGGAUGUGUCCUCAUUUGUAGUUUUGAUUCAGAUUGUGUUGCUCUCUUUCUAGGGUUUGUGAGUUGGCUAGAUUUGGAAAAGUCGAAGAAAACAUAACGGUUAACCAAGAACACUUGUGGCAUAUAUGAUACUAUAUAUGGCCAAUUCUUUUAGAGUUAGCUUUGAGGAUUUACCUAAAUUAAGUGAAGUUGAUGCUAUUUUUUUUUAAAAAAAUAUAGUCAAAUGAUGCUUGCUUUUUUUCAAAUACGUAGGAUAACUGAUUCUAUAUGGUUUGCUCUCGUUUUCUUAAUUUCCAUGUGGACUUCGGGCUUGCAAGAUAGUAGCUGGACAGCAAUACCGGAAGAAGUUGGAUGGCCACCAGGUCUCUAAACUGAUGGACUCAACAUGCCAGCGUCCAUCUGUCUGUGAGGACAACAUUCGUCAGGUGCUUGCUAUUUCUCCAUAAUUUUUCUGUUUUAUUUGAUCUAAAUUGUGGGCAAAUACAAAUAAUUUGCAACAAAUGUCUGUAUAUAAUUAAUUAAAUGGUGAACUCUAAAGUGUAAUUCAAAAUUGGACCAGCAACUGCAUUUUUUUCUAUAGGUCGGUGGAUGACUCGACAAAGAAAGCAACAAGUUGAUUUUGAUGCGCGGAACAUUUUUUGACUGCGCAAGGUGUCUAAUUUCUGGGGAAAGGUAUAUGGCUUGUGACGAUUUCUUGUGCGUUUGGAAACCUCUAGCUGUUUGAUGCACAACAAAUUAAACCCCUUAUUCAUUUGGCAGAUAAAUCAUGACAGAAAGUACUGUUGACUGAUUUUUUAUGAGAGAAAAAUAUUACUGAAUGACUACCAGAUUUGGUUGGUAAGCUCAAGCGAAAUUAAUUAUCAUUCAUGUCCAUUUAGUAGAAAUAGGAAUAUUACACCAAUCAAUGUGCAUAGACGAAGAAAGGCUUGCUAAGUAUUUUGUUGGUCCACGUGGAUGGAGAUAAGGUUGGAAAACAAGUAUUGAUCGUUUUAGUUUCGCUUGGAGACAAAAAAGAAAGGUACAUCUAGAUAUAAAGGCAUAAGGUGUUCCCGAUCGAGGUUUGUAAAAUUAGCGGAGUUACAAAGUAAUAAUUGUUCAAAUAAGAUAAUAUCAAAAUAUAAUUCCAGAAAGUAUCCUUUGUGAAAUACUUUUUUUAGCUAGACAUAAUAUUCUUCUUUUUAUUUUUUAAGAUAUUUAAGUCAAAGUUACUAAAAAGGAUUUCCCAAAUGUAAUGUGUUGAGCUGUAAUGGCUAAGUCUUAGGGAAGGUUAUUUUAGCUUGCAUAUAUUUUAAUUUUAAUUUGCAUAGACUCCAACGUUAUCAUAGCGUUAGCACGUGCAGUGUAUUGCUGAUAAUGCAUAUUGUGGAAAGGAAAAAAAAGGGAUUAGCUAAAGUUGGCAGUACAAAAGGUGCACUUGAAUAUUGUGGAAUUAAAUAAUAGCAAAAAAAUGAGACAAUUUGAACUAGAUUGACUGAAAAUAUUUAAAAAAACAGACCAAGGCCUGUUCGAAAAACAGGUUGGCUGGUUUGGGCUGUCCUUGUGCAUGUGCUAAAGAAGGCAGCGUAGGCAAGUUUUAACCACUGGAUUGUCAUUGCACUCCCUCUGUCUACAAAUAAAUGUACGUCUCGAUUUGGAGGAGUCAAACCUUUUUAAAUUUAACCAAAUAUAUAUAAAAAUAUAUCAAUAUUUAUUAUAUGUAACAUGUAUCAUUAGAAUGAGCAUGAAUAUACUUUCAUAAUAUACUUAUUCGCAGAUACAAAUAUUGAUUUUCUUUGAUAUAUUUCUAGUCAAACUUAAAAAAGUUUAACUCCUUGAAAAACGAGAUGUGCAUUUAUUUGUAGACAACGGGAGUACCAUGCAUUGUAGUAUUAAGGCCUUGUUUAGUUGUGAAUUUUUUUUGGAUUUUGACAAUAUAGCAUUUUCCUUUGUUUGUGGCAAAUAUUGUCUAAUCAUGGACUAAUUAGAGUCAAAAGAUUCGUCUCGCGAUUUGCAGACAAACUGUUCAAUUAGUUUUUAUUUUCAUCUAUAUUUAGUGCUUCAUGCAUAUGUCGCAAGACUCGAUGUGACGGGAAAUCUUGAAAACUUUUUAGUUUUUAGGGUGAACUAAACAAAGCCGUAUAUAAAAAAAGUAUAUCACAGACACACGUUUAGGCAUAUCACGGAUCGGAUGCGCCUGAAUUGCAAUUAACGUUGCUAGUUUCGGUGAAGCCUUUAAUUUGCUACAAUCAAUCAUUGGUGAGAUUAUCACUGUGGAGGUUUCCAGAGAAUGCAGUAUGGGAAGUAACCAUCGCAGCUAGUUGAAGGAAAAGCGUGAUGGCGCUAGAACAACGUGACUCUUUUCGUGCAAUUUAACGUACAUCUAGUGAUGAGGGCACGGGUUAUUAUCUUUGCUGAUAAUGCAUAUUGUGGAAAGGAAAAAACCGGAUUUGCUAAUUCUUGGCAGAACAAAAGGUGCACUUGAAUAUUGUGGAAUUAAAUACGAGCAAAAAAAAAUUCAGACAAUUUGAGCUAGAUUGACUGAAAAUAAAGAAAAAACAGAGGCCUGUUCGAAAAACAGGUUGGCUGGUUUGGGCUGUCCUUGUGCACGUGCCGCUAAAGAAGGCAGCGUAGGCAUGUUUUAAACAUUGGAUUGUAAAUAUACCAUGGAGUGGAUUAGUUUGCUUCAUACAACUAUUUAAAAAAACACACAUCACAUAGGCACAUUUAGGCACACAGAUGCGUCUGCACGCGUCUGCCGUAAUGCGUCUGUAAUAGUAAAACACAUGUCUGUAAUAAGUGGAUACUACAUACGUGUGUUAACAACACGAGACUACGAUCAAGACAAACACACGUCUAUAAUAAACCCUUAACAAAGAUUGGUGAGUAUUUACACACAUCUGGAGUAAGCUCUUAUUGGUGACGCAUGUUGCGAACACGCGUCCACGAUAAGAUUAUGGCGCUUUUGUGUGAAGAACCAUAGUUCACACACAUGUACUGUACAAGCGUCUAUAGUAGACGAUGUUUAUAAAAUGCAUCUGCAGUAGUUAGCAUACUACCGACUCAUAGACUCUACAUGCAUCUAUAGUAUUUUACUUACUACCAUUGACUACUACAAAUUUAUUAUUUUCUAAACUUUGAAAUUAAAAUGAUCUAUAUAAAAAACCUUAUAUUUCUAUAUUUCUAAACCAUGAAAUGAGCAAUGUAUACUAGCAAUGAAAGGUGGAUACUAGUUUUGAUGAACUACUUUCAGCUUUCUUCAUCUAAAUAUGCAAACUAGCUAUCAAGUGAUUUUGAGUUUAAGUGGUGUAUAAAUCACAAAAAUCCACCAUUAUUCUAAAUAGAAUAAACCACAUUUUUUUCUAUUUCUAGACCACAAAUGAGCCUAGUGAUAAAACAUAAGAGGACAAAGUUGGUAACCUUCAGAACCGAAGAUUGGAUGAAGGAAUCAAAUGAAAUCUUGAAAUGACUAGAGACGAGCAAGAAGGAGAUGGACACGAGCAAGAGCAGAGGGCUUCAAAUGGCUUGGGCUUGGGAAGAAAGACAGAGAAAGUACAAAGCCCAGAACCUAUAGUCCUAGAUUGUGGUUUAAACACAGACUACUUAUUGUCCUAGUUGGAGAUUCCAACCGGUAUUAAAGGUUUAGUCAUGGCUAGUAGUUCCAACUAUGGCUAGAGUUUGACCUUUAGUCCCGAUUUGAAUCACUAGCUGAGACUAGAGGUGCUCUCCUGCAAAAGAGGUGCUCUCCUGCAAAAGUUUGUGGUUCUAGCCAUUGGGCAGGAGACUUAAGUCCCGGUUGGUUACUCCACCUAAGAAUAAUACUCUCUUUAGUCUUGGGCUAAAAAUGGCCAAAACUAAAAACAAAUUUCAAUCCAAAUGGAAAGUCUAUUCUCCACUAGUAUUUUAACCUUGGCAGGCCAUGUUGAAAGACCAAAAACGGCGACCAGAGGGAGGGUGAAUGGCCUCAAAUUUCUUUCAAAAUAUUUGGCCACAGUCCCAAAAUCACUCCCGAGCACAAGUAAAUUAUCGAAUUUAAAAUACCCAAGCCAACUGGUAUCGAAAGUACCUAGAUCGAUUACUUACAACGAUAGAAAAACAGCAUAACAAACGGAUCACAAAACGAAGCUCAAACGAUCAAGCUACGAGCAAAAUAAUAAAUCGGAGCUAGAAAAGAAAAAGAAGCCGAUGAAGGGUCUGCUCUUCAUGGUGUAGCUACAAAAGAACAUGGUAGAGCUACCGAGAGCACAAACUCAAGCAAGGAUUAUCUCUGAGAAAGAAUUAAAAAAAUCCAAACACUAUUGCUGCACUGAGACAGCUUCCAAAGGUUGAGAUAACAAUUCACGUGAACCGCUAUUGCUGCUCUUUGAGCUGAGCAUGCAGGGGGGUGCUGUUUGAGCACGCAGAGAUACUACAGAGAGAGACGCUGGGCACCAACACUACUUGGGCGUGUCCCCUUCCUGCUGGAACGGUGCGGAUGGCCAAGAAGCCUCUCGAGCGCCCGUUCGGUGCUCGGUACGGCACUGGACCUCCCUGACUUUGCCUGCGAUGGAGCCGAAAGAGAGACUCGAUCAGUGGCAGAGCAAAAGUGAGCAGCUCGAGGGCCUGGCGGGGCGAGCGCCGCUCGAUUGAGCAGACACAGCACCUAAGCGCUCGGUGUUGGCAGCGCACUGCCGCUGAAAAAGCACGCACGACUAGACCCCAGAAGCACAGGAACUUGACGAACCCGACGAACUCGAUGAACACAGAAAGCGAGAGGCGGUUAAGAAAAUCUCGGUAAAAUUCGACUCAAAAUUUCAAGAAACGCUCCUAAAAUUUGCACGGACCAAAUUCACCUAGCAACGAAGCUAUUCGCCAAAAAUCAUUGCCUGGAAUUGACCCAAACUCUAAGAAAUUCAGAUCACAGCCAAGAACGAAAAACACACCACAAGUGCAGAACGAAAAUCACAGGCUCAAAAUUGGAAUCCCCGAGGACAUUUAGAAUUUGGAAGUCCAUUCCUAAUUGAAAUCACACAAAAUACACCAUGAAUUUUUAGUUCACAUGACCUCUCUCAUGAACAGGAAACUAACCCUAGGUAGAGAAAGGGGAAAUAAGAGUGGGGAGAGAGGUGGGGGAGACAAGGGACUCCCCCUUCUUAUUUAUCAGACAUAUUACAUAUUUUCUAAUUGUCUAUAGAUAUUUUUAAGCGAUCUAAUUAGCCACAGGGACAUUCUAGUCUAACUCGACAUAACCUAGAUCUGACGGCCACGGCGCCUUUCAUGAGGUAACUUAGCCUUGACGCCAACUCCUUAAUGCCACCACGUGGUGUCCGUUCCUCGAAACCUCCGCCCGGGUUCUGAGGUCCAAAUCCGUGAAACCCACUGCGGCUAGUCAUCCAGCCUUCUGGUCCGUCAGUCCAAGCCUCACAUCCGUCCUUCACCGCUCCAGAUCCAUCGACACGGCAUGUCUCUACUUGACCUUCUCCUCGCCGUCGACCACCGUCUCCGAACUCCACACCUACACACCACAAACCAAGAGACAUGUCGCACGACUCAACUCAUGCCAAUAGUUAGUCACUAACUCAAUAUUUAGCCAAAACCAAAUCCAAAAGACUUCACAUCGGUGGUUUGUUUAUUGAUUUACAUGAAUCGGUACCGGCGGGACAGCUAAUUCGCAAAUUGACAUGGUUGGGCCCCAUAGGCUUGAAUGUUAGUGACUAACUGGGCCCCAAUGACGAAUUGACGCUUGCUAGCGGGGCAAACUGUCCGGGCUCAAAUAUUGGUCGUUUCAGCAAAACUGAGCUAUGAAAUCUGCAUCGAGUAUGGCCUUACUUGUGGGCCCGCAAAGCAAAGCAAAGAGCCGGUCCAUGAAUAAUAUUCAUUGCCGGCCAACCCCAUUUGGAUGUUCAUGUGAUCGCUUCUUGAUGCUAGUAUUGACGUUUUCUUGAUGUUAGUAAUGACGUAAUAAGGUGCUGGUCGUAGCGAGUUUAAAUAAUUCGCAUGCAUUCCACUUCGUGUGUGGAUUGUGGACGUCUCUUUCCCUCUUGAUGCUAACGGCACUAUAAGAAAUGCAUGAUUUUUUGACAUAUUUAGUAUGACAAUAGACCGUGAUGUCAUUAUAUCAUCUAGAUUAUGACAUUUUGUAAUAAGUAUUUUGACCUAGUGACAUAAAAAAGCUGGAUGUCAUAAUAAAUGUCAUAGAACUAUUCUAAUUUCAUACUAUAAAAAUAUUCACUAUGUCAUGAGACCUAAUUUAUAAAUAUCAAAAAAAAUUGACAUAGAUUGGGUGUCAAAAAAUAUUUUUAGAAAUAUUUAUCAGCGUGAUUACUCAAAUGUUUGCCGUGGCAAGGCUUUGAACCCAUGACCUUCCGUUGGAACUAAAAGAGCAAACCAAAUGGACCAACGUUUGCCUGUGCUUGUUUGAGCAUUGUGGCUUUCUUUUGUUCUCAGGAGUCUGAUGGAGGGGAAAACAAGGGUUUUAAACAUGGGACCAAUUGCCAACAAGUAAACGAGCUAAGGCCAGUCUCAAUGGAGAGUUUCAUAUCAUUGUUUUCAAGGUUGCCAUGUCAUGUGAAAUGAAAUAAAACUUGGAUGAAACACCCACUCUCAAUAGAGAGUUCCAUUCUACGGUUUCAUAGACAUUUAAUUUUAAGACUCAUAGAGAGUUGGUAAUUGUGUCAAGAGAGUUUUAUCUAGAUGAAACCCAUUUCUUCUCUCUCUUCUUAAAUACAGUGUCAUAUCAUCCAAAAUGCCUAUGUGACAGCCUAUUUAGUGUGAAUAAAACUCAAGAUGAAACUCCCACUAAGACUGGCCUCACCACUAGGUCCAUUAUUUGAUAGUUACGUUUUAGGCGUUCUGAACUUUUUUUCUUCUUCGCAUAUGGGGUUCGAACCUGUCCCCCUCCUAAACAGUGUGAGCUAUCUGCCUUCUUUUCACAUCAUCUAAUAUCCGCACACACAAAUUACUCUUCCACUUUAUUUUUCAUCCCUACUAUUUUGUUUUUGUUUCCAUUAUUUAGGAAUUAAAAUAUCACACACGUAGAAAUUACUCUUCUAUUUUAUUUUACAUUCCAUCAAGGCUGUCAACAAUCUCAAAGGUGCAAAUCUUAGAACAAGCAAUAAGUUCCACUCUCUUGAUGAGAGAUUCUGCCAACCCAUUUUGAGUAUGGAUAUAUGGGACCGAGUGGUGAACGUGAAUUCCUAAAGCCAUGCAAUAGUCAUUGAAGGCAUGUGAAGAAAAUUCAGCAGCAUUAUCCAUUUGGAUGGAUUGGAUUUGAUGUUCAGGAUGUUGUGCCUUAAGUUUAAUAACUUUGGCAAUGAUUUUAGCAAAUGCAUGGUUCCUUGUGGAGAGGAGACUCACAUUAGACCAUAGUGUAGAUGCAUCUAUGAGAACCAUGAAAUACCUGAAUGGCCCAAACGACGGUUGAAUGGGACCACAUAUGUCUCCUUGAAUGCGUUCAAGGAACUUUAAAGGUUCGGCAUGAAUUUUGAGAUAAGAGGGUCUCAAAAUUAAUUUCCCCGUGGCACACGCAGUGCACACAAAAUCUGAUGAUUGAGGAAAUUUUGCAUCACUUAAAGUGUGACCAACAGAAUUGCUUAUAAUUUUCCGCAUCAUCCCAAUGCCAGGAUGGCCAAGGCGUUCAUGCCAAGUUUGGAAUGUGUUAACAUUCUGGAAAAUAAUUUUAUAAGCAACAUAUAGUACGGGUUUUAUGUAUGUGUAGUACAAUCCAGACUGGAGUGAGGGAACUUUUUCAAGUGUCUCUUUGCCAUAUCCGUUAUCUUUGGUAAUGAGAAGAAAUUCCUCUUUAUUGUCCAUGUGAGUUUCAACAUGGAAACCAUUCUUAUGGAUAUCUUUAUAACUCAAUAGGGUACGCAUUGAAUCAGGAUACAAUAAUGCAUCCUCAAUUGUUAGCGAUGUACCCAUAGGGAGCAUAAUAGUGGCUCUACUGGUGCCAACUAUUACUACAUCACGUCCAGCGAUUGUUAAAACAUUUUCUUUAUUCUUCGUGAGAGUUUGGAAAUAUUUUAUCUCCCUGAGUAUAGAGUUAGUGGUACCACUGUCCACUAAGCACAUUUCCUCUUCCAUCUUGAUUGACUCCCGUACAAUCUAUACAAAUGGAGAAAUUUGAAACAUGUAAUUCUCAACCAAUAUGUAUAGAAUACAUACUAUAUAUAUAGGUACUAAUUGUGCAUAAUACAAUUACAAUACCCAAUGUGCUUAAACAAGUAUAGUUCAAGGACUAACUUAUUACAUCCAUCCACAAUUUAACAACAUCAUCCACAAAUACUAUAUAAGGUAGCAAGGUAUCUCGAAGUGCAGGAGCCUAGUUGAAGUCUCCAAAGAUGUCGCCAGAGGUGUACUCCAUGAUCAUGUUCUCCGUAUCAGCGUCGUUUCUCCAUCAGGUGGUGGCAGGGCCUUGGUGUUGCUCGGUCCCGCAGGAGCGGUGUUGGAGCACCCAGGGGCAUCUAGCAUCGGUAGGUCAAGCUGGAAUGCUUGUUCCAUGUUGACACCGGCUUGAAAGUUGAAGUGUGCUUCAAAUUGUCCACCUUGAUUGGAACGUCCUUGAUCAGAGCGUCCUCAUCCCACGGAUUUCAAGUACAAUUCCACAAGUUGCUUGGGAGUGCGGCAUUUCUGAGUCGGAUGGCUAUAAUAGCCACAUUUGUCACAAGUGCUAGACUUGUAGGCUUCUUUUUGUCUAACUUGGAACAUCCUUUCCCUUGUUAGCACCCCGAGACUUACGCUGUCUCUGUCUCUUAUGCAUGUUCUUUCCUUUGAAGUUUCCAGGAUCACUAGAGUUAGUGGUAUUCCUUUGCUGUUUUGUCUGAGUGUUAGUAUGUACUUCUGGCAGAGGCUUGGUUCCCACAGGACGUAGGUUGGAGUUCCACAUAAGGACCUCACCAUGCUCUUCUUCCUGAAGUAAUGUCUUAAUUAACUCAGAAUAAACAGUGAAACCUCUUUCACAGUAUUGUUGCUGAAGGAUCAUCUGAGCAGGAAGUAAGGUAGAUAGAGUCUUCUCAAUUUUCUCUACAUCAGAUGGUUCCUUUUUGCAAAAUUUUAGUUUAGCACUGAGUUUAUGAACAACAUGGUUGAACACUCCCACAGAUUUAAAAUCUUGUAUGCGGAGAUGGUUCCACUCAUUUAGAGCUUCUCGUAGGAUGAUUGCCUUUUGUUGUUCAUAUCGUGUUUGAAGAGCAAGCCAUAGAGCGCGUGGGUCUUCUUCCAAUAUGUACUCAGCUUUGAGAUCCUGGUGGAUGUGGUUCCUUAUGAUGAAUAAGGCAUUGUACUUGUGAGGAUCAGUCAAUGCAUCAACUCCCUGUUGGGGUGGUGCAAUUGCCUGAUACAACCCGCGCAACGAUAGACUCACUUUGUGAUCCAUCGCCCAUGUGGUGAAGUUGUGGCCAUCAAGAGCGAGUACCUCAAACUCUAUGGUGGCCAUUGUGCCUACAUGAGUAGGGCCAUAGAUUUGUUAAAAAUCCUUGACAAUGUUGAAAAGUAGUGCGGAAUGCAAUUAAUCAAGGUAAACUUGAAAUAGAGGGACAUUCUCCAUUUAUGGAAUAACAUAGUCAAUCACCGAUGGUGUUAACUUUAGUUUAAUUUAAUUCUCAACAUUGGGUAUGCACGGUUAGGAUAAAAUCCCGCAGUAGUACUAUAGUACUAUCAUGUGUAUGGCCAAUGUGAGAAGAAUUAUAUGGUAAUCACUUCGGUGUAGACCUUGUUUUAUAAUCAAAUUGGGUACGCACGUUGAGGAUAAAAAUCCUGCAGUAGUACUAUGUUACUACCUUGUGUAUGGCCAAUUUGAAAAUAAAAGAUAGUCACCAAAAAGUGUAGACCAAUUUGUUUCAAAACUUGAUAUUGGGUAUACACGUUGAGGAAUAAAUCCCGCAGCAGUACUAGGGUACUACCUUGUGUAUGGCCAAUAUAAAAAAUUAAGAAAACUUAGUGUUAUUCCAGAAAUGAGAGAAAAUCAACUGAAAGCAUUUGCAUAAAAUAUUAAGUGCUUGUAUGGGAAGCUAGAAACUUAAUAUAUAAAUUGCAUAAAAUAAAUUGCAAUAAUUUUGUGGAGUAUGUUGUUAUUGGGAAUGCCGGAGGCAACACUGUGAACAAUAUACUCAACACAAAAAUAUUCAUGUUAUUGGGAAUUGCAUGAAGCAAACACUUUGAACAUGAACAAACCAUGUAUAUUAUAUUGCAUUUAAAGAAACACACAUAUAUAUAUAUACAUGGAUACAUCAUCAGGGGUCUAAAAACAUUAAAACAAUUUAGACUAACACACUGAUGAACAGUACUGCAAAAUUAGCAAUUAACAAGAUAGUUAACAAACUAAAUAUAACAGAAAUAAGUAGAUAAAUAUUGGGAACAAACAAGCUAGCUAUCCAUCGACAAAGGUAAAACAACAGAUAGUAGAUGCAAGCCCAUCCAGCAUGUGUGCUGUACGAGCAUACUCCUAGCCAUAAAGAAAGGCCACUUCUAGCUCUCUCCAACCAGAAAGCAAACGAUGGACCGCACACUUGCAUGUGUGCUGUACAAGCCCAUCCAGCAUAUGCCGUAAGCAGAAGCAAGCAGGUAGUGCUCUCUCAUCCCACGCUCGCAUCCAAAGCCAUGCUCCUCCCUCAUGGUGUGCUCAAGAUGGCGGGGAAGCAAGACCCCCAUCCUCAUCGGAGGAGGACCGUGUGCCACCGUUUCCGCUCGGCCCGGCAUGGCCGUUCGGGAGGCUACGCGCCGAGUCACCGUGGGGAACGCAAAUCCAUGUCCGACGGAGCCCCAGGUGGCGGUUGGCGGCCUGUCCGGCAUGCACGUGGUGACGGGACGCUUCAGCAAGCUGUGGAGGAGGACGCGGUGCAGCAAGCUCUGUGUCGGUGAUGAUGCGGCGUGCCGGGGCAUAUUGACGGGCCGCAAUGGUCAAAGGAGAACGGCUCUGGUGCCUCCUCAAUCCAGCCACGGUGAAGGACGGAGUCGGUGCACUUAGCGCCGGCUCAAUCUCCAUCGCUGCGGGGCCGGCCCAGUUAGAGGGGCCAACGACGUCCGGCGCUGGAGGAGGAGGGGCGCAGGGGCCGUGGCCAUGGUCGGGGCAGAACCUCGGCAACCACAAUGGGCAUGGCCCCGGCGCGUGCUCGGCGCAAACCGGCGCAGGGGCCACAGGCGCAUCGCCCACGCGACAACAACCACCAUGACCGCCGACCCGCAUCCGGAGUCCGUGGCCCCUAUCCCUUCCCCGGCGUUCACCAGCCUUUCACCGAGAAAGGAAGCAGAACAUGUCGAGCAGUUCAUCGCGGAUGUAGUGGUGGUUGAACGACACCCCCAAGUUGAGGGCACGGUGGAGGAUGAAAAAGACGAGAUCGGCGACAAGGAUCGCUGAAGGUACGUAGCGCGGCAUGGUACCUUUGGAUCGGCUUCUUCGCAAACUUGAAUGGCCUUCAACUCCUUGCAGGCCUGCUCACCAGCGUUCUUCUUCCUGGACUCCCUCUCGAGAGCACAUAGACUCAAGCAAUUGUUGAUAACGUGUUUGCGUUGGAAUGUAAAUGAGAAUGUAAAUGGGUGAAUGAACAGUCUUUCAUUGAUCUAGUGAUGUAUAUUUAUACACCCGUACGAACACCAUGGCGGAGUGCUUGCAGGCAACCGCUCAUGGCGCCGACGGUUCGACAGAACGUGGUGAGUGGGAUCGGGAGCGGGAGCGAGUGCGGGAGCAGUUCCCGUUCUCUGAUGAGAUCAACCCAGUCAAUAGUUGUAACAUUAUUGAAUUUGGAACAUCCAGCGUGGCUUUCUCCUAGUCGUCGCUCCUCGGUCUUUAACUGCAUCUAUCUAAUCUCCCUGGUGGACAAACAAUAUAAGUAAUUUAGUAGAUUUUUUAUAGCAAAAAUAGAUUAGUGCACCCUAAUCUCACCCUGCCCCUGUCCCAACCGCUGCAUGAGGCGGUGCAUUGCCAGCAUGAGCAUCUUGAAGCAACGCUGCUACCCCCGAUCGAUGCUCUGCAUGAGGCGGUGCAUUGCCAGCGUGAGCAUCUCGAAGCGGCGCUGCUGCCCCUGCCCCUCGAGCAGUGGUGGACCUAGCUAGAAUUUUGGCAUAGGGUAUGCCGCGACAACAUUUUCACGCGUGAUUCUGCCAAUCCUAUUUUGCAAUUGGGUAUAUACAGUAACAAAAGUUAUCCCACGAUUCAGUAUAUAAAUAUGAAUAAUUCAUAAAUCAAAAGUACCUAAAUUCCUAAUAUUUGACUACUAUAUGAAGAAAACCUAUUUGAUUUUACACGCUACCUCAAUGCGUAAAUUUAAUGUACAUAAACAAAUUGUAUUAGUUAAACGGAAAGAAGGUAUAUCAUGCUAUUGGACUUGAGCAUAAAAGGAUGGCUUGGUUUUGAAAUGUUGUACAGUGUAUAGGUGUUUGGAGCUUUUGUGCCUGAUGAACGAAGUAGUACCUCUACUGCUCAACGCUGGCUACCUGCCCUAGAUCUUAUAUUAAUUAUUAUAAGCAAACGAAAUGAGUAGACCCUGGAGCAGCUACUUCCUAGCUUGCACUAGCCUAGGGUAUGUCGUGCCAUACUGGUGCCACCCACACUGGCUCUGCCAAUGCCCUCGAGGCCUCGACUGCCCCUCGAUGCUUACCGCCAGCCGGCCGCACUCUGGAUGCCCGGCCAGGGGGGCAGGCGGUCCGACGGUUACUGCAGUGCACCGGUACGUCACUGCGCACCCAGCCAGUAUCUCUCUCGUGCUGUCCUCAUGAAACGAAUGGAAGGCUGCCCCGGAAUCUCUCGUGCUGUCCUCAUGGCUGCCAAACCCUUUUCUUUUGCUGUGCAUGACGACAGAGUGAAGGAGGAGAGAGAUGAUGGGUAGUGAUAGGUCCCACGCUAUUUUUGGAAUAUGUGGGAGGUUUAGUUGUUGUACAACUUAGCUGCAAGAGUAUCUGACAUGGCUUGGCUAUUGGCAAGUUUAUUGGAGCAUGGUCAAUAAGCUUGGCUAAUAGCCAAGACAUGUCAUCUUGAGACUAGCUUAAGAGCCAACUCAUACAACAAUGAGAGUAGGUACAAUAAGCCAUGUCAACUUGGCUAAUAGCCAAGACAACUUAGCAAAGUCUGAUGUGGGAGAGAGAGAAAAUAGGAGAAAGAGAGAGAGAGGGAGAGAGAGACUAGUGGGAGACGCGCUCCUAGGCAUGUGUAGGACCAACUGAGAAUCAAUGUGAGGUUGCAUGUGCUGGUUCUAUUCUGUCCGCGAAUGAGAGGAAGGAGGUAGGAUGUAGUGGCGGGUUCCACAUAAUUAAAACUAUUUUUGGAAUCCAUUAAGAGCCAAGCUUACUGUAGAUAUUGGCUUUAAGACUAGUUCACCUAUGACAUGGCUUGGCUAUUAGCCAAGCUUAUUGUUCUUGGUGGGCUGGGAUGAAUGCAGCUAGACUACGGAAGAAGUAAAAAAUAUACAGUUGCCCUACAGCCCUGCAUCCUUGUUUCGGUGGUCCCACGUCUAAACUUGCCUCUUUCCCGUAGGCCCUGCAUCCUUGUUUCGGUGGUCCCAAGUUCUAAGCUAGCAUCUUUCUGAUAAACUCUAAAACGACUGUGAGGGAGACAGGCCAGCCCUCAUACAUAGUGUACACACUACAUACACCAUGCAGCUGCCUUACAGCUGCACCAUGUGUGGCAGAGGGCUAUUGCAAGGCAUGCCUGAAUAUACAUGUGGCCUGAUAUUUGUGGACCAAAUCGUUGUGUUCUUCCGCCUGCAAAGGAUCCAUGUUCCCCUGCUUCCCACACCACCGGAUCGCCUCACUACUUCCCUCACUACUUUUAUUUAUAGUAUAGUAGCCACGUUCUCUCGGCACUACAAGUAGAAGUAGUGUACACACUACAUACACCAUGCAGCUGCCUUACAGCUGCACCCUGUGCGGCAGAGAGCUAUUGCAAGGUAUGCAUGAAUACACGUGACUUGACAUUUGUGGACCAAAUCGUUGUGUUCUUCCGCCUACAGAGGAUCCAUGUUCCCCUGCUUCCCACACCACCUGAUCGCCUCACUACUUCCCUCACUACUUUUAUUUAUAGUAUAGUAGCCACGUUCUCUCAGCACUACAAGUACAAGUAGUUCUCUCGGCACUAUAAGUAGAAGCCCCACGUUCUCUCGCCUCAAUACUUCCCUCACAAAGCAUCAUCGUUCUCUCGGCACACUCACCAAUCAAAAUCCACCCGUCCUCGUCUCUCUCCUCAUCAUGGUCGGACAAUACCCAUACUACCUCUACGCCGGCAGCUCCAGCUCACAGCCGCCCAAUCCCUUCGAGCAGCAGCCGAUCCAAUACCCAUACCACCCCUACGCCGGCAGCUCCAGCUCACAGCCGCCCAAUCCCUUCGAGCAGCAGUCUAUCUAGGACCCAAACCAGUAGCAGCAGCCGAUCCAGGACAGUAUGAGCAGCAGUCGCUGUCGAUCCCGCAACCGAUCCAGCAGCAACAGCCGCCGAUCGCGAACCCAAAACCAGCAGCAGCACCAGGUACUGAACCUGAACCAGCAGCAGCCCAACAAUAAGCUUACAACCGAGCAGACACAGUUCUUCCUGCAAAACGGGGUUAAUCCCGAGAACAUAGUGUUCUACUUCGCACAGGGGUUUGGCGCCGAAGAGAUAGCCGGCCUCUACAACCUGAACUUGUCGGAGCAGCUCCGGACCAUCAACAACCAACCUCUCCCUCAGGUAGACAAUGAACCAGCGUCGAACAUCAACAACCAACCUCUCCCUCAUGCACAAAAUGAACCCCCUCAGGCAGCCAGAGCCGGCCGAGGACUUCAACAUGCAACCUCCCCCUCAGGUACACUUGUAACAUAUGUAAAUACAUAAUUAAAAUAUUAAUUAUGUGCUAUAAUAAACAUAAUUAUUGAGCAUCAUGGAAUUAAUACAUUCAUGUUUUAAUAAUGUCUUGUAUGCAAUGUUGGGUCAUGUUUUGUAAAUCUUAGGUGUGUUGAGCAUCUCCAACAACUUUGUAAAACAACUUGCUAUCUAAAAGAUUUGGCAAAACCACAAAAUUUCAUCUCCAACAACUUUGUAAAUCAACUUGCUAUUUAUUGGAACUUGCCAUCCAGCCGAGCCGCACGCGUAUGUAUACGCGCGCGUUGCCGAGUUCCUAUCGCGAAAAUUCUCCGUCGCUGGCUCCGUCCCGGGCGAGCUGUCCUCUCCCGCGCGUGCGAAACUCUUCCCCCUCCUAUCCCUCGCGAUAAAGACCGAUCCACUUCCAUCUGCAAAUUAGAUCGGCGACCUCUCUUUCGGGCGCUGCUCUGUUCGACCUGAAGCCGCCUCGACGUGAAGCCGCCAGGGCGUCGUAGCUCUCCUCGACGUGAAGCCGCCAGGGCCUCGAUAUGAAGCCGUCGGGUACGUGCUCGUACUCGUCAUCUGGUUCAACUUGGAAAUGGAACUGGAUUAUUGUUGUAUUCUCGCCAUAGGGCUUGUGCUCGUGUACUCGCCGUAGGGCUAGGGUAGGUCGCCGCCAGACAGCACGGCUUCAGUUUUAUAAAUAUAUAUGCUAUUCUCAAUCUUGCAACUGGAUUGUCAUAUACUGUUCGUGUGACGGGAUUAAUCUCCUGUCGGCUGGAUUACCCAACAGAUAUGGGGGCAAUGGCUGGGUGAAACUGAAACUGAACAAUUGGUUUAGCCUGUACGUAAUCCUGCCAGUGCUAAGUUCAGUUAGUUUCAGAUCAAUGUCCGGGGAAUUCUUUUGCAAUUGCUUGACCAUAACCUUGUUCAUGGAAGUAUAGUACUCAUGUUCAGGAAGUGCUAUGUUCCCUGUCAUGAUCGGAUUCUUGUCACUUAUAUUUUUCUGUAAAUUAUUUUGCAAUUAUAUUUUAGAUUUCUUUGUUCAUGGUAUUCUGCUAGUACUCAUUGCUUGACCAUAAUCUUGUCAUUUAUAGUAUUCUGUCAUUCCAAUUAGGAUGGAAGGAGAAGAUGCAGAUUUCUUGUCCGACAUUCUCAAUGUAGAUGGGGCUCAUGUUGCUGGUUUGGAUGAGAUGCAAAUUCCAAACACUCAAGACAGUACUCGUGUUGAGGAAGUGCAGGGCAGCCGCAGUGGUACGAAGGGAGGAAGGAGGUCCAAAAAUUUUCAUUGGAAGGAGGAUGAAGUUGUUUGCUUGGGAUGGUUGGCUGUUAGCAAGGAUCCCCUGAAUGGGGCUUAUCAAUCGCGUACCACAUUUUGGGGAAGAGUUCACGCUUACUAUGAGGAAAAAAAUGAAUCUGGAGUUCCUCGUACAGAGAGUUCCAUUAUGCAUAGGUGGCUAACAAUCCAGUUGCAAGUGAACAAGUUUUGUUCGUGCUAUGAGGUCAUUCUACGCAGGAAUCAAAGUGGCAAAACUAUCCAAUACAAGGUAUGAAAUAUGUAUUCAAUGUUUUAGUUGAACUUUUUUUUGAUAAUGUAUAUAUACAUUGACAAUAUCUGUGUACAGCUUAAUGAAGCAAAAAAGAUGCACACGGACUUGGACAAGGAGAAAAACUUUUACUCUUGAUCAUUGCUGGACCAUACUGAAGGAAGAGGACAAGUGGAAAGCCAAGAUGGUAGAACUUGCAGAGUUGGAGAAGCUAGCAGCAAGCAAGAACAAAAAGAAGGCUGCAAAGGUGUCAAGGCCAAGGAAUGAAGAAGCCAUUAAUAAUGAUGAAGUCAUAGCUGUUGAUGCUUCACCAACAGCACCAAGGAAGAGGUCAGAUGGGAUAAAGAAGGUACAAACUUAAUGUGCAUGAUAGCAUAUAUAUAUUAUUUCUUUAUGUAUUUGGUUAGAAUUGAUUCUUGAAUUCAUGUACAGGUAAAAGAAAAUCUAAGGUGAGGAGGUGGUGAGGCUUGCAUGGCCGCUUUGGAAAAGAUGUGGUCAAAGAAGGAGGCAUUUGACAAGGAAAAGGAGAAGGCCAAAGAGGAAAGGUUCAUGGCUACACUAGAGAUAGAGAAGGCUACACUAGAGCUAGAGAAGAAGCGGGUGGAAAAUGAGGCAAAAAAAGCUGAAGCCGACUUGAUGAAAGAAGCAAAAGAAAUUAUGUUAGCGGACACGACUACCCUCAACCCGAUGCAGCGUGACUGGAUUGAGAUUAUGCAGAACAAGAUUUUUGCGAGGCAUGCUGAAAAUUAAGUUUAGUUUAUGUCAUCUCUUAUUUAUCCUAGUUUAAGUUCAUGCUACUGUCCAGAUUUAUUUGAGAUCAACGUGAAGCUACUGGUUUGCAUGCUACUGUCCAGAUUUAUUUGAGAUUUAUGUAUGAGAUUUAUUUGAAAUCAACGUGAAGCUGCUGCUUAGGAUGGCUGCUGCUGACGGUACUGCGUGACGCUGCAAACUGAUGAUGGCCUGGUACAUGCCUGAAGCUGCUGCUUGAGAACAGGAGGUGAAUCGUCGUUGCCGAGUGGAAUUUGCUCCCUGGUGGGCCUCCUUUUUUAAGAUUACCAAGUUGGAAUAGUAAAUUGUUGGAGAGAUAGCUUUUUUACACUUGCUAAAUUAAAUAGCAACUUGCCAGACCACAAGAUUUAGCAACUCAAUUUUACAAAGUUAUUGGAGAUGCUCUUAAGUCAAUCUUGUUAUGCAGUAACUAAAAUAAUUCCAAAACAUGUUGAAAACAUAUUGAAAUACUUGGGACUAACUCUUACUUGUUCUUGAGCUUGUCACUUACAAGCUUCAUAACCCAUCAAAUGUUGACAUCUCCCUAAAAUGCUUCAGAAAGAGCAAACGAAAAAUCAGUUUAACAUUUUUACAAAGUGACUGGAAUAGUUUCAAUUAAACAUAUAUGCAACAAUAUUAACUAUUCCCUCUGUCCCUGAAAGCUUCAAUUCCUAGAAUCUGUGUCGCUCAAACUUGUUUAACUUUAAUCAACUUUAUAGAAAAGAGCAUCAAUAUGUAUAACAUAAAAUAAGUAUCUUAUGAAAAUAUAUUCAAUGAUAAAUCUAAUGGUAUUAAUUUGGUACUAUAAAUCUUAGCGUUUUUUCUAUAAAUUUGGUCAAAGUUUUAAAAGUUUGACUUAGGACAACUCUAGAAGUUGCAGCUUUCAGGGACAGAGGGAGUACAAAACAACAAUUUCAUAUUGGUCGUUGGACAUAAGAAGAUAUACUCACUCUGAAUUGGGUGUAUUGGUGAUUCAUUGUUCAUUCAGCUGGGUACAUCCCUACGUCCCUAAAGAAACAGAAAAUUUUGAAUUUUAUAAGAACAGCAGGACAAAGAAAUUGUAUGGUGGUAAUAACAACAGGCCAUAUGUAUCCAGACUUGGUACUAGAUUCAGGCUAGCACAGCAACCUUAAGAUUUCAAGAUAUACAUGAUGGGACUUAAAACAGCACAAACAUUGACAACAUACUACAUUCUGGAAAUACUUUGGCUUCUGAGUAACAGACAGAUUUGAAACAACUGAUCGAUUAGCCUGGACAUUCAAAGAACCAACUCGAAGGUAAAGCAUGCAGUUGCAUAGCUUGGUCAUUGCAGGUACUAAGUAGCGCUGUAUUCCCACAAUUAUACCAAUCCAUCCGCCACUUGAAUGGAUUGAAGUAGGCUUUGCUCUUAGCUGGGAGCCUGGGACUUGUCAUGCAGCCAGAAACAUCAUGACAAAGCUAGUGGAUACUGUGAAAGUAUGCAGAUUUAAUUUGAUGGACAGAAACCAGGGAAUAUACAGAUCUGCUUUCUACAUUGGAAGCCUGUUUCAGUUCAACAGAACAAACACUGAUUCGAAUCAUCUCCAAUCAUGCAGCACUUUGGAGUCCUCUGUCACAGUGUAAGACAUAGUUGGUGACUUGUACUAGACACUGAAAACUGGGAAAAUUUUACAACAAAGCUAUAUACAUGUCUAAAGUAGAAGAUUCUGACACAAAGUUGAACGAAAGAAUAAAAUGCAGACUUUCAGUUUAUCGUCUCUCUGAAGUCAACCACCACAAGAAAAUUCAACAACGAACUAGAGAAGAUGGUGUGCUUAUUUAUCCCAAUUCCCAAGUACGAACCUGCUACAUGAUACUUAAUAAUAUCAUGAUAAUCAUAAAAGGAGAAUGGGAUUUGCUACUGAGUUAAUUGGACACAGUUCUUGGAUUCAUAGAAGGAGAGAUAAAAUAAUAAUUUUCUACUAAAUUCCACAUCAGGCGAGACUACACUGUACCUACUACUAGAUAGAUAAAAUCGAUCUGCUUUUGUGGACGACCAGUCACCAGGUUCGAUAGAUCAAAGUAUCCAACCCUAUUAGUACCAGUUCCAAAUCGGAUCACCACCCAAUUAACACCCAGAUGAGGAAAAUGAAACCACAUGAAAACUAAAGCGGAUCAAUGACACAAAAUAAUAAGGGCUUCUGAAUUAUUACCAAUACAGGCACCACAACCGGAGCUGAUCUACCCAGCCGGGCCCCUCCUCGAUCGCCUUGAAGCACUCUAGCGCUGGCGUGGCAUACUCGUAUACAAAAAGAAAUAUAAUAGAAUAAUAAAGGCCCACUGAGAAGACGAUGCAGCAAGACGAGAGAUCAGAUCGUUUUAUAUGCCAACAAAUAUAUGAUAAAUAUAAGUACAACAAGAAAGAAGAGAUCCUAAACCGGCGUUCCGCACAGCUGAGCAGAUCGAUCGAGGGCACCCGCUCGCGGCCUAGUGCGAGCCGUGGCUGGCUGGGUGCAGCGAUGCCCGCACUGGUUGCAUCCAGCAUUCCAGGGCUGGGUGGCAACGACGGCGGUUGAGAGCCAGAAAUAUUUUGGUAGGGUUAGGGAUGACUUGGAGUAACCAUCAUUAUAUAUGGGUCAUAGACUCAUGGUUGCUCGAUGGGCCACCGGGCCUUUAAAGACCCAUGCAAAUGAACGUGGAGACAAUAUCAGAACACAAGACCCAAUUGAGGCGUUAAAUAGAUUGUAAAUGUAAGUUAGAUGGUUGAGGUGAGACAUAACUUUACAAUGUCUUGUUUUGCACAAGUGUUUCUUGGAUUAUAUAUAUGGUCAUAUACAUUUGUGUGAAACUACUAUGGAAAAAAUAUCAUCGUUUGAUUGUUUUCAGGACGUUAGCACGGGCAUUAUACUAGCUUACGAUGAUGCGCCAAAACUAAUAUAUAUUUAUAUUACAAAGUGUUGCUAAAAAAAUUAUAGUGUAAAUUUUGUGUCGCCGUGGACACCCGCAGGGGAAAAUAAAAACCUGUCCUGAACCCACUCUGUUUCGGGUCCCCAAACCGACAGACCUCCGGGGGCAAAAAUACACCCGCCACCGCAACAGCCGGCUCCAAAACCCACAGGGAACCACCACGCUUGGACCCGAUUGCCAUUAGUGCCAGCCCUAAGGGUAGGUCAUGAGGUGUGACGACCGAGGGCCCAGGAUGGGGUCCAAGCCCAAGUAUAUAAUACCUCAUACAUUUUAGCUAUAGUCCACUAGAUUUAGGAUUAAUAAGAACUAGGUGAAUUCCCCACAUGUUGUUGCAGGAUUUUCUUUAAAUUAAAUCAUUGUAUACAUAGCAUUACUAUAUGAUAUUCAGUAUAUGAUGUAUAUAUAUCAUUAUUUACAAUCGAGUGUAAGGGAGAAAGAGAGAUUUGAUAGGAGAUCGCUCAGUGCUGAUCCUGCGGGCGCCUCAAUGCCAGUGGAGCCACCCCCCUCGUUAUAGAGAACGACGUUGAAGCGGUGGAGGAGCUCUUAGUGCCCCUCUCUGAGUUGCUCCGCUCUCGGUGCAAAGCGUGAGCUAGAUGAUGAGGACUUGAAUGAUCUAUAUCGAAUCAUCCCCCUCUCUUAGGAUCCAACUUCCCCUUAUAUAUCGAGGUAGGUCGGGUACAUGGUGGUUUGGGGGAGUUGAGCCUAUGGUCUACAAGCACCGGAGUCUGGGAGGGUCUUGUAGCGGCAUCGUGUGGACCGUGGUGGUGUUGUUGAGCCAAAGAAGCCCUGGGCCUCGUUUGGCUACUCUAUUCCGAUUCGCUGAGUGUUAGGCUCUAUCAGCUUGGACCAACCUUCACCAGGUGCGCCUUCCAGAGGCUUCUUGGUGGCAAAGGCAGCUGGCUUGGGGGUGGACGCGCGGGCUUGGAAGCCCCUGAACCCCUAAUGGCAAUGGAGGAGUUUGUCUUCUUGCAUCACGCCUCAUGCGUGACCCUAUCGAAGGAGCGGUUUACUGCGCCACGUCUAUUGGGCAGAGCUAGGUAGCCCCCAAGCAUUGUUGGCUCAGGGGUUUAUUUGCCUCGAGCUCGGGCCUUGGUUGGAACUAAAGGCCGAGAAGGAGCUAAGGUCGGGUCUAAACUCGCAUCGAUCGUGAGCCUAGGGCUCGGGUGAGCCCUCGAAUCCGGAGCAGAGGUAGCGGACAUGCUCGGGCUUGGUCCAAUGCCUUAGGGGUGCGCGCGAGCAUACCUGAUGGGUAUAUAGCCCCCGAGCAAUCCAAGAGGGGUCGAUCGGGGGUCUUUUGUUCAGGAACCCUUGAUCUCGAGGUUUAACAUACCCCUAUGUUCAGAUCUCAUCAGUCAGUAAGUUGUUUACACUGACUAAAAAUCUAAUGCUGGAGACAAGCAUUUCUCUGAAGCCUGUCUCACCAUUUUCAAAGAUGGUGCCAAAAAAAUACUCGCUUCCCUUAACCAGCGAGGCUAUCUUGUCUUCUAAAAUAUAUUUUGUAGUAGAGCAAUCUAGUUGAGUUGAGGGAGUUGCUAGUGGGCCGAGAUGGUCGGUAAAGGUAGGCAGUAGCGCAAAUAUUUUCACCAAUGGUUUGUAAUAUAAAUCAUUCACAAUAUGGGACAUGAAGUGACGUUGAUACUAUUUUCACCACCAAUUCAUGUCCUAAACUGACUGGAAAUUACCACUAAUGUUUUUUAAUAUCAAACAGGUGGUGAAAAUGGUGUUGCUAAUAAACAGGCCACACGCCUUCCUAGCUAGUUUAUUUAUUCAGUAUGUUUUGCAUCAGAAACAGAUGGAUGCAUUACACAGUGCCUAUUCUAGGCAGCAACACACAAACGGUGUGAAGGUUGUCUCGCAGUAGGAACCUAAGCCAUAAUGGUGGUGUCUGCAAUAAAUCUCGCACUGCACAUCAAAGAGACAAUGUUUGUCUGUGUGGCAAUUCGGCAACGGCGUCUUCAGCGGUGAUAUGUCUGGUAUGGGUGAUGAUACUAUCCAAGAACGGCUCGCGCCUACAGAUGCAACGCCAUAUAUGACAAUACACAAAUCAAACAAGUUUGGUUCCAUAAGUUAUUUACAUAUAUAGUAUUAGGCCAGCCUCAAUGGACAGUAUCACUGCACGGUUUCACAUACCAACACGUCAUCGAGAUUGAAAUGAAACUAUCUAUGAAAUAAUACUAGCAAUGGAGCAUUUCACUUUGUUGUUUCCAAGGCUAAGCAAAGCAUUUAAUUACUGCAAAAUGAUUAGAUCACAUGCAAGAUGGUGAAACGAUUUGGUCCUCAGUGGGGAUUUCAUCCCGUUUCACCGCGUGGGAAACAACGCUCGUGGAGUUUCACCAUGGUGAAACUACUUCCUUCUCUCUCCUCUUCGUUUCAUGCAAAAAGUGCAGUUUUGCUAACAUGACGCACUAAUAAAUGUGCAUGACAUCCUAGUGAAACCUCCACUGAGACUGGCCUUAGAACAUCAUACAUCAGCAGGUAUGUAUAAUUGCAUAUCUCACCUUGGCAGGGCGUGAUGAUUGAGGACAAGGUAGCAAGAACGAAGAACAAAGCAGCUGUCAAGGAAACCAUCCUCCAUGCAUUGCCCUUGACAAAUGACAUGACGAGGAAAAGGGUGUACAUACUAGUACAACCCUUUUGUUUUCUGUGAAGAGGAGAGCGGAUGUACAUAAGUAUACAAUUUAUAGAACCGUGGAACCACUUCCGAUCAAUGCAUAAUUUAUGGCACGAUUAAUAUUGACCAAACAAACCACAAAUGCAUUGUCUAAGAAAGAAUUUAUUCCUUCUGUUGCAACAAUGACCAACCUUAAUUAGUCUCUUCUCUCUAAUUAUUUCUCCUUUAGUAAAACUCUAGUCUCAAAGAUAUUUUAGUAAGAUAAAAAUGAUUAAACUAUACAAUUAGUAUGUGGUUUGUUUAUUGGGCACUUAUGCAUUCAAUUCCUUUCAUAUUUUUAGUAAACCUAAGACUGAGAAGAGAGAUUUUUCGGUCUAACCAUGUCUUCUAUACUUGCCACGGUGCGUCAGUGCCUGCAUGUAUCUCCAUGUCCUGUAUAUGAUCUGAUAUGACACUUGGUGAUACGAGUUAGAAUUACGUACAUUCGUGCAUCCAGCGAUGGUACAGAGUCUGAUUCCCAGACGUACUCAAACCAAAGGCACAAUCCUUGAAUAACUCCAAGCCACAAAAUCAUCUCGUGAUAACACAAUAUGUUGUAUGUGCUUCUCCAAAUUUUUGCAACCAUUCGAAAGUCGGUGUCUAAUAACUGGCAACACAUUACGGGGUUAUCUAGAACAAUGGUUGGUGGGCUUAGGCAUAAGCCAAACUUAAUGGUGAACACAAAGACAACGAUUUAUACUAGUUCAGGCCAUUAGAAUAGUGUAAUACCCACGUCCAGUUAGACGUGUUGCCUUGUGUUGGAUAGUUGUGUAUGUUAUACUAGGAGGAUUCCCGCGCGUUGCCGCAGGUAUGAAGGAGCAAUCUAUAUAUAUGGUGUUGGUAAUGCAGGGACAUGAUAUAAUAUAUGUAUAGAUUUUUUUAGUAUAAUCGUGGAAAUUAUAUCCAUAGUGGAUGGUGUGCCUCACUGAUGUGGAUAUCAUAAUUCUUAUGCUAGUGAGCUUUAAUUGCAAAUAAUAGUGGACUGCUGAGGUGUGGACAUCUUGCAUAUCAAGAGAAAUUGCUAGUCGCAAAAUAUAGUGGACUGCUAAGGUGGACGUCUUGCAUAUCAAAAGAAAUAGCUAGUGGGGUUUUACUUAUAAGAGUUAUAGAUUACAAGUGGGCUGCUCCCGCCUCUCUUUAUAUAGUGCAAAGGGCAGGCGCAUAAGCAGAAUCCUGUCGGAUACUACAUAAGAGUUCCAGUUCUAUUACACAACUUUUCUAAGAACCGACUAGGUUGGUCGUUGAUAUUUUGGAGUACUCACCACCAAGUAAAAUCAAGUAGCAUCCGGGUACCUUUGGAGAGAAGCCACGAAGUGCUCUUUGAACUCUUCAAAUGGUGUGCUCUUUCUAGCAAAGUGCACUCAGUGUAGCACCCAAGCCUCUUGCAAUUUAGCAUGAAGAGCUAGAGGGUCCUUUCUGCAAUUAUCCAAUUCCUUUCAAAAAAAAGUUUGAAUGCAUCUGCUGAGGAUAUAUCAAUGUUUAAAAUAGAGGGAUUUAGCGUAAUUGGUAUUUGUAAUGUCUGUCUUCUAUGUUUAUUAUGUGUAAAAUUACCUAAUGCUUGAUAUAUUUUUUGCUCUGCCGCUAAAUGUCUUAGCCCGCUCACUAUUAGAAACUGGGUCUUUGCCUAGUGUUUGAGGCUUUGCCAAGUGCUAAAUAUUGGGCACUCGGCAAAGCUUCUCGGCAAAGCUUGGCACCCUGCAAAGAAUACCUGUGCACUUCUGGAAAUAAUCUAUUUUUUCAUGCAUAUAUUCAGUCACAUGCAUGUUUCUAUUUUUUUCAUAUUUUGUGCACUUCUGGAAAUAAUCUUGAGAAUUACAUGCACCUAUGCUGGCUGAACAUUUUGUCCAUUGUAACUCACUCUAUGUAAAUUGCAUUCUUCUUAGGUAGAUUGGUGAGGAGACCAGAUACUCAACUCAGGUGAACACACUCUGUAAUUGAGCUGAUAGCUUCUCUGUAUUGCAUACAAGUGUAAUAUAUAGUCACCGGGAUCGCGGGUCGACGUGGCGAUCCUCGUUCCGGGAACGUCGUCCCAAAUCGCGGAACGGGAACGCGCCGGGACUGCUGCCGGAACGCCGGCGGAACACGACCCCGCCGCCCGCGUGAACUUGACCGCGCCGCCGUGGGAACUCGACCGCGCCGCCGCGGGAACGGAAGGCCAAGCGCCGCAUCGGGAAGAACAAGAAGUCACGCGGCGCAUCUGCUGCAUCGGGGCAAGGUGAAGGAGGCGAGCGCAAGCGGUCAGCAGCCCCCAUUAAUCAACAUCGGGAAGGUGGAAGGCCAAGCGGUCAGUCGGUUGAUAUACUCCUGCACUUCUCCGUCUCCCUCGUCCCUCUUCUCUGCUCCAGUUUCCACUUUCCAGUACCCAGUCCCUAGUCCCUACACUUCUCCCUCUCAUCUGUAACGGCGUUCGGAUCGGGGUCUAGGAAGCGCAGGCGGUCCGAGGAUGAUGAAGACAUACACGCCGAGGCCAAUGGUGAAGACAUAGACGCCGGUCCCUCGUUCCUUCUCGUCGUUCCGGGAACGUCGUCCCAAAUUAACUUGGAUCACGGUCCAUGUUAAUUUGGAACGUGCUGAAGCUGUAUACUCGUCGUUCCGAACAGUAUUGAAAAUUGGCGUACCACGUUCCUCGUCCCCGUUCCUCGACCCGGUCGACCCGGGAACGCGGUGACUAAGGACCAGAUACUCAACUGAGGUGAACACACUCUGUAAUUGAGCUGAUAGCUUCUCUGUAUUGCAUACAAGUGUAAUAUAUUUAGUGAAAUCUAAAACUGGAUGUUACUGCUUUCAUGUGGUGUAAGUAGGUUUAGCAAGUAGUGAUGUAUAUAACAACCCCAACUGGAUCUUUGAUUUAUUUUUCCAAUUAGAUCAUCCAUCUUGAGCAGAGUUGAGUCAUUUUAGUGAAAUUAUGUUUCUUUGUGUAUUGAAAAACCAAGAUGCAAUGGAAAAGCUCAAAGGAACCACUAAUUGUUCGAUUAGCAAACCACUCUGCUUAAUGCCUUGAUUCUAAUUACUUAGCUUAUUCUCCACUAGUUUCUUGGAAGCUGCUGCUUUUGGGUAGGAGAUGCACCUAUUGUUUUUUUAGAUAAAGGAUAGUUUAUAUCUGGCUUCAUCUAACAUAUGGUAGAAUCAGACCAAUUAUUACAAAGUUCGGUCAGAUGACCAGUACAUUUGAGAUAACUCAGUUUAAGGAAACAAAAUGGAAAGAAAGUUUUUGACUAUGAAAGACCAAAAAACCUAGUUGACAGCCAUCCAUUGGAUCUAAAGAAAUGCAGAGCUGAAGUUUCCAAAAACUGUCCAGCAAGCAAAAGCUAGUCCUUUAGCACCUCACACCGCUGCAGUCUUGCCCACUGUCGAAGCCAAUGGGUUCCCCUGAAUAAUACCUGCAAAAAAGUUUUCGGUCUGCAUUUGUCAAAAACCAUUUCAUUUCUUGUUAUCCAAAUUGUCCAAACUAGGGCUGUUGCUGCCGUUAAUAAUAAGAAAUUAUGAGUGUUACUACCCCUCUUAGACCAAUUAACAAAAAAAUCAUUUGUACUAAGAGGAGGUGCAAUUCCAAACAGCAGGUGUACCGCACGCCACAAGAAUUUAGCAUAAAAACAUUCGAAAAAGAGGUGGUGAAUAGUUUCAGGAGAAUCACAGAACACACAUCUUGUGUCUCCAGCCAGUUACGUUUGGCAAGAUUAUCUUUGGUUAAAACAACACCUCUUUUUAAAUACCACAAAAAGACUUUUAUUCUUGUAGGUAUUUUGAUUUGCCAAAUAUCUUGUGACACCCUGACCCCAUUAUUUAUUAGCGCCGCAUACAUUAAUUUAACAGAAAAAAUACCUAAUGAAUGUAAUGCCCAAACAAAAGUAUCUCUCUCCCCUUGUAAGUCCACGUCAUGUAAUGAAGCAACAAUCUUAUGCCAAUCCCUUAAAUUCGCGCCCACAAGAUUACGGCGAAAGGAAAUAUUUAGCGGAGCUGAUGCAAGUAUUCUUGCCACCGAGUCUUGCGCUUUCUCCUCAUAAUGUUGAACAACAAGGGGAACUUAUCCUUCAAUGGUUGGUUCCCCAACCAUGUAUCUAUCCAAAACCGGGUUUGUGAACCGUCUUUCACUUUGAAUGAACCAAAGCUCAUGAAGGUAUCUUUAACAUUCAUCAGUCCUUUCUAGAAGUGAGAGUCUAUUGGUUUUUUAGUACAAUGUCCUAAUGUUUUGUUUUUUAGAUACUUAUUUCUUAGCAGUUCUUGCCACAAACCAUCCUCACUUAGUAGUUUGACAAGCCAUUUGCUCAACAGGCAUUUGUUUUGUACAUCCAAAUUAUGUAUGCCAAGCCCCCCUUGGAUUUUUCGUUGACAUAAAAUUUUCCAUUUAGCUAGUCUAUAUUUGCGUUUGUGGUGGUCGCUUUGCCAGAAAAAAACGUGAUCUAAAGCAGUCAAUCUUCUCGCUAACUCCUUUUGGAAGUUCAAAGAAUGAUAUCAUAAACAUCGGUAAGCUGGUGAGCACCGAGUUUAUUAAGACCAAGCGACCCCCAACUGAAAGCAUCUUUCCUUUCCAACCACUAAGCUUCUUUUGUAUCCUAUCUUCAAUUGUUUGCCAUGUUGGUCAAUCUCCUAGAAUGCAUGGGCAGGCCAAGGUAACGAAAGGGACACUUUCCCACCUUACAUCCGAAUAAUUGCGAAUAAAACUCUUCAUGAUCCUUCGCUUCUCUAUAGCAAAAAAUUUUACUUUUAUGGAAAUUAAUUUUGAGGCCUGAGAGUUGUUCGAAAGUAGUUAGGAUUAAUUUCAUAUUAAUCACUUUCUCCUCAUCAUUCCCCAUAAAGAUCACUGUGUCAUCCGCGUAUUGAAGGAUAGAUAGACCAUCAUGAACUAGAUGGGGGAUGACCCCUUCUAUUUGGCCAGCUUCCUUUGCUCUAGCAAUCAGUAUGGCCAACAUGCCCACCACUAUAUUAAAUAGUAUUGGAGACAUUGGGUCACCUUGCCUUAAGACUUUUUUUGUUUGGAAGUAAGAGCCCAGUUGGUCAUUCACCUUAAUAUUUACAUUUCCUCCUUGAGUGAAUUGUUGUACCCAAGCACACCAUUUAUUAGAGAAACCUUUCAUUCUUAAGGUUUGUUGCAGAAAACUCCAUUUCACCUUGUCAUAAGCCUUUUCAAAGUCUAUUUUAAGGAUUAGACCAUCCUGUUUUUUUUUAGUGAAGUUCGUGAAUGGUCUCAUGGAGGAUUAUUGCGCUCUCCAUAAUGUUUCUUCAUGGGAGGAAGGCAGUUUGUGUAGGUCUAAUGAUCUUUUGGGCAAUAGUAGAAAGUCUAUUCGUCGCAACUUUAGUAAAGAUUUUAAACGAGACAUUCAACAAACAUAUUGGUCUGUAUUGUUGAAUCAUUUUUGCCUCUUUAUUUUUUGGUAAUAAAAUUAUUGUUCCAAAGUUGAGACUAUUCAAGGGUAAAUUACCCUCAUGAAAUUCCAAAAACAAAGCCAUCAGAUCUUCCCUUAAUAAAUCCCAGAAGACCUGAUAAAACUCUGCUGGAAAGCCAUCCGGACCUGGUGCCUUAUUAUGUUCCAUCUGAAAAAUUGUUGCCCUUACUUCAGAUUCUGAAAAGGUAUCUGUGAGGUAUUCAUUUUCUAGUUCAGAAACUUGAGGAAUGUCUUGAACAUGGUGCUCGUUUAAUUGGAUAUUAGAAAUCUCUGGAGGACCAAAUAAGUUCUUAUAGUAGUUGGUAAUAUGCUGUUUUUGGAUGCUAGCUAGGGAUUUAAGAAACAUUAGUAAUGCUUGUGGUAUUACCUCUGUUAGGAUCUGCAGAUGUUAUGGUGUUAUCUGUGUGCCGAAAGUGUUUACAGUAUUGUUUGGUAGGCAAAGAAUUUACAAAAAAAGUCCUUAAUUACAUAGAGUGAGUUCGAUUAGUGGUUCCUUUUGCUCAUAUAAAUCUAGAAUUUCUUGUAAGUGUGUAGCGUCCUCCUUUGCACGAAUGAGAAUUAGGGAAUCAUUGGCAAAGAGUAAAUGAGAGACAAUAGGAGCACCCCAGCAGAUUUUAACUCCUUAAUUACAGCCUUCUUCCUCAGCAUGAUUAAAAGUAGAGCUGAAAAAUCCUUCGGCACAAAUCAAUAAUAAGUACGGGGAUCGAGAGGGGAUCUCCCUGCUUCAACCCACUCUCUGGUUUGAAAUUUUCUAAGAACGCUCCAUUUAUCUUAAUUCUAUAAGAGACUGUAGUAAAACAAUUCAUAAUCAGUUCCACCCAUCUUCUAUGAAACCCCAUCUUCAUCAUCAUAUCCUCCAGAAACUUCCACUCGACGCGGUCAGAAGCUUUGCUCAUAUCAAGCUUCAUGGCCACAUAGCUAGAACCCCCCCCCCCCCCCCCUUUCUCUUAUUUAGCAAAUGAUGUGCCAUCUUGUAGGCUAUCAGAAUGUUACCUGAAAUAAGACGGUCUGAUACAAAUGCAUUCUGAGUGAAAGAUAUGAUCUUUGGUAAAAUACCUUUUGGGACUGGCUUUACCCAAGCGAUGGCAUGGAGAUCACACAUUCACAUGGCACUGUGACUGCGUAUAAGAUUCAAGAAGCAGCACAUGUACGGUCUGCCAAUAGAUAGAUGGUGUUUGGUUCAGCAGAUGGUAACGCAAAGGAAAUCAAAUCAGAUACCACUGUAAUGGGAGUGGUUCUAUUUUUAUCUUAAAAUGGAAAUGGGAUCUUAUAAUAUUGAUUACAUAUGGCAGGAAUCAAACAGGUGUAAUGGUAAUAAAUAAUGGACUGCGUUACAUUUGAGGCAACCAAACGGCUCGGAGAUGUCACUAUGAUCCUGCAAUAAACAGGCCACGCCUUUCUCUAGUUUAUUUAAUUAUUGAAUAUGUUUUGCAUCAGACAUAGAUGGAUGUAUUACACAGUGCCUACUCUAGGCAGCAACACACAAACGGAAGGAAGGUUGUCUGGCAGUAGGAACCUAAGCCAUAAUGGUGGUGUCUGCAAUAGAUCCAGCACGUCUCAUUGAAGAGACAAUGUUUGUCCGUGUGGCACUGUGGCAACGGCCUCUUCACCGGUGAUAAGUCUGCUAUUGGUGAUAGUAUCCCAGAACGCCUCGCACCUACACGUACAUGCAACGCCACGUAUCACUACCGGAAAUCAAGACUUUGCCAAGUGCUUGGAUACUCGACAAAGAAGCCCUCUACCGAGUGCCAAAUAAAAAACACUCAGCAAAAAAAAACACUCAGCAGAGCAUAAUAGUUGGUUAACUAAUUUAUAUAAUAUAGUAUUAAAAAACCUUAGAGCAGGUACAUAAUAGUUGCAUCUCACCUUGGCAGGGCAUGAUGAUUGAAUUCAUUGUAGCAAGAACUAAGAACAAAGCAGCUGCCAAGGACACGAUCCUCCAUGCGCCCUUGACAGCUGAUGACAUGAUGAGGAAAAGGGUGUAUAUACUAGUACAACCCUUUUCUUUACGGUGAAGAAGAGAGAGCGAACGUAGGUAAGUAUACAAUUUAUAGAACUGGAACCACCUCUGAUCGAUGCAUGAUUUAUGGCAUGAUCAAUAUUUACCAAACACGUAACUACAAGCCAAAUGUAUAGUCUAAGAAAUAAUUUAUUCCUUCUGUUGCAACAAUGAUCAACCUUAAUUAGUCUCCUCUCUCUAUUUAUUUCUUCUUUUGUAAAACUUUAGUCUCAGCCUGUAGAUAUUUUGGUAAGAUAAAAAUGAUUAGACUAUUACAAUUAGCCUAUGGUUUGUUUGGACACAUGCAUUCCUUGCAUAGUUUUAGUAAACCUAAUAUCAAAUACAGAAGAUUUUUCCAACCAUGUCGUUUUUUACUUGCCACGGUGCCCUCACGUCUCUCUAUGUCCUGUAUAUAAUCCUGAUUUAUGACACAUGCUCAUAUGAGUUAGACAUGUGUACAUCCAUGCAUCCGGUGAUGGUAGAAAAGUCUGAUUCCAAGAUAUAUCGGAACAAAUGGCACAAUUGUUGAAUCAAAACCGCCAAGCCACAAAUCAUCUUGUGAUCAUGCAAUAAGUUGUGCGUGCUUCUCUAAAUCUUUGCAGCCAUUCGCAUUCCUCACGUGCUCCACUCGACUAUAAGGACAGAAUAGCCCAAGAGGGGUGUGUGUUUUGGCCAUUAAAAAUCUAAUGCGAUGACCUUAUCCUAUGCAAAUUCUAAACUCCCAAAUCAUCUUGGCUCAAUUAAGUUCUUCUAGAAAGCAAUCUACACUACUACACAAAAUAAUUUAUGGAUGCAGUGCCCAAAUAUUAACGAAGGCAGGCAUAAAAUCCAACUGCCUCCUAGAAUACCAAGAUAUUAACGACGACGGUCAUUCUCAUUUACCGAGAAGGACACAUUUUGCUCACCUCAUAAAAUCGAUUUAUGGAGACUGUUAAAAAAUAACCACCUCCAAAAACCGAUUUACGAGGUGGACGCCUUAAGACAACUGCGUCCAAAAACCAUCUAUUUUUGGAGGCGGUUGUCUUAAGGCAACCGCCUCCGUAAAUCUAUUUUUGGAGGUGGACAACUAUAAGGCCAUCCGUAAAUACUGCCUAGCUCGCAAAGCUCAUACAUUUCCAUGUACCGAGCUAACAUAUAAGUCAGACACUUAGUGUUUGUCAGUCAUUUUUUUACCCUCACUCCAGAGCGGUAGGCGCCCCUUGUGCCUUCCUUGAGCCUGUGCCGCUCUUCCUCUCCCUCCCCCCCUCUCGACUACCUCCCUUCCCAUAGUUAGCGCCCCUCUCCCCCACUCCCAAGCUCAUCCCUAGCUCUUCGCUCAAGCUCCUCCCCCAGCGGCGGUUGUGCUCGCUGCUCCCCUGAGCAGAUCCACCAAGGGAGGCGCUCUCCGGACGACUGGAGCUCGCUCCUCCCUAGAGCUACUCCACAUGUGGUGUCGCUCACCCGGCGGCCAACGCUCCCUCCUCCUCCGAGCUGCUCCAUCGGCAAUGGUGCUCCCCUGGCAGUCGGCGUGCCCCUCCUCCCCCAUCUCCUCCUCUGGCGACCAUGGUGGCCAGAUCCGUGACUGUAGUGGCCAGAUCCGCACCAGUGGUGGCUGAAAUCAGCUGCUGGUGGCAGGAUCGAGCAACGGCGGCGGCGACACAUCCGGAUGCAGCUGCCCGGGCGAUGGUUGCGCACAAAUCAGAUCUUGGCCUAGGCCCCGUUUGGGUUGAGGGCCUUUUUUAAAUUUAUUUUAAGAGGAGGGCAAAGCAACCGCUUCCAUAACCAUGGCUUGUCAUUGGAGGCGAUUGCAAUGCUCACCACCAUUAAUCAAAAGUGUCUGCCUCUAAUAAGCUUACUGUUGUUGUGCUAUUCCCUACUAGACAAAGUUCAUAUAUACAGAUGGGUCUAAAUCAAUUUCAAUGCCAAUUUUGCCUUUUGGUGAUGAAAGCGGGCGGUGAUAAUAAUCUUCAUCAUCGCCGGCUAAGCAUGCUUCCAGACUAUUGCCACGGCCAUGUCGUGGCGGUCGUUGUCCCCAUUCAGUGGCAUAUUGAAUCCGCAUCGCGAUCUCCUUGCCGUAACACAUCACAUCUCCUUUCCAGAUGAAAGUGCACCCCGCAAGAGUACGCGUGCCACCGUAACAACGGUGAGUGCCGACCGUAUUCUCCACAUGGACUAGGGGACCAGCUAAACAUGCUCAAAUAAACCUAAGUUGAACGAUUUGUCGGAAAGGAACUCCAAAUUAUUCCAAUUAAUAAAAAUCAGUAGGAUAAACCUUUUAUAAAAUUUCUUAGAACUUUGCGCAAAUAAAAUAGAAUGCGACUAGUAUCUAUAAGUAUCGAGAUCCAACUAAGAGUAAGGCUAAUAAUACAACUAGCUGCAGGCGAUAAGGUUUCUUUACAGCUUUCUUGCAACCCACUCAUAUGGUUAGCUAUAACUUAAUACACAUAGCCCACUUGUCUCUCUUAUAAACUUUCUUUAGCCCGUUUUUACUCUCUCUCCUCCACCUCAGCAUUUAGCCACUUAUACUAUAAUAAUUGCUCUAAUGCUACUACAAUGAUAUAUCACAGUCUCAUUGCGGUAUUAAUGGUAGUUUCUAUUUAUCUUAAUUACCUUGACAACUCAGCAAUGUGCUGAUGUGACAAAGGAAUCUAUAACUCUUAUAAAGCUAAACCCCACUAGAUGAAUUCUCUCUUCAUGCAAGGUUGUGAAAGUAGGUUGAACGUGACACCUUCUCAAGCUCACGGCUUCGUGUUUAUAUAGCUGAGAAAAGCCCUCAGCGUGGCAUUAUAACUUGCACAACAAUUCCUGAGAUCUAAUCUAACUUACAACACAAGAUUACAACAGAAGCUUAAGAGCUAUCCUAACUACUUCUACACGAAGCCGUGGAUAUCUGAAUAUCUCCAGCCUGCCCGCACCCUUGGUGCCCUUGGCGUAACAACCUUCUGUCAGAUAUACUGUAUAACAACCGUAUAUUCUAACACCCUCCCUCAAUCACAACUUAUCUGUAAGGUUGAGAUUGUUCCGAAACAUUACUGUUUGUUUCUCAGGAAGAGGCUUUGUGAAUCCGUCAGCUAUUUGAUCAGUGGUGCUUAUAAAUCUGAUAUCCAGGCACUUUGCUGCAACUUGCUCACAAACAAAAUGGUAAUCUAUCUCUAUAUGUUUAGUCCUAGCAUGAAAUACGGGAUUAGCUGAUAAGUAUGUGGCUCCAAUGUUGUCACACCAUAACCGAGCAGCUUUAGGAUGUGAGAUGCCUAAUUCAUCAAGUAGUUUGUGCACCCACAUUACCUCUGCUGUCGCAUUUGCCAAGGACUUAUACUCAGCUUCAGUACUGGAUCUAGAGACAGUAGUCUGUUUCCUUGCACACUAGGAGACAAGGUUACAACCAAUGAACACAGCAAAUCCGCCUGUUGAUCGCCUGUCAUCAGGGCAUCCUGUCCAAUCUGCAUCUGAGAAUGCACUGACAAGCAUCGAAUUAGAUUUCCCAAUCCUGACGCCUAUGCCAAUUGUGCCUUGCACAUAUCUCAAAAUUCUUUUAACAGCUUCCCAGUGGUCUGUUGUUGGAGAAUGAAGGAAUUGACAGUCCUUGUUGACUGCAAAGGACAGGUCAGGCCGAGUCAGUGUUAGAUAUUGGAGUGCUCCCACUAUACUCCUAUAUCUAGUUGAAUCUUCAUCUCCCAAUCGAGUUCCACUAGUAAUUGACAACUUUUCUGUUGCCGGCACAGGGGUCUUGACAGGUUUGCAGAGCUGCAUGUUGACUCUCUUCAGGAUAUCAGACGCAUACUUCUCCUGUGUUAAUAGCAGUUCACCAUUCUUCCUUUGUACCUGAAUCCCUAGGAAGUAGUGCAAAUCUCCUAAAUCCUUGAUGGCAAAUUCCUUCUCAAGAUCUCGAAGUAAAGUAUCAACUGCAAUCUGAGACGAGCUGGCUACUAUAAUAUCAUCAACAUACACAAGCAUGAAAAUAAUAUGAUUUCCCUUUUUAUAGAAGAAGAGUGAGGUAUCUGCCUUCGAAGGAAUAAAACCAAGACUCUGAAGUUUGUUACACAGCCUUGAGUACCAUGCCCUCGGAGCUUGUUUCAAGCCAUAGAGAGCCUUGUCUAGCUUGCAUACAUAGUGUGGUCUAGUUUUAUCUUCAUAACCCGGUGGUUGCCUCAUGUACACAUCUUCUUCAAGGUAGCCAUGUAAGAAUGCAUUAGUCACAUCUAAUUGUCUUAAGUACCAAUUUCUGGAGACUGCAACUGAGAGUAUGAGACGAAUUCUAGCUGCUUUAACUACUGGACUAAAGGUGUCCUCAUAGUCUAUGCCAUAUCUCUGCUUAAACCCCUUGGCUACUAACUGUGCCUUGUACCGCUCAAUAUUUCCAUCAGACCUCCUUUUAAUUUUAUACACCCAUUUACAGCCUAUUAUAUUUCUGCCUUUCUCUGGUGGUAUAAGGUGCCAGGUUUUGUUGCGGUGCAAAGCAUCAAACUCAACAUCCAUUGCCUGUUUCCAGUUUACAUCAGCAAGUGCACUCUGCAGAUUUACUGGCCCUUCAGAGGUGGCUGCUAUCUGUCCAUAGCGUAUAGUGCCAUCUGUGUACUACUUAGGUUUGCGAAUACCAUGCUGUAGACGAGUAGUGGGGCGAGGUGGAGGAGGUAAUACCACAGGAGCCACAGGAGAGGUAGUAGGAGCAGACGGUGUAGGGGAUCCAUGCGGAGGUGACGUAGUAGCCGCACCAGAUCCCGUAGCCUGCAGAUGUGUCGGAGGAGACGACGGUGCGGAUGUAGAAGAUCCUGGCGCGAGCGUCGGAGAUGAUGGCGCCCGCCCGUGUCCCCCCGCCGUCGGGUGCUCCGGGACGGGUGGCAGUGGGGGAUUGGCGGAGGAGGGAGCGGCGGCCGAGUCACGAGGCACGGCCGCAGUCAACGCCGGAUCCGAGGUAGAUGCACUGGUCGAAUCAGCCGCCGUAGCAACACCGGAAUCCGUGCGUGGUCCUGCCAAAAAAGGAAAGGCUCCUGGGAGCAUAAAAUGACCCGUGUGGAUGCAAAUCUGCAUCGUUUGAUGCCAAAGUUUCUGUAGAACCUGCAUGCUCAGGAGACACAUUAGUAGGCAGGAAACCAUUGUCAAGCUGAUCAGAAGACUUGCUAGUCCCAACAUCGAAGGAUGGAUCAAGGAGAUGGGGAGGUAAAAGAAGUAUUUCUGAUCUAAGACGGGCACCUGCAUUAGGAUGGAGUUUGGCAAAGGGAAACACAUCCUCGUCAAACACAACAUCACGGGAUAUGUACACCCGACCUUCAGUAACAUCAUGACACUUGUAGCCCUUGUGCAUAUUACUAUAACCCAGAAACACACACUGUUUGGAUCUAAAUUGAAGUUUGCGAGUAUUAUAUGGGCGUAAGUUUGGCCAACAGGCACAGCCAAACGUGCGUAGGUUCUGGUAGUCGGGCUUGUGUUUGAAAAGAAGCUCUAUCGGGGUUUUACCGUGAAGGACUUUGGUGGGAAGCCGAUUGAUCGAGUAAGCGGCCGUAGAAAAAGCUUCAUCCCAAAAUUUGAGGGGCAUAGAGGCAUGCGCAAGGAGGGAGAGGCCAACUUCGACAAUGUGUCGGUGUUUGCGCUCUGCAGCACCAUUCUGUUGGUGCGCAUGAGGACAGGACACAUGGUGGGCGAUGCCAACCCGUUGAAAAAAGGAAUUGAGUUUUUGGUAUUCCCCACCCCAGUCGGUUUGCAUGGUCAUAAUUUUUGUAUCAAAUUGACAUUCAACAAGAUUUUGGAACUCAUGAAAUCUUUUAAAGACAUCAGAUUUCUGACGAAGCAAGUAAACCCAUGUGAAUUUGCUAAAAUCAUCGACAAAGCUCAAAUAAUAAUUGUUCUUGCCCACAGAAGUAGGCGCAGGGCCCCAUACAUCAGAGAAGAUUAAUUCUAGAGGACUAGAAGAAACACUUGUAGAUUUGGGGUAGGGUAACUGAUGACUUUUGCCUUGUUGGCAAGCAUCACAUACAGACUGUUUAUUUUUAUCAAAAGCAAAUGAAAUCUGAUUCUCACGCAAGACUUGUUGAACAACGGGAAACGACGGAUGACCAAGCCGACUAUGCCAUCUAGAAGUAGAGGCUUUGAUAGUGCCAAGCGUCUCUUUAUUUGGUGGAAUGGGGGACGUCAAGGGAUAUAGGCCACCUUCACAGCGCCCUUUAAGGAGAGGCCUCUUCGUGUCCUGAUCCUUGAUCACAAAAUAAGUAGGGUGAUAUUCAAUAAAAGCACGAUUGUUAGAGGUAAGGCGAUGAACAGACACAAGAUUUUUGUUGGCUUCAGGUAUGUAUAAGACCUUGUUAAGAACAAGAUUUCGAGUUUGGGUUGUAACAAGACUUUGACCAACUUGACUGAUUUUCAUACCUGCGCCACUUGCCGUGUGGACCUGAUCAUUGUCGAGGUAUUUGUCACGUGUUGUGAGCUUCUCCAGCUCACCAGUUAUGUGGUCGGUGGCACCAGUAUCGGUGUACCAAUUGGUGUCGACCCCGUAGGAAGCCUGGGCUGCCCAAGCAGAUUGUUGGCGCUGAUCGGAGUUGCCCUGGAAGGAGGCGUCGAAGCGUUUGCGGCAGUCAAUUGCAGCAUGUCCCUCCCUGCCGCAAAGCUGGCAGGUAGGGCGGUCACUGCGCUACUGAUGUCGACCGCUGUUGCCGCCACCGUUGUUUCCACGGCCGCGGCCACCACGUUCGCGAUUGGCGCCCUUGUUGCCGCCCUUGUUUCCGCGUCCACCGCGGAAGGCAGAAUUCACGGAGGAUUCGAAGCCUCCAUUGUUGAGAUCCAGGCGUUGCUCCCAACUGAUUAGCUGGGUGUACAGCUCACCAAGCGUGAGCGGCUCCACGCGCAUGCCGAUGGUGGAGACCACCGGGUUGUAGUCAGAGUCGAGGCCAGCGAGGAUGUAUGACGCAAGCUCCUCAUCCUCGAGUCGCUUGCCCGCCGCCGCCAUGUCAUUAGAGAGGGACUUCAUUUUGUUGAAGUAGUCCUGCAUGGACGAGGCCCCUUUCUGCGCGGUGGCGAGGGCCAUGUGCGUGUUGAUGAUGUGCCCGUGAGAACGUGACGCAGUCAUGUCGUGGAUGGCCUUCCAGAGUUCCGCCGACGAGGUGCACAUAGAGACCUGGACAAGCACUUCCUUGGACACAGAUGAGACAAGGUAAUUAAAGAUCUGUUGAUCUUUGGCAUACCAGGUUGCAUAGUCUGGAUUCUGCACCAACUCAUCAGGUUUCUCGACGGACUUCGGGACGGUCUUUGGCGGCGUCACGGCCGUCAUUGGAUCGAGGUAGUGCUCCAGCUGAGUGCCACGGAUUGCUGAGAGUACUUGCAUCUUCCAUAGCGAGAAGUUGCUCUUGCCCAGUCUCUCGGUGAUUGGGCAGCCGAUCAGGGAGCUGAUCAGCGAAAACGCAGCAGGUUGCGCGGAGGAGGUUGACAUGGUUGAGUCAAUCUAAUAAUGACCUAGCUCUGAUACCAUGUGAAAGUAGGUUGAACGUCACCUUCUCAGGCUCACGGCUUCGUGUUUAUAUAGCUGAGAAAAGCCCUCAGCGUGGUAUUACAACUUGCACAACAAUUCAUGAGAUCUAAUCUAACUUACAACACAAGAUUAUAACAGAAGCUUAAGAGCUAUCCUAACUACUUCUAUACGAAGCCGUGGAUAUCUGAAUAUCUCCAGCCUGCCCGCACCCUUGGUGCCCUUGGCGUAACAACCUUCUGUCAGAUAUAUAACAACCGUAUAUUCUAACAAAGGUGUCAACAUCAUUCUCCACUAAGUGACCCACUAAAUAUUCUAUCUCUUCAUGCAAGGUGUCCACAUCAUUUCCCACUAAGUCCAUGUCAUCCCAUAUUAAUUACAAAAAAUGAUCAUAUCAUCUAUAUCAUGUGAAAUACUUUAAAUCUUUAAUCUAUUAACAUACAAGUCAUGUACAUACACUAUUUGCUUCAUCAUAAAUUAAUUCCUCUAUAAUGUAACCAAAUAUUAGUUUUUGUUCUAUUAGCUUAGCAAUUUUUUACUAGAUCUAAUACAAUAAAAUACAUGCAAGUCAAAUUUAUAUGUAGACAUACAUAAUAGACCGAAUACCAUGUAUAUAAUGACUUACUUUUAAGAAAUUUUUAUAGCAACCCGUGGAGAAUCCACCUAGCUAGUUAAUGAAGUGAGAGAGUGCAGAUAGAAGAAAUCGUUUCUUGGUGAAGGAACAAUGUCCUCUCUUGAAUGCAGACACCAAGAAACCGCUGAAACAGUGUUGGGGAGACACGACUCGAUUCCAUGGCUCUCCUCUCGGAUCGAGUAUGACGGCAGCUGGCACUAGUUCUUCUCCCCGUGGCCAGGAUCCACUCGACCAAUUUGUCCCGUUUCUUCUUCCGUUUGGCCAGAGCAGUGGACGCGGACAUACUGCUGCGGCCAUUUGCUGGUGCUGCCCGUGCUCACCCCUCCGGUAGCCAAGGCCGCCCAACUAAGGCCAACCUCAUUCCCCCACGAAGAGCCCACUGCCCCUUUCCGCCCCUCUGCAUAUACAUCGCCAUGGACGAGCGCCAUCAAUACUAGAGCUCUGCUCAUCAUCCUACAGUGGGGAGGCUGAGGAGAUCUAGCGCCAUGGAAUGCAGUAUGCUUGAUCUCGUCCCUGCAGAGGUCUCUGUUCUGAAGACACCUUGGUUCCUGGCCUUAUUAUUUGCUAUAUAAAGAUAACUAAGGUAUUAGCUAAACAUUAAUUAUAUGCUUGUAAUAUCUCUUUCACUAGCAUUAAUCUUGCAGUCGCUUAGCUAAUCUUUAUUUUGCACAGUGACAAGGUUGAGCCACAAUCUCAUCUGACAUCAAUUGCACAGUGACAAUUCAACACUACUACAUGUCUACUGCUAGUCUGAACUUUGGAGUUCAACUUCUGAAGCUGCAUAUGAGGACAGCUACCCUACAUGCUGGAGAGCGCCGGCACGAGCUCACGAUAGGACGGCGGAGGCAGGCGAUGCACUUUCCUGGAGACCUUCUUGCUUCCUCCAGUGCUGAGGGAGGCCACGAGCGGCAACAACCGCCCGCCGGCGGCCAUCUCCACGGCACUACGAGCAAGCAACGAGUGCGUGGAACACUACCUUUCUCUGCAGACGGUGAUGGAGAGAACUUGCCAGGGAUCUGAUUGCCUGCUCCAGCACUGGGGGAGGCCGCUAGCAGGGAGCAGCAACAGCGAGCAGACGGCCGACGAGCAGGGCGCGGCGGUGGCAGCGCCGCAGCGGUGACGAGCAGAGGGCCUGGAGCACUCCGUGCAUAUUUUGCUGCACCGUUGGAUAUGGGACUGGAGCACUCUUUUGUUUUGCGUUUUCUAAAUGUGGGCCGUGUUAGGUAUAUGGGCCGAGGCAAUAAAGCGGCUUCCGUGCAUAUUUUGCUUGCACCGUUGGAUGACCAAUGCCUCUUACAUAGAAACCAAUACGUUAGAGGAACUCGUUCCCUCAGUAUGAGUAGGGAUGAAAACGAUACGCAUAUUUUCUGACUGUAUUCGAGACCGAAUUCGUUUAGAGAGGUUCAGAUCUGUCUACAUCCGAGUCCGAAUAUUCAACAUCUGAUACCGUAUUCGUAUCCGAAUACUUAAAUCAUCGUAUAUUUAUGAUGUCGACAUCCAAUCAUAUCUGAUCUAACAUGAUUGACAUUAUCCGUAUUUGAAUCUGAAUUCGACUAAAAAUAUGAAAACAAAUAUAAUAUCGAUGAUAUCCGUCUGUAUCCGAUCCGUUUUCAUCGUGACUAGGAGGGGCCAAAGUCUAAACUCCAAAGCCUCUGUCAAGUCUCUUCACCUCCCAAGUCGGUACUCGGUAGUAGUAUAAAAAAGUAAAGAGUCCCCCCAUUUCCUUGCGCGGGUAUACGAAUCGACGAAGGUCUGGCCGUGUGGGGUCGUCUCGCCGCCGCCGACGCCGAGUGCCGGCAGCCGAAGCAACGGGCAGCCCAGGACUGCGUCGAGCUGAGGACGUGAGGUGAUCCUAGAUUCCACACAUUUCCUCCUCCUUCUCCUUCUCUGCUCAUCUUUCCACUCGCCGCUCCCGCAGAGCCUCUGGACGCCGGCGACAUGUUCGACGGAAUGAACAAGAAGGCGGCCGCAGCGAGCGGCGUGGACCGCAUCAGCGACCUCCCCGACGCGCUGCUCCAGCACGUGCUCUCCCUGUUGCCGGCGGAUCAGGCCGUGCAGACGUCCGUGCUCGCCCGCCGGUGGCGGCACCUCUGGAAGGGCAUGCCCGCCCUGCGCCUCGUCGGUCCCAAGACGAGGUUCGCGACCGCCCAGGACUUCGACAGGUUCGUGAACCGUCUCAUCGCCGUCCGCGGCCAUUUGCCUCUCGUCAGCUGCGAGGUCGAGGCGUACGCCUACCUGACCUGGGAUGAUUAUGGUCGUGAGCCUGAGGAGCCGGAGCCGCACCUGUACUUCGACUCCUGGAUCCAGUAGGCGCUGGCGUGCAACGUUCAGGUGCUCAAAGUCGUCGGCGAUCAUAUUGGCUCCGAAUCAGAACUUGUUGUGCCUCCUAUCUCCCAGCACCUGAGGUACUUGGAUGUUCACCAUGUAAUUGUGGACAAAUAUUCUUUGGAUUUCUCAAGCUGUCCAGUGUUAGAGGAGUUAAAGAUGAAGGAGUGCGGCCUUUGGGUGCGCAGCAUGUCAUUUCCAUUGCUGAAGCGUCUGUUCCUUACUGAAUGCAACUUCCCUGUGGAUCGUCGCGUCAGUAUUUCAGCGCCUGGUAUUGUUUCACUGCGCCUUCUGGAGUGUGGAGGCAAGACUCCUUUGCUUGAGAACAUGCCGUUGCUAGAAACCGCGUCCAUUGAUCUCUCACGCUAUGAGUGCAAGGAUAAGUGUGGGGGUUGUACUGAUGAAAGCUGCGAAGGUUGUCAUGGUUAUCCUGUUGGGAGUUAUCGGAGCAUACUUCUGAAUGUUCUGUCCAAUGCUAUAAAUUUGGAGUUGAAGGAUCAACCUGAAGUGGUAUGCUUCUUGCUUCCACUUAUAUUGUACUCUGUAUCUACUCUAACUGUUAUUUGCUAUAUAGUUUUACAUGCAUAAACACAAACAACUAGCUUUUUCGUUAUCACACAUGGGUGCUGUCACUGUCAUUACUUGGCUGAUAUACUUUCCAUUGUUUCUUUCUGAUGAUUAUGAUAUACUAUUGUUACUAUCUGUAACUGUCAAUUUUGUACACCAUGCAAUCUACAAUUGUUAGACUGAGUGGUUCUUGUCAAUUUCUUUAGGAGUUUAGGAUCUGCCUCUAUGGUCAAUAUAUCACUGUUUCUAUCAAGGGCGUUAUUGCCCAGCGACGGCGGCCCUCGGCUACGUAGCUCGUAGCCUUGGUCCGUGAUAACUGGCGGGGUUAUGCCCCCUCGCCUACCCUCGCUGGUCGGGUUAUACCCCCUGGCCGGCGGCUUGAGAGGAAGAAGAAGAGAGAUAGGUUUAAGCUUGCUUGAUCUCAAAAGGUCUCCAAUUACAAGGCUUUAUAGCCUGGACUCCCAACAAGAAAGGAAACUAAUCCUCUAAACUUAAGGAAACCUGAUAAUCUCUUUCUAAACAAUCCCUAUCUUACCAAACCUGGACUCUCCUAAUCUGUCCAAGCCGCCUGGGCGCCUGGCUAGCCACUAACGGCGCCAGCCCCCUUGGCCAGGCUUUGGGCGCGCCCAGCGGCCCUGCGCACAUCGCGCAGCCUGCGACGCCUAGUGUAAGUAUUUCCCCACAUGACAUCUCUCCCCUCCUCGAGAGGCAGCUCGUCCUUGAGCUGGAACUGUGGGUACGAAGCGCGGAAGACGUCAACAUCUUCCCAUGUAGCUGAAGCCGGUGAUGACCCCUUCCACUUGAUGAGGACUUGACGCACGCCCCUGGCCAGCGUGACUUGACCACUUGCUCAGGCUCGGGCACCACAGCGCCAUGGCGGAGCGGAGGGAGGGGCGGUGGAGCGGCUGGCGGCUCGCCGUGGAACUUCUUGAGAAGGCCCACGUGGAACACGUCGUGGAUGCGAGCUUGGGGCGGCAGGUCGAGGCGGACGACGACGUCGUUGAUGAGCUCCACCACCCGAUAUGGGCCGUAGAACUUGGGCUUCAGCUUGCCGGCAGGAGCCCUGGACAGGGACGCAGCAGGCCUCUGUCGAAGGCGAAGGAGCACCCAGUCUCCCACCAGGUACGAGACCGGCCGAUGACCCCGGUCGUAGUGGCGUUUUUGAACUGCCUGGGCCUGCUCGAGGCGGUGCUUGACUUCGGCGAGGAACUCAGCGCGUUCCUCCAUGGUCUGAGCCACUGCAGCGACCCGGGUCUCGCCCGGCUCGUAGGAGCGAAUGGACGGCGGAUCCCGGCCGUACACAACACGGAAUGGAGUGUCCUGGAGCGAGGACUGGAACGCGGUGUUGAAGACGUACUCUGCCCAUGGAAGCCAACGCAGCCAGUCGCGAGGUCUGUCUCCUGUCAGGCAACGCAAAUACAUGAUGAUGACUUUGUUAGCGGAUUCGGACUGCCCGUCCGUCUGGGGGUGAAAAGCUGUCGACAUCUGCAGUUUUGUGCCACUCAGGCGCAUCAACUCGCGCCAAAAGUUGGAGGUGAACACCGUGUCGCGGUCGGACACGAUGGACUGCGGGAUGCCGUGGAGCCGGACGACGUCUGCGAAGAAUGCUUGGGCCACCCCCUCCGCCGAGUACGGAUGCGCCAAAGGAAUGAAGUGGCAAUACUUGCUGAAUCUGUCGACGACGGUGAGGAUGACGGACUUGCCCUUAACGCGGGGAAGGGCCUCGACGAAGUCCAUGGCGAUGUCGGACCACACCCCCUGCGGCACGGGUAGUGGUAGUAGGAGCCCCGCUGGGUGAAGAUGCUCUGACUUGUGGCGCUGGCAGAUGGAGCAGCCCCGCACAAAGUCCUGCACUACCGUCUUCAUGUGAGGGAAGUGAAAAUCGCGACGAAGUCGGUGCAGCGUGCGCUGGACCCCCUCAUGGCCCUCCUCGUGGACGGCGCGCAGAGCCUCCUGCAGCAAGGGGGAGGCCGGUGGGAGGUACAGCCGCCCGCUGUACGUGACCAGCCCGUCGGACAGGGCCCAGGGGAGCGCCCGUGUGCCCGCACUGAUCUCCUGCUGGAGGGCGACGAGUGCCGGAUCGGUUGCGUGAGCCUGGCGCAGACGCUGCACGAACUCGAAGCGGGGCGCGGACAGCACUAGAACCGUGCCCUCCUCGACAGUAUCCCGCCGUGAGAGAGCAUCAGCCACGGCGUUCGAGUGCCCCGGCUUGUACUCCACGGUGAAGUCGAAGCCCAGCAGCUUGCCAACCCAGUGAUGCUGAGGGAUGGUUGACAAGCGCUGGUCCAGCAGGUACUUGAGGCUAUAGUGGUCGGUCUUGACAGUGAAGCGGCGCCCCCAUAAAUACGGCCGCCAAUGGCGAACUGCGUGCACAAGGCCGAUGAGCUCGCGUUCGUAGGCGGCGAGAGCUUGGUGACGUGGCACCACGGGACGGCUGAAGAAGGCGAUGGGGUGGCCCUCCUGGACCAGUACCGCCCCGAAGCCAUGCGACGAUGCGUCGCAUUCGACGACGAACUGCUUGGAGAAGUCCGGCAUGGCGAGCACCGGCGCCGAGGUUACCGCGUCCUUGAGGGCAUCGAACGCAGCAGCGGCCUCGGCGGACCACGAGAAGCCGUCCUUCUUCAGCAGGGCGGUGAGAGGUGCUGCGAUGGUCCCAUAAUUGUGGACGAACUUGCGGUAGUAGCCGGCUAGCCCCAGGAACCCACGCACUGCCCGGGCGGACCGUGGCUGCGGCCAGUCCCGCACGGCUUGGAGCUUGGCGGGGUCCAUGGCGACGCCAGCAGCAGAGACGACGUGGCCCAGGUACGCGACCGACGCUGCAGCGAACGCGCACUUGGAGCGCUUGAGGAAGAGCUUGUGGCGCUGCAGCUCGUCGAAGACCGCACGAAGAUGGCGUAGGUGAUCGGCCCAAGUGCUGCUGUAAAUCAAAAUAUCGUCAAAGAACACCAGCACAAAACGACGGAGGAACGGACGAAGAACAUCAUUCAUCAAAGCCUGGAACGUGGCCGGAGCAUUGCAUAGCCCAAAGGCCAUGACCAGGAACUCAUAGAGGCCAUCGUGCAUGCGGAACGCCGUCUUGUGGAUGUCUGCCGGCCGCAUGCGGACUUGAUGAUACCCCGAGCGGAGGUCGAGCUUGGUGAAGUAGCAGGCCCCGUGGAGCUCAUCCAAGAGCUCGUCGACCACCGGUAUGGGGAACGCGUCUUUGAUGGUGAGCGCGUUGAGCGCUUUGUAGUCGACGCAGAAGCGCCACGACCCGUCCGGCUUCUUGACGAGGAGGACCGGGGACGAGAACGCGGAGUCGCUGCGUCGUACGAUGCCUUGCUCCAUCAUGGCGGCGCACUGCCGCUCGAGUUCGUCUUUGUGCGCAGCGGGGUAGCGGUAGGGCCGGACAGCCACCGGCAGCGCGCCGGGCUUGAGGACGAUGCUGUGGUCGCGGGUGCGCUGAGGGGGCAGACCAACCGGCUCCGCGAAGAGACUCCCAAAGGCGAGCAGCAGCUCGUCCAGGAGGGUCGUCGGUGCAGUCACGGCGGCGGUGAGGGCUGGCGUGGGUGUGGCCACGUCGGACCAGCACACGCGCCUGUCCUGGCGGGUAAAGGACAGCGUGCGCGCGGUGAAGUCCCACUCAAUCCGGCCCAGGGUCACCAGCCAUUGGGUGCCCAGGACCAGAUCAUAACCGGCGAGGGGCAGAACGUAGAGGUCGACGCAGAAACCCUCGCCGUCGAUGAUGAUCGGCGCCUGUCGCAGCACGCCUGGACACGCGAUGCGUUCGCCAUUGGCGACGGUGGCGGUGAGGCGCGGGUCGGCGAGGACAGGGAGGCCGGUGCGCGUCGCAGCCGUCUCCGCGAUGAAGUUGUGGGUAGAGCCCGUGUCGAGGAGCGCCGUGAGGGUGACGUCGCCCACGGCCACUCGUACCUGCAUCGUAUCACAGAUGGGCAUACCCGUGACGGCGCGGAGGGAGAACACUGGGGCGGCUGGCUCGGCAUCGUCAGGAACGGCCUCGUCGUCUGCGAGCUCGACCCUAUCAAUGAAGAAGAUACGGCGGCAGACCCGGUUGUGACCCCUGGAAUACGGCUCGUUGCAAUUGUAGCAAAGACCGAGGCGUCGUCGUUCGGCUUGUUCCUCGGUCGACAGCCGCUUGACCUGGUUGGGCGCGCCCCUGGGUGGCGGUGCUGGGAGUGCUGGCAGGGCCGGCGCCGGGGCCGGGAGCGCCAGGGGUGCUGGAGCCGGUCUGACCGCCGGCCGGGGUGCUGGACCAGCGCGCGGGGCUGGUGGCGGGAGCGCGGCCUGGGCGCGAUCCAACUCCAUCAGCUCGACCUGGCGCGCCAGACUCAUCGCGGCAGCGAGGGUCUCCGGGUUGUGGAUGCGAACUGCGUGACUUAGGGGUGGGAGCAGUCCCCCUGUGUAGAGCUGAACGCGCUGGGUCUCCUCCAAUCUCCCGGCGCGUGGUAGCAGGGCCUGAAAACGAUUAGAGUAAUCUUCGACAGUACCUGUGCGGCGACACUCCGCGAGCUCGAAGAGCGGAGCCGACCUCAGGGGCGGCCCAAACCGCAGGUGGAGAAGGUCUUUGAAGCGACCCCAGGAAGGAGUGCCCUCGUCCUCUUGCAACUGGAUGAACCAGAGCUGUGCGACAUCUUCGAGGUUGUAGGACGCCAUCCAGACGCGCUCCUCUGCCAAAGUGCGCUGCUGCCGAAAGUACGAUUCGCACUUGUUGGUGAAGAGCAGCGGAUCGGACUUGCCGUCGAAGCGCGGGAAAUCAAGCUUCUGGAACUUGGGGGGACGAUCCAAGUCGCGCUGGCCGCCGCCCGUGCUCUCGGACGUCGAAGCCGACUUCUCCUUCAGUGCCAGCAUGUCGGCCUUCAUGGAGAACAUCUCCUCCUUGAAGGACUUCAGCAUCUCGACGACAUCGGCGAUGGUGGGAUCAGCCAUGGCGGGUGGGGGACAGGUGGACGCAGUGGAGGACGUAGGGGUUGGCGGCAGGGCAGGGUGGGCUGCGGCAGUGGAGGUUUGAGAGGUGGACGAGGAUCGGCGUGACCGUGAUACCAGGUUGUCAAGGGCGUUAUUGCCCAGCGACGGCGGCCCUCGGCUACGUAGCUCGUAGCCUUGGUCCGUGAUAAUUGGCGGGGUUAUGCCCCCUCGCCUACCCUCGCUGGUCGGGUUAUACCCCCUGGCCGGCGGCUUGAGAGGAAGAAGAAGAGAGAUAGGUUUAAUCUUGCUUGAUCUCAAAAGGUCUCCAAUUACAAGGCUUUAUAGCCUGGACUCCCAACAAGAAAGGAAACUAAUCCUCUAAACUUAAGGAAACCUGAUAAUCUCUUUCUAAACAAUCCCUAUCUUACCAAACCUGGACUCUCCUAAUCUGUCCAAGCCGCCUGGGCGCCUGGCUAGCCACUAACGGCGCCAGCCCCCUUGGCCAGGCUCUGGGCGCGCCCAGCGGCCCUGCGCACAUCGCGCAGCCUGCGACGCCUAGUGUAAGUAUUUCCCCACAUGACAGUUUCAGAUGCACAAAAGCUUAGGAACACAUGGUUUAUGAGCACUUCUCAUUGUAUUUGCAUAAGUCAAAAUUAACCAUUAAGUAUUGCACAUAUGUCCAAUCAAGCUCUUGUUCUAUUGAUUGCUUGAUGCUAGCCGUCAACUUUUUUAUUGUUGUUAAAGUGCAUCAUUGGAUCAUGCAAUUUCAUUAUAUAAUAGGAUCCUGACUAGGCAAAAUGUCAAUUUAGAGGCUUAAGGUGUAGUUCUGUCAUUUUCUUAUUUAUUUAUGAAUCUAAAAUAUCAACCAAAGUUUCCACUUGCCUCAAUUUUUUCAUUUUAUAAGCUGGAAAAUUUGAGUUUCUGAUUGUUUGCUACUUGUGUAGUAUAUCUACAAAAGGGAUUUGGAAUGUUGCCCUGUAUUUGGAAGAUUGAAGACUCUUUUACUCGACAUGUGGUGCAGGCAUGUUGAUAUGCAUGCACUGGUUCGCAUUCUUCAGCACACGCCUAUUCUUGAAAAGCUUACAAUUCAGCUUCGUAGUGACAAGGUAGAUUUUCCGGAUAUAUGUUAUCACAGAUUCACAGUACUAAUGAAUAUGUAAUGUAUACUCUAUUUAUCUUAUUUGUAUGUUGUGUCCUGUAGAAUUUCUUAUGCGCAGGCCGAGGUGAAAGAAAACAUGUUCGAAUAGUGCAAUCAUUUUGUUGUGCACAACUUAAGGAAGUCAGCAUAGAAUGUGAAGAGAAACUAAGGGUCAAGGAUAAGGUCAGGCAAAUUGUGAAGAUCUUGAAUAGAAAUGGCAUACAUAAAGAGCAAAUCACUUUCAAGAAGCUCCCAAGGCCAGAAGGUUGUAAGUAACUAUUUAGGUUUUUUAUGCUUCCUACUCCAAUUAAAAAUUUUGCAACCUUGUUCCAAUAUAUUCUAUGCUGUAAUUACUCAUCAAGACAUAAAGUAGAGCACACAACAACACCCUUUACAGUUACAUCCAUCAUUCAAAAUCCAUAUUAUUGUUAGGUAUGAACUGUUGUAGUUCAGAAUUGUUAUUAUUAUCUCACCAGGAUUAUAGUGUGACUAGUAGUGGAAUUAUGUUUCCAUGGUGCAUUGGUGACUAUAAAGUCUGCACCCUGAUUAAUUGCUGAUGGAAACAGUAGCUGUUCUCAUCUUCCAAUCCAGUUUACCAUUUCCAUACUCUAUUACUGGUUUCCAUCAUAUUAAGGACCACCAAUUGGUGAUUGUGUUUACUUUCCUGAGCCUGUGAUGAAUUUGCUGCUCCCAGAUUGAUGGUAAUGCUGAUGCCAUCUUCUGAUCUCCCUAGUGAUAAAGAGGAAAUUAGCAUGGCUUCCACUCUUUUUACUGAAUCAAAAGCUUUGUCUUACCUCCAGGUUAACAAUACUACAAUAGAUUAAAUCAAAAAACUGGAUUCAAAAAAUCUAUCCAAGCAAUCAGAAAUUCCUAUCUGAUCAAUGAAUGUGUCAUAUAUUAUUACUGAUAGCAUGUUUUCAUUUUGGUUCAGUGUAUCGUCUGGUGGCUGUGUCACCUAGGGCCUUUGAUGACAACUGGUCGGGUGGCGAAUAAGGUGGUGGUGUUGGGUCGCGAACUCGCGAUGUUGCUCCAAGCCUGUUAUGUCAUUUCUCCAAAUCUUUUGCAAUGGUGGGCCCUGUGCAGGCCGUUGGUUUCAAUGGUGCAACUAAGCUAAACAAUUUCCAGUUCUUUCUGUUUAAGACAUCAGUAUUUCAUUCAGUUUUCCAUUUUGUCAGUCGACUCAAACACUUAUUUCUCAACCAAUGAGAAUAGCUGUCAGAUGCGCAUCAAGAUAUGGAUUCGGUUUUUUCCCGUGCCUUUUGUUUUUUAAUAUAUGACAUGUGAUUCCUGUCACUGAAUUGAGAUACAGUCAUACAGUGGCUCUCAGUCGAUUAGGGAGUAGGGGACCUUUUCUUCGGUUGUCCGUAAUUAAUGAAAAUCGUGCCAGGACUUUGUCACAUUUCGAAGCUAGGUUUGCGUGCAUGAAAUUUUAACAUUCAAGGUUAUUUGAAAAUUUAACACUGAAUUAUAAAAUAGAAGAAGUUAAAUGAAUAUUGGAAUUUUAUAUCGAUUUACAAAGCAGCAUUCUUAGAGGUUCAACUCUACAAUGCAAGUUGCUGUCAAGAAAAAAUCAUAUUUUUUGCUAUUUUUUUUAUUACAGAAUCGAACUUAUAUCGCUCUCUCCAAUAGUACUUUUAAAACUUACUCUCUAAAUCAUGAUUUGGAAAGCCAAUUAAAUAAAAUCAUUUUUUACAUUUUUUUUACUCUCUAGCAACGUUUCUAAAUUUUGUGUGGUAUAGAGUUAAUCUCGCUCUCCAUUUUUGAUUACCAAGAAAUCUAAAAUGGAUCUCAGCUAUAUUUAGACAUCUAAUAAAAAUGUUGAAUGGUAUUUUUGUACCAAAUUUCUAUUCCAAAAUAAAAGGAUAUAGAGAUGUUCUUCAAAUUGCUCUAAAAGCACCGAUCUUCCACGCACUCCAUAUAAAAAAAAGUACUCUCUCCGUCUCAAAAAAACCAUUGUUGUUGACUUUGACCAAUCAUGUUUGACCGCUCGUCUUAUUCAAAAUUUUUAUGCACAUUCUAAAAUAGAUAAAUCAUUAUUAAAGUAUCUCUAAUGAUCAAAUAAGUCAUAUCAAAAUAGAGGAUAUAUGUAUAAAAAGUUCUAAUAAGACGAAUGGUCAAACAAGACGUUUGAAAGUCAACAACAACGGUCUUUUUGAGACGGAGAAAGUAAGUUUUCAUCCAUCGUUAGUGGCCCAAUGGGGCAUUGGCCUCCAUUUAGCUUAGCCUGCGCUCCGUCACCUCAGAGCUACUCUCUCUCAUGUAACUAUUCUAGAAUUUUUAGGAUAAAGAAAGAAUAUAAAAAACAUAUACAUCUUUUUUUAUUUAUUAAUCAAAUGCUAUCAUCAACAUAAUUAAUGGUGUUUAGUUGAUAUUUUUCUAAUGUUAGAAUGUACUAUAUUUCAGAGCAGAUAUACUAAUAGGAGUAAUGAUCCUAAGGGCAGCUCUAGCUCUAAACAUUUUUUCUCAUAUUUUAAUAGAAGAGAGAGAAAAACUGUCUCUUAAUGAAGAGCUAAGCUCUUGCACAUAUUUCGCCGGCUCGCCGCCGCCGUCGUUGCCGGAUAUGGUCACAUACGCUGGUGGCUAGCUGUUGGUUCGGAUCGGGAGGGACUCAGGCUUUGGGAAGAAGGGAGAGACCGUUUAGAGAUUGGAGUCUCAGGCUCGUUCCAGACCGUAUCGAAAUCAAAGUACGAAUGAACCCAAAUUAACCAAAUCAAUCAAUCCUAGGUGCUAACCCAAACCAAACCAGACCAUUGUAUUUCUAGAACCAUUUCUCAUUAAACUAGAGCAGUCCAAAAUAAAAAUCAAACCAUAUAAACUGACUGAUCGCAUUAGGUGCACAGCCAAGCAAACAGCAGAAGCAGCAUUCAGUGAACACCUCUGUUCUGCAACGAGCAUGAAUUCUAAUGAAAUUCAACACAGGCACUAUAUUAGAAAAGCCACAUCUUCUUCAGUUUAUUUGCAUCUAAAACCAUAUCAAUCGAUGCAUACAUAUAUGCAUGCGUAUGUCGCACUAGGUAUUUAUCAUGGGCACACAGCAGCAGAGCCAGACAUUAAGACCAGUAGGCAGUUUAUAGCAGGAUCCAUUUGUAGUGUCGAUAUCGGAUGGGCAUUCAUUCCGCCACUGCUUAAACGAACAAUCCCCAGCGGUCUUGUAGUAGCACGGCGUGCACGACAGUGGCUGCCCAAGCGCCGGGGAACCCUGUUGACGGCCGUCGUUGCCCUUCCCUUGCACUGUAAUAAUAUGGUAAUUCUGAAACUAAAUCAGACAACCAUAAAAAUUGGCACUUUAAUAUGUCGGAAAAAGAUACAGUGGAACGGUAGUUGGACCUUGGAAGGACGGGGAUGUUGAAGCCAUGAUCAAGAGAACCAAGAGAGGAACGGUUAUCAAUUCAUUGAUGCUCGUGGAACUUUUCUUGAAGAGUAGUGCCACUGCCAUGAGGAAAAAUGAGAAUCCUCCGAGGUGGGGGGUGGGAGGACUACUAUUGUUUAGUAUAUGUUUCAGUUGGCAGCUGUUAGUAUUAUAUAGACGGAUGCACCUCCAAGCAUCAGAUAUGUUUAAUUAAUUUUUUUCUAAGAAUUUAUGUGCUUUUUCAACUAAGAGAUUUUGGUAUGCAAAGAAUAAGGUAUAAUUAGUAUCUUGCUACUAUCAGAUCAAAAUAAAUAAGCAAACCACUAAUCUUGCAAAUAUGUUAGUUGUGUAUGUGUAUAUUUGUAUCUAUACCUAUCUAUAUCUAUACUUUUAUAUUUAUCUAUAUUUUUAUUCGUAUAUCUAUAUCUAAUAAAUAUAAUUAUCUAUAUUUAUAUCUAUAUCUGUAUAUCUGUACAUGUCUUUCUUGUCCUCACCUCCCCGAUUGACCCCUCCCGGUCCCCUUCGCCACUACUAAAAUGCUGGAGUUCUCGUAGUGUUUUUAGUUAGUAAUAAAACACUGCUACUAGUCAAAACACUAGGAAAUCCUCACUAGGAGGAAUUUACUAGGAAAGUUUAUACUAAAUUUUGAAUGCUAAAACAUUAGAAGAAUCCCACACUACUAAGAGAAAUUGAAAAAACCGGUUGUGCGCCGUCAUCACCUCCCCUGCCGAUCAUCACCCUGUGUUGACGCAUGUCAUCGCCACCCUGCCCACGCCCAUCAUCACCACAUGCAUACAGGAGGCAGACCCGUCUUCUCCUCCAUAAUCGUAUUUUUUAUGUGCGUAUAAAAAACACAGAAAAAUUCGUCACAUACAGAGCAAUUUGAUCGAGUUUCCACACUGAUUCUUGAAACAAAUUAAAGGCCAGUCUUCUUGGUCGGGAUGCACGUCGUGAUCCUCAGGUCUUGUUCCAAAUAAAUUUGGAAAAAAGACACUGUAGCACUUUCGUUUUUAUUUAACAAACAUUAUCUAAUUAUAGAGAGCUUAAAAGAUUCAUCUCGUGAUUUACAGAUAAACUGUGUAAUUAGUUUUUAUUUUUAUCUAUAUUUAAUGCUUCAUGCAUCUGCCACAAGAUUCGAUGUGACGGGACAUCUUGAAAAGUUUUUAAUUUUUGAGGUGUACUAAACAAGGCCUUGCUGCAUAAGCGCUAGGGAUCCCUGUGUGUUGACGGCCAUCGUCGUCGCUCUUUACAUGCUAUAGUAAUUCUCAAAUCAGACAACCAUAAAAAUUGGUUGGUUAAUUUAUCUGAAAAAAAAUAAUACAGUAGUGCUAGUAGAUAGUGGUAGUUCCACCUUGGGAGGACGGCGACGUUGAAGCCAUGAUCAAAAGAGCGAAGCGAGAGGAAGGGCUAUCAAUUUAUUGAUGCUUGUUGAACUUUUCUUGAAGAGCAGCAGUGCCAUGUGGAAAAACAAGAAUUGUCUGGUUCCUUUUAUUUCAUUUGUGCGGGGUGCGAGGGUAACGAAUAUUUGUGUUUAUUGUGUGAUCUGUUGUAUUUAGUGUGCAACUGUGUACGUACUAUGUAGACGCAUCCAAGUUCAGGUACCAUUCCUUUAAGGAUUUAUGCAAAUAGGUAUAAAAUCUUCGUAUUAUAUUGCAAAAUAAAUAGUGGAAGCACAACCAUUGCCAAUAUAUUGCUUGUCUGCGUAUGUCUCUAUACCCAUAUCUUUAUUUGUAUCAGUAUCUAUAUUUGUAUAUGUAUCCAUGUCUGUAUGUGUAUAUCUAAUCUAUAUCUAUAUCCAAAAUAUCUCUACCUCUAUCUCUGUAUCUAUAUCUAUAUCUCAAAAAAUAUGGUUAAAUUCUUGCAGUGGGACUAAGUUAUAGUGGACCAGAUUUAUAUGUCUAUAUAUGACGUCUCGCUAACUAUUACCCAUAUUGUGCAAUCAAAUCAAAUAUCCAUUAAAAAAAAACUUUCCUGCAACUCAGGGGAAAACUAUAACAGGAUCCUAUUCUUGGCCAUGAUAGAGUUCAUUCUUUUUUCCCUAUCUGUGUUUUGGACAUGAAAAGUUUGUAAAACAAAAUUUCCCAAGGAUCGAUCGAAGAUUUUAUCAUUAUCCAAAAACAUGUUCAUUUUCAUCGAGUUUGCAACAGCUAGACAGAUGCAUGCAUUACACUGUCUCAUGAGUGCAGCAGCACUCGGAGUGAGCACGACCAGAAUCAUCAUUCCUGGUGAAGCAAGGAGCUCUUUCAGCUACGAAACCUUUGGCUCCACAGAAAGAGCUGCAGGUAGUACAUCCUUGUGAAUCAUGGUCCUGGUAGCACGUAAACGGGUGCUGAGGAAUUAGGAUCUUUGUUGGCGACGCCGCCAACUGUGGGCAGCAGCACUCCACAUGAGAUUGACCAUACUUGUCAGUCCAAUUCAAGCAGAACGCUCUGUUGCUCCUCACGCCUUUUGCUAUGCAUAGAUUGGAGCAACUUGCAAACGUACAGUGAUUUAUAUCCUGGAAGCACGACAUCUGUCGAGGCCGAAUCAUCCCCGUUAGCAGCUGCGGCGAGUAGUGGUCUGGAUCGGAGCCUGGCAAAUGCAAUGAAGAAGUACAUACAGAUCAAAUAUUUUGUUGAUCAUAUUUACUUAUCCAAUAGUAUGCAGAUUAAGCAGAGACAAGGGCGCCAUACUGUCAAGGUUCUCAGCUUGGCAGGUUGUGCGGGAUGGAGACAUGAUCAGAAGAACUAAGAGAACAGCGGCAUUGAAGUGCUCGAUCUGCCUUGAGGUACAGCUCUUUGCCAUGAGGAAGAUAAUGCUAUUCCUCAUUCUAUUUUUGUCAGAAUUGGGGAUUCUCUUUCUGUUGUAUAGUGACGCAAGAAUUUAUAUAGAAACAAAACACAUCGUGAAAAUAUGUUCGUUGUCAUUGUAUAUCUACAUCUACAUCUACAUCGAUAUUGACAUCUACAUCCACAUCCACAUCCGCAUCCACAUCUACAUCUACAUCUAUAUCUAUAUCUAUAUCUAUAUCUAUAUCUAUAUCUAUAUCUAUAUCUAUAUCUAUAUCUAUAUCUAUAUCUAUAUCUAUAUCAGAAUUUCUAUAUCUAUAUCAAUAUCUAUACCUAUAUCUAUAUCUACCACAAUCUUGAAUUACCGUGGGUGCUAAAGAUUUUCUUCUAGACCAAAACAAAACCGCCAUGCGGACAUUGACUCCAAAGAAAUGAAUGUUGUGUGCUAAACGAAACCAUCAAGGUUAUUCCAUGUUUCUUUGAGUGUCAUUACAAACCGCCAAUAUAAAUGCUCAUUUUCAUCGGUGUUAUUAAAAACCGCCAAGGUAAUUUGUAUUUCCUCGAGUGCUAUUUAGAACUGCCAAAGUAAUUCCAAUUUUCUUGAGUGUAAUUUGAAACCCCCUAGGAAAUUCUCAGAUCUUCAAAAUUCAAAUUGUUUGAAUUUUUCAAAUGACCUCGGAUGGAUAUAUUACCUAAAUAGAAGUUAUAUUAUUUGACUAGAUAAUUCAAACUCUUUAUAUUAUUUGAAAUCAUUUAGGAUCUCAAAUAUUCAUUACAAGAUUCAACAAAGUGAAAACAGAAGAAAAAAAUAAUUCCCUUCAUCACAAGUUGCUUUGAGGAAUAGUGGUAAGUGCUUUUUAUUUGAAGCAAUAGGUCGCAAGUUUGAAUCCUACACGAGCCCCAGCUUAUUGUGAUUUAUAUUUUUUAUUCCUCUAUAUUUCCUUGGAGAUUGUUGUCCCUCAAAUUUCCUUGAUGGUUAAGAAUAUUUCCUUUGAGGUUGCUGGCCUCAAGAAAAGUUAAGUAUGAUCACAGUUUUCUUGGCAGCUAGUCUCUAUGAAAAUCAUCCUUUAGUGCCAAAAAUGCCAAGAAAACUAAUCUCUCUCUUGCAUUAUCCUGGUGACUUUGCUUGAUGAUCUGUGAUCAAGGAGUUUAGGCUCUUUUCUUGGUGAUUUUGGGUGGAAAUUCCCUGUGAGCCAGCAAUUCCUUACGAGCCAUUGAAAAAGUUCAACGAACUUCAGCACCACUGCUCCAAAUUUUUUUGCCUCCAUGCCACUGCCGUUAGAUUGGGCUCUAACAGUGUUAAACCGCAGAUAUAAAAAACAAAAAUACCCUUUUGUCUAAAUAUGCCAUUAAUGUUUUUGAGCAUCUUAAUGACUUUAAAUGGAAAACUCAAAACGAGAUCUACAACCUUUUAGUUUUGAGUUUUUCCAUUUGAAGUCAUUAAGAUGCUCAAAAAAUUAACAACAUAUUUACACCUAAGGAUAUUUUUGACAUUUCACACCCACGGUUUGGCACCAUUAGAGCCCAAUUUAAUGACAGUGACCUGGAGGGAAAAAAAAUAUUUGGAACGGUGACGCUGAAAUCCGCUAAACUUCACAAGAAAUUACGAUUUUUUAUAGUGGCUUACAAGGAAUUUCCUCCACUAAAAAUGGUAAUUUGGGCAUUAUGGUAGUGAUGGUCAUCGAUAUGGGACCAAGUUCUAGUGGCCCAAAACUAUAAGUAGAUAUGACGUCUUGCUAUCUAUUACCCCUAUUGUGCAACCAAAAAUCAAAAUAAGAAACCUCUCCAGCAACUCAGAGGAAACUAUAACAGAUUCGCCAUUAUCAAAAAACAUGUUUAUUGAUCCAGUAUGCAUCAGCUAUAGACAGAUGCAUGCAUUACACUGUUUCAUGGGUGCAGCAGCACUCGGUGUGAGCACGACUAGAAUCAUCAUAUUCCUGAUGAAGCAAGGAGCUCUUUCAGCUACGAAACCUUUGGCUCCACAGGAAGAGCUGCACGUAGUACAUCCUUGUGAAUCAUGGUCAUGGUAGCACGUAAACGGGUGCAGAGGAAUUAUCAUCUUUGUUGGCGACGUAGGCCGCCGACCGUGGGCAGCAGCACUCCACAUGAACAUGACCUUGGUUGUCAGUCCAAUUCAAGCAGGACGCAUCGUAACUCAUCACGCCUUUUGCUUUGCAUAGAUCGUAGCAACUUGAAAACGUGCAGUUAGUUAUAUCCUCGAGCACGGCAUCUGUGGAGACCGAAUCUUCGCCGGUAGCAGCUGUGGAGAGUCGGAGCCUGGCAUAUGCAAUGACGAAGUACAUACAGAUCAAAUAAUUUUGCUGAUCAAAUUUGUUCCAAUAGUAUGCAGAUCAAGCAGAGAUAUAUAAGGGUUUCUUACUUGUAAGGUUUUCGGCUUGGCAGGAUGCAGACAUGAUCAGAAGAACCAAGAGAACAGCGGCAAUGGAGUGCGCGAUCCACCUUGAGGUACUGCUCUUUGCCAUGACGAAGAUAAUGCUAUUUCUCCUUCUAUUUCUUGCAGAAUGGGAGUCUCUUUUAUGUUGUAUAUAUAUAGGGAUGCAAGCAUUAUCAUCCUGUCCCAGGUACAAAUGCGUGGGGCGUAUAGCAGAAACUAAUGAUUUGGUAUAUCUGGUCUGUAUCUUCUGGGAUUGGAUGCAACUAAAUUAAAUGUAUACUGCAGCCCAUAUACGAAUGUGUGCAUCAUAAUAAUAUAUUGGUAUCUGUAUCUUCUCUAAUAAACACUAAUAUUUUGCAGCCCAUAUAUUGGUCUGUAUCUUCUGUAAUAAACACUAAUAUUUUGCUAUCUAAAUAGUAAGAUCUGAUACAUUCUUUUUUUUUAGCGAGCAAGAUCUGAUAUAUUCUUAGAUGCAACUUAAUACUAUUACCACAGCCAAUAUAGCCUGUGACUACCUUCUCUCCGAAUCAAUGUCCUCUUCUAAAUGGAUUAAUGUUUUGGUAUCCCCACCUUGGAUUCUUAGGUACCAAUAGAAAUAUGUGAAUUUUUGGUUUGGGCUGGCAAGAAAGAUUGAAUUAAGUUGUAGUCUUAGAGGCUUGUCUUCCGAAACAAAAAGACAUAAAUACACCAGUGGUACAUGAAACUUUUGAAUAACUCAUUUUUGAGCAAAUAAAGUGAUGUGCUAUAGAUCCAUAUGGUCUGAGGAUUAAUAGGAUACUUAUAUUAAUAAGUUACAACUUCUUUUUCGGAAGACUAUCUUCAAAGAACUCUAAAAGUAAGCGUGUUUGGCCUGGAAAAAUUUAGAGAUGGGUGAUCGACCGAAAGUUCUUUCCGGGUGUGUAAGAGUGAGGACAAAGUGCGCAAACUACGCAGAAACGCAAAGUACGCAGAAAAGACUGGUGUUGGUCUGUGAGGACAGUUUAUAUCCUACAAAAGUUGCCGGAUAUAAACGGGCCUAGCCUCAUGGAGGUGGAGAACGUUACAAUGACCAAUAUGUACAGUAGCCCACCAUGAAGUCGACAUAGCAUUGCCAGGUGCUAUAUCUGGGUCCCCUUCCAUUGUCGCCCUUUCUCCUCCGAGUCCUCUCCAAAGCUGGACAUUGUAGGGACUUAGAAGGGCUCUGGUCGUAGGGGAGGGCCUAGUAUAUAUAGAUUCAAGGGUCUAUUCAGUUGAAUAUCCAUUAUUUUAGCAAAAAUAUAAAUAUAUAUAUAAUAAACAUAUAUAUGUGUUCAAAAAAUAAAAAGAAAAUUUAUUAUGCAGCCUCUGUAGAAAAAUGUAGCCAAAAUAUAUAUCCUUCUAUUCAUUUUUCACCAGGGCACCAACUAAUUAAACUCUCAGCAGGGCACCACCGCACCAGCAUCCACACCUGCUUGUAUUCCUCAGUUCGGUUGCGUUUUCCCCCAAAUCGGCACGCAGUGGCCGCCAGCACCUGGUGUCGUGCUGGCGAUGGCACCACGCCACUAUUAUUGGUAGUUUUUUUAUGUUAAACAAUUCCAAUUUAUGGCUAACCUAUUGUAUGCUCAUAAAGAUUGAGGCCGGUUUUCUUUGGCAAACAUAGUCUAGGAUACGACCCCUCAAAAGUUGUAAAGAUACAUGAUGCUAUCUCUCUGUUUUCUAAUAUGGGUAAGUUGUCCCACUCCAUAUAGAGUGAUUUACCAUAGAUACUAGGCUACGUUACACGAGUACGAGUACGACUAUCGGAUACAAUACGUAUCGGAUACGCGGAUACACACUUUCUAAAAACAAAAACCCACUAAAAUGGUGUAUCCGAGUAUCCGUAUCCGCGUAUCCGACGAGUAUCGGAUACGGAUACGUCACCCCCUUGGAGUAUCCGUGUAACAUAGAUACUAGGUAUGACGGUACUUAGGUCAGUCUCAAUAAAGUUUCAUUAGAGUUUUAUAGACAUUAAAUAUGAUGAUGUGACAUCAUAUUAAUGAAGAGAGAGAUGGCAAGAGUUUCAUGGGAGUAGAGAGAGUUUUAUGGGAAUGAAACUCUUCUACAAUAUUUCCAAAAUAUUGGUGUGUUAGAAACUGGGUGAUGAAACUUCCACUAAGGAUGGCUUUAACCGACAAUUGAAAUUUUACAUCCAACUCCAAGAGCUUGGCUAAAAUUAGUAACUAAAUUUUAUUGUUUAGCCAUUUUGUAAAAUAGAAAACCUUUUUAAAAAAGAAGAUGUCCAUAACAGCCUUGCUAUUUUAUAAAAUCGGAUAGUUAGUGUUAGUGGUUGGCUAUAUAUGGUCACAAAAAAUUAAGAGAUAGCCAACUUUUUAUUUUACAAAACUAGAUAGCACAUUUGAUAGAGGCUACUUUUUGCUAUACAAAUUUUAAAAGAGCCUCUAUGGCAAAAAUAGUCAAGCUGCUGGAGUUUCUCUAUAUGGUGCUUUUGGAAAGUGGAACUAAUAAUAAAAAGAUUACUUAAGUUCUCCAUAAGGGGGAUGUUAUUAGGAUAGAUUUCAGCUGUACCAAUGACUUCAUUGAGGCUUGGGCCGACAAAGCCAUGCCCAUGAUCGGUGGGUCCAAUAACUGCCAAAUAGCCAGUCCCGAGGUAUAAAGGUGUUUGGUUGGAGGUGUUAGGGCACUCACAAUGCAAGACUCUAUCACAGAGUCCAAGACACUUAAUUACAUAUUAUUUAUGGAAUUUUGAUGAUGUGGCAGCAUAUUUAUUGAAGAAAGAAGUAGAAAAAAUAAGACUCCAAGUCUUAUUUAGACUACAAGUCCACAUUGUUCGAGGUAAUAAAUAACUUUAGACUCUAUGAUAGAGUCUGCAUUGUGAGUGCCCUUAAAGUUUAAUAUGUACUGUAAUAUUUUCGUCUUAUUUGGAAAUUAGUAUCUAAUCAUGGACUAAUUAUGCUCAAAAGAUUCAUCUCAUAAAUUACUCUCUAUUUAUAUUUUUAGUUUCAUAAAUAGUCUAUAUUUAGUACUUCAUGCAUGUAUCCAAACAUUAGAUAUGAGGAACGAUAAAUUUUAGGGAGAGCAACCAAACAGACCUAAGAGAAGGCACCCACGACUAUACCUGAGGCUGUAAAUAGGGUUGUCAGAUACCUCCCGAUUAGGUUUCCUCGGGAAUAGGACUGAAGAUCAAAGGUCAGUCAAUGGUCAAGAAGUAACAUGGAGUACCGCAAGUCUACAUUGACAAUGCUCAUCUUCGCCACCAAUGCCACGCCUGCUUGUAUAUAGAAGGUAGGAUGACAUCAGUGGGUCUUUGGGCAUCGUCUAUCACCAUAGGUCACCACUAAUUAAACACGGUUAAGGGUUAAGUGGUGGAUUAGGUGUCGUCUAAGAUCAAUCCUAAUUAAUUAAGCAUAAGAGCAUCUUAUGCAAUUGGACUAUGCAUUCUAGAAAUUUGAUAAAAACCUUAAAAAUUGUUCUCCAAUAGUUAUGCAUUUUACUUAUGCAUUUUGGCAAACUUGGCAUUUGAUGGACCAAACUUAGCAUUUUUGCAUAAGCACAAUGGCUUGGCAAAUUUAAUAUCCCGAGUUUCCUGGACUCCUUGUCGUGCGCGACCUCUCCACGCGCUGCGGUAGUUUCCCGCAAGGACUCCUCUUCCCCGCGCGAACUCUUCUUUCCCGCGCGACGUGAACUCUGCGACUUCGUGGACUACUGGCGCACGACAGAACUCUGGCGAACUGCGACUUCGUGGACUGGCGGACCGGGAGGCCGCGAUUCACAGAAACGGCGGUGACUUGCGACUUCAUGGACUGGCGGCGACGGGCGACGGAAAUUCCCGCGCAGAGGAAAAAUCUCGCGUGAAGCGCGCCAAUCAAAAAAAAGAUCCCGGACAAAAAUAGUUGGGUCCAUUAUUUUGGGAAUGCCAAGUCAAAAUGCCAAACACUUGGAGAUGGAGUUAUUUUUCCUUUAGCAAAACGUUUAGAGACUUGGCAAAUUUCAACAAAUGGCAAAUUCCAAUUGCAUAACUGUUGGAGAUGCUCUAAGUCUUAAAAAAACUACCCAAAUAUUGAAACAGACAGAAAACAAUAUUUCACGAAACGGUAAACACACAUACUAGGAUAUCAUAACUAGAAAGAUUCCUCACGUGUUACCACAUGUAUGAAGGAUGAAUAUAAAUAUAGGCCUUGUUUAGAUCUAAAAAGUUUUUGGAUUUUGACACUGUAGCACUUUGGUUUUUAUUUGACAAACAUUGUCUAAUCAUGGAGUAACUAGGCUUAAAAGAUUCAUCUCGUGAUUUACGGGCAAACUGUGCAAUUAGUUUUUGUUUUUAUCUAUAUUUAAUGUUUCAUGCAUGUGUCGCAAGAUUCGACAACGAAGAAUCUUGAAAAGUUUUUUGUUUUUGAGGUGAACUAAACAAAGCCAUAGUCUUAGUGUAGUCUAUCCAGUCAUCUUCUAUAUAUAGUUUGAUUAUUAGUAGUCAGUUUUUGAAUAGAAAGAGAGAAAGUUACGUGAGAGAAUAAUGCUAGCAAUAUGCGUGUAUAGUCAUGUGUAGGUAACUGCAUCCACUACUAAAACCAUUUGUGAGUGGGCACUUAAUUGCAUGUGGCAGCAGGAGGAGUCGAUGAUGAUAUUGCGUGCAAGAUAAUUAACGUCUUUAUAGAAUAUAUAGAUACUCUACUAUAAAAUCGUAGUGUGUUGUAUUCAAAAAAUGUUAGAGAGCAAGCACAAUCAUGCAAGCUAUCUGAUUUAGUUUUUCUGUUGGAAAAUUUUGCUACACUGCAGUUACUUAUAAACUUGAUUUUCUCCUACAAACUACUCCCUCCAUCCUCAAUUAUAAGAUAUUCUAAGAAUCUUAGAGAGUCAAAGCAUCUAGUUUGUUUAAAAUUUAUAUGAUAAGAUGAUAACAUUUACUAUACCAACUAAGUAUCAUUAUAUUUUUUAUUAAUUAUAUUUUCAUAUACCGAUUUAAUGUCAUAAAUAUUUAUAAUUCUCUCUAUAGCUUUGGUUAAACUUGAAAUGUUUUGACUCUCAAAGAUUUUUGGAAUGUCUUAUAAUUUGGAACGGAGGGAGUAGUUAAUCAAUAUCAUUUUGACCCCUUAAACUUGUUUUUUCGUUAAAUACGUUUCAGGGUCAAUUUUUGUGCGAUGAUAUAUGACAUUAUGAACUUGUUAGAAAAAAAAUAUUUUGAUUAUGUUGUGUGCUUCCUCAUAUAUUUUACAUUUGAAUCAUUCAAUUAAUAUCAAAUAUAUAUAAUGCAGACUAAACGAGCAAGGUAAUUGCAAACCUCACAUGGUCAUUUUUUAGAUCAAAGGCGUUCACCUGGCUUUAUUGAAAGCAUAACGAAAGCCCACCAUCAUUUUGCUGGGGAUUCCAGCUUACAACGUAGUUCAGACAAACUUAGGACGCUUACAAGUUCAACUGAAAUACAGAUCUCUAACACAACACGAUUCAGUACGUGCUCGAUAGAGAUUGGGAAUUGAAAACGUAUAUGGUCUGAUGUUUCAGGUUUGCCACACAUAAAGCAUUCCACAUGCUCUGACCAUUGUUUUCUUUUUAGUUGCACCCUAGCCUGGAUUCUGUCAUGAGCCGCCUCAAAUACAAAUUGUGCAAGGAAAAAGUUAAAAACACAAGCUAUAUCCUAGCGGAAAAUGACAAGGUACAAUAAUGGCGUGAUUUGAGCCGUUUGAAUAGCCAUUAAAGUAUUAAGUUAAUAUUUUGUUCGAGCAGUUAUUAAAAAUGUAAAUUUUUUGUUGUCAUCAUAUAAAUAUGUAAACAAAAAUGUUUAUUACUCAGUACAACAAAUUAAAGAAACACAAAGAAUAGAGAACCGAUCGAUCCGGUUCGAUACAGUAACAUUGGUCUCAUAUAUAGUCACUUCUCACUUGGCGAGCUAGCGAGUAGACGGAGAGCAUGAUGACGAGCGCCAUGCACGCGGCGGCGGCCAGCAUGAGCCCUGCGGCGGCGUAGGCCAGGUCGAAGAACUUGUCCAUGUCCCGGUGCAGCUUGUCGACCUCCGGCGUCCCGAUGGAGUCGUCGUCGAACUGGCCGUCCAGGUAGCGCUUCACGUCGUAGGUGAAGGCGAACCCGGCGGCGGCGCCCGUUGCGAGCAGCAGGGCGAAGACCACGUCGGCGAGGAGGACGAGGACCAGCAGCGCCACGGCGACGCUCCCGCCGCCAGCGCCGAUGCCCCGCUUAUUGUUCCCGCUGGCGAUGAUGCUGACGGCGGCCAACGGGAGCUGCAGCAGCGUGUAGGCGCACCCGAUGACGGCGACGGCCAGGACGUACCUGUAGGCGUAGACGUCCCUGAAGGUGUACCUCUGCGGCGGGUCGCUGUCGACGUUGAGCUUGUCGGCGGCGAUGAGCGCGAGCGAGGCGGCGAGGAGGCCGAGGCUGAGGAGCCGGAGGAUCAGGACGGCCGACGGCAGCAGGACAGUCCGGGACGCCAUUGUUAGCAGCGAAAUGAACUGUUUCCCUGCAAACACACUGCGUCUAAUUGGCUACUUAUUAUUGUCACGUUUUACUACUUGCACACGUACACGCGCAGCAAGCUAAGCUUGUGAUUAUUGCUGGCUGCCUGAUUGGGAUUAACGGGAGAUGAGAUGUCAGGGAUGAUGGUUCCUUUGUGCAUAUAUGUCGCCAUGAUCUGUGCAUCGUGUUCGUGUCGUGUCGUGUUCUUUGAGCUAGCUAGCUGCGAAGAGCUGAUGAGGGCCGGCCGGCGGCGACAUCUGGCACGGGGAUGUUGGCUGUUGGAUGGAGGGCGGCUUUGGCCUGGUGUCCGUCCGGCCGGUCUUCGUCUCCUUCGAUGACCAAGACGACGGGGUGUCGCGAAGGGCCGGUGACCUGUGUGUGUCCAAUGUCGAGACAUGCAUACAGGAGAAAAGAUCCAAAGAAGAUGGAGGUCGUGGUGGACUUUUUCCGCUAUUGUUGCCACGUUGGUCGCCGACUCGCCGGCUCGCGGGCGGCCGCUUUAUUUGCCACUACUGGGGCCCUUUGCCAUUACUGCUGCACUUUAAGUUACAUGCCACUAAGGCCCAAAAACCCAAAACUUUACAAGAUUCUCCAUCGCAUUGAAUCUUGUAGCACAUGCAUGAAACAUUAAAUGUAGAUAAAAAAGAUAACUAAUUAUACAGUUUACUUGUAAAUCACGAGACGAAUCUUUUAAGCCUAGUUGCUCCAUGAUUGGAUAAUGUUUGUCAAAUAAAAACGAAAAUGCUACAGUGUCAAAAUCUAAAAAGUUUUUAGAUCUAAACGAGCCCUAACUCAAAAGUCAACAGAAUUAUAUUCUUUUAGACAAAGGAUAGUUUAUAUCUAGCUUCAUCUAUCAACAGGUAGAAUUAUGCCAAUUAUUACAAGGUUCGACCUAUAAGCUAGCACACGAGCUAUAAAAGUAACAUCUUACAGCGACCCACACAAAAGAACAAAAUAAAGUUUUUGACUAAAGAAGACCAAUAGAUCUAUUUGAAAACCACCCAUUGGAAGCAAAAAAUGCAAGACUGAUGUCUCUAGAUGCUGCCCUACACGGAUUAGUUGGUGUCGUUGAACAUCACACCGCUGCAGUCUUGCUCAUUGGCGAAGCGAGUGGGUUCCCCUGAAAAGAACCUACAAAAAAUAUUUUAGUUUACAUUUAUCAAAAACAUUUUGUUUCUCGUUAUCCAAACUGUCCAACACAAAGUUGAUGUUGCGGUCAGCAACAAUGAAUUGUGUUUGUUACCACCUGUCUUGGACCACCUAUACUCUGGGAAGGUGAUAUCGCAAACAUUAAAUGUAUAGUGUGCCACAAGAAUUUAGCAUAGAAAUAAUCCAAAAAAAGGUGUUGAAUACUUUCUGGUGAGUGACAGAAGCUACACCUCGUAUCACCAUUCCAACUUCGUCGAGCCAGGUUGUCUUUGGUUAAAAUCACACUUUUUUAGGUACCACAAAAAUUUUUUAUUCUUGUAGGAAUUUUAAUUUGCCAUUGUUAACACAGCAUACAUAGAUUUGACGCAAAAAAAUCCCUGAUGAAUGUAGACCCAAACAAAACCAUCCCUAUUCCUUUGUAGGUUCAUAUCAUGUAAGGAGGCAACAUUCUAUGCCAAUCCCUUAAGUUUCUUUCUACUAAAUUCUAACGAAAAGAAAUAUCCAAUGGGAUUGAGCUAAGUACUUUUGCUAUGGAAUCUUGUUUUCUUCUCACAAUGUUAAACCCCCUAGGGAAUUUAUCCUUUAAGUGACUGGUUACUCAACCAAGUGUCUACCUAAAACCAGAUUUGCGUACCAUCUUUCACCUUGAAAGAAUUGAAACUCAUAAAAGUGUCUUUACCAUUCAUUAAGCUUUUUCCAGAAAUGAGAGUCUGUUGGUUUUUUAACACAACUCCCUACAGUCUUAUGUUUGAUAUAUUUAUUCCUCAAAAGUUCCUGCCACAUACCAUCUUCGUUUAACAAUUUAAAAAGUCAUUUACUCAACAGACACUUGUUUUGUAUGUCCAGAUUCUAUAUUCCUAGACCACCUUGAAUUUUUUGUUGGCAUAAAAUUUCUCAUUUAACUAAUCUAUAUUUGCAUUUGUGUUGAUUAUUCUGCCAAUAGAAUCUUGAUCUGAAACAGUCAAUUUUUUCACCACUGCUCUUGAGAGUUUGAAAAAAGACAUCAUAAACAUCGGUAGACUAGAGAGAACCGAGUUUAUUAAAACUAAACGACCUCCUAUCGAGACCAUUUUCCCUUUCCAUCCACUGAGUCUAUUUUCAAUUCUAUCCUCAAUUAUUUGCCAGUCUUUAUUGUUUAGUUUUCUAAUAUGCAUAGGUAUGCCAAGAUAACGAAAGGGGUAAUUCCUAAUAUCACAACCAAACAGCUACGAAUAAAACACCUCAUGCUCUUUAGCUUUACCAAAAUAAAAUAUUUCACUUUUGUGGAAGUUUAUUUUAAGCUCUGACAGUUGCUCGAAGGUAAGUUUCAUAUUUAUGCCUUUGCAACAUCAUGGCUCGUAAAGAUUACCGUGUCAUUUGCAAUACUGGAGAAUAGAUACGCCAUCUUGAAUAAGAUGAGGAAUAAUCCCUUCUACUUGACCUGCUUUCUUUGCUCUAGCAAUGAGUGGCCAGUAUGUCCACCACUAUAUUAAAUAGUAUCGGUGAUAUUAGGUCACCCUACCGUAAGCCUUUUUUUGGUUUGGAAGUAGGAUCCUAGUUGGUCAUUAACCUUAGUGUUAAUAUUUCCACCUUGCAUAAACUGUUCAACCCAGGUGCACCAUUUUUAUGAAAACCUUUCAUCCUUAGCGUUAGUUGCAUGAAGCUCUUUAUUUUACCUUAUCAUAAGCCUUUUCAAAUAUAUAUAUAAUGCCCCUUCGAUUAUCUAGUACGCCCACCAUUCUAAAUUAUAAACGUUUUAGUAUUUCUGGAUAUGUAAAUAUCUGGUAUGCAUCUAGCUUAGAUAUACACUUACGUUUAGAUGAAUAAUAAAAUCAAUAUAUCAAAAAAAGAAUGUCUUAUAAUCGAAGCUCAUAGACAAUUUUCUCCCUCUAUCCUCGUGCCAGCAACUGUAGGCUAAAUCUUCUUCAUCUUGUAAGACCUUGUUUAGUUCAAAAAAUUCUGCAAAUUUUUUUCAGAUUUCUCAACACAUCGAAUUUUGCGGCAUAAGUAUUAAAUAUAAAUAAAAAAUAACUAAUUGCACAUUUUGCGUGUAAUUUGCGAGAUAAAUCUUUUAAGUCUAGUUAGUUCAUGUUUGGAUAAUAUUUGUUAAAUACAAACGAAAGUGCAUGCUAUAGUGUUUAUUUUGCAAAAAAAAAAAAACAAUGGAACUGAAUAAGGCCUAAGUUGUAGUGGUAGCAUGUGGCCAUUUCCUUCGUGCACCGGCCGCCGUUUACCGGGAAUUCCAGAUCCUGGCCAGGAGUCCAGCUGUUGUAGGCUUGUAGCACUGAUCGGAGUUUUUCAUCGGACGCUAAGAGGUUGGGCCAGGUUGGUGGAUGCUGGUUCGGUUGAACCAGCCACAUGCUGUUUAGGCUGGGGCUUUCACUGAUUAUUAGAACUUCCUUUGCCGAGUGUUUUUUCAUACUCGGUAAAGAAGCAUUUUUACCAAGUGUUUUUUCUUUGCGGAGUAUUUUUGUUUGACACUCGAUAAAAUGUUUAAAAAAAAACAUUCGGCAAAGAGGUUGUCUGCCAUAGUGUAUAUAUAAAUUUUCUCACGGAUAAACAGAGUUAGAACCGGAACAUGAUAGGUGUGCGGCGCUGUUUACGUCGUGUACCAUCGGUUCGGAGUUGUACAGAAGAUCUAGUAGUGUUGGCGACAAAUUAGGCAUUGAGUCAGACCAGGAUUCUUGUUCUGCAUAGACUCAGAUGGAAAACAUCAAUAACCAGGGCCAAAAAAAAAAAACCAUCAUAUAUAUAGCCACGGCCGGCCAGGUAUCAUGGCACGAGCACGACGACAGCAGUACUAAUUGGCUACGCGAUCCAGAUCGAUUAUAUUAGAAUAGGCAUCGAUAAUUAAGAAUCAGGAGAUGGAGCGCGGCUGCUCAGGUAACAACUCGUCGGCGGCGGCGGGAACGAAGAGACCAGAGCUAGACGACGGGAUGAUGAACAAAGGCGAGUGGACAGGCACCAAGAAGAGCAAGAAAUUGCACGAGUAUCAGGUCGCCGUCGUCGUUGGCGCUGGCGGCGGCGGCGGAUUGUCGAGCUCGAGGAAGAGGCCGUACGAGUACGGCGAGCACGAGUACGACGUGUCCACUGAGAAGCUCUACAAGGGCAACUACUGGGAGGACCCAGCCUACGCCAAAAAGAUUGAAUUCUUCGGGCUCACACUUGCGCGCAGCGACGCGCUCGACAACGCAUGCGAGCGCUUGCACCGGGAGUUCGAGGUCCUGUACCCACACCGUGCCAAGCACAUGCAUGGAUAUGCAUUGCAUGAGUAGCUAGCUUUUUCUUUUUUUUUUCCUUUUUUAUUAGCCUGGUAGCUAUUAGGAAUUGACCGAAAUUACAAAAACUAGAUUGAUCAUGUUGGAAUAAGUGAUGCACGCAGGUAUAUGGUUAUAGGUUUAUAAUGUACUUAGGUUGAUCCAUCCAUGUUUUAUCCAUGAUGCACCUUUUACAAAAUGAAGUGUCAAUUAGUGAAACAUAUACACAACAGUUCUCAUUUCAGAUUGGAUUGUUCAACCAAAAACAUAUAAAAAUCUUGCCAAAUAAUUGUCCAAAUCAAAUCAAUUUCACUACACUUAGUGCUAAAAAAAUCAUCUCACCACAGGACAUCAACAUGAACUAUAGGGGAAAUUUAGUCUAGUUUUAAGAAACCAAAAACAUGGCAUCACAGAACACAUAACCUGCAAUUCUAUAUCAAAUGAAGAGAUAGAGUUCAUAAGAAAAGGAGAGCAUACCAAUAAAGCAAUGACAAUAGAAGAUCAGAUGAAGACUAGAAGGGCAACUUGCUCGUGCUCCCUGUAGAUAAUAUUGCCAACACUAUUUAAUCACAAGGCAAUACAAAUAAGUCAAAAACCUGAGCAAAAGCAAACUUACUUCAAAGCUAUAGGUGGGUAGAAAGAACAAUUGAAGCCUUGAAUCCUUUAGUGCUUCCUUAUUGGAUAUUUUGCAACAUGCACAAGAAAGAAAGAAAUACUCAGAACUGAUAUAGUGCAGCGAGGAGACAAACUUAUACUUCCAUUUGCAACUAAAAGUUCAAUUGAUUUCUUCUCUCAAACUUUUUAUAUAUAGAAUAAACACAGCUUUCUCGCAUAAAGGACCAAAGUAAAGUGACUAUGAACUCCCAUCAGUGUGUACUUUGCCAUCAUACUAAAAAAAAGUUGCAGACAUAGCAUAAAAGAAUAUACAUGCAAGCUGAUGGAUUGUGUGGUGUGCAAGAUCUUGAAUCCAGAUGGUUCCUCUGCAAAAUCAAUUAAGGCAUUAAACAACAUAUUCACAUCUAAAUCAAGCUGAAUAAAUUCCUUCUCCAGAAAGGGGAAGAGAUGGUGGAUCUGGCCUGAAUGCAAAUUGGCAACAGAACGCAAACCUUAAAUGUCUUAGCCUUUCUCACCUUCGUGUACUUUCUGCAACCAAGAAAAAAAAACAAGACAAUAAGCUAUGUGCCAAAAACCUAGAACGCAGAAGAAUGGGGAUUAGAGGAAGGGGAAGUGGAGAUGAGGCACCUGGAUUCGGAGGGGAAUGGGGACACGGUGACGGCACAGCUCUUGCACUGCCACACAUUCGGGCAUUAGCACCGGUCGGGAAGGGCCUGUUGCUCCAGUUCCCGAGCCGGUGCUGCCCUUCCGGGACGAAAGGCCUACCCUUUAGUCCAGGUUCGGGAAACCGGGGCUAAAGCCCCCCCCUUUAACACCGGUUGGUAAUACCAACCGGUUUUAAAGGGUCCUGCCAGGGCUGCCACGUAGCAGGACCCUUUAACACCGGUUGGUAAUACCAACCGGUGUUAAAGGGUUUCUUUUUUUUGUUCACUUCUUCGGUUCUGUUUAUUGUUUUUAUAUAAUAAUAAUAGGUUUUUCAAUACAUGUUUUUGCUGAUACAAUAAUAUAUUUAUAUUACACGCAUAUUAAGCAUGUAUAAAUGAAAAUUAUAGGCUUAGCUUUAUAAUUAAGCUUUGCCUAUAAUAAAAUGAAUAGGCCACAUCAAAAAUUAAAUAAAAUGUAAAAAGCUUUAUAUAUAUAGUUUUAUAUGUACAAAAUUCGUGACACAUAUAUACAUAGAGUUUUUUCUCCCAAUGUCUACAAACGAUACAAAUUAUCAUCGUUGUUUGGAAUAAGAGUUUCGUUGCCGUUGAAGUGAAACUCGCCGUUUGGAUUGAUCACUUGCUCGCGGAGAAAUCCUGCUAUUGUCUCUUGGAUAGCUUUGAUUCGGUCUUUUUGUAUGACCUUUUCCCUCAACCAUUCCGUCUUUAAUUUGAAAUAAAUAAAAAAGUUAUUAGUUAUCUAAGUUAUUCAAUAUAAUUUAGGAGAUAAUGAAAAGAGACAUGUACUCUGAGAGUCUCUAUGAGUGUUUGAUUGAGUUGUGCCAUCAUGAAUUUGCACACGUAAUAUGCACAUAGAUUGUUCCCCCCUUCUUGUCUUAAACACCACUGUACGAUAUAUAUAUAUAUAUAUAUAUAUAUAUAUAUAUAUAUAUAUAUAUAUAUAUAUAUAUAUAUAUAUAUAUAUAUAUAUAUAUAUAUAUAUAUAUAUAUAUAUAUAUAUAUAUAUAUAAUAUUCACGACCACGACAAUAAGAAGGCUACAAGUUAGCGAAAGUUUGCUAGCUAGUAAAACUUACUUGUGGAUGAAUUAUGCUAAGCGACGCUUUACAUCCACUGAGAUGUUCACGGUCAAUAAAUCUUUCCCAAACCCUACACACAGCCAUUAUGAAUCGUGAACUAAUAAUUACAGAGUCAUAUUAUGAUAUUCUUCUAGCUGAGAUCGACAUUAUGUACCUUUGAAUAAUGUUUACCAUUUGUUGAUAAUUUUCUUGUGGUUUUCUCAUUGAGUCAAAGAUUAUCAACCGGUUCUUUGGAAUUUCAAUGACCAUGAGUAUCCAGUGAAAGCUAUUUACAUAUAUAUAUAUAUAGUCAGACCUAUAUAUAACUAUAUAAAACUUGUCUCGAGUAAUAAUAAGUAAAAUAAAAUAUGCAUGCACUUAAUAACUAUAUAACUCACUCGAAGUUGAAGGGGAAGAGUAUUUUUUUGUUUUUCUUUUUUGUUCACAAAGAACCUCAUAAAAUUGGUGCAGACUUCUGUCUCAUGAGCUGCUGUCCACAUUGCCUGUGGAGCCUUGAAAACAAUAUAAGUGUCAACGAACCCAAUACUAUUGUCAUUUCUGAUUCUGAGCUCUCUCAUUUGGUGCCUGCAUAUAUACAUACAAAUUCUAAGUGUGUAAGGAUUAUAUACAUGUAAUUAAAGAAGUUAGAAGUAUAAUAAAAAGAAAGAAAUACUUACAGACAAAAGCAGCUGACAAGAGAUUUGUCGAGAGCGUCGAGGUGACAUAAUUGGUGCAAUUCUUCGAACUGCACGUAUAUGAGGUCAUCUCCACGGAAGUAGUGAUGUUGUCUAAUACGAACAGAAAUCCAAUUCUCUCUCCUUUUAGACGCCUCAAUGCACCAUUUGUUUAUUGCAAACAUUUGUGUGCCGAGCUCAUGUAAACGCUGAGGGUCGAAUAGACUUCUGCCCGGUUCAUAUCUUGCCCUCCAUGGAUCAACUACCUCAACUUUUUCAAAUGUUUGGCAACCAAUAAUAGCGCCAAUUUCUUCCAUAUUUAAACCGCUCUGUCCAAAGUAACGCUCAAGCGAGUCUAGCUCAGACACUAAUAAGGAUUUCUUUGGCAUCAAGUCUUUAUUUGAGCCGUAUUGAUUUGGCACAAUCAAAGGGGGCACCGGUUUUGAUAUACUUUUCCGAGCUGUGGGACCCCCUUUCCUACUCUCUUUCUAUGCUGUGAAGACUUGACCAGAGACCGCUCAUAGUCCGAAAGUGCUGGCUUUUUCUGAGCUUCGCGUUGCUUCUUUUGCUGGUCCGCCACCUUCUGCCUUCGUUCCGAUGGCUUUACAUAAAAGUACGGCUUUUCUGGGUUUAGCCGCUUUUUUCUAUCCUCCUUCAAUUUAUCAAAAAAUUGUCUCACCUUAGCUUUGGAUGCAGCAAUUACCUCCUCUUACUUUUUUGUAAGGUAAUUUUUCUGGUGUCUUAGCUCUCUUUGCUGAGGCAGCCUUCUUUGGAGGUGGGACCGAUGACUUCGGUCGUUCUUACGCGGACCGCUUCUCACUACCUCGCUUUGAAGGCGAGCGGACCGAACGUGUACUCUUUGGAGAGGGCGGUGCAGGCGGUGGAGGUGGUGGGGCCGAUCUUUUCGGUGUUGGAGAACGCGGUGGAGGAGUUGGAGACCUCGGUGGAGGAGGUAGAGACCGUGGUGGAGGCGGUGGCGGGGUCGGUGUGGCCGCCGCAGGUGUUGGAGCAGAUCCAGCAUUGUCACCGCCCGCAGCACUAUGAUGCGCUGGGGAGAGAACUGGACUUAGGUUGGAGGAGUCCCCGCAAAGAAAACAAUUACAAGUUUUGUGAGCAAACUUUUUUCAAUUCAAUACAUAAUAAAUAAUAUAAGAAGUAAAAUCAUGCACAAACCUAUGGUGAGGAAUAAUUAUGAAGCGCUUGCGCCAACAAAUAAACUUCUUCUCAGCUUCACCUAAGGUCUUCUCUCCGUCUCCCCCUUCUAUUUCUAGAAGCACAUUGCCACAACCUUUCUCAACCCUAUCAACCGAGACGCCAGCAUAUCCACCAGGUACUGGUCGACUAUGAAUUCUUGGAGUUCUCGUUCGGUCGAUAGGGUUCACAACAGCGAUAGCCACCUUUUUCGUUGCAUUCCCAUCUGGUACAUGCAGCUCAUAGGUAGUAAAAGCCUAUGUGACAUCAUCCACGGGGAAGUGUAGCUUCGUGUCAUCCUGAAUGGUUGGUACUUCUGUGGAUGCGCAGCUGCUUUUCAACUGGCCUGGGGGGCUAACGUUGACCUCAGGCUGUGAUGUACCUUGCCCUUUCGUCAUUUGACUAAGUGCUGCUUGCACUUGCCUUUGAAUCUCCGCCUGCAUCCAUUCUUCACGAGCAUUCUCGUGCUCUUCUGACUGCAGAACAAAAGUUUCCAGGCGGCGGAUCCGCUCUGCAUCCUCAUCCUUCUUUCUCUAGCGCUUCUGUAGGUAUCUUGAUCAGCUUGGAAUGAUUACAGCUACGGAACUGCCCCAUAGCCUCUCGUAUGCCCACCGUGCUUAGGAUUUUCAAGCGCAUAGGUGAGUUCAUCCUUCUCUCUGUUAGGCCUGAACUCACCAGACUGAACCGCCUCUCGUGCACGGACCAGUCUCUUUGCUGCUCUAGAGAUUUCUUGGCCCCAAACUAGCGCUCCGGUGUCUGGGUCCACGCUUCCCCCAUGACCGUAGAACCAAUGCUUGGAGCGCUCGCUCCAAUUCUUUGCUAUUGUCUCGAGUGUGACCCCCCUAGCAAGCAUCUCCUGUUCCAUUCGGUCCCACUUGGGAACAACACUCUUAUAACCACCUGAUCCCAUAUGAUGGUGAUUUGUCUUUUUACUUGCAUUCUCUUUGUUUCUAAUGGCUCGUUCCUCGCCCUCUUCUGAUAUUUUGUAUUGCACGAAGUCAUCCCAGAAGGCCCCCAGCUUUACAUAUUGCUUGAGGUUGAAAUUUGGAGUCUCGUUUUUCUUGACAAAUUUAUUGUACAAAGACUUCUUCCAAUUCUGGAACAGUACCGCCAUCUUCUUCAUAGUCCAGUUAUAAAUUCGCACCUUCAACUCUUCAUCGUUGGUGUCGAAGGUGAAAAUGUCCGUGAUGGCUUUCCAAACUAACUCCAUGUCACGAUCAGAGACAAAACUGAUUUCAGAAGCACCUCGCUUCUCUCUCCAUUCACGAGCACUGAUCGGUAUUUGAUCUCUCACAAGGUAUCCACACUAACUAACAUAUUUAUUUGCAUGUUCACCAAGUGGUCUGCCUGUAGCUAUCUCAAACUCGGAGAUUACAUAGCGGCCAUUCAACGGCUUCUUUGGCUCUCGUGGAGGUACGCUUCUCCCUGUAGAGGUCGAUCUAGAAGGCUACACGUAAAUAUAGAAACAAAAAUACUAAAUUAAUAACCAAGUAAGUCUAAAACCUAAUGUAAGAGAUACAUUAUAUAUGUUUACAUUUACAUACCUCGCCGGUAUUUCCUUCUUGUUGCACGACAUGUUGUUGCUCAGGGGCAUUGCUCUCUUGUUGCUCAGUCGGAUUGUCUUGCAUGAUCUCGUUGUAAUCAAUAAAGUACUGACUACCGUCGUCGAUCAUAUUUUGAAUGGCAUCUUCCAUAUAUUUAGGAUCAUCGUGAGGACGGUCGGCCAUUUCUAUGUCUGCAACCAUACAUAUAUAUAAGUGCUAGAGUGCUCCAAACUAAAAAAUAAUACUAAAAAAAUAAUACGAACAAUAACACUAGAAUAAUAUAAGUGCUAGAGUGCUCCAAACUAAAAAAUAAUACUAAAAAAAUAAUACGGACAAUAACACUAGAAUAAUAUACUAGCACAAUAUAUUUCAUAACAAUUCAAAACACUACAAUUCAUAAUAUACUAGAAUAAUAUACUAAAAAGUAUUUUAAGCCAAGUAAUAUACUAGAAUAAUAUACUAAAAAAUAAUACUAGAAUAAUAGUAUAAACAAUAAUAGUAUAUGUUUUAAGCCAAGUAAUACACUUGCACCUAGAAUAAUGUACUAAAAAAUUAAUACUACAAAAUAAUACAAGAAUAAUAUAAGUGCUACAGUGCUCCAAACUAAAAAAUAAUACUAAAAAAUAAUACAGACAAUAACACUAGAAUAAUAUACUAGCACAAUAUAUUUCAUAACAAUUCAAAACACUACAAUUCAUAAUAUACUAGAAUAAUAUACUAAAAAGUCUUUUAAGCCAAGUAAUAUACUAGAAUAAUAUACUAAAAAAUAAUACUAAAAUAAUAGUAUAAACAAUAAUAGUAUAUGUAUACACUAGAAUCUUUUAAGCCAAGUAAUACACUAGAAGAAUAUACUAAAAAACGAUACUACAAAAUAAUAUAAGAAUAAUAGUACAAACAUUAAUAUAUAUUAGAGACUUAUAUACUACUAUAUAUAUAUAUACAUUUAAAACAAUUCAAAACAUUUUAUAUAAUAUAUAUGCAUAUAUAAGAUAUAUAUAUAUAUAUAUAUAUAUGAUACAUAUAUAUAAGAUAUAUAUAUAUAUAUAUAUAUAUAUAUAUAUAUAUAUAUAUAUAACAUAUUAUUCAUCGAAACUGUUGGUAUUCAUAUAUAUAUAUACACACAAUUCAUAUAUACAAUUUUAGUCUAUAUAUAUAUAAACUGUUGGCAUUCAUGCAUAUAUAUAGAUCGAUGAAUAUACGUAGGAUCGUGGCUGCCGGAGUUCGUCGAAGGAGAUGGCCGGUGGCGGCCGGCUCUAGUGAAGAUAGCCGCUGCGGCGGCGGCACUGGAGAUGAACAGCGGCGCUGGGGAGACGAACGGGCGGCGCUGGACGGCGGCGGCGGAGCGCUCUGCUCGAUGAAGACGAAAACGAAGGCAACUGCUGAGAUCUAGGGUGCUUGUGGCUUAUACAGGGGCGGACCCUUUAGCAUCGGUCUGUGGCUGGAAUCGGUGCUAAAAGGUCUUUAACACCGGCUGGUAACACGAGCCGGUGUUAAAGGGUGACCCUUUAGCACCGGCGCGUGUUACCAGCCGGUGCUAAAGGGAUCCUUUAGCACCGGUUCCAGCCACGGACCGGUGCUAAAGGGUCGAGCGCGGGCUAAGGCGGGGUCCUGAAAUUUUCAGGACCCUUUAGCACCGGUUCCCACUAUGCCGGUGCUAAAGGCCCUGUUUUUUUAUUUAGGGUUUUUCAAUUGUUUAUAUAUACAGUUUAUAUUAUAAAUUGUAUAAUAAAUUAAAUAUUUUGCAUAAUAUUUUAAACAGUGACAUAUACUGUAAUUUUUUUUAAUGUACACAUGAAAAAUUUUAACCUUCUUACUGUAUUUUUAUAAUUUGCAAUGAUUUUGUAAGAAAUGUUUAGUAUUUUGUUAAUGCAAAAAUAUAUUAUUCCAAUAAAUUUACAAAAACUAUAUCCAAUCACCUAGAAAUCUAUUUUCAUAUCAUAUUGACGCUAAACUUUUUAUUUUUGUUAUUUAUUACUCGGAAUGCUAGUAGGGUAUUGUUUUCAUCAAAUAAAAAAUCUAUUUAUCAUAUAAAAAUAUAUAUCUUGAUGAACACACCCUUUGACCGAACCCUAGAUUGUCCCAAAUGUAAAGUCAUGAAUACAAAGUUUGUUACACUCAUCAAGUUAUACAUUUUGUCUAAUGGUCAACUUUUCUUUUGGAAAAGUUUGAACCACUGAAUUUUGAAUUUUGAGAGAAUUCAUAGCCACGCAGCGGUUUUGGAACCCUAGAUGGUCUCGAAUGGAAAAGUCAUCAAUACCAAUAUUGUUCCACUCAUCAAAAUCUACAUUUAAUAUAUAGACCAUUUUUGCAUUUGACAAAGUUUUAGGAAGGUGUAGUUGAAAAUCCACAAUUGACACAUAUAGUUUCAUAUAGUUUGUGUGAGAUUCAAGAAUUGGUGGGUAUUGUUAACUUAAAAUUUCUCAAAUGGAAAAGUUGUGUAUAUAAAAAGUUUAGAUCUUGAUGAUAUCUAACAACUUGGUAUUCAAAAUUUUUUCAUUUUAAGUAAUUUAGUUUGUCAUUUGACCAAGUUUGACCAAAACCCGUCUUGGAUUUUAUAGAAAUAUGAUUAGGAUUGGCUAAAAAUUAUCCAAAUGGAAAAAUGGACAAUAUAUAAAAUGUAGAUCUUGAUGAUCUCUAACAACUUUGUAUUCAAAAUGUUUUCAUUUGAGGUCAUCAAAUGGGCCCUUUGAUCAAGUUUGACCAAAGUCAAAGCAUUGGCUUUUACAAAAACACCCUUUGACCGAACCCUAGAUUAUCCCAAAUGGAAAAGUCAUGAAUACAAAGUUUGUUACGCUCACCAAGUUCUACAUUUUGUCUAAUGGUCAACUUUUCUUUUGGAAAAGUUUAAACCACUGAAUUUUGAAUUUUCACAGAAUUCAUAGCCACAUAGCGGUUUUGGAACCCUAGAUGGUCUCGAAUGGAAACGUCAUGAAUACCAAUAUUGUUCCACUCAUCAAAAUCUACAUUUAUUAUAUAGACCAUUUUUGCAUUUGACAAAGUUUUAGGAAGGUGUAGUUGAAAAUCCACAAUUGACACAUAUAGUUUCAUAUAGUUUGUGUGAGAUUCAAGAAUUGGUGGGUAUUGUUAACUUAAACUUUCUCAAAUGGAAAAGUUGUGUAUAUAAAAAGUUUAGAUCUUGAUGAUAUCUAACAACUUCGUAUUCAAAUUUUUUUCAUUUUAAGUAAUUUAGUUUGUCAUUUGACCAAGUUUGACCAAAGUCAAAACAAUGGUUUUUACAAAAACACUCUUUGACCGAACUCUAGAUGGUCCCAAAUGGAAAAGUCAUGAAUACAAAGUUUGUUACACUCAUCAAAAUUCACAAUUCUCAAAUAUAGUGUCAUACAAAGUUUGUUACAACACAUACUAUUAAACAUGACUUUAUGUUAAGCCGACACAACAGUGAACUUCUUCUUGACGUAUGACUCUUGGUUAUGAUCAUGCCGUAACCAUGGAGUAUCCUCAUUGUUUAACAGAAUGCUUGGGUCUUUGUUGACUAUUAAGGGCGGAAUUCGAUCAUCCCUUUCAUAAUCGCCUGACAUGUCUGACUUGUCCUCAAUUCCAACAAUGUUUCUUUUCCCAGAAAGGACAAUGUGGCGCUUUGGCUCAUUGAUGAUUGAGUGGUCAUCAUUUUUUCCUCUCUUUGGUUUCGUAGACAUAUCUUUGACAAAGAACACCUGACUCACGUCUGCAGCAAGGACGAAUGGUUCGUCUUUGAACCCACUAUUGUUAAGGUCCACGGUUAUCAUCCCAUACUCCUUGUCGACUGUUACCCCACCUCCGGUCAUCUUCACCCAUUGGCACCGGAACAAAGGAACUUUAAAAUUAGCUGCAUAGACUAGUUCCCAUAUGUCUUCUAUGCGUCCAUAUUAUGUUUGUCUGUUCCCAUUUGGAUCCGUGGCAUCCACGCGUACACCACUAUUUUGGUUGGUGCUCCUUUUAUCUUGGCCAACUGUGUAAAAUGUGUUACCAUUUAUCUCGUACCCUUUGUACGUGAGGACAUGCCAUGAUGGUUGCCUGGCCAACAAAUAAAGCUGCUCAUCAAUGUUUUCAUCACCUUGACAUUUUUUGCGCAACCAAUUGCCAAAAGUUUCCAUGUGCUGAUGUAUUAUCCAAGCUUCAUUCUUCCCGGGCCACUGGGACCGUAGGAAAUCUUUGUGUACCUCAACAUAUGGUUCCACCAAUGAGGAGUUCUGGAGAACUGUGUAGUGUGCUUUAUUGAAGUAAUCGUCUCCCGUACCAAUAUAUGUUUUCUUCCCAAGGGUUCCCUUUCCGCUGAGUCUGCCCUCGUGUCGAGAUUCCGGAAUACCAAUUGGGUCAAGGUCUGGAAUAAAGUCAACACAGAACUCUAUGACCUCCUCUGUUCCGUAGCCCUUGGCAAUGCUUCCUUCUGACCGGGAACGACUAUGGACAUAUUUCUUUAGGACACCCAUGAAUCUCUCGAAGGGGAACAUGUUGUGUAGGAACACAGGACCGAGAAUACGAAUCUCUUUGAUCAGAUGAACUAGGAGGUGUGUCAUGAUAUCGAAGAAGGAUGGAGGGAACACCAACUCAAAGCUGAUGAGACAUUGAACGACAUCAUUCUGCAGAGUAGCUAGUUGCUCUGGAUUGAUUGCCUUCUGAGAAAUUGCAUUGAGGAAUGCACAUAGCUUUACGGUGGCUAGACGUACGUGUGGAGGUAAAAUUCCUCUUAAAACCACCGGCAACAAUUGCGUCAUUAGAACGUGACAGUCAUGGGACUUCAAGUUUAGGAAUUUCUUCUCUGGCACAUUAAUUAUUCCCUUGAUAUUGGAGGAGAAUCCAGAUGGGACCUUGAUGCUGCUAAGACAUUCAAACAUGCUUUCCUUCUCUUCUUUGCUCAGAGUGUAGCUAGCAGGGCUUAAGUAAUGACGUCCAUCGUCAUCUGUCUUUUCUGGAUGCAGGUUGUCUCGUUCUUUCAUGCGCUGCAAGUCUUGUCGUGCUUCAAGUGAAUCCUUAGACUUCCCAUAGACACCCAUGAAUCCGAGCAAGUUCACACAAAGAUUCUUUGUCAGAUGCAUCAUGUCGAUCGCGUUGCGGACCUCUAGGACAUUCCAGUAAGGUAGCUCCCAAAAUAUGGAUUUCUUCUUCCACAUGGGUACGUGUCCCUUAGCAUCCUUGGAAAUAGGUUCGCUGCCUCGUCCCUUUCCAAAUACCACUUUUAUAUCCUUGACCAUUUCGAGUAUAUCAUCCCCGGUUCGAUUGAGAGGUUUGGUCCGGUGGUCUGCCUUGCCUUUAAAAUGCUUGCCUUUCUUUCGUACUGGGUGGUUCACAGGAAGAAACCGACGGUGGCCAAGGUACACGACCUUUCGACAUUUUUCAAAAAUACACAGUCAAGGUCUUCAUAACAAUGUGUGCAUGCAUUAUAUCCCUUGUUUGACUGGCCUGAAAGAUUACUCAGAGCUGACCAAUCAUUGAUUGUUACAAACAGCAAUGCUCGCAGGUCAAAGUGCUCUUGUUUGUACUCAUCCCACACGCGAACUCCUAGUUUGCUCCAUAAAAGUUGAAGUUCCUAAACUAAUGGCCUUAGGUAGACAUCUAUGUCAUUGCCAGGUUGCUUCGGUCCUUGGAUAAGCACCGGCAUCAUAAUAAACUUCUGCUUCAUGCAUAGCCGUGGAGGAAGUUGUAGAUACAUAGAGUAACUGGCCAAGUGCUGUGACUACUGCUCUGCUCACCGAAAAGAUUCAUACCAUCUGUACUUAAGGCGAACCGCAAGUUUCUAGCAUCAUCUGCAAAAUCUAUGAAUUCUCUGUCUAUCGCUCUCCACUGGGAUCCAUCGGUAGGGUGUCUCAGUACAUUGUCUAUCUUACGGUCUUCUUUAUGCCACCGCAACAAAUUUGCAUUGUCCUUAUUUCUGAACAGACGUUUUAAUCGUGGUAUUAUAGGAGCAUACCACAUAACCUUGGCAGGAAUUUUCUUCCUAUGACGUUCUUCACCCUCAACAUCGCUAGGAUCAUCUCGUAUAAUCUUAUACCGUGAUGCCUUACAUACUGGACAUGCAUCCAAAUUCUCGUAUUCCUCCCCACGGUAGAGGAUGCAGUCAUUAGGACAUGCGUGUAUCUUCUGGAUUUCUAAUCCCAAAGGGCAGACAACCUGUUUUGCUUCAUACGUAGUGGUGGGCAAUUCGUUGCCUUUUGGAAGCAUCUUUUUUAUGAUCUUCAAUAACUGCCCAAAUGCCUUGUCAGAUGUACCAUUCUUUGCCUUCCAUUGCAGCAAUUCCAGUGUGGUACCCAGCUUUUUUUGCCCCUCUUCAGCGGUGGGAUAUAGCGAUUUCCUGUGGUCCUCUAGCAUGAGCUCGAACUUGGCUUUCUCUUUAUCACUUUCACAUUCUCUUUAUGCAUCACGGAUGGCAUCACCAAAAGCAUCAUCGCCCCGAUCAUCUUCUGCCGCUACCUCUUCUUCAUUAUCUCCCCCCCAUUGCAACAUCAUUGAAGCCACCGUACUGAGCAAUAAUAUUGGCAUGGUCCAAUUCUUCUUCUUCUUCUUCUUCUUCUUCACCUUCAUCCAUUAUAAUCCCGCUUUCUCCAUGUUUGGUCCAACAAAUAUAGUUUGGUACGAAACCAGACUUUAAUAAGUGCGAAUGAAGAGUUCUUGAGUUAGAAUAUUCCGUCAAAUUCUUGCACACGGCACAUGGACAGCACAUGAAACCGUCCCUCUUAUUUGUCUCGGCCACACUUAAGGAAUAAUGCACGCCAUUAAUGAACUCUUCGGAGCGCCAAUCGACAUUAUACGUCCAAUUACGUGUUACGAUCUGCAUUAAAUAUAACAUAUAUAUUAUGAAAACCAUGCACACAUAUAGUUUCUCAUCUUAUUGCACAACAUGUCUAAGAUACAUAGUUGAUUAAUUCAAGAAAGCUUGGCUACAACAAAUACAAUCGCAACUAGCACUAAAAAAACCAAAACUAAAAUGCACUUAAGCAACAUAAUUAGUUCGCGUCCGAUCCCAACUAUAAUAGAUAGAUCAUUCGCUUGAUCAACAUCAUUGAACUCCUUUCGUCGGCUCACUGCCUCACCACCUUCAGCCUCAACCACCUGUGUUCAAUGUAUUCUUCCUCCCAGUACCAACCUGUACAUCCGCCGGUACCGUCCCACUGAAAUUAAAAGAGAGAAUCAAAAGUUUAAUUAAUAUCAUUUAAAAAAGUAAGCACAUAUAUAAGCAAAUGUCUAGAAAUAGCUGACAUUACGAUCCGGACACUUGUAGAAUAUACUACCCUUGUUUACUCCCUCUUUCGACACUUUGUACUCCAUCACAAUCUUCUGCCCACACUUGCCACAAGUAAUGAGAGGGAGUUCCGGCCGAUAUCGCUUUUGAACCCGUUGAGAGACCGAAGACCCGGUCACCGUUGCCAUCUACUAUCCAUACUCAAUUUUUAAACAAUUAUAAAUUACACAUUUACUAGUAAACAUGUAUGAUUAAAGAAGAACCUAAUAAUAUCCUUUAUUUGUCUAGUUACUUCAACAAAUCUUCUAAAUUAUACAAUAGACAUUAUGUAGUAAUAAAAAUAAAUCAAGUGAUAUUAACAAACCAAUUAAUUUGAACUAUCCUACUUUCUAAGAUCAUGAAAAGAUACUAUAAUUCAUUCUUGCAAACUACAUUAAUACUAGGUCAACCAUGAAAUAUUAUAUAUAUAUAUAUAUAUAUAUAUAUAUAUAUAUAUAUAUAUAUAUAUAUAUAUAUGGAUACUAAUUCAUGUGAAUGAUUCAAAAUAACAAAGUGGAUUUGAGCUAAAAAUAAUGGAAACAUCACAAGCCAAAAACAACAUGAAAAAGACAAGAACUACUAAAGUUAGUCACCUCCAAGCAUGAAGAAACGAUGAGGGAGUCGAAGAAGAUCAACGAUGGGCGUCCAAGAUGAAGAACAAAUGAAGAACAAGGAAGAAGAAGCUCCAAGAACAACAAUGGUGCUCUCGGUUUCAAAUGGGCAGAGGGGAGGAGAAGGCGGGCCUAUAAACCGGAGCUUUAGCACCGGUUCAGGGCAAAAACCAGUGCUAAAGGGUCACCCUUUAGCACCGGUUUGUGUGCCAAAGCGGUGCUAAAGGCUUUGCCUCGGCCCGUGGCACUGGCCGGUGCUAAAGGGGACCCUUUAGCACCGGUUGGUAACACGAACCGGUGCUAAAGGGUCCCUGCCCCGACAACACCUGUCAGUAGCCGUUGGGUAGGACCCUUUAGCACCGGAUCGUGUUAGGAACCGGUGCUAAAGGGGCCUUUAACCCCGGGACGCCAAAGGGCCGAGGUUUUUGGCCAUUUUGGGCAUCGACCAAUGCCUCAUUCUGUAGUAGUGUUGGUGGCCAGCGAUGGGGUAUGGUGACAGUGGGAUUGGGGGCGGCGGGCUCAGCAGCAGGGCGGGAUUGGGGGCAGCGGGCUCAGCAGCAGGGCUCAGCAGCGCUGGGGACGGCAGAGCUCCGGCUAGGGACCGUGGUGACGGCGCUCCGGUGGGUGGAGUCCUCUUGCAGGCACUCGGCGGUGGGAUGGUGUGGCGGCGCCUAGCGCGUGGUGGGCAAUUUUUUUUCUUUCUGAGUCGUGACUUGGUGAGUGGAAGUCUAGAGCCUAAUGGGUCGCUGAGGUAGCCUUUUUUAUUGGGCUCAACAUUUAGCUGCCGCGCAUGACUUGUUUUGGCGCGUAGUUUCCUGCUCACCCAAAUUGUUCUAUUUGUGGUUCCCUGCCUACUCCUUCGACGAUAGUUAGACCGUCAUUUGGUUGGGCUACAACGACACAUAUUUUGUCUAAAAACUUUUGCCGACACUUACUAAGUCGGCAGGAGCAACGCCAACACAUUACGUGUUGGCUUACAUAGUCAUUAUCGACAGUUUAUGGGACGCGGAAAAUGUAUAUAAUUGCCAACACAUGAUAUGUUGUUAAAAUCCUUGUUUUCCCAACACAUGAGUGUAGGGAAAAGUAGGUCAUGGUGUAGUGUGUCAGACCCGUGGGAUGUAUGAGCCAACGUCCUAACCCUUCCUAUUUUUGCUGAGUUAAGGAGAGCAUAUGAUUUUCCCCUACGUGCCGUAAUCGAGGGCACACUUAGGGCCUGUUUAGAUCCCAAAUCUUUACAUCCCAAAAGUUUUGGCUGUAAAUUUUACAUCCAAAUAGGUGUUUAGAUGCUUCCAAAAACUUUUUGGUCUGCAGCACAUAAGAUAGAUUUGCCCUCAUUUAAUGCUUGAUUUGGUUCAUUAAUUGAAGUACAUGCACAUGAUGGCGUCCUGCAUGCCGAUUUGCAUGGUUACGUUUCUGCGUUUGCAGUGGCAUGCUGUAGACACAUUUUUUUCCAAAGCGCACAAUCAAAACUAUAAUGAUUUUAUCCCCAAACAAAUAUCCUAAAAAAAAUACAUGUCCUCAAACAAAAAUAUAAUUACAGUCCUCGAACAGAACUUAAAUUACAUGUCCUCAAACAAAACUUAAAUUACAUGUCCUCAAACAAAACUUAAAUUACAUGUCCUCAAACAAGAAAAAAAACAUAUUCUCAAGAUCUAUUCAACAGGCCAAGUGCAACACUAUCACGAAAAGCAUUCAUCUGUGCACAUUCUUCCCUACUAGGUGCUGGAACAUGUGGAGGCUGAUUGGCCCUUGCUUCAGGAGGUACGUAAUUCUCAUCACGGUCACAACGAUCAAAGUCUCUAUCAACUAUUCCACUCAUCCUAAUGAAGUUAUGCAGUGCAAAGCAAGCAACUAUAAUAUGGCUUUGCGUUGUCGGUGGAUAACUUGGGAUACUUUGCAACAUCCUCCAUUUUUGCUUCAACACUCCAAAUGCCCUUUCUUUGACAUUUCUAAGUGAAGAAUGUGCAUAGUUGAAUACCUCCUUUUUACCUUGUGGUUCGUCGCCGUUUUGAAACUCUGGAAGAUGGUACUUUGUUCCCUUGUAAGGCGCCAGAUAACCGGGACGGUUUGGAUAGCCCGAAUCCACCAGGUAAUACUUCCCUACACCAGCAAGUACCUGUAAGUGUCAAGUGCUAUAAUUAGAAAACAAAAUGUAAAUAUCAACAAGCUGUGUACCUGUAGGUGGAUGAGGAAAUACAUGGUUGUAUUUCCCCAGUGCAUCAUCAAAUACUCUCAUGUCAUGUACAGACCCAGGCCAUCCAACAAGGACAAAUGUAAAGAUCAUGUCAAAGUCACAUGAGGCCAUCACAUUCUGAGUAGUCAUGCCCUUGCAACAUAAGUGCUGAACAAAUUUAUCAUUUGGCACGACCACAGGAACAUGAGUGCCAUCUAUUGCACCUAUGCAAUCCUUGAAGAAGGGAUAGAACCUACGCUGUCUCAAUCUAGGGUGCAAAAUACUGAAUUGUGGGUCUCGAGGUUUAAUGAUGUCUUCGGCCAACUUUAGCAUACAAUUCAAAACUUUAUAAAAUAUGUUAUGAACUGUGCCUAGUGAUCUCUCAAUUCUAUCCUCAGCUUGCCUAACCGACUGCGGAGCUCCAACCAUCCAAAGAAACAUUCCUAAAGCCUCAAUUGAGGUAGACUUUCUUGAGGACUUAAGGCCGUAAUGUUCUACUAACAUAUCAUGCAGCCGAUAGAAAACAGUUGGGGUCAUUCUAAACAUGUUGUAACAGGAAUUCCUAUUUGUCAACUUUCUUUCCACCCAAUCCAAACCAGUCAUUACUGGUUGCCUACUCUGGGAUCUACGAUAGUACUUGUCAAGGUGCAUAGCAUAGUGGUACAUACCAUAGAUGAAUCCACUGCAAUCAUCUUCAAGGAACAUGUUGAAAAAAUCUUCCUCAAACUUCUCAUCUAAAUCCUCGUCUGGGCCAUUUUCCUCCUUAGGUGGUUCGACAUCUUCCUGUCUAUAACAAAAACCGACAAUAACUCAGUCCUCAGUCACAAGAAUGUGUUGAUGGAUGCUUACUUGAGCAGAAAAUCACCAAACAGCACAGAAAUCAGAAACAUACAAUGCAUGGAUAGGUAGGUCUUGCUACAUUCAUUCAUCAUCACAGACAACAAACAACAGUCAUACAGACAUCACAAACAUACAUAGUUCAAUUCAAAUACAUCAAUGGCAUACGUAGUCCAACACCUAAUAACUAAACGAAUGCAUAGAUAAGAGGGUCUAGUUGUCGACCCCGGCAUAGUGCUUGAUGAGGCCAAGCCUUCCUUCUGGCUUUGUUGAUAUGAAGAACUUCAUUGCUUUCUCAGACAGGAUGAUCUUCAGGACCCCAAUCCACAGCUUCGUGUCCUCCUCAGUUGCACCACUUUCUCUGGCUAGCUACUGGACAUAUUCAAUCCUCAAUUCCUCAGCAGACUUCUUUUCUGCAGCUUCCUUCUGCCUUCUUUCCCAGAUGGUCUGCAGCAUGGCAUUCCUGUUCUCUUGAAGAACAUUGAAGUCCCUCAUGUUGUUAUCCAUGGCUCUAACUGCAGGACUCCUUGUCUUCUUGUUUGGGCUGGAACCAGUGUUGCGUGUGCUAGGUGUGCUGGCCCUCUUUGUCCCAAUGCUCAGCGGGGUUAACUGCUCCUCAGCUUCAUCUCCUUCUUGUUCAUCAUCACUUAUAUUGUACGCACAGGGAGCUCCUUGACCAGGAACGUAAGAAGAAGAGUCAUCCACUGCAAGCACCAGGAACAUGCGGUCCAUUUCUUCUAGGUACGGAGGCCACCCAUUCUUCAAUUUCUUCCAUUCUGAUUUUCCUUGCAAAAAAAUAGAGCACAAAAAGAAGGUAAGACUUCUACUAAAAUUUAGGUGUCCCUGCAACAAAGAAAGAGCAGAAAAGAAGUACCUGAGUGUUUUCUUUCCACCAGUCAUCUGCAGCUAUAACAGAUCCAUCAGGUCUAUGACCCAAACCUGUUCCUUUCUGAAGUUUCUGAAUGAAUGUCCACAUAUUCUUCAAUUGUCUUAUCCUAUUGCCAAACUGCUCGUUAUCAUGAACUAGACCUGUCGCCGCAUAGUACCUCUCUAUGAUAUCCCUCCACCCACUUUUGCUCAUGACACCCUUAACACAGUUCCCAUUGUCAAUCUGGUUGCAGUAUAUCUCACACAGCUUGUUGGUGUUUUCAGAGCCCCAGUGUGCCUUGUCUUUCCUAUCCUAAACGUUGCAUUACAUAGCAAAAAUCAAAACAGUCAUACAAGAACAAAAUAGCCAAAAUUUAGUCAAAUACAAACAGUCAUAACCCCUUCAAAUAGUCAUAACAUACAUAACAAAUAGCCCAAAUACAAACACCUAUAACAAUCAUACCAAAUACCAUUCAUAACAUGCAUAUAACAAGUACAAAAAUACAAACUACCACACUAUAGCAGUGAAAACAUACAUAACAAGUACAAAAAUACAUUCUGGGAAAACCAGCACUCUAUACCAGUCAUAAAAAUACAUAACUCGUUAGGGUGUAGAAGAAGCAGUCUUACCGGGACUUGAGCAUAUGAGUUCUCGUCCUCUGCAUCGAAGGUCGGAGGAGGUAGGUUGCCGCGUAGAGGCGUACCGCGUCCCCUAGACCCGCCGGAGGAACCCGAUGCAACACCAUGGGGAGGGAUGCGUCCACCACCAAGGGACAUGGAGCCGCCGUGACCUAACUUAGGUCCACCUCGACCGACACCGCCAUGAGCACUGCGCAAGCCGAGGGUGCCUCUGCCGCUGCGGGUAGGCGGGCGAAACAGGGGAGGGGCUUGAGUGUUCCCGAAGUCGGCGUCUUCAGUCCCCGAACGAAGGAGACCCUCGUAGGAACCGAGGCCUGGCCACCCUUCGCCGGAGUUGAGAUCCAACGCCGCCAUCCCCAACCGGUUAGGGUUGGUGGAGCUCGACGUGUGGUAGAGGUACCCUAUGCCGUUGAAUCCCGAGGGCUGGGAGUUGAAUCCCGAGGCUGGGAGAGGAAGUCCCUCGUGUCUGCUCUGUCGCCGAAGACGUCCUCGUCGCCAUAGCCGUCGUCGUCGUGGAAGCUGUGGCCCCGCUGUCCCGCGCCGCUCCAGCCGUCCAUCGCCGAGGGAAGCCGGAUCUGGAUCCGGUGCUUGAGAGCGACGAGGCGGGUGUUGCGAUGGUGGAUCUGCCGGCGAUUCAAGAGAAUGGGGGUGGAGGAGAAAGCGACGGUGGGAUGGGGUGGGUUAGGGUUCGUGAGGGAGAGAGUGGCUGAGGGAGAGCGGUGGGUGCGGGGCUGCGCGAAUGGAUAGGAGCAGGGCUGGGGUGGGAGCAGGGCUGGGGGUAUACCCCGUCCAACUCGGGUCCCUAUGCACUUUUUGGACAGUUUUGUGACUCAAGGGUCCCAAAUUCCAAAUCUUUACAGCCCAUGGUUUACAGACCCCUGUUUAGAUCCAUUCUUCCAAAAAGUGUACAUUUCUCCAAAACUUUUUGGUUUUUUGGCUGCAUCUAAAUAGGCCCUAACCUUACGAGGUUGUGGCCCCUCAUAAUACAGCGUUAAAUAAAGAUAGCUCCACUUCUCUAGAACCGUCGACGUCGUUCUAUGUGGACUACAGCCUAUCACAUCUCAGAUUUAAGAGGUUAUGGUCCCUCGUCACAUAAUGCUAAAUAAAGACUGCUCCACUUUCCUAGAAACCAUCGUUCCAUGUAGACUACAUCCUAUCACAUCUCAGAUUCGAUAACCAAGAGAGUGUUGAAAUGAUGGGAAGGCUGUUUCCUCUCUCCACCGGCGUCAUCUUCCUCAUCGACCUCUACCGAUGGUGUCAUCUUCCUCACUGACAUCGGACCUACCUGAAGAUCUCGAGUAGUCAUUAAUAAUCCACUAGUGCGUUUCAAGUUAACUAGAUUGUAGAUCCUGUGGUUUGGUCCCUAAUGUUUUCUAACAUUGUGGCAUCAAGAGCCUGCUAAUCUAGUUCGUGAAACCCUAAGAUAUGGUUUAAGCCUUGGAUUAAGAGAAUUGCAAGGUCGGUUUAAUCUAAGUAUGCCCUAGUCACUUGCUUUCAACGUGAUUUACCUUAUGCAUGAUUAGGCCUUAUGUGAUCGUAAUUACAUGGUUUAUGCCUCUGAUCUAUGCCUAAAGUGCUUGGGUACAUCAAAUUUUUUUUGAUUAGGGUUAAUUAGUUUCGAAUUAAUAAUGUUUUAUGUCUAAUUAGCCAUGAUUAUCAUGUAUCAGGCCUUAAUUAAUCAUGCUUAAAUCAAUUCUGCUCACUGUAGUUCUUCACAUCAGAUGGAUUUCUUGCAUGUUUAAGGCCUAGGUUUAGUUAAUCAUUACACAUUAAUCAUGGACUAAUGCAAACUUGUGCCAAAUUGGAGUGGCAUCAUGGCGCUUAGAGAUGUCAACGGGCCCUGUUCCCCGAUUCUCCAUGGGGAAUUCACCCAUUAGAUGAUGGGGAUGAUAUAGAUUUUGUCCCCACGGGGGAACUAAAUGGGACUAAAGUUGUCCUCGUCGGGGUUCACAGGGCCGGGGAUAGUAUGCAUGCCCCCGUCCCCGCUCCCAGCAGCGACCCGACUCUGAAGGUCCAUAUAUUUGCAAGGUCUAAUAACUAUGAUAUAUAAGCAAAGUUGAAAUCCUAUCCUUCACUUUCUCGGUCUCAAAUGUGAAUCUUUAUAGAAGAGAUUUGUCUAUAUAGCAUUCAUAUGAAUUCAUGAAUACAUGAAUAGUUGACAAAAUCACAUAAACUAACGUGGAUACAGAGAAUCCCAUGGGAAUAUAUUAUUCCCCGCACGGAGACGGAGAUGGGGAGAAAAUCUACCCCGUGACAUUUGGCGGGGAUGGGGUGAGAAAGUUUCUUCCCCACGAGGACAGAGAUGGGGAAGCACUCACUUUAACUAUUUGGAUUCGUGUAUGAUACAGAUAUUAAAUGUCUAGAUUCGUAUAUGGAUUACCCAUGUACUAGUAUUUAAACCCAUUUGCGCUGCUGCUCCACCGCAUCAGGGCGCAUCUGCAGCCACGCCCGCGCUUCAGGGUGACGCCGUGGAUUACACAACCAGAUUUUUCAAUUUCUUCUAGUAAUGUGGGGUUCUUCUAGUGUUUUAGCAUUUAAAAUUUUAGUAUAAACUUUCUCUAGUAAAUGUCUCCUAGUGAGGAUUCUCUAGUGUUUGACUAGUGGUAGUGUUUUAUUACUAACUAAAAACACUAGGAGAACUCCACCAUUUUGGUAGUGUUAGGCCGCUGCAUCGAGCGGUGCCGCCGUGUCUCUAUGAUGGAGUUUUCCCCGGCCCACACGUCGUCGUCGCAGGCAACCGCCAGGACCCGCUCGAGCUCGACGUCGCCGCGCGCCCGCGCCGGCGACGGCGAGUGGGGCCCUCCCCCAGUCGUCCGCCAGCGCUGCCCUCACUCAUGAUUGGCACUAUUGAUUUCUGUCGCAGCUCAUGCAGGCCUCUGAUGGAUUAUUACAUCUCUAAUUACAUAGUGAAGUCAGACUCUGAACAAGUCAUUGUUGAUAGUGAUCUAACUGGAAAGCAGUCUGAUCAAAACAUAUGGAGAACUUCUCAAUGAAGUGCAGGUAAAUAGGCUAGCAGUUUGACAAUGCUGUAACAAUGAAAAUAUACAUUCUGUUGCAUAGUUGCGCUAUACUAUAGUGGGGUACUACAAAUCGUCUUCUCAUUGUUGGAAUCACUCAAUUUGUUUCAAAUAGACACUUCAACAGGAGUACGGUGCUUAGAUUUAUUUUUUCUGAACCAAAACCCAUCUUAUUUUUAAAGUAAAUCAUGAUUAAGACUGUUUUCUAUUUUUAGAGCCAAAUGCACGUGCAUUAUAUCUGCUAUCAAUACAUACUACAAUAGACAAGAUUUUGGCAAUUUUUAGCAUGACUUGUCGUGUCAUGUAUAUAGUCUGACCAAGGUGCAGAUCGUGAGGGAGACAAGCGUCGUCUGGCCGAGAUACAGAUCGCGAGGGAGGCGAGGGUUGAUGAAUGCUGGCCCUGUCGAUAGGCGUCGUUGGCCUGGAGUAGCAGAUCCAUGCUGUCGAGUUGCCACAGGGUGUCAGAGGAUUGGGGUAGCGGAUCGCAGGGAUCAGACUUGGUGGCGGUAGCGGCGGCUUGGAGGAGAUCGCUGUCGAGCAGUCAUAGCGAAGGCAGUUUUUUUCACGCGUGCUGGGUCGCGGGAGGCGCUAAUAGCGAUCGCAUGAGACCGGCCAGGCACUGAUUUCUUCUUCUUCUUCUUCUUCUUCCAUGGAAUAGCGUUGUUUGUUUACUUCCUUUUUUAUUUGCUUGGAACGGUUUGCAGCGUUGUUUGUUUGCUUCCUGAUUGCAGAAAUAAAAAGAUUCUGAGCGCCGGUUUUAUUUGGAAAGGAGAUGGUGAUUUGCUAGGAGAGUUUGCAUGGAUCUUAGGUUUUUAGGAAACAACAGGAGGCAUCGCAGGUGCAUGUCAGGUGCGUACACAUUAUUUUGGUUUCCUUUUGAAGCCGAACUGAUCGUGCGCAUGCCGUGGUGUCAGAUUCCUUUUUCGUUCGUACAAAUUUUUUUUCUUCCUUUUGGAGCUGCAUGCGGGGUCGCAAGAAGAGGCUAAGGUUACACCAAACAAAAGUUGCACGAAAAAGUUAUCUUCCUUUUGUUCUUUUUAGUUGUAGAAGAUUUUUGCCCACAUAAUGAUUAUUUCUACCGGUUAGAAUGGAACCAACGGAAAAAUCUAGUUAGAAACUAAGGUGUGGCUUAUGCAUAUAUCUUUGACUAAUGUUAAUUUAUAUAUAUGCACAAGUUCACAUGUUUUAUAUCUGAUUUCUUUUUCGCUUCUGCCCAAUGGUGGUGCGAAUCUGAAAUGUCAUUAGCAUGAUAUGAAUCAGACCAAUGUAAGAUUUCAUUCAUGAAUGACAUAAUGUGAAUACCCUUACUAAUUUUGUUUCAUAUUUUGAGUCAGACCUGUGUCCUUCGGAGACUAUGGAUACUAUUAAAUGGAUUCGUCUCCUAGACUGAUUCAACUUCCCAUUAUGGAAAGGGGAGGUACAAUUUUGGCUCUCUUACUUCUAAACUAUGAUCAUGCUAUACGCCAGAGUGCUCCUACUGUCCCAACAAUAGAGGGUGAUUAUGACAACGCCUUCUGUUGGAGGGUCAAAGAAUUUGAGUCUAAUACAUAUCUAUGGGAGCGCUCAAAUAGGUUGUCGCUCAAGAUCAUGAAGAAGCGCAUUAGUGAUGAUCUUAGGGGAGAAAUCCCUAGCACCGAUAAUGCCAAACAAUUAAUUCUUAGCUUCAUUAGAAUAGCCGCUUAAAGAUCAACAAAAUAAUUAUGAAAAGUUUUUCACCCUAAGACGUAACCGUAAGCUCGAUUUUGAGAAGCAAGAGCUCAAAUGAUCUAGAGCGGAAGCUGAACAUGACUAUCAGCCAUCUGUAGAAGGACUGUGAUGGCUUUAAGGACUAGCUCCCAAAAAAGGGUAAUCAUAAAGUUUUGUUUAAUUUUAGUUAUGAAUCCCUUAUGUUGAUACUUGAAGGAUUAACUCAGGUGCCAUGUGCACAUUACUAAUUCUUCACAGAUCAUCUAGAGGCCGGCUAGCAAUGGGGAAGCACAAAAUCGAAGUACUAAAUGGCAUAAGUUUCAAGAUGAAGCCAUUGCACUCUCCAUUAUGCCCUUAUGUUUUCUCAAAUAAUGUAAUCUAUGUCCUUGCAUGAAAGGAACAUUAGUUGAGUUUCUUCAAUAGCUGAUUAUGCUGGGAACGAUAGAUGUUUUGAUCAAAUGUAAUAAUGACAUACUUCUUUAUAUUAACAAGUCAUUAUUUACAUAUUGCCUCUAAGUGAUUAUUUUGUGAUGAUUAUGAUUAAUGAUGAAGAGAAGACUGAUCAAUGUGACUCUCAUCAAAAUUUUGGCAUUUGUCUAAUAAGCCACAUUUCGAAGGGGAGAAAUGGAGCAUCUCAUUAGAGAUAAGAUACUUCAUGGAUAUUAAGAUUACAUUAAAACUUAUCUUAUUCCUAUCUUAUAUCAAGGGAUAUUAUGUCAAAUUAUUGAGAGAAUAUGGAACUUUAGAAAUCUAAGCUUUGAUUCUAUAGUUUAUCUUAUUUGAUUAAUAUGAUAAUUCUCAUUAUGUGUAUGUCUCUCCAUAGAUGAACAAUCUAGAGCACAUCAAGUGAUAAGUGCAUAAGUUCUAGAUGAACAAGUGUAACACCUCUGGUGCUAAGCAACACUAAAACAUGUUCAUGACAUCAUCAUGCAUAAGCAUGUCAUUUAGUGCAUCAACUAAAACAAGUUUACUUUGAGAAUGGUUGAGCUUAGGGUAGUGUGUGAUCCAAACCCUAAAAUUCCAUUUUGGAAUGUAACCUCAACUACUUGAUUAUACCCUAUGUAACUUGAGAAGUGAAGUGGUACUUUACCCUAGUGUCAAGUGUAGGGGAUAACUUCAAGUCCAACAUCUAAAACCUAGCUCCAAUUUUGAACUUAGGUUGGGAUUCCAAAACUUACGGGGUGUUUGGGACUGCUCCACAAACUCCACCGUGGAGCAGCUCCACAAAAAACUGGAGUUUCUGGAGUACCUCUUUAGGUGCUCUCACAACUCCACCUUUUUUUCUCGAACUGAGUGCGUGAAGCUGAAACCGUUUGGCUAAAAAACGUGGAGGGGAGGUGAAAACGCUGAGCAGAGCAAUCCCAAACACCCCUUUACUACAAGUUUUCUAAUGCAAACCUGAAUUCAGGAUUGGGGAAUGUUUUGUAAAUAAAAUUUUGUGUAACCAAAUGUGACUUUGAGUGAAACCAUUGAUAUUGAACUCAGUGGAGCAUUUGGGAUGAUUGUGUGAUAACUAAUCAACCACUGAUUAAGACAAAGUGUAAUUUAUCUUAAUUAAUUAGUGCCUAAGGGCCAAAUUAAGACAAGGUACUUUUUUGAAUUCCAGCUCCUCCGCCGUGAGGUUUCUAGCUUCUUGCGCCCCCUCCAAAUUUGCUAAGGUUAUAUUUAUGAUCGCCCAACUUAACUUCCAUCUGCCCAAUGAUAAGCGCCUCCAAUUUCUUAGCAUCUUGGUCGUACGUAACAGUUUGGCAUGAAGACGUAAAAUAGCAUCUUGAGUGUUGACCGGUUUGUUCCAUGUGUUCUGAACCAUGUCCAUGAAAACAGGCAUGUGUACCCAGUGUGCUUCGAAUCUAAAUCCCCUAUAGAAGUCACAGUUAACGUCCCCCCUUGAAGAAACAACGCGCAAUGAUCAGAUCCGAGGGAGGCUAGUGCCUGAAAAUUAUAAUCAGCAAGGUGGUGGCAAAUAUGUGAACGCGUGCAAAUUUUACCACUACUCAGACUAGUAAUAAAUAUUGUAAAUAUGAUUGCAGACAUACUGAAAAUUAGACAAAACAAAUUAGAGAUGUACCCAGAGGAGAGACCAGUGCCGAAGGCACUCGCACUAGUCGAUAUAGUGUGUUGCUUGAAGUAGCGGACCACAGUCUAUGCAGAAAGAGGUUCGCGGUGCAGUCUUGCGAACGUCUACCAGAAAGACAUUCUGAUCCGCGAGCGUCCACCAAGAAGAAGACGAUCCAAUCCCACGAGCAUCCACCAGGAAGAAGACGAGAUGAUCCGAGGAAGGAGACGAAGCCAAGCAGUCGCGGAAGACGCUCCCCAAAAACCUGAUUGUCUGCACAUCUGAGCAGGUGUCUCGAUGCAAGGCAUCAGGGGGAAGACUCAGUGCUGCUCGACAAGAAAUGAUUCCAGACAAGGAAGGAGUCCGCAGGGAUGGAGUCCGCAGGGAUGGAAAGAAAUAGGCGAGAGAAAGAAAACAUUCAAUCAAUCACCAUUAAUCCUAUAACGGACAAGAUUUGAAACUGAACCCCGUUUAUUCCUCCCUUUACUAUACCUUCCAUCUGGCAAAACGACACGACAAGCUCGCCUCGCCACAGCUCGGCGGCGGCGGCGCGCGCGCGUGGCCCCCUUUUUCUCUUCUUUAACUUCUCUAUAAGAGCUAUUACAAGCCGCCUAGUAUAGCAUUUAUUACGGACUCUAGAAUUAAUUAUCAUCAAAUAAUAUAUAUGAGCCAAAAACCAUAUAAUAUUUAACAGUGGAUGCAAAUAUAUGAUCGGUUCUUGUCAUAGUUGGUGACCGCUGGUCAUUGCACCAGGUGUACUUUUUGCCUCAGCUCAAUCCUUGGGAGCUCUAGAUUAUCAACUGUUGUUCUAAAUCUAUUGAUCAUCGACACAUUUAGGCGUGUGUUGUUUUUCUCCUGAGCACUAAGAAUUAGGUUGAAGUCCCCCAGCAGCAACCAUGUUGGGAGCACAUGUUGACUUAAAUCCAAAAUCUCUUGCAGGAAUAAGAUUUUAUCCACGUCAUUUUGAGGUCCAUAAACUCCCGUUAUCGACAAUUCUUUAUUUUCGUCUAGCAUUAUUAGCUUUGCUAUUAGCUAGAUAGCGUGCCCGUGCGUUGCUACGGAAUAAUUAAAUUUUAUACUAAAACACAUAGAUCGCAUGAUAAGAUAAUAAUAUUAUAAAGUUAAAUACCGACAUUAAAGUAAUAUUUAAUCCAAAAAGUAAAAUCCGUAAAAUUAACUGUCACAAAGAGUAUAGCGUCCUAGGCCCAUAAACUUUAUUGUAUAAAUCUUUUCGUGAUAUAGCUAAGAUAAUGUAUUAUAUCGAUAGAAAAAAUCAUCAAUAUUUAUUUUUACAUGAGCCAAUAAAUCUACAAGUUCGGCGUCAUUUUUCCCCUCUAAGAUUAUGGUCGUACGCUGCUACAAGAAACAACCAGUACUCAGGGUGAUAAGCAGGAUGAGCAUUCCCACCCAUGCUUUGCCUGCACCACUGCUAUCACAUCGUUUUUUCUGGCUAUUGUGGCGCGGGUUAGCUCCUGUGACGCCAACAUUUGCACACCGCUGAUGUGCAUAUCAUUCUAUUUUGUGGCCAAUUGUCACCGUUACACAAAGCUUCAAAUAGCAUAGAUAAUUAAUAGAUAACUAUCUUUCACUCUGCCACCCAGACACUUGCAAUGAGAAUCGAUACUGUAGUACACUUCAACCAAAAAGUUUUAAACAUAACUGAUCUAUCAUUCUCCACAAUAUAUAACAUUGAAAUAUUAUUACACAAACAAAGGAAGCUUUGUCCAAGAAAUGGUAUAAAAGUACAGAUGUUGAUAGAUAACCCUUACAAUCUGAAAUAUACAAAUUGAACACCAGAAUACAGGGUACAAGUAACGUCUACAAAGGGCUUCCGGCCGGCCAAAAAGUUCUUUGACGAUGCUUUCAGAAAAUGGUUGAGAUAAAGGUCAUGUCAUUUAGUUUCUGGAGUUAUUUAUGGUCCGCUGGAAGAUAUUCUUGUGUUAUAUAAACCAUUAAACAACAAAUCGGCCACUAUUAUGGAGUGGCAGUGAAAUGUCUAAUGAGUGAACUUAAACAAUUCUAUUGAUAAUUUUCUAUUCUCGCACUUUAAUUUUGCAAACAGAGCUGAAAGAGGGAUGAGGAAAUUAAAGAGCUAAAUAUCAUUUCUAUAUCUGAAAAGUUGUAUUUGAAUUAGCUCUAUGCAAGUCAGGUCUCACCUCAGUGACAAACACUGAUAAGUUGCUUCUCCACUCUGAUAUACUAUUUCUAGCGACCACUAAUGUUGAUAAUCCCUUCUAAAUCUAAACAUAUAUAAUGAAUCGAUUGAUAUUCUAAUUUAAGCAGCACAAUUUACAAAGAGGAAAUAAUGAUUGUUUAGUAAUCCAUAUCCUAGCUGUAGACUUUCCUUCAUUUAUAAAAAUUGGUCAUGCCCUUGAUAUUUUAGCAGACAACAGAUUAAGUGCAUCUAUAAUCAUGAAUAUGCAAGUUGUAGAAAACUUGAGCUAAUGAUAACAAACCUGGAAUCACCAAAGCAUUUAAGAUAAAUAAGCCUUCAACAUAAAAAUGGGAACUUUACAGUACCAAACACCAAACAAUAACAAGAGGAUGUCUCAUCUUGGCUUAACAACUGCAAGGUGCAAACCAAGUCUCGCACUGAGAAUAUUACCCCAAAGGUUGAAAUUACAUACAUUGGAAAAUAAAGAACUACAUAUGAAUAAAGGAAAUAUUUUUACUUUGGAUGAUGAACCCAACAAGAUAGUCUCCAAGCUCAAGUGCACCAAUAGUAUGCCUUAAUAUUAGUGCUAGAACAUCUGUGAUCAACAUCGAAUAAAACAGUGCAUAGUAGUAAUAGGUUUAGUAAGGACUAAAGAGUAUACAUGAUUGCCGGUUGAAAGAGCAUCUAGGCCCCUAAUUAUUUCAGUGAUUAAUGACAAUGUUGAUUACUGUGACUAACGUGUGUUUGGCAGAGGCAAAGUCAUUAGUGAGGUCAUGGUAAUAGGUACUCGAUGAACAGGGACGUACAUGCCUACUUAAUAGUGGAAAUCGUUUCGGUUUUCAAAGGAUGGAUGGACAUCGUCAAGACUAGACUAGGUCUAAGUGCCAUAUGGUGAAGCAGGGCACUUAGAGUAGUUUAGGACUUUGUUUUCCUUUGAUCAUACUAUUAAGAGGGGUUUUGAUCUAGUAGCUUGAUUUAGGCAAGGCUUUAGGUUUAGGUGUGGUGCACACUUGGUAAACCUAGCACUAGGCAGCUCAGAGAUAGUCCUUAGAUCGAGAGGAACCAACUUCGUUUUGGAACGGUCGUGUUUCGACGAGGUUAGGGUGCCUAAGUAGGCACCGGACGCUGCACCGGACGCUAUGUGAGUGCGUCCAGUGAGGUCUUUAGCCGUUGGAGGGCUUUGGUGCCUAGGGUUAGGCACUGGACGCUGGCACCGGACUCACCGGGCAGCGUCCGGUCCCAUACCCAGGGAGGUUGUAAUCCUGCCCCGAGCACCAGACGCUAGCACCGGACGCACCUGGUAGCGUUCGGUCUUAAACUCAGGGAGCUUGUAAAUCUCCCCGGAGCACCGGACGGUGCCACCGGACGCUGGGAAGUAGCGUCCGAUGACCUGUCAGACGCAGGUACAGUUAGCCGUUGAGUGUCACCGGACGCUCAGUGCAGAGCGUCCGGUGCAACAUCAACAGCGUCCGGUGACCCCGUUUUCAGUGGAAAACGGUUGGCCGACCCUUGGACUUCGUGGAGUGUAUUUAUACUCCUCCACCUCGUCCAUGAGAGGUCUCUUGCCCAUUUGAACAUCUGAAAAACUUGUUGUGGAGCAAGAGAGUAGCAAGAGCCUUGAGAGGAUUGAGAUUUGAGUGAUUUCUUGUGAGAAUCCUUCUCUAGUUGAAUUCCAAGAGUCAAGUGUGCAUCCACCACUCUCUAGUCCCUUGGUUGGGUCAAGUGAGAGUUCUUUGCUUGUUACUCUUGGUGAUCGCCAUCACGUAGAUGGUUUGGUGGUGAUUGGAGGCACGAAGACCGCCCGGAGUUCUUGUGGGUGGCUCGUGUCAAGCUUGUGAGCGGUUUUGGGCGAUUCACCGUGACGGAGUGUCGAAGAAUCAGCCCGUAGAGAGCACUUGCUCCUUGCAGGGACCAAGGGGGAGCAAGACCCUUGCACGGGUGCUCCAACGAGGACUAGUGGAGAGUGGCGACUCUCCGAUACCUCGGCAAAACAUCGCCGAGCACUUUCUUCCACUACUCCUUUACUUUCUAGCAUUUACUUUGUGUUUUUACAUUCUUAGAAUUGCCAUGCUAGAAUAGGAUUGGGGUUGCAAAACUUUUAUCCGGUAGCUCUCUAGUCACACUAGGCACAAGGGGUUGAAUUGGAGCUUAUAGGUUGCUUAAAUUUUUAGAGAAGCCUAAUUCACCCCCCUCGUGGGCAUCUUGAUCCUUUCAAUUGGUAUCAGAGAGCCUAGUGCUCAUUAUUUAGGCUUCACCGCCUAGAGAAAGUUGUCUAACGGGGAUGGACCGCCACCCAUGUUCGAUGGGGAUGACUUCCCGUAUUGGAAAAUACGGAUGGAGUCAUACCUUGAGGCAUGUGACUCAAAGUGCCUAAAAGCCAUGACCGAAGGGUUUACCCCUCUGGCAAAAGACGUCGUUCUUACUCCACAAGAACAAGAAAACGAAAAGUGGAAUGCGAAGGCCAAAAACCACAUCUUUAGAGGCCUUUGCAAAGAGGUGUUCAACUGCGUUCGGAACCACAAAACCGCCCAUGCUCUAUGGAAGGAACUUUGUGUGCUCCAUGAGGGAUCAAAGAGUGAACGUGAGGAACACUAUCACCUUGUGAUGAACAAGCUUAAUACAUUUGAAAUGCUUCCUAAAGAAAAUGCUAAUGAAAUGUAUUCUCGCUUGAAUGUGAUUGUAGAGGAGCUUAAUGGACUUGGGCUCACUCAAAUGAGUGCGGCGGAUGUCGCAAGGAAGAUACUAUGUGUGCUUCCCAUUGAGAAAUAUGGGCACAUAGUAACCGUGCUUCAUCAAGGCGAUCUCUCCACCGCUACACCAAUGGCCAUAUUGGGGAAGAUCAAUGCUCAUGAGAUGUAUAUGCACAUGAACCCCCAAGAUGGCUCCUCAUCGGCCAAGAAGGAGAAGAAGGACUUGGCCCUCAAAGCUUCUCACAAGGGCAAAGCCAAGAAGAUUGAAGUUGAGUCAUCAACUUCAAGUGAUGAUGAUGCAUCCAUUGCCCUCUUGGUGAGAAGAACCACCAAGAUGUUGAAGAAGCUCAACAAGAAUGGAGUCAACUUUGACUCCAAGAAUAAGAAGUUCUUCACAAGUAGUAAGAGAAAGCCCAUCUCCGAGAUGGAUUGCUACAAUUGUGGUGAGCUUGGUCAUCUUGCUCAUCAAUGUCCAAAGCCCAAGAAGGACAAGUACAAGAAGAAGAACAAAGAGUAAGAUGGUUCAAGUGACGAUGAGAAGAAUGACAAGAAGCCAUACAAGAAGAAAGGUGGCAAGAAGAAGGAGUACCACAAGAAGAAGAAUGGCAAGGCCUACAUUGUUGGUGAUUGGCUCACAGACAUUGAGAGCUCAAGUGGUGACUCCUCCGGCAAUGAAAGUGAUGAUGAAAAGGUUGCCGCCAUUGCUAUCGAUGCUUCAUCACCAUCAUCUUCACCAUCAUCUACAUCCUCUACACACCUAUGCCUCAUGGCUAAAGGUGACCGGAAGGUACAAAGUGAGGAUGAGAGUAGUGAGAGUGAUAGUGAAUAUGAAUCACCAUCUUAUGACGAACUUGUAAAAUUGCUAAACAAGUACACUAAGGUCAUAAGAAAGACUAGAAGUGAAAAUGAAAAGCUUGAACUUGAAAAUGAAACACUUCUAGCAAAGCUUAAAUCUAGUGAUGAGCUUAGAUACCAAAAUGAAAUCAUGACCACUAAGCUCAAGGAGCUCAAACUCUCUCUAAAAGAGCUCAAAGAAAAACAUGAUAAACUUGAGAGUGUUCAUGAUGAGCUUAUCACUAGAUAUAGAGCAAUGAAAGAAGAGCUAACAACUCUAAAAGCAAAUUAUGACAACCUUGAGAUAGCUUAUGAACUUGCAAUUGAUGAAACACAUGUUGCUACUAACCAUGUUGCUAAGCUUGAUGUAGCCACAUCUUGUGAUGACUUACUUGUGGAGAGCACAAGCAAAUGUGUUGAUUGCAAGGGCAAGAAAGUGGUAGUGGCCGAGAGCUAUGAGGACACUAUCAAGCUCAAGGAAGAAAUUUCCAUGCUCAAGAAAGAGUUGCAAGAGCAAGCCAAGCACAAGACAAUUGUGAUUGAGUCACUUGAUCAAGACAAGAAGCUUGCAUAUGAGAACAAGUUGCUCAAGGAAGAAAAUCAAUAUCUCAAGCUUGGUUUGAUGUAUGACAAGCAAGAAGAAGAUGAGACUUUCAUCUUAGAUGAGUUAGCUAGCAACAAUGACCCAAUCAUAAAGAAGCUAACUCAAGAGAAUAGCAAGCUCAAGAAAGAGAAGGAACAUCUAACCAAAGGGUUAGCAAAGUUCACAAAAGGGAAGGAUCUUCAAAGUGAGCUUUUCAUGAACACCGUCAUGAAGAUGGACAAGAGUGGGAUUGGCUACAAGGCUCAUCAAACAAAGCUCAUCAAUUCACUAGACACUCAUGAUCAACCAAGCAAGCCAAAGCCAAAGAGAUGCUUUGAGUGUGGUCAAGAAGGACACUUUGCUCAUGAGUGUGAGGCACCACUACCACCACCCUUGCCCAAGCAUGCUAGACCAUUUGCCUUCAAUGCUCACUACAUUGUAAGGAAAGACAAGAGUGGCAAGGUCAAGGUUAGCAUCAUGGGGCCGCCCAACAAGCAAAGGCCAAAGAAGAUUUGGGUGCCAAAGCAACUAGUAGAGAAGGUCAAGGGCCCUAAGCAAAUGUGGGUCCCUAAAUCUCAAGCUUCAUCUCUUGUGUGUGUAGGUGAACUACAAGACCGGUGGAUCACAUUAGGUAAUUGAUAGUGGUUGCACUCAACAUAUGACCGGAGAUCCCCGGAUGUUAACCUCACUUGAUGAAGAUGUUGACAACCAAGAGAAGAUCACAUUUGAUGACAAUUCAAAAGGCAAGGUCAAAGGUCUAGGAAAGGUUGCAAUAUCAAAUGACAACUCCAUCACCAAUGUGCUCUAUGUGCAAUCUUUGAGUUUCAAUUUGCUCUCGGUUGGACAACUUUGUGAUCUUGGUUUUGAAUGCUUAUUCAAGAAGAAGGAAGUAAUUGUGACCGAGGAUGACAAUGAAAUGGUAUUCAAAGGCUUCUGACACAACAACUUAUAUGUAGUUGAUUUCUCAUCCGAUGAAGUUGAUGUCAAGACUUGCUUAUUCACCAAGACCUCACUUGGUUGGUUGUGGCAUAGAAGGUUAGCACAUGUUGGAAUGGGCACACUCAAGAAGUUGAUGAAGAAAGAAUUAAUUAGAGGCUUGAAGGAUGUGACAUUUGAAAAAGACAAGCUUUGUAGUGCAUGUCAAGCCGGCAAGCAAGUUGCAAACACUCAUCCAACCAAAGCCUAUCUCUCUACAUCAAGAGUGCUUGAGCUACUCCACAUGGAUUUAUUUGGACCAACCACAUAUGCAAGUCUUGGAGGCAACAAAUAUUGCUUGGUCAUAGUUGAUGAUUACUCCCGGUACACUUGGACAUUCUUCUUGCAAGACAAGGCCGAGUUGCAUCCAUAUUCAAGAAGUUUGUAAAGAAUACCCAAAAUCAAUUUGAUGUCAACAUCAAAAAGAUUAGAAGUGAUAAUGGCAAAGAGUUUGACAACACCAACAUUGAAGAGUAUUGUGAUGAAGUUGGAAUCAAACAUGAGUUCUCCUCAACAUACACACCACAACAAAAUGGGGUUGUAGAAAGAAAGAACCGGACAUUGAUCACCUUGGCAAGAACAAUGCUAGAUGAGUACAACACUUCGGAGAAGAUGUGGGCCCAGGCAAUCAACACCGCAUGCUAUGCAUCAAACCGGCUCUUUCCUCACAAGUUCCUAGAAAAGACACCAUAUGAGUUGCUCAAUGGGAAGAAGCCCGAUGUCUCAUUCAUUAGAGUGUUUAGGUGCAAAUGCUACAUUUACAAGAAUUGCCAACACUUGGGUAAGUUCCAAAGAAGAUGUGACAUUGGCUACUUGGUUGGCUAUUCAUCAAAGUCUAAGGCAUAUAGAGUCUUUAACCAUGCCACAAACUUGGUUGAAGAAACAUUUGAUGUUGAAUUUGAUGAAACUAAUGGCUUCCAAGGAGCAAGUGAUAAUCUUGAUGAUGUAGGUGGUGAACCACUGAGGGAUGCCAUGAAGAACAUGUCGGUGGGAGACAUCAAGCCAAAAGAAGAUGAUGAUGUGCAAGUCAUUGAGCCACCAUCCACCUCACAUGUACCACAAGAUGAAGACAAGGAUGUGAGAGAUGCUCAUGAAGACACUCAAGUUACUCAUGAGCAAGCGGUGGCACAAGCGCAAGAUGUUGAUGGUCCCCAAGCAACCCUUCAAGUGGCGCCAAGAAGAUCAUCACAUCUCCUCCAUGAUCAUUCUCAAGAUCUCAUCAUCGGGAGUCCAUCACGUGGUGUAACUAGACGCUCUAGACAUGCUUUAUUUAUGGAACAUCACGCUUUUGUGUCUCUUGAAGAUGUUGACACCGUUUUUGGGCACGUGUCCGUGAUCGGUAGAAUGCAGGUCGGCAAGACAAGACGGCAGUGCUUGGUCCGCAGGAUGAGUUGCCGAUGAGGAUGGUUGCCGAUGGAGGGACGGUUGAACAUGACUAAGUCCACAGGUGAUGAUGUGUUUGUGCCGAUGGCUAUAACAGGGGAGUCUGCCAAUGACGCGGAGGAAGAACCUAAAGGUUGCCGAAUCGGCUUGUGGAGGUGUUCCAGUUUGUCACGGGAGGAUAGUUUUAUGUUUUCCUUAGUUAUUUAGAUCGUUUUGUAUACGGAUUCUGUUUAAUUUGGAAUUUGAAUUCUAGUCGUGUCUGGUUGUAGCUCUGCGAAUAGGGUAUAAAUGUAGACCCUGAGGCUUUGUAAACGGACAUCUAUCAAUCAAUCAAACACUAGUUUUUACUCGUAUUCCAGCAUCUACUUUUUCGACGACUUCGUCAUACCUUUUUCCCUUUUUAUUACGAGUUCUUAGGAAUUCGUCGACUUAAGCUCGGAGCGUUCUCAAGUUCCGUGUGAAUACCUCUUGGCCGUGGCAUCCGGGCGCAUCGCUGUUGUCGGGACCAAAGUAUUCGAGUUAUCACCUUUGCCGGUAGUAGGGUCAAAUCGGCUGGCACGCCUUAACGUUUGAAUCGGGUAUUAGCCCUUUGUGUUUGCAUAUCAGCUUUUGCAUCAACACAUCUUUUGGCACGCCCAGUGGGACCAGAUUCAAGAUUCAAGGUCAAGAUCAACAUGUCGACUACUGAGUUUGAUCAGGAGAACGUCAUCCCCGUGACGGAAGCCAAUCUCAAGGAUGAGCAGAAGCAAGCUAUUCCUAAAGCCAUGGAGGAUUACAAGCAGCAAUGCCUGAGGUCCUUCAGCAUAAACAGGAGCGGCGAAGUGAUCCAGAAGGAUGCACUGCCGACGCCUUGGCAGGUUACUUUUGAAGCCAAUCCUGGUAAACUUCAAGAGAUGGUUGAUAGUGCUAUCAACCGCGCUUUGAUCAACCAAGCUGGUGUGCUGUCCAAUACGGUUUUCAAUGCCGUGGCUAGAACUUUUAAGGAAGGACAAUUGCACCAGAUUAUGUGGGCCCCUCUCAUCAUCAGCCAGGAUCACCGGUGGUCACAGCUCCAUCGGCUGCUACAGCCGCUGCGGGCCCAGAAAUUCCUGUUCCUCCAAGCAUGUUGGGAGUCACUAAUGCACAAUCUAUGCCGAUGACAACUAAUCCAUCGACUUUAGAUGAACAGAUCAAGCUCACCACAGAUCUAUUGGCAUCGACAAUGUCAGGACCAGUUCCUCCUCCUAACUGGUGGGGUUUCGGUAUGCCCCCGGAAUACUGGAAGACGCCUGGUACGUCCCAAGCAGCUGAGGCGAGAGGCAAGGCUCCUAUGGCAUCGGCACCUCCAAGUAUGCCGAUGAACCAGUGUCUCCAGUAUACUACAACUACUACUGCAAGACCUUAUACUGGGAAUUCUCAAGCUCUGACGUUCCAGAUGCCUAACGCAUCGGCAGACUCAGUCCUGAUGCAACAGAGAUUUAUAACUCAGCCAGGGUAUGUCAAUUCAAUGAUGAUGCCCAAUUACCAGUCAUCGGCAUUACCAGACAUCUAUCAAUCAAUCAAACACCAGUUUUUACUCGUAUUCCAGCAUCUACUUUUUCUACGACUUCGUCAUACCUUUUUCCCUUUUUAUUAUGAGUUCUUAGGAAUUCGUCGACUAAAGCUCGGCGCGUUCUCAAGUUCCGUGUGAAUACCUCUUGGCCGUGGCAUCCGGGCGCAUCGCUGUUGUCGGGACCAAAGUAUUCGAGUUAUCACCUUUGCCGGUAGUAGGGUCAAAUCGGCUAGCACGCCUUAACGUUUGAAUCGGGUAUUAGCCCUUUGUGUUUGUAGAUCAGCUUUUGUAUCAACAGAAGAUGAACCAAAGACUAUAGAGGAAGCUCUUCGUGAUGCAGAUUGGAUCAUUGCCAUGCAAGAGGAGUUGAACAACUACUCUCGCAACCAAGUAUGGACACUUGAAGAGCGACCCAAAGAUGCAAGAGUGAUUGGAACAAAGUGUGUCUUCCAGAACAAGAAGGAUGAUCAAGGCAAAGUGGUGUGCAACAAAGUAAGGCUCGUGGCAAAAGGCUUUUCACAAGUGGAAGGUCUUGACUUUGGUGAAACCUUUGCACCAGUGGCAAGACUUGAAGCAAUCUGUAUCCUUCUUGCAUAUGCAUCUAGUCAUGAUAUCAAGUUGUUUCAAAUGGAUGUGAAAAGUGCUUUUUUGAAUGGUUAUAUUAAUGAGCUUGUCUAUGUUGAGCAACCCCCCGGUUUUGAAGACCCUAGGUACCCCAAGCAUGUCUACCGGUUGUCCAAGGCCCUCUAUGGUCUUAAGCAAGCUCCUAGAGCUUGGUAUGAGAGGCUUAGGGACUUCCUCAUCGAGAAGGGCUUCAAGAUUGGGAAAGUUGACACAACACUCUUCACCAAGAAAAUGAAUGGGGAAAUCUUCAUUUGCCAAGUUUAUGUUGAUGAUAUUAUUUUUGGCUCUACUAAUGAAGAUUUUUGCAAGGAAUUUGGUGAGUUGAUGUCCAAGGAGUUUGAGAUGUCCAUGAUUGGCGAGCUAUCCUUCUUCCUAGGAUUUCAAGUCAAGCAAAUCAAGGAAGGGGUCUUCAUCUCUCAAGAGAAGUACACACAAGAUCUUCUCAAGAGGUUCAAGAUGAUGGAUUGCAAGCCAAUCAAGACUCCCAUGGCAUCAAAUGGGCAUCUCAACUUGGAUGAGGGAGGUAACCCAAUUGACAAGACUCUCUAUCGUUCCAUGAUAGGAAGUCUACUCUACCUCACCGCAUCUAGGCCCGAUAUCAUGUUUAGUGUGUGUAUGUGUGCUAGAUAUCAAGCAAUGCCUAUGGAAUCUCACUUGAUUGCCGUCAGGAGAAUUCUUAGGUAUCUAAAAUACACACCUUGCCUAGGCUUGUGGUAUCCCAAAGGUGCAAGAUUCCAACUUGUAGGCUAUUUCGAUUCGGAUUAUGCCGGGUGCCGCAUUGAUAGAAAAAGCACAUCCGGAGGGUGCCACUUCCUAGGUAGAUCCCUUGUCUCUUGGAUGUCAAAGAAACAAAAUAGUGUUGCCUUGUCAACGGCCGAGGCGGAAUACAUUGCCAUCAGUGCUUGUUGUGCAUAAAUACUUUACAUGAAACAAACUUUGCUAGACUAUGAAGUAGUACUAGACAAAGUACCUUUGUUGUGUGACGAUGAAAGUGCCGUAAAACUUGCUAACAACCCGGUUCAACACACCCGCACAAAACAUAUUGACAUCCGCCACCACUUCCUUAGGGAUCAUGUUGCUAAAGGUGACAUAUCUCUAGAAAAUGUGGGAACGGAAAAUCAAUUGGCGGAUAUCUUCACAAAACCCCUAGAUGAAGCAAGGUUUUGUAUGUUGAGAAAUGAACUUAAUGUGCUUGAUCUUUCUAACUUCACUAAAAAUUGAAGUUGUGUGUUGAAUUUGUAAAUAGUUUUUGUUUUGCAUAUCAUGCAUACCAAAACUAAAAUACAAAAAGAAUUGUGUGUAGGGCUUGUCUAACAUGGUUAAGAUAACCCCCUUUGUGUGUGUGAAAAAGCUUAUCCUUGGAUCAAACUUGACAAGCAUUAGUUUACUUUCAAGUAUUGCAUUUCACCUCAUAUCUUAUGCAUGCUUGUUAGUUGACCGUUUCUUUUUUAUUAUGCUUUGAGCAUCCGCUGUGUUCGUCCAUAGAUAGGGGGAGCAUUCAAAGCUCACCAUGAUUUAAACCCCUAGCUUUAUGGCCACACGAUGCUCCUCGGUGCUUUCACUUGACUAUUUUCAUAAAAACUACUAUGCCUAAGGCUAAAUAUUUGUGAAAAUUUGAGUGUUUGAGAGAGGUCACUCAUACCAGUUCCACUUGGUGUUUAUUUGGAUCCUCUUGAAGUUGGAACUUGGUUGGGUGAAAGUCGGGCGAAGUUCUAAGUUGAAAAAGGAGCCAGAAGUGCACCGGACGCUGCACUGGACGCUACCUCUGUGCGUCCGGUGUGGUGAGUGUGCUGGACAGCACUCACCGGACGCAGGAAUAGUGUCCCUGUUCCAUCCGGUGAGGUGCGUCUGGUGCUCAGCUAGGCAAGCCCUAGGGCACCGGACGCUAAGGCCAGCGUCUGGUGGCCAUCGUCUGGUGCUCGGCCGAAUUAAAACACUCUCUGUGUUUUAGUCCGGUGGUCAUCGGAUGUGUCCGGUGCCACAUAAAUAGCGUCUCGUGACCCCGCAGCGAGCCCAUAUAACUCGCGCCUGGACGCUCUCGUCGGCCGGUUUCUUUCCUCUCCUCCCUAUUCCGCCAGCAGUCGUGCCCUAGCCCAAGUCGCCGAGAACUCUGUCGCCAGUGGUUUGACUGUUUUCCGGUGACUUCGUGAUCUCCUCCUCACGCAGAUCUGCCACAAGGACAUCUCCCCCAUCCUUUCCUCACGCAGUGGCCCUCAUCUCGCGAAGUUCUAGGGUUUGGGGUGAGCUUCCUUAUCUACGCACUCAAGGUGUUCGAAUUUAUGUGUCAAUGGAUUAGAACGAGGUUUUUGACCUCGAUUUGCUCCGUUUCAUCUGUGCAGCACCUUGAGGAGUCGAUUCGUGUUCUCCGACGGAUUUCGAUCGCGAUAUUUCAUCCAGAACGCGUCUCGACAUCGGAUUGUAAGCCGUUCGCGCCCAGUCCUUAUCUGUUCUUGCGAUCCAUAGGGUUUUCUCACCUCUAGCUAUUAUGUUUGCUUAUAUAUAUCCUAUCUAUUCCAUCUCUUGCAGCGCGUUGAUAUCCCUUGGCAAUUUGUCAGUCGCUCAGUUGUCGGCAGUCAUUCAGAUGCAGUUUUCUUGCAAUGGCACGUUGCAAGAAUGUCAAUGGUCAGGCAGCCAGCUCAAGGGGUUCUCCAGGAGGUGAUGGUGGAGGUGAUCCUCCCCGUCGCCUGUCAGCGGCAGAGAAGGGUAAAGGCAAGAAACUAGCCACCAAGAAGAGGAAGGCCAGUGACAGAGAGGCAGAGGUGGCCGAGGCAGUUGCAGCAGCAGCUGAGGCAGCAGAGAGGGGAGGACGUUCAGGUGCCCUGAGGAUUGGGGCCGAUCUCACGCCACUGCAGAGGCGUGCAGUUCUUGAGGCUGAGGCCCUUCAUGGGUCUCCUCCUAGCACCAUCAUGCUAGGAGGUCAAUGUGUCAGGAUUGCAGUCAGAGAGCCAGCUCAGGAGGACCCAGAGACUGAGACCGAGGCAGAGGCCCAGGCAGAGGACCCAAUAGAGGCACAGCAGCAGGAGCAGCCUCUCAGGAGGUCGACUCGCGCUCGUACUUAGGCCAUCCCUAUGACGCUCUUUCCCAGGAGAGGCUACAGAGACGGCUUCACCAGGAUUCAGCAGUGGUUGGUAGCCCAUCUGAUCUCGAAGACGCCAUUUGACUUGUGGGAUAUGAUAGUCUCAGAGAUCGAGGAUACUAUUUCAGAGAGCUUCAGGGGUCGGUGUCAGUUGUCGUACGCACACUGGAUCACCAUGCUCAUUCUUCAUGCUAGGCCAGAGCCUCUUCCAGCUCACCUCCAGAGAGAGCUAUCAGAUGCUGACACAGUGUUCCCUCACUAUGACCCCUGGCAGAUGCUGAGAGCGCAUCACGACCUUAGAGCUCCACCACCUCCUCAUGCACCACGUGACCAGGUGCCACCACCUUCUCCUAGGGGCACUCGCAGUUCAGGAGUAGACCAAAGACUGAGGAGGAGCAGGAUAUCGCCAUUGGGGCGUUUGCAGACGAUGAGGCUGAGGAGGACUUUGACUUUGCUUCAGACAGCUCAGACGAUGAUUAUCGUCUUCUAGUGCCAGACCUUCCUCCGAGGCUGCACGACCACAAGGCAAGAGGUUCCUCGAGUGCUUCAGACCCCGCUUUACUUGCUAUCCUAGAGGGGAUGAGAGCCGAUCAGCAGCGGGCAGCUGAGGAGCAGGCCAGGAGAGACAGGGACCAGGCUGCCAUCAAUGCAGCCAUGCAGGCUAGGUAGGACGAGCUUUAGAGAGAGCUUCUGACCUUCCAGGAGCAGCAGCUUGCGUUCCAGGCUCAGCAGACGGUGAUGAUGGCCGCUCUUAUGGCCGCCUCAGGGAUUCAGCUUCCUCAGGUACAACUCCCAGGCACUUCAUCAGUCAGGCCUCCUAAACCAGCGCCUCAGAGUCAGUCUCAACCACCGCUUUAGCUCCCUGCUCAGAGUCAGCCAUUAUCGACGCCUCAGCACCAGGUUUCUCAGGGUGCCAUCUCGUCUGGUUUUGAGAAGGUGCCUCAGUUCACACCUCUACGCUCUGGUUUUACACCUCAGUCAACGACAGCGUCACAGCUCGUGUUGGACUCAUCGGCAGGCCAGCACAUCAGUUUCUCUUACAGUGCUCUGACUGGUGACCCUACUCCUCCACCUCUGCAGGCUCCUACAGCCUUUACGGUCCCAGUCACCACUACUGAGCGCCUGUCAUCGUCAGUAGCUUCGUCUCAGCAGCUAGCACCUUCCUCUACUAUGCCAGAGACGUCAGCUACAGCGACAGAGUCCGUGCCAGCUUCGUCAGCAGGACUUGAGCAGCCAACACAGCCCGUGACAGCUACAGAGCCUGCAGAGCCGACCCAGACCGCUUCUCCAGCACGUGCAGCUUUAGAGGGUCACUCUAUCUCCUCCGAAUCGACGGCCGAUGGAUCAGACGACGCAGCACAUUUUCAGGCUAUGCCGAGGGACUCCACUGCUCUGCCUCCGCCUCCUUCGUCUUAGGUUUUUGGCACUUGAUGCUAAAGGGGGAGAGAGUUGAGAGUAUGAGAGUUAGGGGGAGCUAGAGCUAGAGAGGGCAACCUUUUGAUUAUUUUGUGUGCUACUCCAUGCAUCAUGUUUACGUUUAUGCAUUGCAUUUUUGUGAGAUACUCUUGUGAGAUACACUUAUGGUUGUGCUUAUGGUUGUGAGACAUGACUUAUGCUUAUCUGUGAUAUCCUUAUGUCAUGUGGUUUGCUCAUAUUACUUUGCUUCCGCGUUUUUACUCCGAUGUACUAUGAGCCAUCUGUGGUUAUAUCUUGUUGUAUACAUCUCACAUAUUUGGAUGCAGGAUGUUAGACUUGGUUGAUAUAAGCAUGCUUAAUCCCUUUGCUCUUAUUGUAUCAUGCUUACUGAAACCAAGUCAUUUGAAAACCUCAUUUCCUUUCAUACUCGAGGUUAUUGUCAUCAAUCACCAAAAAGGGGGAGAUUGAAAGAGCAUCUAGGCCCCUAAUGAUUUCGGUGAUUAAUGACAAUGUUGAUUACUAUGACUAACAUGUGUUUUGCAGAGGCAAAGUCAUUAGUGAGGUCAUGGUAAUAGGUACUUGAUGAACAGGGACGUACAUGCCUACUUAAUAGUGGAAAUCGUUUCGGUUUUCAAAGGAUGGAUGGACAUCGUCAAGACUAGACUAGGUCUGGGUGCCAUAUGGUGAAGAAGGGCACUUAGAGUAGUCUAGGACUUUAUUUUCCUUUGACCGUACUAUUAAGAGGGGCUUUGAUCUAGUAGCUUGAUUUAGGCAAGGCUUUAGGUUUAGGUGUGGUGCACACUUGGUAAACCUAGCACUAGGCAGCUCAGAGAUAGUCCUUAGAUCGAGAGGAACCAACUUCGUUUUGGAACGGUCGCGUUUCGACGAGGUUAGGGUGCCUAAGUAGGCACCGGACGCUAUGUGAGUGCGUCCGGUGAGGUCUUUAGCCGUUGGAGGGCUUUGGUGCCUAGGGUUAGGCACUGGACGCUGGCACCGGACUCACCGGGCAGCGUCCGGUCCCAUACCCAGGGAGGUUGUAAUCCUGCCCCUAGCACCGGACGCACCGGGUAGCGUCCGGUCUUAAACUCAGGGAGCUUGUAAAUCUCCCCGAAGCACCAGACGGUGCCACCGGACGCUGGGAAGUAGCGUCCGGUGACCUGUCAGACGUAGGUACAGUUAGCCGUUGAGUGUCACCAGACGCUCAGUGCAGAGCGUCCGGUGCAACAUCAACAGCGUCCGGUGACCCCGUUUUCAGCGUCCAUAUCGACGUAGCGGUGGAAACGAUCGACGAGACGCAGGACGCCGUUGCUGGCGGUCGAGCCCGUGCGGCAAGAAAGGACCCUAGGACUCCUAUGAAUGACGGACAGGUCGACCCCCUCCACAAGAAGACAAAGCCGCGCAACUUGCGCAACUGCGAGAGCUCAAGACAAAACUCGACGAAGACCGUGAGCGCCUCGUCCUGCUCGAACAAAUCCUUGAGCAGGACCUACCAUACCCACCUGGCAGAAGUGUCCGCAGAAGGGCUCGAGAGGUGCAUCGACAUAUUGUUUGGGACGGGGAACCAGAACAACCUUUCAGCCGCUUCCCUCGAGGAGGCCAGAACGUCGUGGCGGCAACGAUGCUGCUGUGUAACAUGCCCGAGCCCUCGAACUCCCAAGCACAGCGCAUUCGAGACGAGGUGCAAACUCUACUCCAAGUGGCGGCAGUUCAGCAAGCCGAGAGCUCGGCCUCUCGAUGUCGAGGAACUGCCACAGAAAAGCGUGAGGAACCAGCCCAGAAUGACAAGGAGGUGUCGGUCCAUCAGCAACCGCCCCCUCGAGGGAAGAAGACAGCGCUUGUCCUCCACCACCCCGUCGACAACCAACGGCGACAUGACGCACGACGUGACAUCGAUGAAAAUCGUCGACGUCGGUAUGGGGAUGCAGAAGAGCAUGGUUACAGCGCCCACCGCGGCGGGAGAUACGACAGCGACGAGGACCGGAUGGCCCCGGAACCAGCGGGGCCUCGAGUGUUCAGCAGAGCAAUCCGCAGCACGCCGCUGCCCAGCCUGUUUCGACCCCCGACCAGCAUAGCCAAAUACAACGGCGAGACCAAGCCAGAGCUGUGGCUGGCAGACUUCAGGUUAGCCUGUCAGCUAGGAGGCGCUCGAGGGGACGAUCGAGCCAUCAUCCGCCAGUUACCGCUUUUUCUCUCCGACACCGCCCGUAGAUGGCUCGAGGAGCUCCUGGCCAAUCAGAUCCAUGACUGGACCGACUUGGUCAGAGUAUUCGAGGGCAACUUCAAAGGGACCUACAUACGGCCUGGUAAUUCAUCGGACCUCAGCAAGUGCAAGCAGAAGUCAGGAGAAACUCUUCGAGAGUACGCUCGACGCUUCUCGAAGCAGCGCACCGAACUGCCGCACAUCCCUGACCACGACGUCAUACAGGCCUUCGUCUCAGGCACCACCAGCCGAGAUCUGGUGCGGGAGUUAGGCUGGAAUCAUCCUCAGACCGUCGACAAGCUGAUGGAUGUGGCAAACUACACCGCAGGGGAAAAAGCGGUCGGUGCCUUCUUCAGCCAUGAAGGAGAAAAAAGCAAGUCGCCUGCCGACGACGACGAGGGUCCCAGUCGAGGGCCCUAGAAGAACAAGAAAAAGAAGAAAGCACGACCGUUCCAACAGGAAGCCCUUGACGACAAUCUCGUCGCCGCCAUGGAACGCAAGAGGCCUCGAGGACCUCCAGAGGGAGCCAUCUUCGACAAAAUUCUAAAGGAGCCCUGCCCUUAUCAUAAAGGAGGGGCAAAUCACAAGCUCGAAGACUGUCGUAUGUUGAAGAAGCACUUCGAUGGCCUAGGGUUCAAGAAGGACGACCAGAAGAAAGAGAAAAAUGGCGACAAGAGUGACGACAAAGACGACAAAGGUUUCCCUGCCGUCCACGACUGCUACAUGAUCUACGGUGGGCCCUCGACGCAGCUGACCGCAAGGCAAUGCAAGAGGGAACGUCGUGAGGUCUUCGCGGCAAGAAUGGCGGUGCCCUAGUACCUCAGCUGGUUGAGCACCCCCAUCACCUUCGAUCGAGAUGACCACCCCGACAAGGUAGUCGCCCCUUCCGUAUACCCGCUCGUCGUCGACCCCAUCAUCGUCAACACCAGGCUCUCGAAGGUAUUGAUGGACGGCGGCAGCAGCCUAAACAUCAUCUACCUCGAGACCCUCGACCUCCUCGGCAUCAAUAGGAUGCAGCUCCAACCAAGCGCCGGUGGUUUCCAUGGUGUCGUACCUGGAAAGAAUGCGUUACCGGUAGGUCGAAUCGACCUACCGGUCUGCUUCGGCACGGCGGCCAACUUCAGAAAGGAGACCCUCACCUUUGAGGUGGUGGGAUUCCGAGGAACGUACCAUGCCAUCAUAGACGCCUGGGUUACGCCAAGUUCAUGGCUAUCCCCAACUACACCUACUUGAAGCUGAAGAUGCCAGGACCCAAGGGCGUCAUCAUCGUCAGCUCUUCCUACGAGCAUGCGUACGAGUGCGACGUCGAAUGCGUCGAGUAUGGGGAAGCCGUCGAGAGCUCCACCGAGCUCGCCUCGAAACUCGAGGCCCUAGCCGCGGAAGCCCCAGAGCCCAAACGCCACGCCGGCAGCUUCGAACCGGUGGAAGGAACAAAGAAGAUCCCGCUCGACCCCGACAACUCCGACGGCAAGGUGCUGACGAUCGGCGCUGACCUCGACCCCAAAUAGGAAGACGUGCUCGUCGACUUUCUCCGUGCAAAUGCUGACAUGUUUUCAUGGAGUCCUUCGGACAUGCCAGGCAUACCGAGGGAAGUCGCCGAGCACACCUUGGAAAUUCGAGCCGGUUCCAAGCCAGUGAAGCAGCGGCUGCGUUGCUUCGACGAGGAGAAGCACAAGAUCAUUGGCGAGGAAAUCCACAAGCUUUUGACGGCCAGAUUCAUCAAGGAGGUUCACCAUCCCGACUGGUUAGCAAAUCCUAUACUAGUUAAGAAAAAGAAUGGGAAAAUGAGGAUGUGUGUCGAUUAUAUGAGUUUAAAUAAAGCAUGUCCAAAAGUUCCUUUUCCUUUGCCACGUAUCGAUCAGAUUGUUGAUUCUACUGUGGGAUGUGAAACCCUUUCUUUCCUUGAUGCAUAUUCUGGUUACCCUCAAAUAAAAAUGAAAGAGUCCGAUCAGCUCGCGACAUCUUUCAUCACACCUUUUGCGAUGUAUUGUUAUGUAACCAUGCCGUUCGGGCUUCGAAACGCGGAAGCCACAUAUCAGCGUUGCAUGCUCCACAUGUUUGGCAAACACAUAGGGUCAACAGCCGAGGCAUACGUUGAUGACAUCAUCGUCAAGACAAAGCAACGAGGAGACCUGAUUUAGGACCUCGAGAUCGCUUUCACUUGCCUACGCGCCAACAAGGUCAAGCUCAAUCCCGAGAAGUGCGUCUUUGGUGUCCCCCGAGGCAUGCUCCUGGGAUACAUAGUCUCCCGACGCGGCAUCGAGGCCAAUCCCGAGAAAGUCUCAGCCAUCACGAGAAUGGGGCCGAUCCGAGACGUCAAAGGAGUGCAAAAGGUCACGGGAUGUUUGGCGGCGCUAAGUCGUUUCAUCUCGAGGUUGGGGGAAAAGGCAUUGCCACUAUAUCGGCUCUUGAAAAAAGCUGAGCGCUUCUCUUGGACCCCCGAGGCCGAGGAAGCCCUCGAUAACUUGAAGAAAACACUGACCUCUGCGCCGGUCCUGGUCCCGCCUCAACCCGCAGAACCUCUGCUUCUAUACGUUGCCUCGACGACCCAGGUCGUCAGUGCAGCAGUGGUAGUCGAGAGGCAGGAAGAGCGGCAUGCGCUGCCAGUUCAGAGACCGGUCUAUUUCGUCAGCGAGGUACUCUCGGAGACCAAAGCGCGGUACCCACAGAUCCAAAAGCUAAUCUACGCGGUGAUCCUCGCCCGACGCAAGCUGCAGCACUACAUCCUCGGUCACCCUAUCACGGUGGUCUCAUCCUUCCCCUUGGGUGAGGUCAUCCAGAGCCGGGAGGCAACAGGAAGAAUUGCCAAAUGGUCGAUCGAGCUCAUGAGUGAGACCCUCACUUAUGCGCCUCGUAAAGCUAUCAAGUCUCAAGCUCUGGUGGAUUUCGUCGCGGAAUGGACGGACUCCCAGCUCCCCCCGGCUGAAGUUCAGGCAGAAUUGUGGACGAUGUAUUUUGACGGAUCCCUCAUGAAGACGGGAGCUGGUGCGGGUCUGCUAUUUAUCUCACCGCUCGGUGUCCAUAUAAGAUACGUCAUCAGAAUACACUUCGCCGCAUCCAACAACGUCGCGGAAUACGAGGCCCUUGUCAACGGUUUAAAGAUCACCAUCGAGCUAGGGGUUCGACGCCUCGGCGUUCGAGGCGACUCCCAAUUCGUCAUCGACCAAGUGAUGAAGGCCUCCAACUGCCACGACCCAAAAAUGGAGGCAUACUGCAAGGAGGUACGCCGACUCGAGGACAAGUUCCAUGGUCUCGAGCUCGUCCACGUCGCCCGACGCUACAACGAGGCGGCCGACGAACUCGCCAAGAUCGCCUCGACUCGAGGCACGGUCCCGCCCAACGCAUUCUCAAGAGAUCUUCACGAGCCAUCCGUCGACUUGGGCUCGGGGGCUGACGUCGGAGCCACCGCCCCCCAACAAACCGACACCAUCGAGGCACUGCUAGCGGCGGCGGAGGUAAUGGAGGCAGAACAGCGACCCGGUCGGCCGUUCGACUAGCGCACGUCGUUCCUCGACUGCCUAAAACGUUGCGAGCUACCGGAAGAUCGAUCCGAGGCCCGUCGUAUCGCUCGACGGGCCAAAUCAUUCGUAAUCUACGGCAAAGGCAAUGAGCUAUAUCGACGAAGCUAGACAGGGAUCUUGCAGCGCUGCAUCACCAUAGAGGAAGGCCGAAAGCUCCUCGAGGAUCUGCACUCGGGGGCUUGUGGCCACCAUGCUGCUCCACGGACCCUCGUAGGGAAAGCUUUCCGAUAGGGCUUCUACUGGCCAACGGCCGUAGCUGACGCCAUCGAGCUCGUACGCUCGUGCCAUGGGUGUCAAUUUUAUGCCAAGCAGACGCACCUUCCCGCCCACGCUCUUCAGAUGAUUCCCAUCACAUGGCCGUUCGCGGUGUGGGGACUCGACCUGGUAGGGCCUCUACAGAAGGCAGUAGGAGGCUACACCCAUCUGUUGGUGGCCAUCGACAAAUUCUCCAAGUGGAUCGAGGCUCGACCCAUCACGAACAUUCGCUCCCAGCAAGCCGUACUUUUCUUCACCGACAUCAUCCACCGGUUUGGGAUCCCCAACAUCAUCAUCACCGACAACGGCACUCAAUUCACUGGCAAGAAGUUCUUAGACUUCUGCGACCGGCAUCACAUCCGUGUGAACUGUUCUGCGGUGGCCCACCCUCGAACAAACGGCCAAGUCAAGCGUGUCAACGGCAUGAUUUUGCAGGGACUCAAACCGAGGAUCUACAACCGCUUAAAAAAAUGCGGCAAGAAAUGGGUCGAAGAGCUCUCUUCGGUCCUAUGGAGCAUAAGGACGACGCCGAGCAGGGCCACAAAAUACACCCCGUUCUUCAUGGUCUACGGCUCCGAGGCCGUGCUCCCAACGGAACUCGAAUACGGGUCCCCUCGACUCAAAGCAUACAACGAGCAAUCAAACAAGGAGGCUCGAGAGAAUGUCGUCGACCAACUCGAGGAAGCUUGGGACAUGGCCCUCCUCAACUCCGCCAGAUACCAGCAGAAGCUUCGACACUAUCACAACAUGCACGUGUGCAAAAGAGACCUAAACUUGGGCGAUCUUGUCCUACGGCGGCGGCAAAGCAACCAAGGACGCCACAAGCUAACGCCACCCUGGGAAGGCCCAUACAUAGUGGCCGAGGUCCUGAAGCUAGGGACAUACAAGCUAGCAGACGAAAAAGGGGCAAUCUUCACCAACGCGUGGAACAUCGAACAGCUACGUCGAUUCUACCCCUAGAAUUUCAAAAGCUUUAUGUUCCUAUGUACAAUUUGUACCAAGGUUUUGUGAAUGAAUGCAUGAAUGAAUAAGAUCUUUCCCUCGAGUAAAUUACUUUUUUCAUGAGUCAAAAUCUCGACGAUAGGAGGGAGUACCAACUAUGACCCAUCAUAGUCGAUACCCCCUCGGGGGCUAGCAGGGGGGCACCCCCCCCCAAGUGAUUAUUUUUUCGUUCCUACUAAGUAAACCUCGCAUGAUCGAGUAGUAGAGGUACCUCGAGCCCCUUAAGGGCCGAGAAACAACGAGCCUGAGAACUCCUACGCCCCCGGACUAUGGUAACUCUACUCGCUUUCUCACCCUCGAGGCAAUCGAGGUUGCCUUAACCAAAGACAAAAUGAGGAAUAUAGAUGUAGGCAGAAAAGAAAAUGAAGGAACCUCGAGUGGAAAGACAAACGUUUACAAAUCUUAUAACCCACUUAAAACACGAUAUCAUUUAAGAUAGAAUAACAAAGUACUGUACAAGGGGCCUCAGCACCCAGAGUAGGCUCGCAGGCCUCAGUCUACGUCUUGGCCCUCACCACCAUCGUCCGCACCCGAGCUAGUCUCGGGAGGAAGUACUUCCGGCUCGAAAAGCCUCACCAACCUUUCCCCAGGAGCCUCCGCAUCGUCGAUCAAGGCGUGGAGCCUCUCCUCGUUCUCUGCGUCGGUCUUGGAAAUAUCGAUGACGAAGCCGUGGGACACCACCUCCAUAUCAUAGGAAAAGCCUGAGCAGACAACCGCCAUUGCCCGCUUUACCCCAGUAUGAAGGGCGUCCCGCACCCGGUCCCUCAGCGUAGCACCUAGAUAGCAUAGCUGGUCGACCAGUGCGUCACCUCGAGCCUCCUCCCUCGACUCGUCCAUGGGCUCGAGCUCCCAAGAGGCUGAAAGAUCAUUUAUCGCCGUCUGCAGUCGACGGUUCAAAGGGACCUCCCCCUCAAGUUGAGCCUUGGCAGAGCGGGCCACGACCUGAGCUGCGAGCAGCUCAUCCUUAAGCCCUACAAGGACCAACAAGGAAAAAUUAGAUACCACAAAACACACCCUAGAAAGAAAACUCAACAAUAGGAAAUGUACCGCGAAUGCUCUCCUCCAGAGCUGUAUUCUCGCCGACCAACUUGGUGUUGGCUCUCUCGAUCUCUGCGUUGGAGCGCACCAGCUCGGUGUUGGCGACGCGCAGGUCUUCGAUCACCUUACCGGCCUGCGCGAUGGCCCCAUCCUUCUCCAGCAGCGCUCUCUUCAAAUGGUCAACGUCGUCAGAGAGACUUCGGGAUCGAGCCCGCUCCGCCUCGAGAUCCUCGAGAGCCUUCUUCUUGGCCUCCUCCGCGGCGCUCCGGGCAAUCUCGCCAUUUACGCACUCCACCUUCAUCCUUUGGAAGGAUUCUCGGACAGAGGCGAGACCAGUCUUGAGGGUGCCCUUCUCCUUGUCCAGAGCAGCGGCCACAUUCCUGUAAGACAAGGCCUCCUCCCGAGCCUUGGAUGCGACCUCCUCAACCAUCAUAGUUCGCUCCCUUAGCAGCGCAGCCUCAUCCACCGCCUUCCUCGAGGCCUCUCGAGCCUCGGCCAGAGCAGCCUCCCUCACCUUCUUCUCCUCCUCGAGCGCCAACAGCUCCUUGUAAGCCUUGAGGAGCUUUUCCUGCGAUUCCAGGAGUUGAUCCUUGAGGAGAGGGAGUUGCUCCCAGCCGCCCCUUGUUGCAUGGAUGAAGCUCAAUUUGAUGCGGGAGGUCUCUUUCAGGUCCUGCAAGCCAGCGAUUGGGCAGUUAGAAUACAAAACCAAAUGUUCUACAAGGGUUAAGGCCUAAAAAUGCUUACGAAGUAGGCUGGUCCGAGCCCGUUGUUGACGACGUCGGACAGGAGCCCCACCACAUGCUUCAUCCAGAGGCGAAGCUCCUCGACAUGCUCCCACUUUUCGGCCUCCUUCCGAUCGUCCAAGAAAAUGUUUGGCUCAGACGGAUCGGUGGAUGCCCAAAUGCGGAUCCGGUCAGGGCACCAGUUCUCCAUCUCCUGGUCAGCGCGCGCCUUGACGCCCCGGAUGAGCUCCUCGACGGUCUCGAGCGACCCCCCGUGGCGCAGGAACAGGUCGACGAGGGAGGGGAACCGCCCGUCGUCAUCCACCGUCUUCCAGGUCCCGGUCGCGCUGCCACCACCGCCGCCCGACGUUCCGAUCUCGUCUUCCUCGGCGGGGAUACGGUCCUCCCACGACCGACGCUCCCGGAGGAAUCCCGGAGUGAUUCCGUCCAUGCCGUAGAUCGUGCCCCUGAUCUCGGACUGAGGGUCGACGAGGGUGCGCAUCAUACAGGCGAGCGCCACCACGCCGUCCGCCCGCCUCGGCUCAGCUGGGAUCGAAGCAGGCGCCCCCGGACGAAGCCACGCCGGGGUCGGAGGACCAUAAACCGGCAGGCUCUCCCCCUUAUUUCCAGGCUCUUGCGGCGCUGGUGGCGCUGGUUGGGGCGGACCGAGAGAGGGAGGCUCGAGCAGUUCCUCUAACUGCUGGCCCCUUAGUUGCAGCUGCUCUUGGAGCUCCCUCAGCUCCUGCUGCCGGUCCUGCACCAGCAGCUCCUCGAGCUGGAGACCUUGUGGCAGCCGCCCCUCCUCUCCUUCUUUCUACUGCGGCCGCUGCUCCUCUUGCAGCUGUUGCCGCGUCUCCAGCUCGCGCUCCUCUUCCUCCUUCUUUCUCUGCUCCUCGACGGAGCGAAGCCCGACAGGCCAGGGCAUCCGCAUAGCGAUGAGAGAAGUCUCGGCCUCCUCGUCCAUAGGGCGGGCGUCCUUCGAAGGCCCGUCGCCGCCGGACCCGUCGCUUAUUGUGAUAGGGUCCCCCUCGACCCCAGAUCGGGGAGGCUCGGGGGCUCCCUCUUGCUCUUGGGGGCGAGGCGCCUCGACCCGCCUCGGCGACGGCGGAAUGGACUCCCCUACCAAGGGGCGAGGCGGGGCAUCCUCGACACCAGUCGACGGCCAGGGAUCGGGGGAACCUGUAAUACAUUCAGAGGCAAGAGGUCAGCCAUCAUAAUCGACGUAAAGACAACCCAGCUCCCAUAAGUGACGGAAAUAAACUGCUAACCUGAUUCUUUGGAGGCCGCUCCCGCCUUAAGCCUCUUGGCCAUCGAAGGCUGGGCCUGCUCGAGCGUCCGCUUCAACCUGAGGAAAGAAGAACGAGUGUGAGAGAGGCCAAAACGUUGAAGACAUAGGAAGAUGAGAAUCGUAACGUCGAAAACCUUACCCCACAGCGAGAACGGCCUGCCAGCCGGUGCCUCGACCGACAGGCCUCGAACCGCCCCGUGCCAAGGCACCAGGCACCUCACGAGCAGGCGCAGGCCUCGGCUCGGCAUCUCCCGCCUGGCGGGCGCCAGGGCUAGCACUCCUGUGACUUGCUUCCCCCUUGCCGAAGGCCACGGCACGGCCACGGGUCAAUGGCCCCGUCGCCAGGGGCUUAGCCCGGUCGCCCGCCUUUGACGUAGGGGGAGGUUGGGGGCACGGGACAGACCGACCUCGCGCAGGCGCGGGAGGGGUAUCAGCGUGGGAGCGGCGAGGGGACGACUCCCUCUACCACCUCUCGAGAGACCCGCUUGGCCCCUCCUUUGGUGCAUCCGUCCGCGGGACGUCGACGUCGGCUCGAGGCGGACCCUCGAGAAUUCUGUCCAGACGGGACGCCAUCCCCUCGGAGUCGUCGCUGUUGUCGUCACCAUCACCGCCGUCAUCCUCAUCAGGGGAGUCUUCCUCAGGCUCCCCCCUCUGUCUGGAUUUCGCUCGGCGCGUCUCCAGCGCUUGGCGCUCGAGAUUCUUCUUUUUCUCCUUCUUCUUCUUUAAGUCCAUUGCGGACUUCUGCUUUUCAGUGGACUCUCACCGCUUGUCAUGGUCGACCUCGUCCUCCUUUACCGGAGGCCUCGAAGACCGAACAUCGAUUCAACCCUGUGCAAAUGGUGACGAGUUUUAAGGAGGAUCGAAGAAAUUCUGGAAUCAAAACCAUAAGCGAGAGAGGAGCUUACUAGGUCGAUCGAUCCCCUGUCAGGCCUCAUAGGGAAGCCGUUGACAUGCUCUAGCUUGAAGUCGCCAGCAACGGUCGCCCUGACUCGAGCCGCGACCUCGUCGUCCGCCAGAGCCUUGUUGGACAUCCGGCAAGCCUCGAGAUCCCGGGACGAAACGCCGGGACCCAUCUCGUCCAUUCUCAACGGCCGAGACAUCAACGGAAGAACCCUCCGAUGAUGGACCGCCGAGAGGACAAGAGUGGCUGUCAGGCCAUCCUCGCGUAGCUUCUUCAAGGCGUCAAGGAGGGGGGCGAGCCGCAAUUGGUGGACUUGAACCACACCGUAAGUCCAGUGGUCCGGGCGCUUCGAGAUCAAGCGACCGGUGUAGGCAGGGAGGAGGUCGUCGUUGUUGCGCAAAUAGAACCACUGGGAGUCCCAUCCGGCAUGGUUCGACGUCAAUCCCACCGGGAUGUACUCGCGCGGCCUCUCCGUUUUGCCGGUCUUCAACACCAAGUUGAGGCACCCGGCCCGUACGAGUUUCCUCAUGCCUGUGGUUCCAGUAGGGGCGUUGAAGAGCUCGUCGCGGUACAGAUGGAGCCACAGAUCCCAGUGGGGCAUCAUCCCCAGAUAGCCUUCACACACCGCGGCAAAGACCGCCGCGGCAGUGACGGCGUUUGGGGAGAAGUGCUAGAGCUCCACCCCGUAGUGGUGGCAGAGCGCCCGCAUGAAGCGACUCAGAGGAGUGCCCAGGCCGUGGCGAUGGAAUUUGGCGAAGGAAACCACGUAGCCCUUGGGCGGCCUUGGCUCCCGGUGGUCCACCGCCGGCGCAAUCCACUCCAGCCGCGACGACGACGUGCGGGGGCGUAGGAAUCCCUCCCUCUCAAGCUCCAACAGCCGACGCUCCAUCAUCGACGAUGGGCACCAGUCAUCGGCGGCGAUGAGUCUCACAGGCAUUUUCGGGUGAAAGAAAGGCGAACUCGCUACUACUCGAGGGUGCGCGUGUGUGAAAGAUAGCGAGGAAGUUGGGACAGGGACAAAGGCAGAAGGCGGAAGGAGCGACGGCAAUGAGACCGCGGCGCAUUUAUAGACGGCAGCCCACCAACGGACAGAUCCGAUAAGCACGGUAACUCCUCCCAUAAAUGCGCCGUCUAACGGUCCUCACCUCUCUCACAGAUGGGACGCUACGAAUUCCGCGCCGGUUCAUUACAGCAACGGCUCCCACCCAACGGGCGAAAAGGCGAACCGCCACGGCCCCUUCCUUCCCUCGUAAGCCAAGGUAGGCGUCUGUCACAACUAAAACCUCGAGAGGUCACGGGCUGGCCCACCAACUGGGUUCGACAGCCGAUCUCGAGUGCCAGAGUCAGGGAUGCCCAGCGAAUGGUCAAAAAUCAAGGCCCGCCUCGAGAACUCGCUGGGGAUGUCCAAGGUAGGAUUGAGACGGUCGAGAGGAAUCCCCCCGAAGGGAGGCAUCGAGCCGCUGGACUCUAUCGAACGAGACCAGUAACCCCGACCACGUCGACCCUGCUUUAUGAGGAUGCCUCUGGGCUACAGCCGACCCCCUCGAACGGGGCACAGGUCCUCACUUGGAUUACCCGUUAGGAACUCAAACCGGGAUAGAUGACGCUCGCUCCAUCGGGAGUACGUCGAAACCCCUGCGCAAAACAUACCGAUCAAAGCCGUUCACAGCGGACAUUGAGAGCGCUUCCACAGAUUAGGCAAUAUAACCCUCGAAGGAGUCAAAAAACUCCUCCAAGGGCUCGGGGGCUACCCUCGCGGGGUCGCUCGCGUGCCCCCACGGAAACUCGACCUUAAAAUGUAGCCUCCACUCAAGCGCAAGCGCUCGAAUGGAGACUCGGGGCCUACUGUCGAGGAUAUCAGUAAGGGGUACCCUAACUGAUAUGCAUAUCGAGAACAUCCGUACACAAGUCGAGGCCUCCAACUCGAUGCCCUGCCUAGUCAUACGCACAGUCCUCGACGACUGUGGCCUCGAACACGGACAUAGCGUCCUGCGAAUCGACCGAGGCUCGAGCGCCGGCUGCCGUCGAAUACGGAAGUAGGCUCGUACGAACCGGAAGGCCUCGAGCGCAAGGACACCGCCCGCCGCCUGACGCGAGCGCAGGGAUCAGAGGCAUUUAAUGCGCCUGUAGUGUUCUCACCUAACCCGACAGUCACGGGAAGCGUGAUAGGAGGCCAGCACCCGUCCUGUCGUCCCUUCUGCAGCUUUCCCCACUAAACUAGCCAGAGCGUGGCAGAGUACAGAGGGCGAGUCGAGACGUCCGGUCACGACCCCCCUCGAGAUGCCUGAAGUCAACGCUCUGGACCGUGAACCGUUACCUGGCACCUGACCCUCAAGUAGACAUGUUCCUUUCCCAGAAAGGAUUGGGCGACGACUGACGGCGCCCCAACCACUCCGACGUAGCUGCUACCGCGACGUACAAGCAUGCGACGCAUAAGUCAGUCCAGGACGGCGCACAGGAGCAGGAUUCAGGGGCACGCGUAAUCAUCAUCAAAGUAGCAAGACAAGACGGCUCGAGGCCACGCCGGUACGGAGGCCUCGAGUAGGUCAGCGCGCCAUACCUCUUUCGAUCCCUACUCUGACGCCUAUACAUGUACCCUGGGCUUCUCCUUGGAACUAUAAAAGGGGAGGUCCGGGAGCGAGCAAAGACACGCGACACAACACAAGUCAUACGCAGUAGAGCAACUCACCUUAUCUCCAUUCAUACCACGCUUGUAUUCGCCCCUGUACAGGCACUUAGGUGCAGGAUAAUACAAUUUCCUCCCCCAGCUGGACGUAGGGCCUUCUCUUGCCCGAACCAGGAUAAAUCUUUGUGUCUUUCUGCAUCACCAUCUGGAAAAGGGAGCACGCACACAAGUUUUACUCGUUGGUGUGACCCCCCGGGGGGAAAACACCGACAUAUUGAAAGCUAGCCAUUGUAAAUUGUGAUUUAUCGUAUCAAAGAAAUAGGUGAAUUCAUCUAAGGACGAGAAAAAUGGCAAUAGAUCAUACGUUGAUUAGCAUUCUAUUUUGACUAAAUAUUAUAUCAUUCAUAUGUUCUGAGACCAUUUUAUUAAUAUAUGCACAGCCACAUAAAGAUCCAUCAAACCCAUAAUUUGUGUCCCCAUAGAGAAUUGAAUAUGAUUUUAAUUGUGCAUGCAUCAGCGCAUUUUUUCCAAAAAAUUCAUAAAUGAUGUUACAUUAUUUUAGAAGAUAUUUAGGAGAAAAAAGUCAAAACUUUAAUAGCUGAUGGACUAUUAGAAGAUACAAAUGUCACACUGAGAUAAUUUCACUAACCAGUAGAAAAAUGCCUCCUUGCUUUAGUACUGCUACCAAAAGUUCUUGUAAUAGUAAAGGUUAUGAUCAGACAGGUGGCAUUGGUCGUGGGUCUAUUUGUUCAUCAGAUUUUCAGAUCACUAAUCAGGGAUGUAGCUCCUAUAGCAAGGAAACAAUAUGGUCACACCACUUCUGCCACCCAGUGAGUAAAAAAAUCUGUCUGGGCACAACAGAUCAGUGGGUCACCAUUGUCGAAAGCUAGCCAUUGUAAAUUGUGUUUUAUCAAGGAAAUAUGUGAAUUUAUCUAAGGACACCAGCACAUGCUGAAUUACAAUGCAACUGGCAAGCCUGACAAUGUCCAGGUUCAUAAAACAGAAGUGAUGAUACUCAUUAAUAUAACUAUUGUGUGAGAUACAAUUUUCUAAUGAAAAAAAUGGCAUUUGGGAGAAUACUGGGAGUGACUAACCUUGUUCGCAGCAUUCAAGUAAUAGAAUGCACAUGAUUAGUGAUCUGGUGAGGCCGCUGCCCCUUCAGCUACAAGCUGAGCCACUGCUCCUCUUCUGAUUGCAACUGUCGUGGAUGAGAAUGUCAGGAUGCAACACGCUGGGGUCACUCCUCUUGUCCGCCUUUCGCAUGCUCGUCUCCGGAAUGGGGUAGAGAGGUCCGCCUCUGCAUGUUGGCCACCGGAUCAAAGCCGCCUGUACCAGAUCUGACGGCGUUAUUGCCAUGGGAAAAGUCAAGGAAAAUUGAGUUCUAAAGUCUAAUAGAAAGCAAAUACACUAAUUACCAUUGCUAACUCCUGGAUAUAUGCCACCAGUAGUAAUAGUUGGAACACCAGCAGCUUUUGCUUGCUCAUGGAGGCCUUCUGCUCCUCAAAGAAUAGUCCGUGUCAUCGCAGACAUCAAUAUAUGGUGUCUGUUCAGGAUAAAGUUUCAAAUGUGCCAACACCAUUUUCAGUUAAGCAGCUCACCGCCCCCCAAAAAAUGCAAUCGAGACUGAAGCUUGGCGCGCUUCUGUUCUACCUUAGUAGAUAUUGCUGCCUGCAACACGGUGCACUCCUCCGCCCUCUGGAAAGGGCCAGCAGUAUGGACAACCAAAUCCACACCUGUCGCAAGAGAAAAUUUCCAAGUACUUAUGUUAAGCUUCUCCUAGAGCAAAAGUAAAAAACAUCUGUUUUUACUGCUUAUUAGGGGGCUCAAACAUCAUGAGUUAGCUAGCAACUUGGGCUUUGGAGCCUUGCGAGAGCCUUUGCUGCUAAUGUGAAGCUGUACCACCAAUUAACAUGCUCUAGCUUGCUCUAGGCAGUAGUCAUGGCAUAAUAAGCAGGAUACAUAUUCAUAGUUGUACUGCAUGUUGGCGUAAUCACUGGUGGCAGGGACUGUCAGCUGGGGCCAAACUGAAGAAGCGGGAAAGCUCAGAAUUCAAAUGGAGUCACUUGCAGUCAAGGCCAGCAGGGUGACCGUGCCCAGGGAGCGUGGGCGACGUCGUGCGCGGCGUCAGUUAUCCAGUGUGAGUCUUUAGGCGUCGAGUGGAGUUAGUUUUUUUAUUCUCUGUAGGGGGUGUGUUAAGUGACUGCGGUGAGUAGCACAUUAUCUGUAACCUCUAUUUUGCACUGUUAUUCUCUAUCAGAGUAAAAUAGCUCUGCCCUCCGACAGUUUUCGGGGUCAGGGUCCAAAUUUCGUGUGUUCUUGUGUGUUCUUCGAUCUAGCCAGUGAGAAAUCUGUGUUUGUGAUUGAUCCUGAGUCUACACGUGGUAUCAGAGCCGAUCACAAGCCAGUGCGUUGAGUGCGUGCGUUGUAUUGAGUUCAUCGUGAUGGUGGAGACCGGAUCGAGUGGAGGUGCGGGUGGCGGCGGACAUGGUGAUCGCGGGACGUACCACUACCCGCAGUUGACGUCGACCAACUACACGAGCUGGAGCAUCCGGGUUCAGGCCAUCAUGGAGGAUCAAGGCAUCUGGGAGGUGGUGGAACCUCCGGAAGGGACGACAACGGUGCAGACGGCGAAGCAGUCCGGCAAGGACAAGACGGCGCGGGCACAUUUGUUGUAGUGCCUUCCCGAUGAUCUGCUGAUGCAGGUGGCGAAGAAGAAGACUGGAAAGGAGGUUUGGGAGUGCUUGAAGUCAAGAUUUGUCGGUGCAGAUCGUGUGCGUGACGCACGGUUGCAGACGCUCAAGAGCGAAUUCGAUGCUCUGAGGAUGAGGGAGGACGAGUCGAUCGAUUCCUAUGCUGGGAAACUGACGGCCAUGUCGGUGAGGUACAGCAAUUUCGGGGGAACAUUGGAUGAUGUGGCGUUGGUGAAGAAGAUGUUUGACACCGUGCCGGAGAGGUUCAUUCAAGUUAUUGCCGGGAUCGAACAGUUCUACGAUCUCAAGAAUUUGGUGUUCGAGGAAGCAGUUGGGCGUUUGAAGGCAUUCGAAGAGAGAAUUCGGCCGAGAGCCGGGAAAUCCUUGACAGAUGAGAAGCAAGUCCUACUCACUCAGGCAGAGUGGGAGGAGAGACAGCGGAAGGCUGGUGGUGACUCGUCGGGAAGAGGAAGGUCAUCGGAAGCUAGACGCGGAAGAGGCCGAGGCCGGGGGAGAGGCCAAGGCGGAGGUCGUGGCAACGGGCAAGACCGUGAUGGAGGCAGUGAAGCUGGCAAGAAGGAUAAAAGCCAUAUCAAAUGUUUCAAAUGCAAAGGGUAUGGUCACUAUGCCAACCGAUGUCCGGGUGGUGAGAACAAAGAGGAGGCGGCACAUCACGCGCGCGCUGAGAUCGAGCGUACGCUGGGGUUGAUGUAUGCUGUCGCCAAGGUGGAGCAAGAAAAGGAGUCCAGGGAGCCAGUCCAGCAAUGUCAGAUUGGGAGGCGGGGAGCUGUGAAUCUGACAGAGGAGAAGGUGAAGCCGGAGCUGCACUUGACCGGGGGAGGGGAAUCCACCGGAGAUAGCUGGUAUCUGGACAACGGUGCUAGCAAUCACAUGACCGGCGACCCUGGCAAGUUCAUGGAGCUAGAUGGGGGAGUCACCGGGAAUGUGAAGUUUGGAGAUGGCGCGGCAGUGCAGAUUGAAGGGAAGGGUUCCAUCUUGUUCAAGUGCAGAGAUGGUGCUCAUUGGUUGCUCCGAGAUGUCUACUACAUCCCCAAGCUCAAGAGCAAUUUGGUGAGCCUAGGUCAGCUCACUGAAUUUGGCUGUAAGGUGGAGAUGGAUGAUGAUGUCCUCGAGGUGUUCGAGAAAAAUCCCAGGAGACUGCUACUGAAAGUUCAGAGAUCCUCAAACAAACUGUAUCGAGUUGAUCUGAAGCUUGCAGACUCUGAAUGUUUGAUGGGCAGUGUGGAGGAGCUAGAGUGGCUCUGGCAUGGUCGGCUAGGCCAUGUCAAUUUCAGAACAUUGAAAAUGGUUGGGGACAGGGAGAUGGUAGGAGGAGUGCCUGUGAUCAGUCAGCCUGACAAGUUGUGUCAUCCAUGUCUGGCAGGGAAACAGACACGACAACCAUUUCCAAAAGCCACAAAUUUCAGAGCUCAGCAGGCAUUGGAGGUGAUCCAUGUUGAUUUCUGUGGACCAAUCACUCCAUCAACAGUGGCUGGUAAUAAGUAUUUCAUACUGUUUGUCGAUGAUCAUACUAGAUACAUGCAUGUUUAUAUGCUGAAGAGUAAGGAUCAGGCCACUGCUGCAUUAGUGAAGUAUAAAGCUGAAGUAGAGAAUGCAGUACAGAAAAAGAUCAAGUGUAUUCGUUCAGAUCGUGGGGGGAGUUUCUGUCAGCAGCUUUUGCAGGGAUAUGUGAAGCAGCUGGGAUCAGAAGACAACUCACUGUUCCAUACACACCACAACAGAAUGGUGUGGUGGAGAGAAGGAAUAGAACUGUGGUUGAGAUGGCUAGGACCAUGAUGAAGAGUAUGAAAAUUCCAGGGAGAUACUGGGGAGAAGCAGUUAGGCAUGUUGUCUAUUUGUUGAAUAGAUUGCCUACAAGAGCUGUGUUGGAGAAAACACCAUUUGAGAUGUGGGUGGGAAGAAGACCACAUCUGGGACACCGGAAGGUUUUUGGGUGUUUGGCUCACAUGAAGGUGACUGUUCCUCAUCUUAAAAAACUUUCAGAUAGAAGUCAGAAGACAAUCUAUCUAGGUGUGGAAGAGGGCUCAAAGGCACAUAGACUACUUGAUCCUCUGCAGAACAAGGUGUUGGUGAGCAGAGAUGUGAAGUUUGAGGAAGAUGUGUCAUGGAGCUGGGAACAGGGAAAUGUGAGGAUGGAAGAGUUCUAUGUGGAAGUAAUGAUACUGCAGUUCCUACAAAUUUGGGGGAACCAAGUGGUGCAGGGGAGAUGCCUGUAGAAGUAGGAGCAGAAGCAGUAGAAGAAGGUAGUGUUGGGGCUGGAGGUGAUCAUAUGUAGUCAACACAGGGUGAAAACUCACCACAGCAAAGUGAAGCUUUGCCACACUCAGAGGGUUCAGGUGGUGUAACUGAACCUGCUUCAGCACAAGGCUCAGGUCUGAUACAAAAUUCACCAGAGGGAUCAGGUGGGCAAGGGGAUGAUAGUUCAAAUGAAGAACCAGGAAGAUUCAGAGAUCUGAAUGACAUCUAUGAUCACACUGAUGUGGUUGAACUGCAGUAUGAUUCUGAUGGUGAAGCUUUGUUAGCAGAACUUGAAGAGCCAGCAAAAUAUGUUGAGGCUGCUGGGAAGCCAGAUUGGGAGGAAGCUAUGGACAAAGAAAUAGAGUCUAUUGAGAAGAAUGGAACUUGGGAAUUGUCAAAGCUACCAGCAGGGCAGAAAGCUAUUGGUCUCAAGUGGGUAUUUAAGCUGAAGAAGAAUGCUGAAGGUGAAGUUGUAAAACAUAAAGCUAGACUUGUAGCCAAGGGGUAUGUUCAAAAGAAAGGUGUGGAUUACGAGGAAGUGUUUGCUCCAGUAGCUAGAAUUGAUACUGUGAAGUUCAUUUUAGCAUUAGCAGCAAACAGGGGUUGGCAGAUCCAUCACUUGGAUGUUAAGUCUGCAUUUUUGCAUGGAGUUUUGGAGGAAGAAGUGUAUGUCCAACAACCUGAAGGUUAUGUAGUAAAGGGAAAAGAGGAUUAUGUUCUCAGGUUGAACAAGGCAUUAUAUGGCCUCAAUGGAACAUGAGACUUGACAGAAGUUUGAAGAAGCUUGGUUUCAAGAGAUGUUUGAGUGAGCAGGCUGUUUACACAAGGGGGUCUGGGAAAGACAGUGUACUUCUUGGUGUGUAUGUAGAUGAUCUCAUUGUGACAGGAAAUGAUCCAACAGAGAUUAUCAAAUUCAAACAGCAGAUGACUGGGGAAUUUGAGAUGAGUGAUCUUGGCCUUCUGUCCUAUUACCUGGGAAUAGAAGUAGAUCAGAAGGAUGAGUAUCUGACUAUAAAGCAGACUGGGUAUGCCAAGAAAGUGUUAGAGCAAUUUGGUAUGGGGGAGUGCAAUGCUACUAAGUAUCCUAUGGAACCUGGGUUGAAGUUGCAUGAGGACAAGCAAGGAGAAAGAGUGGAUGCAACAAACUACAGGAAAAUGAUAGGAUGCUUAAGGUAUCUGUUACAUACCAGACCUGACUUGGCUUACUCAGUUGGAGUAGCAAGUAGAUUCAUGGAGAAGCCUACAGUGCUACAUGUGAAGGCAGUAAAGCAGAUACUGAGAUAUCUCAAGGGAACAACUGAACUUGGGUUAGUGUAUACCCAGGAGAGGAAGAUGGAAGCAAUCACUGGAUUUUCACACAGUGAUCAUGGGGCUGAUGUUGUUGGGAGAAAGAGCACAGGAGGGAUGGCAUUCAAUCUGAAUGAUAGUCUGAUCUCGUGGUGUUCUCAGAAACAGAAAACAGUGUCCCUUUCUUCCUGUGAAUCUGAAUUUAUGGCUGCCACUGCAGCAGCAAGACAAGCUCUAUGGUUGAGGAACUUGUUGUCAGAAAUAACAGGAAAGGAGCAACAGGUGGUGACCUUGUAUGUUGACAACAAUUCAGCCAUAGCACUCAUGAAGAAUCCUGUCUUUCAUGGAAGAAGCAAGCACAUUGAUAUAAAGUACCAUUUUAUCAGAGAAUGUGUGGAGCGGGGACAGAUAGCAGUGCGGAGGGUGUGUACUGAUCUGCAGAAAGCAGAUGCACUGACUAAGCCACUGUCAGCAAUCAAGCUGGCAACCAUGAGGCAUUUGAUGGGGGUUCGAGAUCUUAGCUCCCACCAGGAUUAGGGGGGAGAGUGUUGGCGUAAUCACUGGUGGCAGGGACUGUCAGCUGGGGCCAAACUGAAGAAGCGAGAAAGCUCAUAAUUCAAAUGGAGUCAGUUGCAGUCAAGGCCAGCGGGGUGACCGUGCCCAGGGAGCGUGGGCGACGUCGUGCGCGGCGUCAGUUAUCCAGUGUGAGUCUUUAGGCGUCGAGUGGAGUUAGUUUUUUUAUUCUCUGUAGGGGGUGUGUUAAGUGACUGCGGUGAGCAGCACAUUAUCUGUAACCUCUAUUUUGCACUGUUAUUCUCUAUCAGAGUAAAAUAGCUCUGCCCUCCGACAGUUUUCGGGGUCAGGGUCCAAAUUUCGUGUGUUCUUGUGUGUUCUUCGAUCUAGCCAGUGAGAAAUCUGUGUUUGUGAUUGAUCCUGAGUCUACACUGCAUUAUUGAAUACUGAUACUGACCCUGCAGCGCUUCCUCCAGCAUGCCUGUGUCGCGGGUGUCGACCUGGACAAACUCAGACCGGCUCCCAAGCUUAGCUGCAACGGACUCGCCUUUCUCUCUGGCAAAUCAAACCAAAUUGAACCAAGCACCACCUGUAAGUUGCAUAGAUUCUGCAUAGAUUCAGCCUGAACACAAAAGGUCACUAACGAGGUGAGGUCCUACCAGUUCCUGCCUCCGAUGAGAAUGUCGAGGUCGGGGCGGAGCUCGGAGAGCGUGGUGGCCGUGGAUCCCCCGACGCGUCCUGUGCUGCCUAGCACGAGCACGUGGGCAGUCCUCGAGGUCUUGCUCCUCCACUGGGCCUGGGUAGCCUCCCUGGAGCCGGAGGGAGCUGCCGUGGCGGGAGCUGGAGGCACGCAUGCUCUGACGACGAUGCCCAUGGCGCCCAAUCCCUAUACGGCCAGUGCCGCGGCGCGUGCGAGGUGGGCAGGCUUAUCGUCUAGCUAGCGCCUAGGCCACGCCCUGGCCACAGAACGAGUGUCGCGCCACCGCCGUGAGGAUGUGUCGGAUGCCUGGGAAAAGUCUAAAAUCAUGGGAACCGCUGGAUCGUGACGGGCCUAGGGAAGGAAGCUGGGGAGUGUGGAAAGCCUCCGCCUACACCAAUCCCCUGAUCUGCAAUUUGCAGCAACACGCCGGGCACCAUCUCCAUGGAUUUGAACGCCACUGGCUAGGAUGGAGGGGGUGCGUGACUGCGUGCGCUACUUCUGCCCGGGAGGGGACCGAGCGCUCCGACCAGCCAUGCGGUGGCACCUCAACUGAUAUUCUUGCCCCCGCGUCGAGAUCCCAUCGAGGAUCCAUGCCACCGUCGAGCGCGAACAGCAGGCACGCGCGGCCACCGGCGAGAGCGGGAGGGGAUCCCGAGCGCAUGCUACGGCGUUGGGCGUCAGGGGAUCGACGCGUGAGGGAGGAGAGAUCUUGCUACCGCGUUGGGCGGGAUGGGAACGGAGGUGAUGGCGGCGUGGAUCCGAGAAAUCCGCGAGGGCGAGGAUUGGGGAUGGGAGCUG
Molecule: long non-coding RNA, 180826 nt
Filed under: Sorghum bicolor (sorghum)
Lineage: Eukaryota; Viridiplantae; Streptophyta; Magnoliopsida; Poales; Poaceae
Description: long non-coding RNA (SBIC_LNC009353)
Rfam family: MIR5387 microRNA precursor family (bases 22185-22278)
Source: RNAcentral